This 244978-nucleotide long non-coding RNA is filed under the name Citrus x clementina. RNAcentral describes it as "Citrus clementina (C. clementina) long non-coding RNA (CCLE_LNC004403)". The stretch from base 95639 to 95745 matches the Rfam family "Plant small nucleolar RNA R71". The record is from RNAcentral. Lineage: Eukaryota; Viridiplantae; Streptophyta; Magnoliopsida; Sapindales; Rutaceae.
UUCCGUUUGCGAAUCCUGUGUAUCUUUAUGCAAUGAUGUUGGGGUUUCUAACGAUCAUGCUCGACGUUUGGCUCUCACUAAUGGGCGCGCGCUUGCUGUUGUUCUAGUCCCUGGUAAUGAGAGAUCAGCCUCAUGUGCGUCUUGAAUGCCCUUGUAUCAUUACUCUAAAUAAUGGAUCGGGCUAGCUCCUUGACGCUUAUAACAUAAACAAAAAUGUCAUUGCUAGCUAGCCUGUGUACCUUUGAAAGAAAUAAAAGUGGCGAAUUUUGACUGUUUAAUCUCUUAGAGCUUUGGGUAUGACUGAGGAGUUAUAUCUUGGGGGACAAAAGCUACCUUGACAGGGAUAAAAAAAUUUAUUUGAAAAAAAAUGAAAUAUUUCAAUCAACCAUGACAAUAUUCAUAGGCAUAUUCAUGUGACUAAGUUGAGAAAUUAAUAUUCUUUCAAGUGAUAGGCUUAAGCAUUACAGUUAAAAAAAAGUUGUGACAAUCAGCUUAUUCAGAUAUCUGUACCUCACAAUCGUGGAUCUUAUCCCAACUAACAUGCUUUAAGACAAUGAACAAAACCGUGUAGUUAAACACAUUUCAAUUGUCUUCAACCAAACCGUGAAACAGAUAUCAAUUGUCUUGAUGCAAAUAAAUAUGAGUAAUAUCUUGCUAAUAUUUUGGACCACUUGUUAGUGAAUGUAACGUACAAGGUAUCUCCAAUUCUUAACUGUUAGGAAAUUGAGUUUCCUCCUAAGAUCUCUCCAAGUAAUUUAUCAAGCAACAAAUUAAUAAGAAAAAUUAAAUGGAGAAUAUACCAAUCGCACAACACAAGAUUUACGUGGAAAACUCUAAAUCCGGAGAAAAACCACGGCCGUUGUCAAAAAGACAAUCAGAGAAAAAAUAUUCACUAUGUGAAAAAUUAUUACAACCACACUCUCAUAAAUUUUCUCUCACCCAAGCCCCAGAUGCACCCAAAAUACUAAACUUUCCUAAUACUCACUUAAUGCUUAACUUGCAUUAGAUUUUACAACUUUGAAUGUUUCUCUUUGGGAUCAUUAAAAUGAAGGAAGGGCAUCUCCUAUUUAUAGGCAAAAAACUUGCCUAAAAGUCUUCAAGUUUGAUCAAAUUUGGUGGCUUACCCACCAAAUUUGAUCAACAAAUUUGGUCAUGUUCAACCAUGGCUGCUCCCAUGGUUCAAGAAUGGAGGCUAAAGUCUUUACUUUGACAUUCUCCCACUUGGAGAUUUGAUUGAGAAUCAAUCAAUCUCCACACCACCCUUGUUGUCUUCACCUUUAGUCAUAAUUCUCAACAUAGAGAAUUAUCAUACUCCACCAUAAAGAGUAUACCACUUAGAAUUAAUUACCAAUUCUAAGAAUUUUACAUCGGCACAUGUCGAAAUAUCCUACUGAAAUUUAUGGUGCAACUUCCAUGUUGGCUUUCUUGGAAAUUCAUCAGCCAUCGACAUAAAUUCCACCACACACCCUGCAUCAAUGCCAACUAUGCCUUGUGUGUAAAUCUUGUGGACCCACUAGUAGUAAAACAUCCCCUUUCAUGGUACUAACGGUAUACCAUGAGGAUGUCAUCAUCAUCUAUUUUACAAGGGAUCAUCGUCUCCCACGAUGAUGAGAGACUUACCACUAGCAAUACUAUCAGUAUCUGAUCUGGAGCCACUUGUCGAUCCUGCUCCAUUUCUACUAUGACAAUCUCUUUUUAAGUGCCCUGAUUGUCCACACCCCCAGCAGACUCCUUUCUUCUUAGAUUUAUCUUUCUGCCAAUUCCCUACAACUGCUAAAGCUGAGACAUCUGUAGUUUUAGUACUUUCACCACUCAGUCUUCUUUCUUCUGAGAGUAAAGUACUAGUAACUUCUUCAAGAUCUACUGUCUCCUUCCCGUACAUCAAAGUAGGUAACAAGUGUUUGUAGGAAGUUGGAAGUGACCAUAGUAACCUAAGCGCCUUGUCCUCAUCUUCAAUUUUAACUCCAAUGGCUUCUAGUUCUGACACAAUACCAUUGAGAACACUGAGGUGAUCGGAAAUUUUUGUACCUUCAGCCAUUCGCAGUGUGUGAAAUCGCUCCUUCAGGUACAAUCGAUUUGAGAUGCUCUUUGUCUGAUACAACUUUUCUAGCUUCUCCCAAAGUUCUUUCGCUGUAGGAAUUUUUCCUACAUUUGCAAGAACAUUCUUUGCUAGACACAGUCGUAUGGCACUUGCAGCUCGAUCAUCUAAUUCUUCCCAAUCUUCAUCACUUAUACUAGCUUUUCCAGAGCCACUACUGGAAGCAGGGGAUGGCUUCCCCUUUAAUGCCUUGUGUAACCCAAAUUGAAUCAACACAUCUUUGACUUGAACUUGCCACAAGCCAAAGUUAAUUCUCCCAUCGAAUUUUUCUAUUUCAAAUUUCACCGGACUUGAAAAUUUCAAUCCUAACAUAUUUGCUUUACAGAUCAGCUUUUACUUUUCACCACGGACUGUUUGGAUUGGCUCCCACUGCUUCACGUGAAUAGUACCGUAUACGUGAACAGUGCCUCGACACCAAAACUUCAAUUAAUGGCUCUGAUACCACUGUUAGGAAAUUGAGUUUCCUCCCAAGAUCUCUCCAAGCAAUUUAUCAAGUAACAAAUUAAUAAGAAAAAUUAAAUGGAGAAUAUAUCAAUCAUACAACACAAGAUUUAUGUGGAAAACUCCAAAUCCGGAGAAAAACCACAGCCGUUGUCAAAAAGACAAUCAGAGAAAAAAUAUUCACUAUGUGAAAAAUUAUUACAACCACACUCUCAUAAAUUUUCUCUCACCCAAGCCCCAGAUACACCCAAAAUACUAAAAUUUCCUAAUACUCACUUAAUGCUUAACUUGCAUUAGAUUUUACAACUUUGAAUGUUUCUCUUUGGGAUCAUUAAAAUGAAGGAAGGGCAUCUCCUAUUUAUAGGCAAAAAACUUGCCUAAAAGUCUUCAAGUUUGAUCAAAUUUGGUGGCUUACCCACCAAAUUUGAUCAACAAAUUUGGUCAUGUUCAACCAUGGCUUCAACCAUGGCUGCUCCCAUGGUUCAAGAAUGGAGGCUAAAGUCUUUACUUUGACAUUAACUAGGAUUCAUAGGGCUAAAUAUAUUAGAAUAUAUAGUAUUUAAGUCAGAUCAUUGUUAAAUAAUUUAUUAGAAUUUGCCUUGUUUUUUUGUAUUUGAGUUUUUUUUUCUAGCUAGUAUAGUUUUAUAUAUGUUAGACCAGUAACUUCUUUCUCGCUUAUUUUAUUAGAAUUUUCCUAUGGAUCUACUCAUGCUCAAAAGUUAAGCUUUAGAUUUGAAAGUUACCUCAAGCUUAUAUUAUUAGUCCAGUAAUCGGGAUGGUAAAAAAAAAAUUCAACUUGACUUUAUCCCUAAUAAACUAGCCUGGACAUAUUUUUCAAACACUCGGCUAAAUACAUGCUCAGGCCUCACCUUAAAAGCUUGAUACCAACCCGAAAGCUAGAAAAUUGUUUUGCAAUAGAAAUACAUAUAUUUUUUAAUUAGAAUACACAUUUUAAUAUUUAUUUACCUCACUAAUAACAUAUAUUUGAAGUUCUAAAUCCUUUAACCCAACUUUUAAAUACUAGUCUAAUAAAAACAAAAUUUUAUAAACUACCAAGUUGUUUUACAAAUUAAAUUUUAUUUAUAAAACACCUUUUAAUAUAUUUUAAAGUUUAUAACGUUUUAUUUUUAUCAUAUUAGGCAUUAGAAAGAUUUAAAUGUUGUUAUGAAUGGGCUAAAUAGAUACAAAAACAUAUAUUUUAACUUUUUGGUUUUAAGUAUUUCUCUUGCUUUAAGUUGGGUUCAGGUUUUUUAGGUGAAACCUAAGCCCAACAUAAGUGUGUUGAGAAAAUAUGUUCUGGGCGGGUUACCUGCUAUGGUGGACCCGACUUAUUUUGUCAUCCUUAGUAUUGGACUAAUAUAAAUUUGAGGCAACUAUUAACUUUUGAGUUAGUUUUUGGGUAUAAAUUGAGCAUAUGGGCUUAUGGGUUCUAUACUAUGACGGAACCCACAAAUUAAUUGUUGAUUGAAAAUGAUAUUUAACAUCUCAAUGUAGUCCUUUUAAGUUAGAAAAUAGGAGUUGGACCAUUGGCACCCACCCAAUCUCCUCAUGCAACCCCAUUUUUAAUUGUAUUUAUUUUAUUUCUGAAAAUGUCCUUUUUCUUAAUACAUUCUUUUAACUUUUAAUUUAAUUUUUUUAUUAUUAAAACUCAAAGUAGUAUUUUGUCUUUUUUUUUUUGUGUGGGGGCAAUCUCGUUGUUUGUCUACACACAAAUUAAAAUUUUUUUUAGGUAAUGAAUUUUUAGAUGUCAAUCAUUGGUUUAAAUUAAACUAUUUUAAAUUAUAACUUGGAAGGAACUUAAAUACAAAAAUAUAUAACCAGUAAGAAAUAAGGAAAAAAAAUAUUUUAAGUCUAUUUUAAUUAGAUAGGAAGUGACGAUAGAAAAUAAAAAAGAAGGAUUGAUUGUGAAUUCAAGAAUUUGUUGGACAAAAAAUCACUGUGUGUUUGAUUCUUGUUUGUUUUGACUAUAAUUUUAUUUAAAGUGGGGUUUUAUAAGGAUAAUAAAGGGGUGCCAAUAGCUUCAUUUGGAAAAUAAUUUUUAGCUUGAUGAUAUGAGCUUCAAGCAACCUUUAACUCUUGUUUUAACUUUUUAGUAUGAGUUAGGCCCAUAAGAUUCGAUAUGAUCACAUCAUAACCCCCUACAUUAAAAUGAUUUUAAUAUGUUUCGAUUUUUUUGCUUUUACUAAUUGUUGAAAAUAAAGAGUAGUAUAGAUAAGGAUAACAAUUGAUUUUUGUAAGCAUCAAGGCUUAACUUAUAAAAUGAACGAAAAUAUUAAAACGGAUAUGUUACAAUUACCAGGAAAAGAAAUGUUACAAUUAUAAUGAUUAUGAUUGUUUAACGAGUUAAUCCUUGAUGCUGAAUUUAUUUGAUUGAUUCACAAUAUAUUAUUAAGGAUUAACUGGUUGUCCAGGUGUCCUAUUGAUAGACUGUGUUUUGGCGCUCGCUAGGGGCACCUUGCAUUGAGGUAAAUACGGAUGAUUUGGCUACAGGUAAUCCCAGAAUCUCGGAUUGUGGCUUUUUUCAAGGCUUUAAUGGUGCUUUUACGAAGCCGCCUUACUGUGGCUCUGGGCCUUGUUUUGCUGUAAAUGCCAUUCAAGCUGUUAAUAUUGCUCUUUCCAUGGGAUGGCAAUUUGUUUGGCCGAAGAGGGAUUCAAAUCUGCUAACUCUUGCUUAUUUGCAGAACUCUCUUUUUCAUCUGCCGGGGCAACUCGUAUUUAGUGGUUGAACUGUCUAUAACAGAUCAGUCAUAUGUAGUUUCGUAGUCAUAUUAAUUUUGAAGGGUAAUUCGGUUGCUGAUUGCUUAGGAAAGGCCGGGUCUAACUGAUUCGAGGCCCUUGGUGAACUUUUUUUUUUUUUUCUUUUAAAGACAUUCUUACGUUAAACAACAUUAAUUCCGAAAGAAAUAUUAAAUAGCUUAUAAUUCAACUAUCUUUAAUAAUAUAUUGAAUUUCAACAAUUAUCAACAUGAUCCUGACAAAUAAUAAAAAAAGAUAUAUAUUUUUAGUGAUCAUCUUCAAAGUUGAUUAUUUCAUUCACUAUUUCAAUUUUGAUUUUCAAUUUUGUAAGUAUAUCGUUUCUCUUUAAAAUACUAAUACAUAUCUUUUUUUACUAGCUGUGAAAAAUUUAUCAAGAGCUCGUUUUUGAGAUCUGACUAAUUUUUCUGCUCUCCUUUUUUUUAAAAUUUUUUUUGUAGCUUUUCAUAUUCUAAUGCUUAUUUUCUAGUUGACAUGCUUUUCAAAUCUAAAUAACAAACAAAUAAACAAACACAAAUUUUCUUUUCUAGAUUAUUCGAGCCAUAUAUCAGUACAAAAAAUAAAAAUAAAUUAAAUUUUAAAAAAGAUAAGAAUAGUAACAAUUAAAAAUAGAAUUAUUGAUACCACUUAGCAAGUUGACUAGUUGAGAUGAAUAUAAUGAUUAGAUGAUGACAAUAAAUUUCGUACAAAAGAAUUUUCUUUAUAGAGAGGAGAGUAACAAAUUGUUUAAUUGAGAAUAUCAUUGAUUCACUAUCUAUUUGUUUUGGGUUUUUAUAUAGAUUUUUAUAGAAUACUAAGAGUUAGUUCUAAAAUAUAAGGUUAAUAAUUUUAAUAGAGUAAUUUUUGAAAAAGAGAAGGCAUUGAAUUUUUUUUUAAAUAAAGAAGUAACAUUUAAAGUCAUUAUUCAACUGAAAAAAUAUAUUUAUUUUUAAUAAUAAGGAGAUGUCUAGAAAUUAUGCUUUCCUACAAUAUAUACUUAGCUAAAAAUAAUUUUGAAUAACAAAAAAAAAAUUAAUUAUACUAACUAAUAAAUAGAUAAACAAAAAUUGCGGCAUCCAUAAAUAUUGGGUUCGCCUAGUGGUAAAGUGUUACAUCCUUAAAACUCGAGGCAUGCCAAUGUUUGGCUUGCGGCCUUGUGCCAAGCAUGGCUACGCAGCGGAUGUGCGCGGGAAGGCACGAAAGCAAGUCAAGUUUGUGCGCAAGUUGGGGCGCAACAAAAACUAAACGGGCUGAUGGACAACACACAAGAUAUGUGCGAGGCAGCGCACAAGUGCUCCGAGGGAUAGUGCACACACAAAGGUGCGCAAGGCAUGCGCACGCACACACGCACACUAGCAAGAGCCACACACAAGCAACAGGCCAGGGGGUUGUUGGAGUAAUUUUUUAUAAUAAUGAUUUUGAUGAUAACAAACAUGUUUUCAAUUGAUAAGUUUAAAAUUUUUUGUUAAUUGGAUCAAUUUUUUAAGCCAUAUAAUAUUCAAAGCAAAGAAAAACCUUAUGGAAAUAAACAGCAAAACAUUUACAGAAAAUGGAAAACCGAUUACAUUCCAGAGAAUGAAUUUUCAGAAAACGGUAAACCGUUUAUAGAAAAUGGCAAACUGAUUGCAUUAACCGUUUAUGGUUAACAGUACACCCAAUGCAUUCCAGAGAGCAAAUUUCAGAUAUCGGCAAAUCGUUAACGGAUAACGGUAAACCGAUUUCAUUCCAGAGAGGAAAUCAUAUAUAACGAUCAAUGGAUAACGGUAAACCAAAUGCAUUCCAGAGAGCAAAUCUCAGAUAACAGUAAACCGUUUAUGGAUAACGGUAAUCCGACUGCAUUCCAGAGAGUGAAUCUUAGAUAACGGCAUACUGUUUAUUGAUAAUGGUAAACCGAUAACAUUUCAGAGAACAAUCAUCUUGCAAACAGUAAACCGUUUAUGUCAAACGAAUAACUGACAUCUUUGAACAAGUUUAUAGAAUGAUAAUGGUAAUCCAACUUCCUGCUAAUAGUGAUCUGGCAAUUUGACUUUCGGCGUAGCGGUAACUUGCUUAAGUCAAAACGGCAAUUUGACAAUGGGCAGAAAGUCAAUAACAGCUAAUUUUCAGCUCCAUCUAUAAAUUAUCUCAAUCAAAUUCAAACAAGAAGUGAUUCAACUAUUGGGAUUGAGCAAACAAUUAAGCAUACAACUUUCCUUGAGCUUUAAAAUUCUUGUGUUCAUCACAUUUACUCACACUUUUAGAAUUUCAUUUGUAAUCAAUAAAUUGUGUGAGAGAUAUUUAUUUUGUAAUGCUUUUUGAAAAAUCGAAUUGAGAGGUUGUAAGCAUUGGGAUACACUUGCGUUAAGAAAUUAAGGAUAAUCUCUUGUUGUAAAGGUUCAUUGACACCUUUGAAGUCAAUUAUAAGAGUGAUUAAAGCCUUGGAGGCUUGCUUAGUGGAAUCUUCAAGCUCGUGAGCUUGGAGGCAUGAAUGUAAGCAUGGUUGGCCGAACCACAUAAAAAUUGUGUGUUUGCUCUCUCUUUUCCCUUACUCUUUUAUUUUUGAGUAUUGUUAAAUUUAUUGCUUUUGUUUUCAUUAAGGCAUUAGAUUAAAAUUGUUGUGUGGUUUGAUUAGCUUAAAUUUUAGAAUAUUAAUUCACCCCCUCUUGGGUUGCAUAGUUAGUAUUUCAUUUGGUAUCAGAAUGAGGUUCUCUUAUUAGGACUUAACCGUCUAGAGUAAAAGAUCCAUGACAACUCAAAAUGAUUCAACUUUUAGGGAAGGACAGUGCAUAACUAGACCACCAUUCUUUGACGGUAAUGACUACCUAUAUUGGAAAACUAGAAUGAAAAUUUAUUUGCAAGCUUUAGAUUAUGAAAUUUAGGAAGUUGUUUGUAAUGGUCUAUUCAUGCCUAUGACUAAAAAUGAAGUAGAAGAUGAUAUUCCAAAACCUUCAAGUCAAUGGAGUGAGUUAGAAAAGAAAAAUGUAUCUUUAAAGAGUCUAAGAUUAGUAGAUACACUAGACAAUAUGAAUUAUUCCAAAUGGAACAAAAUGAAAGUGUUUAUUCCAUGUAUACUAGAUUUAUGGAUAUUGUAAACACAUUAGGAGCCCUAGGAAAAACCUUUUCAAACAGCGAAAAGGUUAAGACGAUCAUUAGGUUUUUGCCAAUGGAAUGGAGACCUAAAAGAACCGCCGUAGAGGAAGCUAAAGAUUUAAACACUUUGCCUAUUGAUGAUUUAAUUGAUUCUCUUAUUUCAUAUGAAGAAGAUUUGGCAGCAAAAACAGGUAAUGAGGAAAAGAAGAAGAAGAGCAUUGCACUCAAGGCAUCAAAGCAUGAGAGUGAUGAGGAAAGUGAGUUUGAUGAUGAAAACAUGACUAUGAUGUCUAAGAGGUUCAGAAAAAUUUUCAAGAAAACCACUGAGCGGAAAAGAUUUCGAAACUAUAAGAAUUAAAAGGAGAAGAAUGAGCCAAUCACCUGUUAUGAAUGUAAGAAGCCUGGACACAUACGAUCAGACUGUCCUCUUCUCAAGAAGCUCAAGAAGACGACAAUGGUAGCCACAUGGGAUGACAACAAUGAGGAAGCAAGUGAUAAUAAAGAGUCACAAGAAAUGUCAAAUCUCGCUCUCAUGGCAAUUAGGGAAGAAUCGUUUAACGAACUCGAUGAGUUAAGUGAUCCUACAUAUGAUGAAUUAUAUGAUACUUUUUAAGGAAUUGCACGAUGAUUGGAUGAAAAUUGGUAAAAAGAAUGCAUGUCUCAAAAAGAAAGUUGUAGAGCUCACAAAUGAAAAUGAAUCUCUAAGUACAAAGAUUGCAUGCUUAGAACUAGAGAAUAAAACUUUGCAUAAUAAAGUUGCAUUAACAAAUGAAAAACCAAGCAUUUUACAUUAGCACUUAGAAUCACAUGUAGAUGAUUUGAAAAAGGAAAAUGAAAUGCUCAAGAAAAAGAACAUUAAACUUAGUGAUGUUGUCUUAAAAUUUACAAAUGGGUAAAAGAUAUUGGAUAACUUGCUUAAUUGACAAAAAUGUGUUUUUGACAAAGGAGGCAUUGACUAUAAGCCAAAUUUGAAAUAAAAAUAUUAUAAGAAUUAUUUUAUUAAAGCUAUCACAACAAGUGAUAAUAAGAGUGUUUGUCAUUAUUGCAAUCAAAAUGGUCACAUGAAAUAUACAUGUCUAGUGAAAAGAAAUGUAUGCUUUGGAUUAAAAUGUAUUUAGGUUUCGAAAGGAACCAUUACUAACUCAAGGACCUAAAAAGGUUUGGGUACCUAAGACUUAAGAUUUUCUUUGCAGGGCUUGAAGAAGAAGAAAAAUAAAUGGUACUCAGAUAGCGGAUGUUCAAGGCAUAUGACCGGAAACUGUGCAUGGCUCUCAAGUUUCACCAAAUCGAAAAUGAUGGAGAUGUAUCCUUUAGAGACAACUCAAAAGGAAAAAUUCUCGGAAUUGGUGAUGUUGGUAAAGUUUCCUCAACUCUAAUUGAAAAUGUAUGUUUAGUUGAAAAUUUGAAAUACAAUUUGAUUAGCAUUAGUCAAUUGUGUGACAAGGGUUAUAAAAUUAUUUUUGAUAAAUCAAGAUGUAUUAUUGAGAUUGCAUGUGAUAACAAAAUUUUGUUUGUUGAAAAUAUAUGUGGUAAUGUUUAUACUAUUGAUAUAGAAUAUGCAUCCACUCAUGAUAAUUACUUUUCUGCAUUGCAUAAUGAUGGUUGGCUAUGGCAUAGAAGACUAGGACAUACAAGCAUGGAUUUGAUCUCAAAGAUUUCUAAAAAUUAUUUAGUUAAAGGUCUUCCAAAAAUCGGUUUUAAAAAAGAUAAAAUUAUUGAAGCAUGCCAAUUUGGUAAACAAAUUAAAACCUCUUUUAAAAGAAAAAAAAUCAUAUUUCUACUUCAAAACCUCUUCAACUACUUCAUAUAGAUUUAUUUAGUCCUUCAAGAUAUACUAGCUUAAGUGGCAAGUAUUAUGCAUUUGUAAUUGUUGAUAAUUUUUUAGAUACACAUAGGUAUUAUUCUUAACUAAUAAGGAUGAUGCUCUUGAUACUUUUAAAGUAUUUUGUAAGAAAAUUCAAAAUAAAAAAGGGUAUGGUAUUGCAUGCAUUAGGAGUGAUCAUGGAGGAGAGUUUGAAAAUCAUGCAUUUGAAACAUUUUGCAACAAUUUUGGCACUGUGCAUCAAUUUUUAUCACCUAGGACUCCACAAUAAAAUCGAGUUGUUGAAAGAAAAAAUACAUCUAUUCAAGAAAUGGUUAGAACCAUGUUGAAUGAAAAUUCUUUGCCUAAGUAUUUUGGGCCGAAGCCGUCAACACUGCUUGUUAUGUUUUAAUCAUGUGUUGAUUAGACCUCUUCUUAAUAAAACUCCCUAUGAGCUUUGGAAAGAUAGAAAGCCCAACAUUGGUUAUUUCAAAGUUUUCGAUUGCAAAUGUUUUAUUUUGAACACAAAAGAUAAUCUUGGUCAAUUUGAUCCAAAAUCUGAUGUUGGUAUUUUUCUUAGUUACUCAAACACAAGGUGUAACCACUAGAUCAUCAUUUAGAAAUACUUGUGAGCAUGCUACAUUCAUAUCUCAAAUUGAACCAAAAUCCUUUGCGGAUGAGGAAAAUGAUGAAUUUUGGAUUAUGGCAAUACAAGAGGAGUUAAAUCAAUUUGAGAGAAAUAAUAUGUGGAAAUUAGUUCCUAAACCGAGCAUCAGUCCAUUAUAAACACUAAAUGGGUAUUUAGAAAUAAAAUGAAUGAAUCCAAUAUGGUUGUAAGAAAUAAAGCUAGAUUAGUGGCUCAAGCUUACAACCAAGAAGAAGAAAUUGAUUUUGAUGAAACAUUUGCACUUGUAGCAAGAUUAGAAUCCAUUAGGAUGUUACUAGCAUUUGUAUGUCAUAAAGAUUUUAUUCUAUAUCAAAUGUAUGUCAAAAGUGUUUUUUUAAAUAGUUAUAUUAUGGAAGAAAUUUUUAUCAAACAACCCAUGAUUUUGAAACUGAAAAAUUUCCAAAUCAUGUUUAUAAGUUGUCAAAAGCAUUGUAUGGAUUAAAGCAAGCACCUAGAGCAUGGUGUGAUAGGCUUAAGAGUUUCUUAUUGGAUAAUGGUUUUGUUAGUCUAAAUGGCUAUAAAAUGUUGAUUUUGAUGAUAACAAACUACGUGUUUUAGAUAAACAAAAAAUUACACAUUAUGUUUUUAUAACAAGAAAAUGAUUUUAUGAAAUUGUUUGUUUUUAGGUUUAUGGUUUAAAUUGAAAAGUUUUGAGAACUUUAAAAUCAACAAAUAUUGUUUUAAAAUUCUAAAAAGGGGCCUAUUUGCAAAGUUUUCUAAAUAUUUUGGCCAUAGUAUAAUUUUAUACAGUUUUAGGGUAAAAUUAUAAUUUUUGAAAAAUAGUUGUUUCACUGUAGCAAGCGGCUAGCCGGAUUUAUCAAAACGGCAAAUCGGUUAUGGGCAGAAGUCUCUAGAAUAAAAACGGCUAACCAAAAAUGAAAAGCGGCAAACCAGAUGAGCAAAAUUUAAAUCUUUGAACAUAACGGUAACAUAAAGUGGCAAGCCGGUUAACACAAAGCGACAAGUCAGAUAUCACCAAAAAGUCAAUACAGCUAGUUUUCUUCUUUAACUAUAAAUUGGCUCAAAUCAAAUUCAAUAAAAGUGAGAUACAACCAUUGUUAUCAUUGAGUCAUCCUCUACAAUCUGAGCAUAAAAUUUGUAUUCAUUUCAUUCAUUCACACACAUUGAGCUUUCAUUUGUAAUUAAACACAUUGUGUGAGAUAAAUUUAUUUGUAAUCAUUUUUGUAAAAUCAAGUUGAGAGGUUGUAAGUGUUGGGAUACACUUGGGUGAAGAGAUUGUGGAUAAUCUCUUGUUAUAGAGAUCCAUUGACACCUUAGAAGUCAAUUGUAAGCGUGGUUGAAGCUUUGGAGGCUUGGAUAAUGAAAUCAUUAAGCUUAUAGGCAUAGGGAGGGACUGCCGAACCAAGUAAAAAUAUUUGUAUUUGCUCUCUCCUCCCUUACACUUUUUAUUCUCGAGCAUUGUUAAAUUUAUUUAUUUUCAUUUUAUUAAGACAUUAGAUUAAAUUAUUGUGUGGUUUGGUUAGUUUAAGUUUUAAAAACCCAAUUCACCCCCUUCUUGGGUUGCAUAACUAGUAUUUCAGGUUCCUCAAUGGGAAAAGCGGAUACAACUCUCUUUGCUAAGUAUAAGAAUCAAGAUAAACUUGUAGUUCAAAUUUAUGUUGAUGACAUUAUUUUUGGUUCUACUAAAGAAGUAUUGUGUAAAGAAUUUCUAAUGAGCAUGAUGGGAGAGCUGAAAUACUUCAUUGGACUGCAAAUAAAACAAAAUGAGGAAGGGAUUUUCAUAAAUCAAGCCAAAUAUGUGAAAGACCUACUCAAAAGAUUUGGCUAUAAAAAUAGAACAGCAAAAAGCACUCCAAUGAGUACCACUAUCAAGAUAGACAAGGAUGAAAAGGGUAAGGAGGUUGACAUCAAGACGCAUCGAGGUAUGAUCGAAUCCUUACCCUACUUGACUGCUAGUAGGCCUGAUAUUAUGUUUAAUGUAUGCUUAUGUGCUAGAUUUCAAUCUUGCCCUAAAUAGUCACACUUGCAUGCUGUUAAACGAAUUUUUUGAUAUUUGAUCGGCACUAUAGAUCUCGGCCUUUGGUAUCCUAGAGGAACAUAUAUAGACUUAACUUACUAUUCGGAUGUUGAUUUUGCUGGCUAUAAGGUUGAUAGGAAAAUCACUAGUGGAACAUGUCACUUUUUAGGUCACUCUUUAGUCUCUUGGUUUAGCAAGAAACAAAAUUCAGUUGCACUAUUAACUACCAAGGUUGAGUAUAUUGUAGUCGAAAGUUGUUGUGCUCAAGCUUUAUAGAUGAAAAAAAUUCUUAGAGACUAUGGCAUUCACCUUGAUAAAAUACUUAUUUUGUGUGAUAAUACUAGUGCUAUAAAUCUUUCAAAGAAUCUUAUCCAACACUUAAGAACCAAGCAUAUAGAGAUUAUACACCAUUUCUUCAGAGAUCAUAUUCAAAGAGGGGAUAUUUCUUUGAAUUUUGUUUCAACCAAAAAACAACUUGGUGAUAUUUUCACAAAACCCCUCAAUGAAGAACAAUUUACUAAAAUUAGACAUGAGCUUGGAAUAUUGAAUGUUCCACAAUAGCUUGGCUUUAUGUGAUAUUAAUCUAUUUUUAGUAAUGUGAUUGCUUAUUUGUAUCAAUUGUUUAAAUUGUGUGAAUUCAUGAAUUAUGCAUUAAAUUGAUUUUUAAGACAUUUCAGAUCAAUAAAAUGAUCUUAAAAUGGAUUAAUUGCUGACCAAAAACUAAAGUAGAUGUGCGAAAUCAUUAGUUAAAGAAAACAGAAUGCCGUUUAUUCAAUAAACGAUUAACCGUUUUUGGGACAGAAACUAGGGAAAAUAUUCAGGAAGAUAACGGUUUGCCAUUUUCGUAAAACUUUUGGGUUACAUUCUGGAACGAUAUCAGCUCGCUGAUAUCUUAAUAACGGCUCACCGUUAUCGUGCGAUAAGAGCACAGUAAACCGUUUUCUCCAUCUUUUGCCCUUGAACUGUUUAACCUUCAAUCGUGGCUGCGACUCCUCUCUCUCAAAUUACUCAUUUUCCUUGCAAUUUCUCUUCAAAUUGAAGCCAUAGAAAUCUUCUUUAACAUGUUUAGAACAUUUUCAUUCGAUUAAAAACAAUUUUAAGCCUUAAAUUGCAAAUUCCCAAUUUCAAAACCCUAGUGCAAACCGAAUAUAGUUCCUCCAAAUUCUCCACAAUUUCCUUCAUUUCUUGAUCCUCUUAAGCCCAUACACACUCUUUUAUACCUCAAAUUUAUCCAUAGAUGGUGAAGGACCUUCAAGACCGAAGAGACGAGUCAAACAGAGGGCUAGCAGGAGUCCUCUUUAUCCCCCUCAUGUUCCUGAUUUCGAAAGGGUCUACUUCCUUUCUCUUUCUCUUGCUAGGAGAUUCCAAACUUAGUUUAUGACUCGUAAGUUAACUGAUUCCUUUUUUCUUGAUUUAGAUAAUUUUGAGGAGUUGGUUGUAUGUAGUAGUAAUGUAAAGGAGAUGUUGGUACAAUGAGAGAUUCUUUUGAACCUAAAUGAGAAAGUGUACCCAAACCUACUUAGAAUUUUCUACUCCAACAUGGAGCUUUCGGCUACUAGUUUGGAUCGAUUAGUGACAUAUGUCAGAGGCGUACCCAUUGAAUUUACUGUGGAAGAUUUAAGUUCCAUUUUAGAGACUGAUCAUUCAGGUCUAGAGCUCUACACAUCUCGGAAAGAACUUCAAUUUAACCGUUUUUCUCAUGUAGAUGCGGUUAGAAACAUUUAUAGAUGUCAAGACCUUUCCGAUGAUAUUUUUUCUUUACCUUUUCGGUCUCAAUUAUUGCCUAAGAAUGUUAGGAUCCUCCAUAGUAUUCUCCAGCAUAUCGUUACUCUUAGAAAUGGGCAUAGUGACGAGGUUACUCAUUUAGAUAUCGGGUUGCUGGAUUGUCUUCUUCGAAGACGUUCGGUUAACCUUGGCUAUGUAAUUGUCUGUCACAUGUUGUUUACCCCCGCCAUGAGCAAUCGACUUCUUCCAUAUGGCAGCAUUAUCACUAGAAUUCUGAGGCAUUUUAGGAUACCCAUUACCGAGCUUAUAUACGAUGAGUCUCAGAGGUUAGGUAGUGAGAUUAUCCUCGACAUUGGUUUUCAUAGGAGCAAUGGGGAAUGGGUAAACUUUACCUCAUCCAAGAAUGAGGAUACACUCUUGGCUCCUGAAGAUGAUUGUAUACUGAAUGACAUAUAUUCUGCUAAUCAGCUUCCAGACUUUCGUUAAGGAGCUAGUGACCUUGAGUUCCUCGUUGAGCUGCAGCUGCGUGUGCUGAGGAGCCUGAUGAGCAUGAGGAGCAUGAUAUGAAUACCUACGUGCCUCUAGCCCCUACCUCUUCUUCAGCUUAUGAGGAAUUGAUGCAACAGUUUUUGAGUGAGAUUCACACUCUCUCAGUCCAGCAGUAGCAGCUUGUGUCUCGCUUCAAUUCAUUUCAGCAUAUCAUUUUUUAUCAGCAGCAAGAGAUUCGAGAUGGUCAGAGACACAUCCUUACUGCUCUUGGUUUUCCUCUCAUUGAGUCUUCAUCGCGGCCACUUUCAUAGUUUAUCUUUAUUUUCCCUUUUGGUUACGCACAUACAUUUGUCAUCUCAUAUUUUGGAUGUUAUUCUAUGUAUGUUUUGGAUGAUAUUUGUUAUGCAAAUUUUAUUGAACUCGUAAAUGCACGAAUGUAUUGUAGAAUAGAUUAAUGAUGACGAGUGUCGAUCCCACGAGGAGGUUGAUUCUAAUUGUGUGUAGAAUUAAUUUUUUUCUAAAUGGAUUUUUGGAUUUGUGGUGAAAGUGACUUAGAUUAUCUUAAAAUUGGAAUUAAAAUGGCGAGAAUAAAUUGAAGAGAAAUAUAUUGAAAUGAAACACUUGGGUAUCAGGAUCCAUAUCAACAUGCACCAUGGGCUAAAUAUUCCUUAUUAGUGCCAAUUAAAUCAUGAGGGAGGAAUCUACACCUCAUGAACCACACUCUAAUCAAUAUGGUGCUAAGGGCUUAUCGUGCCAAAUAAUAAUAACCUUGUACUAGGGAGCCGGUGAAACCAGGGCGGUAUCUAGACAAGAUUAUUAUUAUUUAUCGACGAGAAGUCAAAACAUCCACAAAAACUAGAGGGGAAGAGAAAGUAAAUUUACCAAUUAAAGCCCAUGACACAUGUUGAGACUUCACCUUCAACCCAAGCUUGAAAGAAAAUUAGCUACUCAUAAUUGAACUCGGGGCAAAAUAAAAAUUUAUUAAAAUAUGUAGAAAAUACAAGAUGGAGAAGGAAUUAUAGAAAUAGAGUCCGAAAAUGGAUUCAGAGAUGCCAAAUUAGGGGGGGAGGCCCCCUUUUUAUAGAUACAUUGAGUAAAUCAUGGCCAUCAGAUUAAAAACAGUUUGGAUGCUCAGGAUUGCGCCACGUCAUCAGUCAACAGUACGCAGUUUGACCACGUGAUUUGAACAGUGACACGGUUUGACCCGGCAUGAACAGUAACGCGGUUUGGUUGAAAAUAAUUAUAUGUAUAUGCAUGUACUGUGCGCAUAAUUUUCGGUUCACUAACAUGCUGCCACAUUACCAAUCAACAAUGUAUAAGAAUUUUAGUCCAACAAGAUCGUGAAAACUCAUCAAUCAAUGCCACAUCAUCGGUCAAUACCACAUCAUCGAUCCAUCUAUAUGAACAAUGUCGUGAACAGUAACGUAGACAGUACCGUACAUGUGAAUAAUACCAUACAUGUAAACAAUGCCAUUUUUCCUUUUAUGCUCCUCCUAAGGUUUUUGACCAUCCUGAGUUCAAAAGUGAUGUCUGUUUUGCCGUCUGAUCUCUUGUUCAUUGUGAAAUGACCAUAAUAGCCCUAAAAUAUAUAAAAUACUUAAUUAAAAUAAAACGCACGUAAUUAAAUCACAAGAAGCUUAAAUAUAUAAAAGUAAGGGUGUUAGUAAAACUUGAAGCGUAAAAUGACGAUUUUCUCCUUUAUAAAUAUACAUUUUCUAACACUCAACAAUAUUAACUAUAUAUUUUGGAUGAUUUUCUAUUUUGAUAUUUGGAUUUCUUUUGUUGGUUUUGAUGAUGUGGUUAUAUGCUUGUUGGUUCUAUGCAUACUUUUGUGUUGUUGGCUUGUUGGAUUGUUGGAGUUUGUUGAUUGAGUUGAAUUGGCUUGUGCAUAUUUGGGAGUGCUUUCAAAAUUUUCUGUAAUUCAGGAUAUGUCUACUUUUAUGGGGAGACUCUGCCCAAUUUUCCCCUCACUUUCUCUUUUUGAUGAUGAAGGGGGAGAAAUAUAUCUUUGUUGUGGUAAACAAAAUUGAGUGCAUAAAUGUUUUUGGUUCAAAAAUUGAUUGGCCACAAACUAAGGGGGAGCACACAUUAAGGGGAAGCAAUCUUGCUUAGUCUUGAAAUGUUUGUCAUUAUAAAAAAGCGGGAGAUUGUUAACUCUUUUGUUUUUAUAAUAAUUAUUUUGAUGAUAACAAACAUGUUUUCAAUUGAUUAGUUUUAAAAUUUGUUGUUAAUUGGAUCAAUUUUUUAAGUCGUAUGAUAUUCAAAGUAAAGAAAAACCUUUUGGAAAUAAACGGCAAACCGUUUACAGAAAACGGUAAACUGAUUACAUUAUAAAGAAAGAAUUUUUAGAAAACGGCAAACCGAUUGCAUUAAGCGUUUAUCGCUAACGGUACACCAAAUGCAUUCCAAAGAGCAAAUUUCAAAUAUCGGCAAACCGUUAACGGAUAACGAUAAGCCGAUUUCAUUUCAGAGAGCAAAUCAUAAAUAACGGUCAACCAUUUAUGGAUAACGGUAAACCGAAUGCAUUCCAGAGAGCAAAUCUUAAAUAACAGUAAACCAUUUAUGGAUAACAGUAAUCUGACUGCAUUUCAGAGAGUAAAUCUUAGAUAACAGCAUAACAUUUAUUGAUAAUGGUAAACCGAUAACAUUCUAGAGAACAAUCAUCUUGCAAACGGUAAACCGUUUAUGUAAAAUGGAUAACCGACAUCUUUGAACAAGUUUUUGGAAUGAUAACGGUAAUUCGACUUCCUACGAUGACUCGACAAUUUGAAUUUCGAGGCACCGGUAACUUGCUAAAGUCAAAAUGACGAUCCGAUAAGUUAAAUUAUUGUGUGGUUUGAUUAGCUUAAAUUUUAGAAUCCCAAUUCACCCCCUUCUUGGGUUGCCUAGUUAGUAUUUCAACAAUUAUAUUAUAUUAUCCUAGAAAGUGAGGGUGUCAUUUAUAAAUGCUAUAAAAAACAUUAGGGGAGCCAAGUUUUAUAGAGAGUGAGUGGCCUUCUCUAAGCUCACUAAGCUUGAAGCUAUUUGUCAUUCCUUGUUCUUGAUUAUAAGAAAAUGUUGGAAGUCUAUGCUUCCGUAAACAUUGUGUGUCUUUUGUUCUCUUCAUGCAUUAGAUCUUCGAAAAUCUUAAGGUGUGUCUAACACACAUAGCCUUCGUUGUGAAUUGUUGAGUGGCUGGCUAAGCAGAAACCUUAGUGACAUCACAGGCUUGCCGCAUAGAAGAAAAUAGCCUUGUGAUAGUUUAGUAUCAGAGCCUCGAUUAACAAUAUGUCGGGAGACACUUUGAAAGAUAGAAUGAGUCGGAUGAAAGCUGUUGUCGGGGAAGUACGAUCUAGGGAGGAAUCCUUGGCUGUCAAAACCAAAGUAACCUCUAUUGAUUUAGCGAAUAUGAAGUUGUCCUUUGAAGGGUUGACUCAAGAUGUUGUUGAAAAGAUCGGUUCAGUGAUAGAAGAUGUUGCCGCUUUGGUCAAUGAGCUAAAGGGCAGCGUUGCCAACCUGAAAAAUGAGUUGUGCCUGCAAAAGCUCGCGUUGAGCACAAUGUUGGGUAUAAAUACUAAUGCUAUUAGUGCUAAUGUGCAAGUGUACAUAACAAGUAAUAUAAUAAUAAGUAUUCAAGAUCGUCUCCACAAGGAUUGAUGUUAUCAGACUUGCUACAACAAUUUUAACAGUGCAGAUUUUGUUCUAAAUUAAAAUAAAAUAAUUAAUGAAACUAAUAUACUAAUUAAAAUAAAAACGCAAUAAAUAAAAUGCAACAAAGUAAAUUAUCAUGUCAAACUCAAGGAUAAAAUCAAUGGGAAUAUAGAGUAGUUGAAUGAAUAAACUUUCUUAAUGGUUUUGACUAUUUUCUAAUAGUUGGCUCGAUUGCUGCAGUAUCUGCUAUAGCACUAGGCAGAAUCCUUAUGCAUUCUCAGCCGUCGCAUGUUGGAUAUCUUAUAUCUAUAUGCAACCUAACAGUGAUCAGUUAUUAUACCAAUAUAAGAUAUAACAUUUCACGCUUAGGUUCUAUUUACCCUACAAGGUGAAUCCCUAUUUUUAGUUCAUCACUAAUUUUAAAUUAAACAUGACCCUUUUGGGACUUAAGUAAAACUCAAUCCAGGAAACCCAAUUUAAGAUCAAGUAUUGCUUUGAUAUGUUCCACUAAGAUAUGUCCUUUUGUGGCUUUUCCUUAGCUAGUAUCAUUAAAUGGGUGAUCAACCGAAAUAAUGAAUAAAAAUAAAUUCUAUCAAAACAAAAUGCUACAGCAAACAUGUAACAACUUAUAUUUUCAGUCAAUAAACCAUCAAGAUUGUUUAUCACUCAACUACAAAUAAAUUUAGUUCAUGAUUUGCAAAAGAAAAAUAAAAAACAAGGUUUCGGCCAUGAAACACAUCCCCAUGAAUAAAUAGAAAACAAGAAAACAAGAGAAUAAUAAGAACGACUGAGCUCCCAAUUGAUCUCUGCAAUUUCUCCUCUUGUGCAGCCCUUAAUCUCUCUCUUGAAUCUUCUUUUUCUUUUGUUUCUUUGUGGUUUUUCUCCUUGGGUGACGGCCCUCUUUAUUUCUUAUGAUGUGUGCUCCUUUUUAUAGUUGAAAAUUAGGGUAAACGGAAGCCUAGAGCUUGCAUAAGUCAGAUUAGGAAACUGCAUAUCGCAAUUCUGUAAGUAUCCCGCGCAGAAUUUUCUUUGUCGUUGUUCCAGGAUUGCUACAGCAACAACUACAACAACUGCACUGUUCUAGAUUUGUUUAAAUUCUUUUGUAACUAUGUUCUUUUUCAUCUUUUGCAAGCCUAUUACACCAUCAUUCCUUCCUUGAAAUUGGGGCUUCCAAUCACCUACAAUUAUGCAUAUAAUUUAAGCACACAAAAUUAUUCUAAAACAACACAAUUUAUUAAAAAUAAACUAAAAUGGUUAUUUAUGCAAAAUAAAACUAAAAUGCAAUAAAAACAUGUCAUUUACUCUCAAAGUAAUCUUGAUUUAAGUCUAAAAGUGUCAUGAUAACUCUCAUUUCAUAGAGUUAUCACACAACUUCCUUGCAUUUGAAGGUAGGGCUUUCGAAAGUAAGGUUCCGAAGUCGAAAUUAUUUGGGGGCACGCGAAGUGCCAAGGAACUGGAGAACUUUCAGUAAGAUAUGAAGCAAUAUUUCAAGGCUGCUCGGAUACCUGAAGCGGAGCAGGUUUCCAUUACAAGCAUGUAUCUUGAGGGGGAUGCAAAGCUUUGGUGGCGCGGUACACUCUAAGAGGAUGUCGAAGCCAACUGACCAACUAUUGAGACAUGGGACUCACUGAAGCAAGAGUUGAAGGGUCAAUUAUUACCGGGUAAUGCGAGUGGGAUAACGGGUUUAAAGUAUUAACAUAUAUAUAAUUAUUAUAAUGAUUUUGAUGAUAACAAACUUUAAGUGUUCUUGAUCAAAAGGUUGGAGUUUCUCUUUAAUAAACAUUUCAUUAAAUAGCCAUAUAACAUUCUUAAAUGUGUUCAUGAAAUAUGAAUUAUCAUGAACUUUAAACCGGAAAAGCAUCUCCUGCAAAAUGUUGAUUAAAACUUUGAUUCUGGAAACAAACAGUGAACCAUUAACUUUGAAAUGGUUAACUGAUACUUUCCAGAGAUGGUUAAUUCCUUAAACUUGAACCGGUUAACCAAAACGGACAAUGCAAGUAAGCUGGGGAGGCUACUGGAAUUAAACGGUAAACCGUUUAUAUCAAACGACUAACCGAUAAUUUCCAGAAUGUCAUUCCAUACUAAUCUUCAAUCGUUUAGCAAGAACGGUUAGCACAAAUUUGUUUUUGUAGGUCUCUAGAAAUUAACAGCAAACCGAUAAUGGCAAACGGUCAACUGUUUAUUUGAAUUUAAGGUCAAUGGUCACUUGGACCAAUCAAAACGUUAUCGGUUAAUGGUGAUCCGUUUUCGCCCAGAAAGUUAACAACAGUUAUAUUUCAGCUCCAACUAUAAAUAAACUCAAUCAAAUUCAAACAAGGACUAAUCACAACAUUUUCAUUGAGCAAAUUAUUGACCAUUAAACUUAUUUGUGCUUUAAAUUCUUGUAUACAUUUUAUUUACUCACACUUUAAAAUUUCAUUUGUAAUCAAAUAUAUUGUGUGAGAGAGAUUUAUUGUGUAAUCUUUUGAAAAUCAAAUUGAGAGGUUGUAAAGUGUUAGGAUACACUUGGGUUAAGAGAUUGGGAAUAAUCUCUUGUUGUAAUGGUUAUUGACAAUUUGGAAGUCAAUUGUAAGAGUGAUUGAAGCCUUGGAGGCUUGCUUAGUGGAAUCUUUAAGCCCAGUGAGCUUGGAGGCGUGGACAUAGGCACGGUUAGCCGAACCUUGUAAAAAGCAAGUGUUUGAUUUCUCUUCCCUUACUCUUUUAUUAUUUUGCAUGAUUAAAUUUAUUGUUUUUGUUCUUAUUAAGGCAAGAGGUUUAAAUUGUUGUGUGGUUUGUUUUGCAUAAGUUUUUAUAACUCAAUUCACCCCCCUCUUGGGUUACUUAGAUAGUAUUUCAUAAGGAAGCUCAAACAUACUGGUUCAAUCAGUGAUUAUGUCAAAGAAUUUAGUUCUUUGAUGCUUGAUAUCAAGAACAUGUCCGAUGAAGAUAAGCUUUUCAAAUUCAUGAGUGGUUUGCAACUGUCGGCGCAAACCAAACUAAGAAGGUAGGUUGUACGCGACUUGCCUAUGGCGAUUGUUGCUGCGAAAGGUUUGGUUGAUUUUAGGUUUGCGAGUUCUUCUCCCUCCGAACCUAAAAAGAAUAAAGAUUUGAGGAAAUCUGACCCUUUUAAGCAUGAUGGUAGAAAGAAAGGGGGCUUUGCGGGGAAAACCAAACCGAAAGAUGGCCAUGAGAAGAAAAGCUCGGGAUGUUUCAUAUGUGACAGACCACACCGGGUGAGGGAUUGCCCAAAGCGGACACAGCUGAAUGCUAUGGUCAAGGAGACGGAGGUAGAACCUUCAAUGACUGAGGCAAGUACUUCUCGAAUGAAUACAUUACAGUUGAUGAACACUUUGAGGAAUGAGGUUGUGUGCAAUGACUUCAAUCAAGGGUUGAUGAUCAUGACUGUUUUGGUAGAUGGGAGGGAAGUGCGUGCUAUGCUGGAUACAGAAGCCACAACUAACUUUCUUGCAUCCCACGAAGUGGCACAUUUGGGUUUGAAAAUAACAGCUGUGGGCAGCAAAGUAAUGGCUGUAAAUUCUGUGAGUGUGGGGGUUCAAGGGGCUAUGCAAAGUUCACUACGGGUAGGAAUUUGGCAGAAAACAGUAAAGUUUACUGUCAUGCCUCUUGAUGACUUCGAUUUAAUCCUUGGUAUGAAAUUCUUUAUGGCGUAAUGAUACAAUUGAUGCCCUAUUAGAAGAGCAUCUUGAUCAUGGGAAUGGAAGACGUGCUAGUAAUUUAUAUAUUAUUUUUGUAUUUUCUUAAUUUAAUUUUAUGUUAAAUUAUAUUUUAUUAUGUUAAUUUUAUUUUAAUUUUUAUAUUUUGUUAUUUAGAUAUAAUUUGGGAUUAAAGAGGAAUUAAAUUAGAAUAUUCAGGAAGAAAUCUACUUGAAGGAAUUAAAAAGGAAAAGGAAUAAAGAGAUUUAAUAAAAAAUAAAUUAAAGAAGAUUAGCGGACACACCAUCCAUUGUACCAUUCCAAUUCUUGGUUCAUGGCAGAUCAUAACCAUCACUCCAAUUUGCGGGACAAUUUACAAAAGGCUUGAAACGGAAGGAGAACUCUUACUUGGCAGCGUUGUUGGAGAUAAAACCUUAUCAGAUUGUGGAGAUGCUUGAUAAAUACGCCCAAGUAUUGGAAUAGUUUGCGGAUGUCAUGCCGCCGGAGCUCCCUCGAGCCUGGUACUAGACCCCCUGCACAUGCUUUUUAUCGGAUAUUGCCUUCGAUAUUAGUAGAACUUCGGAAACAAUUGGAUGAGUUAUUGGAUGCGGGAUUCAUUUGACCAUUCAAAGCACCGUAUGGUGCACCAGUAUUAUUUCAGAGGAAGAACGAUAGCUCAAUGCGAAUGUGUGUGGACUACCGUGCCUUAAACAAUGACGAUAAAAAACAAGUACCAGUCCCCAACAUUGCAGAUUUGUUUGAUCGAUAGGGUAGAGCCUCUUACUUCACGAAGCUGGACUUGAGGUCAGGGUAAUGGCAAGAACGGAUUGCGGAAGGUGGUGAAGCAAAAGCAGCUUGCGUAACUCGGUAUGGAUCAUACGAGUUCUUAUUAAUGCCUUUCAAACUCACCAAUGUGCAUGCAACAUUCUGCGAUUUGAUGAACGAUGUUCUUUACGAGUACUUGGACUUCUUUGUGGUGGUGUAUCUCGAUGAUAUACUGGUGUACAACGAGUCUUUGGAAGAUCAGUUGGAUCACUUUAACCAAUGUUCUCACGAUUAUGGGAAUACAAGCUCUUUGUCAAGAAAGAAAAAUGUGAAUUUUGUCACCGGGAGAUAGUAUUCUUAGGGCUAUCAUUGAUUGGCCUGCACCUACAAAAGUGGUGGAACUUCGAUAAUUUCUUCGGUUAGCUAACUACUACCGCAAGUUCAUUAAAGGGUACUCAAACAGGUAAGUGCACUCACGGAGUUGUUAAGGAAAGAUCGAAAGUGGGAAUGGGCAGAAGCGUGCGAGCAAGCAUUCAAGAAACUCAAACAAGCAGUAGCUUUGGAACCGGUGCUUAAGCUACCUGACUUUAGCUUGCCAUUUGAGGUACAUACAGAUGCAUCAGAUAGGGCCAUUAAUGGCGUGCUUGUUCAAGAUGGCCAUCUGGUAGCGUUUGAAAGUCGAAAGCUAGAGGACACAGAACAACGGUACUCGGCAAAUGAGAAGGAAAUGACGGCAAUGGUACAUUGCCUAAAUAUAUGGAGACAUUACUUGUUAGGUAUGAUUUUUAUGUUGUUAAGGACAAUGUAGCCAAUGCUUAUUUCAAGACACAGAAGAAACUAUCACCAAAACAAGCAAGAUGGCAAUAGUUCCUUGCUGAAUAUGAUUUUGUAUAGGUACAUAGACUUUGGAAGGCAAAAUCAGGUUGCGGAUGCCCUCAGCGGCAAAACAAUUGAAACAUAUGUGGCGGCUUUAACUCAGUAGUAACGGAUUUUCUUGACAAGAUUCGGCAGCAAGCGGAAAUAGAUACUAGCUACUGCCAACUCCGCAAGAAGAUCAAGCAAGGCUUGAUGCGAAGAUAUUGGGUUGAUGAUGAUCUAAUUUAUGCACAAGGUGGAAAAUUAUAUAUUCUUUCAGGAGGGGACUUACAAAGGAUCUUAUUGCGUGAUACACAUGAUUCUCGAUGGGCUGGACAUCCAGGGGUGAAAGGAUAAUGGCGUUGCUGGAACACUCAUAUUUCUGGCCUAAAAUAGAAGACAACGUGCAUCUAUAUGUCAAAACUUACCUAGUGUAUUAACUAGAUAAGUCGGAAAAGAGGAAGCCAGAGGGACUUCUUCAACCAUUGCCAAAUCCGGAGAGACCUUUGCAGUCUCUCUAUGGAGUUUAUCUCGAGAAUGGCUAAAUCGAAUAGAUAGAAGUCGAUUUUUGUUGUGGUUGAUCGAUUUUCAAAAUAUGCGAUAUUCAUACCUGCACCUCAUGCUUGCCCAGUGGCCAAGGCAGUGGAGUUAUUUUUCAAGCACAUGGUUAAGUACUUUGGUGUUUCGGAGGACAUCAUUAGUGACUAGGAUGCUUGGUUCACGGGAAGAUUUUGGAAAGUGCUCUUCAAUUUAAUGGGGAAAGAAUUGAAGUUUUCUAAUGCCAAUCAUCCUCAAACGGAUGGACAAACAGAGAGGGUGAAUCCACUAUUAGAGGAAUACUUACUGCACUAUGUGACAGCAAGCUAAAACUAAUUGGGUAGACUUGCUAGAUGUGGCUUAAUUUUGCUGUGACAUCCAUUGCUCUUCAACAACAGGGAUGAGUCCAGUGGAGCUAAUUAUGGGACAACAACCAUUGACUCCUCAUGAAGUGGUGAAACAGCACACAUGCGGAAAAUGCUCCGCAGCUUAUCGAUUUGCACGAGACAAGCAAGAAAUGAUUAAACGGGCCAUUGAUAGCUUGGCCAAGGCGUCGCAACAAAUGAAGAAUAUGCGGAUGCUGGAAGAAGACCGCCAGAGUUCAAUGUAGGUGACAAGGUGUUACUCAAAUUAACGCCCCAAAAUUAGAAGAAAAUCAGUAGCAAAACUAUACAUCGGGGGCUGGUACCAAAAUAUGAUGGACUAUUUGAGGUGAUCAAAAGGGUGGGUCAGGCGGUGUAUCGAUUACGACUACCCAAGCAGUUGAAGAUCCAUCCUACAUUUCAUGAGGGUUUCUUUAACCUUUCAGCAAAGACUUGGCUGACAAGGGGCGCCAACAAGCUAAGCGUGCUCCACCGGUAAUUCGGAAACAAUAUGACAAGGAAGUUGAAAAAAUCCUUGAUCAUAAGCCAAUGGGGCAAAGUAAGAAGAAUCGGAGAAUGGAGUAUCUAGUUCAAUAGAAAGGAGGCAGCGAAGCGAAUGCUAGCUGGCAAAAAGAAGUAUCAUUAUGGCAAUUCUAGAAAAAGGUUAAGGCGUACUUAGACUCCUUGCCAACGAGGGCGUCGGGUUCUGCUGGUAGGGGGGUUUGUUACAGCCUUAAAACUCGAGGCACACCAGUGUUUGGCUUGCGGCCUUUUACCAAGCAUGGCUACAAGUGAAUGUGUGAGGGAAGACACGAAAGCAAGGUAAGUCUGUGCGCAAGCUGGGGCGUGACAGCAACUAAACAGGCUGAUGGAGAACACUCAAGAUAUGUGCAAGGCAGUGCACAAGUGCUCCGACGGAUAGCGCGCACUGAGGGUGAGCGCGCCAAGCAGCAUGUAGCGCACGCUAACGGACAGAGAGCAGGCGCGCGAGGGAGCGCACAACGCACUAGCAAGAGCCACACACAAGCAACAGGCUAAAGGGUUGCUGGAGCAAUCCUUAGUGGCGGCGGCCAGCCACUACAUGAGCAUUGCCUAUAAUAAGGAAUUUGUCAGGGUGGGGUUAGUCCACCACUGUUCAAAAUAUCCUAAUUAAUAGUGUUUGGGCAAAGCAAUAGGGUAUUGAGCUUAUUUGUUUAGUGCGUUGGUGGCAAACAAAGUAUGGCGUAGGAAUACAUUAUACUAUCCUUGUAAGUGGGGGUGUCACAUACAAAUGCUAUAAAUAGCAUUAGGAUGGUGAGCUUAGGGAAGCCAAGUUUUGUAGAGAAUGAGUGGCCUUCUCCAAGCUCACUAAGCUUGAAGCUAUUUGUCAUUCUUUGUUCUUGAUAAUAAUAAAAUGUUGGAACUUGGUGCUUCUGUAAACAUUGUGUGUCUUGUGUCCUCUUCGUGUAUUGGAUCGUCGAAAAUCUUGGGGUGUGUCUAUCACACAUAGUCACCACUGUAAAUUGUCAAGUGGUUGGCUAAGCGGAAAACUUAGCGCCAUCAUAGGCUUGCCGCAUAGAAGAAAAUAGCCUUGUGACAUAAAGCUUAGUUAACACAAGUACUAUCUGCUUAUCGUACGUUUGGUGUGGGAUACUCUACCAUACCCCUAAUUACAAAAAUUUACAUGAAAAUUCGUGGGGCCUUCCUGUAUAUCAACUUUCUUGAAUGAUUUGUAAUCAUUCUUUCUCAUAUUUAAGUGCAGAUUUAGUUUUAUUUUAUAUUAGUUUUUUAAAAUUAUAUAUAACUCACAAAACCUUCAUAAGUUUCCCUUUAUACUUCGACUUUUUUCUUUUGUUGCGUCACCAAUAUCCAUGCUUUCAUAUUUGCAAAGUACAUUGCUGAAAAUUAUUGUUCAAGACAUCAAAGAUUUGCAACUCAGUGAAAAAAUAAUCAGCCUUAAAAUAACUGUAAUUUAUUCGAGUGUAGAACAAAAAACUGAAGCUCCUGAAGAUUUCCCAGCCAACGCGUAAAUUAAUAUAUCCUCUAUCUUGUUGUUGCCGAGAUCAACAACUUGAAGAUUGCACAAUUGAGCAAAGAUCUUGGGACUGACCCUACAAGUUCAUUGCCAUUGAAGUUAAGGGUCCUCAAAUUAUUGCAAUUUGAUUAUUUCAGGAAUUGGCCAUGGAAUCUAUUCUUCCUUAAAUCCAACGCACACAGAGUAUUGCUAAAGUUUCUAAUUAAUGCAUUCUGGAAUGGUGCCACUCAAGCUGUUGCUGGGCAGAUCACGAACUUAAAUAGUACUUGAGUUACAGAUCACACAAGGUAUCUUUCUAGUGAACCUAUUUCUUGAUAUCAGAAAGACUUUCAUAUUAGAUGAUGGAGCUGGAAACGAUCCUUGAAGCAAGUUGGAAUGAAAGUCAAGAUAUUCAAGAUUCUUCCACAGAAGUUUCUUCGUGCCUGUAAAGAAAUAUUCUGAUUCAUCAAAUAUCUAAGAGGCUUUCUUUAUUAAACUGCCUUGGGGAUUGAGGUAUGUAAUUUUCAAUAUAUUUGUGCCAGCAUUCAGCAGUUGUAUGCCCUGAUUUGAAGCAAAUUUGAGAGAUAGGCACGAAUUUAUCACCAUUUGAAGCUUGUGGUUCAAUAACAGACAUAUUGCCACUGCUAAUAAGAUUUUCGCCAAAUGAAGUCUUUCCAAACUGAGCAGACUUAUUACUUCCCAUCAUAUGACCUCUUCCAGAAUUACCAAAAAUACCAGUACUAGGGGGAAAACCUCUUAGAUAAGUACUAAAAAACAUGAUUUGCCAUUUUUUUUUUACAACAAGGCUUAGCCAAGCUAAGAAAUAACAGAUCGGGAAAUUCUCAUCCCGUACAUAUCAUAAGAAAGUUAAGGACCAAUUCCUGUUGGAGGUUCCUAAAAAACAUGAAAUUCAAAAGGCAAAGAUCCUGCAUUCCUAACUAAAAAAUCAGUUGCAAAGUUGGCUUCGUGAUAGAUAUGUUGAAAGGAUACAUGCCAAUCCUUCGUGAGAAGAUUCUUGAUCGAAUUUAUCAAAUAGGUGUGCACAUUCGAGCUCUGACCUCUAGGCUCCAUCAUAUGCAGUAUGCAAAGGCUAUCAACCUUUGCCUCUAAAAAUCGAAUACCGUAAUUCCACGCAAGGUUAAAAUCUUUGUAUAGCCCCUAAAUUUCUGCCAUACUAAUGGGACAAGAUCCAAUAUUCAUCACGAAGCCCCGAAUCCAAUUUCCAUUUGCAUCACGAAUUAAGCCACAUGCACUAGCUUUUCCAUUAAUUUCUCUUGAUCAGUCAGUAUUUAAUCAGAAAUAAGGUCAUCUAAGGGCUAUUCAGCCAAUACCAACUGACACCUUGCAAUGUCUCUGUUGCAUAUUAGCCUUAAAAGUCUAUUGUAUCUCAUGCACCCAUGCUCUGAUAUCUGACACCACACGAAGGCUGCAUGGGGAAUUGUUGGCAAAAAGAAACUAAUUCCGACAGUGCCAAAUUUUCUAUACAGUGAUCUAAAAAGCCAAGGACCAGCUAUCUCCCAUCUCCACACUCUCCCACAUAGAAAUGUUGUUAAAGAGCCAUUCUUUAAAGUAGCAAAGAAGAAAGCAUAUGUACUAGUAAUAGGAAGCCAGGAAAUCUAUACCUGUUUGGCCAAAAUGCAGUCACGGAGUGUGUGCAAAAUAGUCUCUGUGUCAGCUCUACAGAUAUCACAAAUGGAAUUACUAUAAAUGUGCCUUCUAAAACGUUCCUCCUUUGUCUUGAUUUUUUCAUGCAUUAAAAGCCAAAGAAAUACCCUUACUCGGUGUGGGCCUUUCCAACUCCAGAUGAGCUACCAAUCCUUUUUAUCCCCACAAAAGACUUGGUUACUGAUAGAUUCAGAGGCUGAUUUUGUAGUAAAAUUGCCAUUACAUGAAAAACUCCAAAAUGAUUGGUCUUCACCCUCCAAGCUAGAUGGGAGUUUAACCACCGCAAGUUGGAGGAUAUGUUUAUUAGAUAAAAGGUAGCCAAAAACAUCCUAUCAUAAUGACCCGUCUAGGUUAACCAUACCAGCCACACACAUGUUUGCCAUCCCUAAAGGAAUCUGUUGUACGUGAGAUCCAAUAUUACAAACCUCAAACACUCAAUUAUCAUUCCAGAAACUAACACUUUUCUUGUUCCUUAUAGCUCAUUUAAUGCCCUUCACAACAUGAGGCCAAACGUUACAAACUAACUGCUCUCCACAAAUGGGAACCGUGUCCAAAGUAUAGAUUAGUUGAAACGUUACAAACUCUGAUCUAUAACCUUUGGGGUGAAGCAACUAUAUUCCAACUAAUUUUCAUUAAUAGGGUAGUGUUCAUGUGCAAGAGAUUUUUCAAGCUAAGGCCCCCCAGAUUUUUCAACUGGCAAACUGUUUACCAAUUAAUCAGGCUCGUCUUACGCUCAUUGGCAACACCACUCCAAAUAAAUCUUCGACAAAUUUUGUUAACCCUUGCACCGAACACCCUCGAGGAGUCAAGUAGUUUGCAUAGCAUAGGUGUGUUAAGGAAGCUCAUACUUGUAAUGUGGUCAGCAGAGCAGAGGAUCACAGUAGCAGCAACAACAGAGCAGAGCAGAGGAUCGCGACAGCAGCAACUUUUAGUUACAAAUUGAUGACAUGGCUUUCCGGUUGGCACCUAGUAGUUAUGUAAUCGGUUGUGCGUGUAUUAACUAGAAGUAGUUAAUUAGUUAUAGUUAGUUACAACAAUUUGAGCUGAGCUUCAGCUUUGUAUAUAAAGAAACCUCUUGUACAUAUCAGUGUGUGGUUAAUAAAAAUGAUGUUAUAGAGAAUUCUCAGAUCCAACUCUUAUUUUCUUUCAAUUGUCUCACUAGUUUCUCAGCUGCCAAACAAUAUUUUCAUUUUUUAACUUGGUAUCAGAGCUAAUUGCAAUGGCCUCAGUACAUUUAGCUUCUUCUUCUCAAGCGGCAGUCAAUCAAACAGCUGUUAACUCAACAAAUAUGACAUUUACUUUCAAUGCUCCGAUUAAGCUAGAUCAAUCCAAUUAUUUGAUCUAACGAUCUUCAGUUCUUGCCUCGAUACGUGACAAUAGACUUGAGAAUUCAUUGAUGAUUCCAUCACUUCACCUCCUUCACACAUUGCUCAAAGGAUUAGUGAUGAUCUAAGAUCAGUGGAGAAUCCAGACUUUGUGACUUAGAGAUGAUAAGAUCAAGUGCUUCUUGGCUGGCUGUUCUCUUCAAUGAGUGAAGGUAUUAUUAGUCUGGUGUUCGAUCUAGAGACUUCUCGUGAGAUAUGGAAAGCUAUUGAAGUUUAGUUUGGAACACAAUCUAAAUCCAGGCUUUUGCAUUUAAGAUAUAUGAUGAACUCGACUAGGAAAGAUAAUCUGAAAAUUACUAAUUACUUUAUUAGGAUGAAAAACAUAGUUGAUAAUAUGGCUGCAGCAGGGAAUGCUUUAAGUUAUAAUGAUUUAAUCCUGCAUAUACUCGAUGGCUUAAGUCUAGAAUAUAGUUUUGUUGCUACCUACAUCACUAGACAAGUAGGUGUGGGAAAGAUGAAUGUGAAUGAAUCUUAUGCUAUGCUCUUAACAUAAGAAGCUAGGAUUGAACAGCAAACUCAUAUGUUAGAUUGGGUGUUCAGAACCAAGUACAACACAGAUAGCUCAGUCUUUAAAUAUAAAGCUAGAUUGAUAACACAAGAGUGUUUGAAAUAUUUGGUAUUCAAGUUAUACUAAGUGCAGUUCAAGUUCUUACAUUAAUCAAGUGACAGAAUUUCUGUGCAGAAGGAGCAUCUUUGGGAAUUAAAUUGUACUGCACGAGAUCGAAAUAAUUUUCGAGCCAUACAUCAUUGGAAAGAUAUUUCUGUCAGCUUUCCAAUGAAUUUUACUAAUUUAAAUUUGGAGCUUUCUACAGUAAGUUAUGAUCAGUUAAGUGCAGGCUGUUCAGUUUCGAGUUAAGAAGAAUAUUUCUGGACUUGGACUUUUUUUUAAUGCUCUUUGCUGUGUUUUAAGCAUACCAAUGAUUUAUCUAGCUUUAAUGUUGGUCUUUGAAGUCAAGUCAUUUGAAGGGUUUCUUUGUAGUAUAUCUAUGCUUGGAGGAUUUUUCCAAGAAAGUUAUUGAAGCUUAUGUAGUUGUAACCAAAAGAUAGAGAUUAAUUUUGGAAAUUGAAUGAACUUUGAGCUAUUAUCAAACUUUGUAUCUCUUUGGUGGAUUCCAUUGAGUAGUGAGUGUUUUAAGCUCUGUAUCCUUUUGUUGUUUGCUGUGGUGGUGAGCUUGUGAUUUUUUGGGUGUGUGACGUUGUGCUUUCUCAUCUAUUGUGUCCGGUGUCAAUUGGUGGCCAAGGAAUUUCAUCAAACUGCAGGUAUUGAUUAUUCAGAAACCUUUAGUCCUGUAGUAAAGCCCUCGACAGUGAGAGUAACUCUAAGUCUGGUUGUCAUGAAAGGUUAGAAGGUUAGACAAAUUGAUGUCAAUAAUGCUUUUUUAAAUAGGGAUUUAUUAGAGGAUGUGUAUAUGACUCAGCCUGAGGGUUUUGUAUCCAAAGAAGGCUACAUAUGCAAGCUUAAUAAUGCAUUAUAUGGAUUGAAACAAGCUCCAAGAGCAUGGUAUGAUAAAGUGAAAUGUUAUCUUACCACUUGGCAAUUCUUUAAUUCUAAAGCUGACACUUCUUUAUUCUUCAAAUAUGAUAUUAAAGGCAUGAUCAUUGUGUUAAUUUAUGUUGAUGACAAUUUGGUUAUUGGUACUUACUCAACAUUACUUAAAGAUUUUAUUACUAAACUCAGUAAGGUCUUUGCUUUCAAGGAUCUGGGAUUAGUGGCCUAUUUUAUGGGUUUGCAAGUUUGUUACAUAACUCAUGGUAUGCAUUUCUCACAGACGAAGUACAUUAAGAAUCUGUUGAGUAAAGCCUCAAUGCAGGAUUGCAAGGGUUCUGAUACAUCUCUCAGUACUGGUUUCAAACUGGAGAAAAAUGGUGAAGGACCUUUGGGGCAAGAAUUUGAAGAAGCAGCACUCUAUGGAAGCAUUGUUGGGGGUCUUUAGUACUUGAUUCUCACCAGACCUAACAUUACUUUCUCUGUACAUAAACUUAAUCAGUAUCUUAAUAAUCCUACACUUUAUCACUGGUUGCAAUACAAAAAAGUUCUCAGGUAUCUUCAAGUUACAACCACCCAUGGUCUAUAUCUUCAAAAUGAGGGAACACUUGAAUCUGUUGGUUUAAUAGGCUACUCUUAUGCUGAUUGGGCGUGUGAUGUUGAUGAUCGAAAAUCAAUUAGAGCUUAUUAUAUCUACCUCGAUAAUAAUUUGAUUUCUUUGAUGGUUAUCGAAGCCAGCAAAAAUAAAUAUCUACUUUAAAUAAAUUAUGUAUAGUGAUUGAGCAGGGCCGUGUCCACAGAGAUCGGUAAUUAUUUAAAUCCUUUUAAAAUGUAAAAUGCAAAAUGGGGGAAUUGUUGACAAUAAUAAAAAUCAAAUUAAAGUAACAAUAAUGCAAAUUAAAAUUGUAAUUCAAAUUGGGGAAAGCUCUGGUUGAAGGAAUUAACUCAGCUUGAUUAGACUACUGAUCAUUGAUUCAAAUAUAAAUCAUUACUACUUAUGAAUAGACCGGUUAUAGCUACUGAGACCAUCUAAUAGCCAAUCUCUCCUUAACUAGUUGAUAACCAAGGUACGACCGUUGAUUAUUUCCUUAGUCAAUAGAGAACCCUAGAUACGAUCAUAGGAUUUAAUCAAUUGACAGCCUGAAAAAUCAAAGAGACCCAAAUCCUAAUCAACAAACGCAUACGAUCGUUCAUUUAAAUUAAAUUGUUUAUUCUCAUAACACAACGCACUGCUAUGCUAUUUGUCACAAACAUUAAAAUCUUCAUACGAUGAAUCUUUUAAUUGACAAUAGAUUAAGUUGAUAAUUAAAUAGUGGCCAAUUAUCUAAUUAACAAACAUAAUCAUGACAAUAAUUCAGAGAAUAAACAGAUACCCAAAAAGUAAUAAAACAAUUAAAACAUAAGAAAGAUCUCACAGUAGUGAUGAAUCAAAGCUUCAUUAACCUUCAACCAGAAUAAUAGGUUUAGUUCUUCAUAGAGAGAAGAGAAAAAUUUAGAUUUAGGGUUUCUUUCUUUUAAAAAAUCUCCCUUUUGUUUCACAAUAGAUUCUUCCCUUAAAUACUCUCUCUCUCUUCUCCUCUAGAGUUCUUUUUAAAAUAAAAUACUAAUAUCUAAAAUAUUAAAUUCGUAAUUACAAAAAUAACCAAAAAGACAAAACACGUUAAACUUAAAACUGCAGGUCCGUAGUUGCCAGCACGCACUCACGCCUUAUCAACAAAGUUCUUCUAACGCUCAUAAUUUCUCCAGGAAAACAAUCAUCCUCAAACAUCAUCUUAUAGCUCAAUUUUAGCACCAAUCAAUAGAAUUGCACCUACAAAAAUAAAACACAAGUAAAUCACUAUUAUUAAGUGCAAAACAUCGAUAUUAAGGGAAGUAAAUAAUGCAAAACUAGUGCAUAAAUUGCACUCUAACAAAUUUCCCCACACCAAGAUAAUGCUUGUCCUCAAGCAUAUAACUCAAGACUAAUCCCAAAUCUCCACUCAAUUCUCAUCUCAACUCAUCCAAAAACAAUUUUAAGCAAGCAUGCCUCAAGAAUUUAAGUCGAUCAACAUUCGAGAGAUAAGGAUUUUAAAGCAUGGAAUCUCUAAGCUAGAAUAAAAAUAUUCAACCACCAAGAAGAUCCAUUCAAAAUUCAAGUGCAACAAGAUUUAAUAGCCCUCUCAUUGACUUCACUCCAUGCACUCAAAGUGUUUAGGGUGUCAUUUAUGCACUCAAAUCAAAUCAAAGAAUGUUAUUACUAUAAGCUUGCUUAUAUAUCACAUCUCAAUCGACAAAACAUGAAUUAAAUGCAAAAAUCUAAGGGUCUUAAAAAGGUUGUAACGGUGUUAAAUGAGUUAAAUGAAAAAGAAAGGUCUAUGAAAGAAAAAGAGAUCAAAAUGAGAAAAAUGAACUCAUUGAAUGAACCUUAUGAUAUCAAAACGUUUAUUUCUACUCAAGUCGCCAAGAAUGUAAAUAAUUUUUUUUAUUAUUUUUUUUUUCACUUUUUUUUCUCGAUUUUUUUUUGUUUUGUUUUUUUUUUUGAAUCAAACAAAAGAAAUGAACCUUGCACAAUUUAAUUCAAGCAUAAUGCUUGUUGAUCUAAUUGAGAACCUUUAAUUCAAGGUAGCAAGAGCAACAAAAUAUAUCCAAACAAUGAGUCCAAAAAUCUCCUUAAAUUGAGGCUCAAAAAGAAGAAAAAUGGGUAAAUAGAUGGAGAGAAUUAGAUGGGUAAUGGUUAAGGAUCAAACAAAGAUAACAAAUAAAGGUCUUCGGGUGGAGAAAAAAGAAGAAAAAUACGAAAAUAGAAAAAUGGAAAGUGGUUUGCCCUUAUCAUUUUAAUGCAUAAAAUCCAGUAAUGCGGCUUCAACAUGCAUAACAAAGCAAGUUCUAGAAUAAACAAACUAAGAUUGAUAUUCACAUAACAAAAAUAAUUAUAGCAAAGUGGUUGCUCAUAGGCUUAAAUCCGCACAAAGUUGGUAAAUUUGCCAUCAAAUCAUGUAUACUCUUCAAAUGAAUCAAUCAUCAAUAGUGGUGUAAAAUGAGAAGAAGGUAUGAGUGAUAUAUAAAAGGAAAGGUAAAAAGGAUAAUAAGCUAGAAAGAUGUAUGUAGUAAUAAAAAAAAUGAAAGAUAAAAUGUGAGUGAUGAAAGAAUAUGAUAAAAUAAAAAUAGAUGUGAAUAAUUUGAGAUAGAUGGGAAAAGAAUAGUGAGAAAGAAAUGAAAAGAAAAAUAAUAAUAUAUGAAGCAUACUAACUCCAAAAUCAUUUAAGGAUGAGUAGAGUGAAAAUAAUACUUCCAAACAUCAAUAUUGCAAAAAUCUCUCUCCCACACCAAGAACUUACAUUGUCCCCAAUGUAAGAUAAUCAAAGCUCACAUAAACAUUAAAGCGUAAAGAUAAAAGAUUAAAGGUAAAAACUUCCAUGAAUUGUGAGUUUUGAUCCACAUAUCGUCUAUGGGUUUAGCGGCAAUGGUGGGAUAAAUCCCACACUCUCGAAGUAUGCGGCCAAAUUCUUCUCCAUCUUGUUCAGUUUGCGCUCUAUUUUCUCUAACUGAAUGCUCAAAGGUGGUGCAGAUGUAGAAGGAAUAAUUGGUGGGGCAGGAGUUUCAUCGUCAAACUCGUCAUCAGAGGUAGCAACACUCCUAGCAUAAAGCUUCUUUGGAGGUUGAGUGGGUCCUGGUUCAGUAAACUAAAAUCUCCCCUUCUUGAAUUCGACCACACCUGUUCUUUCAAACACAUACAUAUCCAAAAAUUCCUUUUUGCAAGCAGGAUGCAAAUCAUUAUUGUCAGGAUCAAGCACACAUAAGUUUAAAGCUAACAGAGUAAUGUACGGACCAAGAAAUAAAGUCUUAUACCGUUUAAGCACACUUUGAAAUUGAUCUGCUAACCAAAAACCUAAAUUAGGUCUCACAUCAUUUAACAUGCAUCAGAUAAAGUAAAACUCAGUUUUAGAGAAAACUCCCGAAUGAUCGUUCUUUCCUAAAAAAUUAUAUGCUAAGAACCGAUGCACACAUUUCAAAACAGGAUCACGAGAGAAAGAACUAUUUGAUUUACUCGGGUCAUAGGCAUUGUGAUCAAUAGAUAAAUUACGCCAAAGACCAUAAGGCUCAAAAUUUUCGCUAAAGUGACAAGUUGUUCCUAAAUAUGCAUCACUAGAAGAAUAAUCAUCAUCAAUUAAUGAAUCUUAAAGCUAGGUUAAAAUCUGUGAUAGAUUGUGAAAAAUUUCGUCCCAUUAACCUAAACUUUAUAACAUCCGGAGUAUGCAAAGUAAAAUCAUUCGGUAUAUUAAAUUGAAAAGUAGCAUAGAACUCUCUAAUCAACUCAACAUAACCCAAACAUUCAACAUCAACAAACUUACGCAAACCAAUCAUAUUUAUCAAAGAAUCAAAAUUAUCCUUAACAUUCAAUUUUUCAAGAGUCGGGUAAUGAAUAUACUUAGCUGGAAGUAUUUUUCACUUGGAAAUAUCUUUGUACCUUUCUUUCUCUUAUUGAGUCGUGAAUGUGAGGCACCCUCCGAGAUUGGAUUCCGCAAGUGGCAAAACACUCAUGCCCUUUCCAUGUUUCAAUCUUUGUCUCACGACUUGGCGUGAAUCUGAAAUUGUGUUCCAUGGAACUGUAGUGGGAGCAGCAAUCUUAGAUUGCUUUGCGACGUGUGUCUUUUUAGAUGACUUGGAAGUUAAUGCUUUCCUAUUCGGCAUUGUUACAAUAAUUUCACUCACGGAUUUCGAUUCAUGCAGCGGGAAUGCAUAGCGUGGGCUGGUUUUAGACGAUUGCUACUCGGCUGGAGCUUGCUGGUACACGGCUGCUGGUUCAGGUUGCGCGCGGAUGGUGCUCGAUGGACUGGUUGCGCGCGCGGGACUGCUUGUGUGAUUGCACGCUGGAGACGAGGGCUCAGGUUGUGGGAGUGUUGCUCGAUGCUGGUUGCUUACAACUGCUGGUGAGCGCGGCCGUUGGAAGCAAACUGUGUGCGCGCACGGCUGGUGUGCGAUGGUCGCAAGAUGCUUGCACUGACGGGAGAUGUUUGCGCAGCUGAAAAAGGCUGGUGCUGCGGCUGGAGCUUGCUGGAGAAUGAAAUAAAUUUUUUUUUGUGAAUUAGGGAUUUUGUGAACAUUGAAAUUUUUUUUUUGUUUUUUAUUUUUUUCAAAUAAAAAAAAAACCUCUUCUUUUAUUUAUUUUUUAAAUAAUAAUAAUAAAUAAAAUAAUAAUAAUUUUUUUUUCUGUUGAACAACGUUUAGAUAAACUUACUUUUCUUGUGGAAAAGUUUAUUGUAGGUAAUGUGCAACAUAUGAAGACUUGUGGCAUUUGUUACAAUAUGGGUCAUUCAACUGAUACGUGUCCUACACUUCAAGAAGAACCCGUUGAACAAGCCAAUGCAGUUGGAGGAUUUCCAGGCAUGCCUCAGAGGAGAUAUGAUCCUUAUACACUAACAUAUAAUCCGGGAUGGAAGGAUCAUCUCAACUUCAGCUGUGGAGUUAGGCCGUCAGGAUUCCCACAACAAUAUUCACCAAGACAACCAGCACCUCCACAGUCAAACUCCAAGUUAGGUAUAUCUCUUGAAGAAAUUAUUAAAUCACUUGCGACUAACACUCAACAAUUUCAGCAGGCAACUACAAUAAGCAUUUAGAAUUUGGAGAGCCAAAUGAGUCAAUUGUCGACUACAGUGAGUCGUCUGGAGUCUCAAGUAUUAGGGAGAUUACCUUCACAAUCUGAGGUGAAUCCAAAGAAAAAUGUUAGUGCUGUCAUCCUUAGAAGUGGGAAGGAAUUGCAAGAGCCUAAUAAGAAAGUGACAAAGCAUGUAGAAGAUGAGCUUGAGAAACAUGAAUUGAUGCCUAAAUCUCAAGAUGUGCAACCCACCAGAGUGAAACCCCUACCUGUGGUGAUACCUCCUCAUUUUCCAAGCCGAUUUGCAAAAUACAAGAAGGAAAAACAAGAGAAUGAUAUCCUUGAGACAUUUCGCAAGGUUGAGGUAAAUAUUCCUUUAUUAGAUGCUAUAAAACAAAUACCUCGAUAUGCUAAAGUCCUUAAAGAACUGUGCACCUCCAAGAGAAAAUUAAGAGGAGAUGAAAAAGUUCACAUGGGGGAGAAUGUUUUAGAAGUUCUCCAAAAGAAACUACCUCAUAAAUGCAAGGAUCCAAGUAUGUUUACUAUCCCUUGUAAAAUUGGUAGUGUUAGAGUUGAAAAGGUUAUGUUAGAUCUAGGAGCUUCUAUUAAUGUCAUGUCUCGUUCCAUUUAUUCAUCUUUGAAUGUUGGUCGAUUAAAAGAAACUGGCGUGAUAAUUCAACUAGCUGAUAGGUCUAAUGCAUAUUCUGAUGGGGUAUUAGAAGAUGUCUUAGUACAAGUUAAUGAGUUGAUUUUUCCUGCUGAUUUUUAUAUACUUGAUAUAAAAGAGGAUAACUCCUCUAAUUCGGUCUCAAUUUUGCUAGGAAGACCUUUUCUUAAAACUGCUAGGACUAAAAUGGAUGUAUAUAAAGGGAUUCUCACUAUGGAGUUUAAUGGAGAGGUUAUAAAAUUUAAUAUGAAUGAUGCCAUGAAAUAUCCUAGUGAGGAACAUUCGGUAUUUUCUGUGGAUGUUAUUAACCCUAUAGUGCAGGAAGUUUUUUACAAGGAAAAGAUGAAGACAUUUCAUGACAGAAUGAUUUUGAGAAAGGAAUUCUCUGUUGGUCAAAAAGUUCUUCUUUUUCAUUCUAAGCUUAAACUUUUUCCGGGUAAAUUACGUUCUUACUGGGUUGGACCUUUUAUUGUUACUAAUGUUUUUCCUCAUGGUGCAGUUGAGCUUCGGAGUCCGACCUCUGACAAAGUUUUUAAGGUUAAUGGUCAUCGCUUAAAAUCAUUUUAUGAAGGUUUUUCAGUGAAUAUUGUGGAGGAUGUGGCUCUCGAGAGUCCCAUUUAUGGAGAUUGAUGCAUGAAUAUGUCCAGCCAAAGACAUAAAACAAAGGCGCUUUUUGGGAGGCAACCAAAGAGACUUAUUUAUUUUUAUUUUUGUUAUCUUUUCUUUUUAAUUUUGAUUCAGAUUGUUUAAAUAAUGUUUUUGCUUAUUUUGGCCAGAAGAAAAGUUUUGGUAAGGCGUGCCCACGUUUUAACUAAUAAGUACUUCUGUGAUUUUAAAGUAAAAUGAUUUUAAGGCGUGCCCACGUGCUUAUUAAAAAAAUACUUUUGAAAUUUUUAGUGUCUCAAGUGAUUCAUCACUAAAAAAAAAGUUUUUUAUUUUAUUUACUUAUUAUUAUUAUUUUUUAAAAAAAUUAAAAAAAACAAAAGCAAAAAAUGAAAAAGGUUUUUUUUCUUUUCUUUUUUUAUUUAUUAGAAAAAAAAUAAUAAUAAAAAUAAAAAACAAAAAAAAAUUCACUGCUCAUAAAAUUCCUAAUUCAUUAGAAUUUGUUUUCUUCUCCAGCCGCUUGCAGCACACCAGCAGCAAACCAACCCGCGUGAACUAGCAAGCAUCUCCCGCAACAACCAGUCGCACGCGCGCGCAGCACCAGCAUCGAGCACCAUCCGCGCGCAACUCCAUGCCGUAAUCAGCCGUGCAGUAUCUCGCGUGCAAACAGCCUGCGCGCAGUUUCAUCCACAACUAUCAAGCACCAGCGCGCGCGCAAGUAUCUCGCGAGCAGCAGCCCGUGCAAGCAACCAACGUCAGCCCAGCAGCGCGCAUUCAAAAUUAGUCCCGCGCGCAACCAGUUCCAACCGGCGCAGCACAACCAUCCGCGAGCAACCUAAACCAGCAGCCGUGUACCUACAAGCUCCAGCCGAGCAGCAAUCGUUUGCAACCAGCCCACACCCUGCAUUCCAGCCGCGUGAAUUGAAAUCCGUGAGUGAAAUUAUUAUAACAAUGCCGAAGAGGAAAGCAUCAACUUCCAAGUCAUCUAAAAAGACACUUGUCGCAAAGAAAUCCAAGAUUGUCGCUCCCACUACGGUUCCAUAGAACACAUUUUCAAAUUCAUGCCAAGCUGUGAGCUAAAGAUUGGAAAAUGGAAAAGGCAUGAGUGUUUUGCCACUUGCGGAAUCCAAUUUCGGAGGGUGCCUCACAUUCAUGACUCAACAAGAGAAAGAAAGGUACAAAGAUAUUUCCAAGCGGAAAAUACUUCCAGCUAAGUAUAUUCAUUACCUGACUCUUGAAAAAUUGAAUGUUAAGGAUAAUUUUGAUUCUUUGAUAGAUAAGAUUGGUUUGCGUAAGUUUGUUGAUGUUGAUUGUUUGGGUUAUGUUGAGUUGAUUAGGGAGUUCUAUGCUAUUUUCAAUUUAAUAUACCGAAUGAUUUUACUUUGCAUAUUUCGGAUGUUAUAAAGUUUAGGUUAAUGGGAUGAAAUUUUUCACAAUCUAUCACAAAUUUUAACCUAGCUUUAGAAUUCAUUGAUGAUGAUUAUUCGUCUAGUGAUGCAUAUUUAGGAACAACUUGUGACUUUAGCGAAAAUUUUAAGCCUUAUGAUCUUUCGCGUAAUUUAUCUGUUGAUCAUAAUGCCUAUGACCCGAGUAAAACAAAGAGUUCUUUCUUAAGUGAUCCUAUUUUGAAAUGCGUGCAUCGGUUCUCAGCGUAUAAUUUUUUAGGGAAGAAAGAUCACUCGGGAGUUUUCCCUAAAACUGAGUUUUAUUUUAUCUGAUGCAUGUUAAAUGAUGUGAGACCUACUAUAAGUUUUUGGUUAGCAGAUCAAUUUCAGAGUGUGCGUAAACGAUAUAGGACUUUAUUUCUUGGUCCAUACAUUACUCUGUUAGCUAUAAACUUAUGUGUGCUUGAUCCUGACAAUAAUGAUUUGCAUCCUGCUUGCAAAAAAGAAUUUUUGGAUAUGUCUGUGUUUGAAAGAACAGGUGUGAUUGAAUUCAAUGAGAGGAGAUUUCAGUUUACUGAACCAGGACCCACUCAACCUCCAAAGAAGCUUUAUGCUAGGAGUGGUACUACCUCUGACGACGAGUCUGACGACAAAAUUGUUGCCCUACCAAUUAUUCCUUCUACAUCCGCACCACCUUUGAGCAUUCAGUUAGAGAAAAUAGAGCACAAGCUGAACAAGAUGGAGCAGAAUUUGGCCGCAUACUUUGAGAGUGUGGGAUUUAUCCCACCAUUUUUGCCAAGCCCAUAGACGUUAUGUGGAUCAAAGCUCACAAUUCAGGGAAGUUUUUGCCUUUAAUCUUUUAUCCGUACGCUUUAAUUUUUAUGUGAGCUUUGAUUAUCUUACAUUGGGGACAAUGUAAGUUCUUGGUGUGGGGGAGGGAUUUUUGUAAUAUUGAUGUCUGGAAGUAUUAUUUUCACUCUGCUCAUCCUUAAAUGAUUUUGGAGUUAGUAUGCUUCAUAUAUUAUUAUUUUCUUUUCUUUUCUUUCUCACUACUCUUUUCCCAUCUAUCUCAAAUUAUUCAUAUCUAUUUUUAUUUUACCAUAUUCUUUCAUCACUCACAUUUUAUCUUUCAUUUUUUUCUUUUACUACAUACAUCUUUUUCGCUUAUUAUCCUUUUUACAUUUCCUUUUAUAUAUCACUCAUACCUUCUUCUCAUUCUACACCACUAUUGAUUGUUGAUUCAUUUGAAGAGUGUAUAUGAUUUGAUGGCAAAUUUACCAACUUUAUAAGGAUUUGAGCCUAUGAGCAUCCACUUUGCUCUAAUUAUUUUUGUUAUGUGAAUAUCAAUCUUAGUUUGUUUAUUCUAGAACUUGCUUUGUUAUGCAUGUUGAAGCCGCAUUACGGGAUUUUAUGCAUUAAAAUGAUAAGGGCAAACCACUUUCCAUUUUUCUAUUUUCGCAUUUUUCUUCUUUUUCUUCACCCGAAGACCUUUAUUUGUUAUCUUUAUUUGAGCCUUAACCAUUACCCAUCUAAUUCUCUCCAUCUACUUACCCAUUUUCAUUCUUUUUGAGCCUCAAUUUAAGGAGAUUUUCGGACUCAUUGUUUGGAUAUAUUUUGUAUAUAUUUUGUUGCUCUUGCUACCUUGAAUUAAAGUUUCUCAAUUAGAUCAACAAGCAUUAUGCUUGAAUUAAAUUGUGCAAGGUUCAUUUCUUUUGUUUGAUUAAAAAAAAAUUGAGAAAAAAAAGAAAAGAGAAAAAAAAUGUUUACAUUCUUGGCGACUUGAGUAGAAAUAAGCGUUUUGAUAUCAUAGGGUUCAUUCAAUGAGUUUAUUCUUCUCAUUUUGAUCUCUUUUUCUUUCAUAGACCUUUCUUUUUCAUUUAACCCAUUUAACCUCAUUACAACCUUUUUAAGACCCUUAGAGUUUUGCAUUUAAUUCAUGUUUUGUGGAUUGAGAUGUGAUAUAUGAGCAAGCUUAUGGUAAUAGCAUUCUUUGAUUUGAUUUGGGUGCAUAAAUGAUACCCUAAAUAGUUUGAGUGCAUGGAGUGAAGUCAAUGAGAGGGCUAUUAAAUCUUAUUGCACUUGAAUUUUGAAUGGAUCUUCUUGGUGGUUGAAUGUUUUUAUUCUAUCUUAUGAGAUCCUAUGCUUUAAAAUCCUUGUCUCUCGAAUGUUGAUCAACUUAAAUUCUUGAGGUAUGCUUGCUUAAGAUUGUUUUGGGAUGAGUUGAGAUGAGAAUUGAGUGGAGAUUUGGGAUUAGCCUUGAGUUAUAUGCUUGAGGACAAGCAUUAUCUUGGUGUGGGGGAAUUUGUUAGAGUGCAAUUUAUGCACUAGUUUUGCAUUGUUUACUUCCCUUAAUAUCGAUGUUUUGCACUUAAUAAUAAUAAUUUACUUGUGUUUUAUUUUUGUAGGUGCAAUUCUAUUGAUUGAUGCUAAAAUUGAGUUACAAGAUGAUGUUUGAGGAUGAUUGUUUUCUUGGAGAAAUUUUAAGCGUCAGAAGAACUUUAUUGAUAAGGCGUGGGCGAGUGCUGUCAACUGCAGACCUGCAGUUUUUAGUUUAACGUGUUUUGUAUUUUUGUAAUUACGAAUUUAAUAUUUCAGAUAUUAGUAUUUUAUUUUAAAAAGAACUCUAGAAGAGAAGAGAGAGAGAGUAUUUAAAGGAGGAAUCUAUUGUGAAAAAAGGAGACUUUUUAUAAAAGCAAAAAAUCCUAAAUCUAAAUUUUUCUCUUCUCUCUAUGAAGAACUAAACCUGUUAUUCUGGUUGAAGGUUAAUGAAGCUUUGAUUCAUCACUACUGUGAGAUCUUUCUUAUGCUUUAAUUAUUUUAUUACUUUUUGGGUAUUUGUUUAUUCUCUGAAUUAUUUUCAUGAUUAUGUUUGUUAAUUAGAUAACUGGCCACUAUUUAAUUAUCAACUUAAUCUAUUGUCAAUUAAAGGAUUCAUCGUAUGAAGAUUUUAAUGUUUGUGACAAAUAAUAUAGCAGUGAGUUGUAUUAUGAGAAUAAACAAUCUAAUUUAAAUGAACCAUUGUAUGCGUUUGUUAAUUAGGAUCUGGGUCUCUCCGGUUUUUCAGGCUGUCAAUUGAUUAAAUUCUAUGAUUGUAUCUAGGGUUGUCUAUUGAUUAGGGAAAUAACCAACGGUCGUACCUUGGUUAUCGACUAGUUAAGGAGAGAUUGGCUAUUAGAGGGUCUCGAUAGCUAUAACCGGUCUAUUCAUAAGUAAUAAUAAUUUAUAUUUGAAUCAAUGAUCAGUAGUCGAAUGAAGCUGAAUUAAUUCCUUCAACCAGAGCUUUCUCCAAUUUGAAUUACAAUUUUUAUUUGCACUCUUGUUAUUUUAAUUUGAUUUUUAUUAUUGUCAACAAAUCUCCCAUUUUUCAUUUUACAUUUUAAGAGGAUUUAAAUAAUUACCGAUCUAUGUGGACACGACCCUACUCAAUCACAAUACACAAUUUAUUUAGAGUAGGUAUUUAUUUUUGCUGGCUUCGACAACCAUCACAAUUCUUUAAUUCAAAAGCUGACACUUCUCUAUUCAUCAAACGUGAUACUAAAGGUAAGACCAUUGUGUUAAUUUAUGUUGAUGACAUUUUGGUUACUGGUCCUGACUUAGCAUUACUUAAAGAUUUCAUUCCUAAACUCUAUAAGGUCUUUGCUCUCAAGGAUAUGAGAUUAAUGGCUGUUGGUUAAUUUUAUAAUCAAUUGCUGCCAAUGCCAAUGUGCAAGUAUACACAACAAGUAAUAAAGUGAUGAAUAUUCAAAAUUGUCUCCACAGGGAUUGAUGUUACUCGAAAUGCUGUAGCAAUCACAAUAGUGCAAAUCAACUUAAGGCCGAAGUUAACAAUCGUAAAUUAAGUUCUAUCGUAAUUGAUGAUUGUGAGAGAAUUAAAUAAAACAAUACCGUAAUGAAAUAAACUAAAUUAAAUGUGUCUAAGAUUCAAUAGAGAUUAUGGUAGUUGAAUGAUCAAACUUUCCAUAUGGGCUGACUAUUUUUCAUCAAGUUAGCUUAGCACCAGUUGUUACGGUAAGUGCUGCAGCACUGGGCAGAAUUAAUCUGCAUCCUCAGCUAUCGCAUAUUGGAAGUCUCAUAUCUUUAAAUCUAUUAACAAUGACCAGUUGCUAAUCUAUUUAUGGUAUGGCAUUAUGAUCUUUAGUCUCUCCACCCUACAAGGUGAACACCUAUGUCUAGUGUGUCACAAAUCUUAACUUCAAGUAUUGACCUUAUGGGAUUCAAGAUAACUUAAUCUAGGAAACUUAACUUAAGAUCAAGUAAUACUCUAAUAAUAUCUGCUAACAUAUGCCCUUUUGCUGCUCUAUCUUAACUGAACUAUUAAAUAGGUGGUCAACCGAAAUAACAGUUAUAUUCAUUAUAGCUAUUAGAGUAAAAUGCUACAGCAAUGACAUAACAACACAUAAGAACAGUCAAGAACCCAUUGGAUUGUUUGUCACUCAACUACAAACAAGUUCAUAUUCUGAAUAAGAAAAAUAAACAUAAAUAUAUUGAUCACGGGAUACAUCAAAACAAUUAAAGGAAGAAGAUAAAUAAAAGUUGAGCACGGUGAAAGACAAAUCCAAAUAAUUCUGUACGAUUCUUCAAUGUUGCCGAAACAGCACUCUUCAAUUCUGAUCUUCUUCUUCUUUCCUUUGUAAUUAUUCUAAUGAUAAUUCCCUUGCCGCCUUUCUAUGUCGUGCACGCUUUCAUUUUAUAUUGCAAAUUAGGGUAAAACAAAAGUCCAUGGGCGUGCAUGCGUUAAAUUAGGAAACAUGCAGAUCGCGAUUCUGUGGCUGACCCGCGCCUAAGUUUUCUCCUGCAUUGCUCCACGAUUGCUACAGCACCGGUUGCUCUAACAUCUGCAACAACACUGCACUCUUCCCGAUUGUGCUUUAUUUCUUUUGCGGCCAUCUUCUUUCCUCCUCUUGCUCAUCUAAAGUCUCACCAUCCCCUCAUGAAUUAAGACUUUCUGAAAACCUACAAUUAUGCACCUGUUUUUAGCACAAAUUACUUUGAUUCAAACAAAACUUAUUACAACUUAACUAAAAUGAAUGUUUAUGCAAAAUAUAACCAAAAUGUAAUAAAAACACCUUAUUUUUUCUUUAAGUGAUCUUGAUUUAAGUCUAAAAUUGAUGUAAUAACUCUCAUUUCCUAGAGUUAUCAAUGGCCUAUUUUCUUGUGUGGUAGUUUAUUUCACAACUCAUAGUAGCAUUUCUCACAGAUAAAGUACAUUAAGAAUCUGUUGAGAAAAGCCUCAAUGCAAAUUGCAAUGGUUUUGAUACACAUUUCAACAAUGGUUUCAAACUGGAGAAAAAUGUUAAAGGACCUUUGGGGCAAGAAUUUGAAGAGGCAGCACUUUAUAAAAGCAUUGUUGGGGGUCUUUAGUACUUGAUUCUCACCAGACCUGACAUUGCUUACUCUGUAUAUAAACUUAGUCAGUAUCUUAGUAAUCCUAUACUUUAGCACUGGUUGGCAUACAAGAAAGUGCUCAAGUAUCUUCAAGUUACAAUCACCCAUGGUCGAUAUCUUCAAAAAAGAGGAACACUUAAAGUUGUUGGUUUAACAUGCUACUCUGAUGUUGACUGGACAUGUAAUGUUGAUGGUCGAAAAUCUAUUACAGCUUAUUGUAUCUACCUUGGUAAUAAUUUUAUUUCCUGGUCAUCCAAAAAGCAAGUUAUUGUAGCUAAGUCAAGUAGAGAGAGUGAAUAUAGGGCUCUAUCUUUAGCAAGCUCAGAACUCUCUUGGCUACAAUCCUUACUGUUAAGGCUUAAUAUUGUGCAAUUACCAACUCUAAUUCUUUGGUGUGGUAAUCAGAGUACUGGAGAAUUAGCUCGAAAUCCUACUCUUCACUGUAAGUCUAAGCAUGUUGAAUUAGAUGUUCACUACAUUACAGACAAAGUGGUAAGAAAAGAGUUGGAGGUAAGAUACAGUCCUACUAAAGAACAAGUUGUUGAUGUUCUUACAAAGCCUUUAUCAUUUCCUAACUUCAACUACUUUCGAUCCAAGCUUAAUGUUAUCAGCAGGCCAUUGAGCUUGAGGGGGGAUGUUAAGGAAGUUCAUACUUGCAAUUACUAUUUACAAAUGGUAUAAUCAAAAGAGGGUGUUUAAAUCCCUUAUUGAAAAGUUGAGGAUCUACAUCGCCAUGCAUUUCCCCAAACCUUGUAUAUGUCAUAUUCCCUUGUUUACGCCUCAAAAAUUGUUUGAAUAUUUAAAAAAGAAUUCAAAUAGAUUUUUUAUGUAAUAAAUGACAGAAUUUGACAAACAUUUGUAAUUAGUUAUAUUCCUCUAGUUGAAAGGUUCAAAAAGAUAUAUUAUAUGACCAAAUCGAUAUCGUUUGAGCUAUCUGACAGUACCAAAAAAAUCCUAUGUUAUAAUACCAAAUUACAUUACAAGGGGAACAAAUUAUCGUGUCAAAAGUCAUCUCUUUAGGAGUUUUCUCUGAAAACAACUAAUGAGAGAUAAAAUUGAGUCGUCAUGACUCUUGAAGUCGCUCCUAGGUGGGUGGUUGGCCUUUAAUGUCUUUCACUGGUAGAUAAUUCUCAAGGCUUGUUAUUGAAGAUAAAAAAGUUUUAGCAGUAGUGUUGUUAGGAGGUCAUAAGCAAUUUAGUUCCAGAGCGCUUCCAAGCUGAAAUAAAUGGAUUCAGAAGAGCUCAUUAAGAGGUGCAGAGCUAUUAAGAUAAAUGACGAGGAAGAAGGAUAAGUAACGUUUUAGAGCAAAAUGAAAGCUAGAGGAGAAAAAAUAGUAGCAGGUUGUUUAAUUGGGAAAGUAAUUAAUACAAGGGGAGUCAGUAUUGAAGGCUUAAAAGCUAUGAUACAGAGGAUUUGGAAAACGUCGCGGGAGGUUAAAAUAGAAAGUCUGGGAGACAAUGUUUUCAUGUUUAAAUUUGGGUCUGAGAUGGACAAGCGAAGUGUUUUGGUUGGAGGUCCGUGGCACUUCGAUAGAGCGUUGAUUGUGCUCAAGGAACCAGCUGGGAUCAGAGAUCUAAAAAAGCAGAAUUUUAGCCGAGCUUCUUUUUAGGUUCAAAUUCACGAUGUUCCCAUCAUGUGUAUGUCAAAGGAAAUGGCACAAGAGUUGGGUCAAGUGAUUGGUAAAGUGGAAGAAGUAGAAACAGAUGCUGUGGGGGACUGUUUCAGUGAAUUUCUUAGGCUCAGAAUUUCAAUAGAUAUCACUAAGCCAUUAAAAAAGCUUAUUGAGCUCCAACAAGAAGGGGAAGAAGAAGAUAUCCCGAUGAGAGUAAUGUAUGAGAGCUUACUGGACUUUUGCUUUUGUUAUGGGCGAAUUGGGCAUCAAUAUAGAGAAUGCACACAUUACAAAUCCCAAUCAAAUGAUGAAAUGGCUUACGGGCCAUGGCUAAAGGCAACUACCAUAAUCGAAAGGUUAAAACAGAGCAGACGUAGAGAUAGGUCGGAGUCCGAACCAAGCAAAGAUUAUACAAACUCUCCAACACCUAGGAAGGAAAACGCAAGUCAAAAUAGAAUAGAAGAGGAAAGAAACAAGCUUAGGGGAAAUGGGCAGUAUCGAGGAUGAAAAUUGGAUCCAUCAAAAUCCGGGUAUGAAUAGUUUGGAUGGGAAAGUGAGUAAGGUUCAGAAGAUUAAUCAAAAGUAAUUAAUGCAAGGGGACACAAGAGACAGAGAUCCAAAUGAUAGCUGUAAGGGUAACCACAAGUUAAAUGUUAGCAACGCAGCCCAUGGGAAUAGGUUCGAGGAAGCUGAAUUAAAAGGCGGGAAUGUAAAACAGCUGGAAGAAAAAAUUCAAGACAAAAAGCUACCGGAACAGAGAAUGAAAGUUUGAAAAAUGCGAGAAUCAUUGAGCGGGAAAGGGAGUGUCCACAGAAAGAUUUAGAAGAGUUGGGCUACCAAAAAAGAAAUGGGCUGCAAACAUUAAUGGAAUCUGAGGUGGAGGACAUGGGAAACGGGCCCAAGAUAGACAGAAUAAAAGCGAAAAAGAAAAAAUGGAAAUACUCAGCCCGAAAUAUUGAAGGAAAAAGUGAAACAAGUGAAGAGAUUGUAAAGAUAAAGAGGCCCAAUAGCACAAUGGGUUGGGAAAGCCCAAAGCCAAAAAGAAGUAAAUUUACCUGUCCUCAUAAGACUGUUUUAUCAUCACCAUUCCAGAGAGCAACGAUGGCAGCAACUAAGCUAACUUUUGAUAGAAUAUGUGAUGGGUGGGAGAGGAUUUAGAAUGUUGAAACUAAAUCAUCGGCGGUGGUUGGGAGACAGCAUCGCCAACAGCCAUGAAACCCUUAAACUGGAACGUUCGGGGGCUGGGGCAAGAUCAAACGUUCCGAGAAGCCCAACAACUCUCGCAUGAGAAUAUGUCUCAAAUUUGUUUCCUUUAUGAAACAAAGAUAACGACUAGACAAAUGAAAGAAAAAAGAAAGAAGUUGAAGUUCCAGAAUUGUUUUGCAGUUAGUAGAGAGGGUUUGGGAGGUGGGUUGGCAAUGCUUUGGAAGAAUCCUGACAUCAAUGUGGAAAUCAAAUCCUACAGCAAACACCAUGUGGAUGUUGUAGUCCACAGUGAAAAGGGAAGCUACUGGAGAUGUAUUGGCAUUUACGGGCACCCAGAAUCAGACCAGAAAAAACACACGUGGGAACUGCUGAGAAGGUUAGCUGCUUUAUCUUUUCUCCCUUGGUUAUGCUUUGGGGAUUUCAAUGAGGUGUUGAACUUAAAUGAAAAAUCGGGAGGAAGAGAUAGGAGGGCAAGUAUGGUAAUUGACUUUAGGGAGGCUAUAAGAGAUUGUGGCUUGAUGGAUUUGGGAAGCACUGGGUAUCCAUUCACUUGGUCAAACAGGUGAUUUGGGGCUCACAUUAUAGAAGAAAAGUUGGAUAAGUUCUUAGGGAACAGCAGCUGGAAGAGUUUUUUUUAAAGAAAAUAUAGCUUCUAAUUAAAUUUCGUGGAGCUCUGAUCAUAGUCCCAUAAUGAUAGAGGUGCUGGAAAAAGGGAGAGAAACAAGAUACACGAGGAAAACUUAUCAUAGAACCCACUAUGAAGAUAUGUGGAGUCCGUAUGAAAAGUGUAAGGAGAUCGUUAAGCAAGAAUGGGUGGAGAUGAGCUGCUGGAAGAAUAAGAACCCGGUUGACAGCUUUACAAAGAUUUCAAAUGAGUCUUUGCGAGAUUAAAGAUAUGAAGUAAGGAGUGUUAGCCUAUAUGGCUAUAGAUAUUGAUUUUGAUGAUAACAAACCACAUAUGUUGAUUAAACAAAGAUUUAUGAAUUAUGCUUUUAUAAUAAGAAAAUGAUGUUAUGGAAUUAAAGUGUUUUGGACUAAAAUGAAAGUAUUUUAAAACCUUUGGUAUUGUUUUAAAAUUUCAGAUUUGGACUUAUUUGAAAAUAUUUAAAUAUUUAGGGUCAUUCUAUAAUUUCACAUAGUUUGGGUGAAAUCAUAAUUUUAAAAAGUUUUGGGAUUGACAAAGUGUUAUUUAGAAAUUCUGAAAUUGGACCUAUUUGAAAGCUUUCAUAACGUUUUGGGUUAUAAUAUAGUUUUAUAAAGUUUUAAGGUCUAACUAUAAUUUUAGAAAAUAUUUUACUGUAGCAAGCGGCUAACCGGAUAUGAUAAGCGGCAAUCCAGAUUUUGGGUAGUAAGCUUCUGGAGCAUAAACGGCUAUCCGGAUAUCGUAAGUGGCAUGCUAGAUGUUUUGAAAUUCAAAAUUUUUUUUGUAACGGUAACAAAAAAGCGGCUAACCGGAUUCCAAAAGCGGCAAGCCGGUUAUCAUCAGAAAACACAUAACGGCUAGUUUUUGGGCUCAAACUAUAUAAAUUCAAAUCCAAUUCAUUUUCAAGUUCUCUAGCAAGCAUAAACAAAAAGCACACAAGAUAUCUUGAGCUCUCAAUUUCGCAAAUCAUAAAACAUUGAAUCAUCUCUUGCUCUUCAUUUUGAAUAUCUACUCUUUGAGUGAGUUUUGUUGUAACUUUCAUUUCUUCAUCUUAAUUGUAAGUAUUUGAGUGUGUGAGACACUUGAGUGAAGAGAUUAUGAGACAAUCUCUUUGUUGUAAAGGUUCAUUGACACCUUGAAGUCAAUUGUAAACGUUUGAAGCCUUGGAAAGGCUCGGAUAGUGAAAUCCUCAAGCUUGGAUCACUUGGAGGCGUGGACAUAGGCGGGGAUUGCCGAAUCACGUAAAAAUUCAUGUGUUUGUUUCUCUUCUCCCUUACUCAUUUGUUAUUGUGCUUUUAUUGAACUUAUUGCUUUCGAAUUUAUUAAGGCAUUAGAUUGGAUUGUUGUGUGGCUUUAUUAGGAUAAUUUUUAAAAUACCAAUUCACCCCCCUCUUGGGUUGCACACUUAUAUUUCAUUGGGUAUCAGAACAAGGUGCUCUUAUUUAGACUUAACCGUCUAGAGCUAAAGAUCAAUGGCAACUCAAAAUGAUUCCACAUUUAGGGAAGGACAGUCCACCACUAGACCACCAUAUUUUGAUGGAAACGAUUACCCUUAUUAGAAAACUAGGAUGAGAAUUUACUUGCAAGCUUUAGAUUACAAAAUUUGGGAAAUCGUUAAUGAUAGUCCUUUCAUGCCUUUGACUAAAAAUGAAGUUGGGGAAGACAUUCCAAAACCUUCACGGGAAUGGAAUGAAUUCGAAAAGAUAAAAGCUUCUAUAAAUUCCAAGGUUAUUAAUGCCUUGUUUUGUGCACUAGAUAAGAAAGCGUUUCAUAGAGUGUCUAGUUGCGAAAGUGCUAAUGAAAUUUGGCAUAAACUUGAAGUUUUUUAUGAAGGCACGAAUCAAGUGAAAGAAUCUAAAAUAAGUAGGUACACUCAACAAUAUGAAUUGUACCAAAUGGAACAAAAUGAGAGUGCGUACUCUAUGUAUACUAGAUUUACGGACAUAGUGAACACUCUAGAAGUCCUAGGAAAGACCUUUUCAAAUAGCGAGAAAGUUAAAAAAAUUAUUAAGUCACUACCUAAGGAAUGGAGACCAAAAAGGACUAUCACUGAGGAAGCCAAAGAUUUAAAUGUAUUACCUAUUGAUGAUUUAAUUGGUUUUCUCAUUUCAUAUGAAGAAGAUUUGGCAGCAGAAAAAUGACAUGAGAAAAAAAAGAAAAGCAUUGCUCUCAAAGCCUCAAAAUGUGAUAGUGAUGAGGAAAGCGAGAUGGAUGAUGAGGAGUUGGCUAUGUUGGCUAGAAGAUUCAGAAAAUUCUACAAGAAGAAUAAAGAGCAGAGAAAGUUUAGAAGUCACAAAAACAAAAAGGAGAAGAAAGAGCCAAUUACUUGCUAUGAAUGCAAGAAGCCCGGACACAUUCGACCGGAAUGUCCUCUCCUCAACAAAUUCAAGAAUAAAGCUAUGGUGGCCACGUGGGAUGAUAGUGAUAAGGAAACAAGCAAUGAUGAAGAGCAACAAGAGAUGACUAAUCUAGCUCUCAUGGCCUUUGGGGAAGAAUCAUGUAAUUAAGUUGAUGAGGUAAGAGUUCUUCCUACAUAUGAUGAAUUACAUGAUGCCCUUAAGUAUAUGCAUGAUGAAUUGAUGAAGAUUGGUAAAAAGAAUACAUGUCUUAAAAAGAAAAUGAUAGAGCUUAAAAAUGAAAAUGAAUCAUUUAGUGCAAAGAUUACAUGCCUAGAAUUAGAGAAUAAAACAUUGCUUGAUAUAGUUGCAUUAUUUGAGAAUUCUAGCACUUCAUAUGAGCAUUUAGAGUCACAUGUGAAUAAUUUGAAAAAUGAAAAUGAAAUGCUUAGAAAGAAGAGCAAUGAACUAAAUGAGAUUGUGCUAAAAUUCACAAAUGGGCAAACGAUGUUGGAUAACUUGCUAAACUCACACAAAUGUGUAUUUGACAAAGGAGGCAUUGGUUAUAAGCCAAAUUUGAAACAAAAAUAUUACAAGAGUUGUUUUGUAAAGAAUACAUCUGUUGACAAUCAAAUUGUAUGUCAUUAUUGUAAUCAAGAUGAUCAUAUGAAAAAUAGAUGUCUAGUGAAGAGAAAUGCAUAUUAUGGUAUGAAAUGUGUUUGGGUUCCGAAAUAAACCAUUGCUCAAGGACCCAAAAGAUUUGGGUACCUAAAACUUGAGAUUUUCUCUACAUGGCUUGAAGAAGAAGAAUAAUAAUAAGUGGUACUUGGACAGUGGUUGUUCAAGACACAUGACAGUGAAUUAUUCUUGGUUUUCAAGUUUUACUAAGAUAAAAAAUGGUGGAGAUGUAUCGUUUGGAGAUAAUUCAAAAGGAAAAAUCAUUGGCAUUGGAAAUGUCGGUAAUGUAUCCUCUACUCUCAUUGAAAAUGUGUGUUUGGUUGAAAACUUAAAACACAACUUGCUCAGUAUUAGUCAAUUAUGUGAUAAAGGAUAUAUAGUUAUCUUUGAUGAAUCAAAAUGUGUUAUUGAGAAUGCAUGUGAUGGGAAAGUUUUAUUUGUAGGAAAUAGAUGUGUUAAUGUCUAUACCAUUAAUAUAGAUUGUGGACCGAUAAAUGAUAAAUGUUUCUCCACAUUGCAUGAUGAUGGUUGGUUGUGGCAUAGAAGAUUAGGUCAUGCAAGCAUGAAUUUGAUUUCAAAAAUCGUGAAAAAUGCUUUGGUUAAAGGUCUUCCAAAAAUCAGUUUUCAAAAAUAUAGAAUUUGUGAAGCUUGCCAAUUUGGAAAACAAAUCAAAACUUCCUUCAAAAGCAAGAAUCAUGUCUCUACUUCAAAACCACUUUAAUUACUUCACAUAGAUUUGUUUGGACCUUCUAGAUAUGCUAGUUUAAGUGGCAAAUUUUAUGCACUUGUAAUUGUAGAUGAUUAUUCUAGAUACACAUGGGUAUUGUUCUUAACUAAUAAGGGUGAUGCCAUUGAUGCAUUUCGAAUUUUCUGUAAAAAGGUUCAAAAUGAAAAAAGUUAUUCUAUUACUUAUAUUAGAAGUGAUCAUGGUGGAGAAUUUGAAAAUCAUGCAUUUGAAAAUUUUUGUGAUGACUUUGGCAUUGAGCAUCAAUUUUCAUCACCUAGGACUCCACAAAAAAAUAGAGUUGUAAAGAGAAAGAAUAGGUCUAUUCAAGAAAUGGCUAGGACCAUGUUGAAUGAAAAUUCUUUGCCUAACUAUUUUUGGGCCGAAGCCGUCAACACCGCUUGUUAUGUUUUGAAUCAUGUGUUAAUUAGACCUAAUCUUAAUAAAACUCCAUAUGAGCUUUAGAAAGAUAGAAAACCCAACAUUGGCUAUUUUAAAGUCUUUGGAUGUAAAUUUUUUUUUUAACACAAAAGAUAAUCUUGGUAAAUUUGAUCCAAAAUCUUAUGUUGGUGUUUUUCUUGGUUAUUCAAACUCAAGCAAAGCUUAUAGAGUUUAUAAUAAAAGAACUUUAGUUGUUGAAAAAUCUAUGCGUGUUACAUUUAAUGAGUCUAAUCUCUCCUCUACGGAGAAAGUCAUUGUUGAUGACAAUGCAAAAGAAGAACAACAAGAAGAACCAUAAAAUGACAACCAAAAAGAUGCACCACAUGGAAUUCAAGAAGAAUAUCAUGAAGAAACAAAUGCAGAGCAAAAUGAAGGUAUUUCUCAAACACCCCCCAAGGAGUGGAGGUAUGUUUCUUCUCACCCUAAGGAUGUAAUUUUAGGAGAUCUCUCACGAGGUGUUAAAACUAGAUCAUCUCUUAGGAACACAUUUGAGCAUGCUGCAUUUAUUUCUCAAAUUGAACCAAAAUCUUUUACGGAUGCAGAAAAUGAUGAAUCUUGGAUUAUGGUAAUGCAAGAGGAGUUGAAUCAAUUUGAGAGAAACAAUGUGUGGGAAUUAGUUCCUAAUCCAGAACAUCAAUCCAUUAUAGGCACUAAAUGGGUAUUUAGAAACAAAAUGGAUGAAUCUGGUGUGGUUGUAAGAAAUAAAGCUAGAUUAGUGGCUCAAGGUUACAACCAAGAAGAAGGAAUUGAUUUUGAUGAAACAUUUGCACAUGUAGCUAGGUUAGAAUCCAUUAGGAUGUUGUUAGCAUAUGCAUGUCAUAAGGAUUUUAUUUUAUAUCAAAUGGAUGUCAAAAGUGCUUUCUUAAAUGGUUAUAUUAUGGAGGAAGUUUAUGUGAAACAACCUCCUGGUUUUGAAAAUAAAAAAUUUCCAGAUCAUGUAUAUAAGUUAUCUAAGGCUUUGUAUGGACUAAAACAAGCACUUAGAGCUUGGUAUAAUAGGCUUAAAAACUUCUUGUUAGAUAACAAUUUUUCGAUGGGAAAAGUGGACACAACUUUAUUUGUUAAGAAUAAGAACCAAGAUAUACUUAUUGUUCAAAUUUAUGUUGAUGAUAUUAUUUUUGGUUCUACUAAUGAGUUGUUGUGUAAAGAAUUUUCAUCGUGUAUGAGCAAAGAAUUUGAAAUGAGUAUGAUGGGAGAGUUGAAGUACUUCCUUGGACUUUAAAUCAAACAAAAUGAGGAAGGAAUUUUCAUAAAUCAAGCUAAGUACGCGAAAGCUCUACUCAAAAGAUUUGGCUAUGAUAAUGGAACGGCAAAAACCACUCCAAUCAGUACUACCAUUAAGCUGGACAAAGAUGAGAAAGGUAAGUAAGUUAAUAUCAAGACAUAUCGAGGUAUGAUCGGAUCCUUACUCUAUUUGACUACUAGUAGGCCCGAUAUUAUGUUUAGUGUAUGCUUGUGUGCUAGAUUUCAAUCUUGUCCUAAAGAUUCACACAUGCUUACUGUCAAACGAAUUUUUUGAUAUUUGAUUGGCACCAUUAAUCUUGGCCUUUGGUAUCCUAGGGGAACUCAUAUUGACUUAACUUGCUAUUCGGAUGCCGAUUUUUCCGGUUAUAAGGUUGAUAGAAAAAGUACUAUUGGAACAUGUCACUUUCUAGGCCAUUCAAUUGUCUCUUGGUUUAGUAAGAAAUAAAACUCGGUUGCACUUUCAACCACCGAGGCAGAAUAUAUUGCUGCAUGUAGUUGUUGUGCACAAAUUCUUUGGAUGAAACAAACCCUUAGAGACUAUGGUAUUAAACUCGAUCAAAUACAUAUCUUGUGUGACAAUACUAGUGCUAUAAAUCUAUCUAAGAAUCUCAUUCAACAUUCUAGGACUAAGCAUAUAGAAAUUAGGCAUCACUUCCUUAGAGAUCAUGUUAAAAAAGGAGAUGUUGUGAUUAAAAUUAUUUCUACUGAAAACCAACUUGCGGAUAUCUUUACAAAACCUUUUAGUGAAGAGUAUUUUAUAAAGAUAAGACAUGAGCUUGGAAUGAUAAAUGUUGCAUCUUGAAUUAUGAUUUGUUGAUUAAGUUAAUAUGUUUGUUAUUGUAUGCAUUUAUGGUUCAUGCAUUGAGUGGCUUAUUGAAAAGUUUUAAAUCUCAAAAUGAUUUAAAAUUGGUCAAAUUUUAAGCCAAAAACAAAUUGGUGUAUAUAAUACAAGUAUAAGAGCUUGCUAAAAUUCAAUUAGAGAUAAAAAGAUUUCCAAGUCUAAACCGGUAUACCACUUCCUCUCAACCGAAAAACCGCUUUCUUAUUGAUUCCUCUGGAAACAAAUUCUGGAUAACCGGAUUUAGCAAACCAGUAAGCCGGAUUAGCUUUGGUCACUCUCGGGUCAACAUUCAGAUAACCAAAUUUAUCAAAACGGUAAGCCGGAUUUGCCUUGUAAGAUUUCUAGACCAAAACCGGUCAACCGGUUAUAAAAACCAAAAAGCCGGAUGUAUUUUGGAGUUCACUGGACGAAAAGCGGUCAUCCGGUUAUUCAAUCCGGAAAGCCGGAUUUGCUAAGCUUCCUCUCUGCCUCAAAAUCGGACAGUCGGUUCUUCAAAUCCAGAAAAUCGAUUACGAUUUGCAUGGUUCUGCCUCACAACCGGCUAACCGGUUCUUCAAUCCGGAAAGCCGAAUUCGUGAAGCAAUAUUUUGCCUCAAAACUGGUCAGCCGGUUAAUCAACCAGUAAGCCGAAUAAGUUCUUGACACAGCAGCUUAUGGAUGAGGUGCGAACACUCUCUAUGCGGCAAACUGAGUUUCAGCAGCAGCAACUCAUUCAUGGACAGCACCUUCAUUUUUAGCACUUUGGCAUUCCAUAUCUGUAUCCUCCUGCAUCACCACCAUCCUCACCACCUCAGUAGUCACUUAUGCUUGUAUUUGGACACACUUACAUAUUAUUUACUACUUUAUGUCCUUUUAUUUUCGACUAUAUGGAUGGUUAUUAUGCUUUUGGAUUAUAUUUUUGUUUUGGAUGAUAUGGAUUUGUUUUGAUUGUUUGUUAUGGAUUAUAUGGAUUUCCUUAUGCUUAUAGAUAUUUUUGAACUAAUGUGCUUGUAUUGAGACUUUGAUGAUUGAUAGGGGGAGCUUUUAUUCUUUUUGAUGAUGAAGGAGGAGAAUAAUAUAAUAUAUAUUAUAAAAAUAUGCAUGUAUGCAGGGGGAGUAUGCAUGUAUGCAGGGGGAGUCUUUUAAAUAGUUUUCAAAUCAGUUUUUUAACCUUGCAUUGAUUAAGGGGAGCUUUUCAUAACUAGAUUAAAUUUUUAUAAUGUGUUUUGUCAUCAUCAAAAAGGGGGAGAUUGUUAGCCUAUAUGGCUAUAGAUAUUGAUUUCGAUGAUAACAAACCACAUGUGUUGAUUAAAUAAAGAUUUAUGAAUUGUACUUUUAUAAUAAGAAAAUGAUGUUAUGGAAUUAAAGUGUUUUGGACUAAAAUGAAAUUAUUUUAAAACCUUUGAUAUUGUUUUAAAAUUUCAGAUUUGGACCUAUUUGAAAAUAUUUAAAUAUUUAGGGUCAUUUUAUAAUUUCACAAGUUUGGGUGAAAUCAUAAUUUCAAAAAUUUUUAGGAUUGACAAAGCAUUAUUUAGAAAUUAUGAAAUUAGAUCUAUUUGAAAGCUUUCAUAACGUUUUAGAAAAGAUUUCACUGUAGCAGUUACUGUAGCAAGCGGCUAACCGGAUAUGGUAAGCGGCAAUUCAGAUUUUGGGCAGUAAGCUUCUGGAGCAUAAACGGCUAUCCGGAUAUCGUAAGCGGCAUGCCGGAUGUUCUAAAAUUCAAAUUUUUGUUGUAACGGUAACAUAAAAGCGGCUAACCGGAUUCCAAAAGCGGCAAGCCGGUUAUCAUUAGAAAACACAUAACGGCUAGUUUUUGGGCUCAAACUAUAUAAACUCAAAUCCAAUUCAUUUUCAGGUUCUCUAGCAAGCAUAAACAAAAAGCACACGAGAUAUCUUGAGCUCUCAAUUUCGUAAAUCAUAAAACAUUGAAUCAUCUCUUGUUCUUCAUUUUGAAUAUCUACUCUUUGAGUGAGUUUUGUUGUAACUUUCAUUUCUUCAUCUUAAUUGUAAGUGUUUGAGUGUGUGAGACACUUGAGUGAAGAGAUUGGGAGAUAAUAUCUUUGUUAUAAAGGUUCAUUGACACCUUGAAGUCAAUUGUAAACGUUUGAAGCCUUGGAAAGGCUCCGAUAGUGAAAUUCUCAAGCUUGGAUCGCUUGGAGGUGUGGACGUAGGCGGGGAUUGCCGAACCACGUAAAAAUUCAUGUGUUUGUUUCUCUUCUCCCUUACUCAUUUUUUAUUGUGCUUUUAUUGAACUUAUUGCUUUCGAAUUUAUUAAGGCGUUAUAUUGGAUUGUUGUGUGGCUUUGUUAGGAUAAUUUUUAAAAUACCAAUUCACACCCCCCCUCUUGGGUUGCACAUUUAUAUUUCAAGGAGGAGUUUAGUAGGAGAAAAAGAGCUGAAAUGGCUAAAGAAGAAGCUCCAAGAUUUAAAGAAUGGGUGUUAUCAUUUGGAAAAUUAGGAGAAUAUCACGCAAGUAGAAAAGCAGAUUGACAACAUCUUUCUGGAUGAGGAAAUUUUUUGGAAGCAAAGAUCGACAGCUGACUGGUUGAGGGAGCAAGACAAAAUACAAAAUUUUUUCACACAAAAGCCUCAGCUAGAAAAAAGAAAAACAAGAUCAGUGGUUUGGAAGAUGAUAGUGGAAAGUGGAUAGAAGAAGAGGAGGAUGUAGAACCGCUGAUUUGUGAAUACUUUUGAAAAAUCUUUACCACAACAAAUCCUUUGCUGGAUCAAAUGAAUGCAGCGUUGGAUGACUUGCCAGCCAGAAUUACGGCGAAGAGGGAAAGCUAUUUGGAGCAGCCCUUUACGAGGGAAGAAGUUGCUGAAGCUUUAGCCCAAAUGUGUCCCACGAAAAAUCCAGGCCCGGAUGGACUUCCAGCAGCAUUUUUUCAGAAACACUAGUGCUUAGUGAAAGAUAGGGUGACCACAACUUGUUUGCACGUCUUGAAUAAGGGAGGUAAUAUUCAACCCUUAAAUCACACUUACAUUGCUAUGAUUCCGAAAUUAAACAAGCUAAAGAAAGUGACUGAUUUUAGACUUAUUAGCCUUUGUAAUGUUAUCUAUAGUAUCAUAGCAAAAACAAUAACUAAUAGGCUAAAAGAGGUGUUAAAUGCUAUCAUUUCCCCCACCCAAAGUGCCUUUGUUCCUGGCAGACUCAUCACUGAUGACAUUAUUAUAGGCUAUGAGUGCUUGAAUAAAAUAAGACAGAGCAAAAGUAGUAGAAAGGGGAUGGUUGCUUUAAAACUUGAUAUUAGCAAGGCAUAUGAUAGGGUGGUGUGGAGUUUUGUCAAACACAAAAUGCAGAGGCUGGGAUUUUCUUCAAAAUGGGUGAAUUUGGUUAUGAAUUGUAUAUCCACAGCUAGUUUCUCAGUUUUGAUCAACGAGGUGCCAAAAAGGCACAUCUUUCCGCAAAGAGGAUUAAGGCAAGGUUGUCCUCUUUCACCUUACAUUUUCAUCAUGUGUGCAGAGGUGUUCUCGAAUAUGUUAGUGCAGGCAAAAAACCGAGGGCAAAUUCAAGGGCUGAGAUUCACUGGAAGCUUGUCAAUCAUCCACUUGUUAUUUGCGGAUGAUAAUUUGGUUUUUGCAAGAGCAUUGACACGACUCAAAAGUGUACUACUCUCAAGUAUAAGAGUGUCUAGUUAUAAUAUAACCCUGUGAGACCGGGGUCGAACCACAAGGAGUUUUAAAUCUAGUAAAACUAAGAAAAUUAAUUGUGGGGAAAAGAAAUUAUUUGAAAUUAAUUUAAAAAUAAGCUAAGGUUUAGGAUCCACUCUCUGUAUUCAAACUAUAAUUUUAAUACUCUCUCAUUUAUAUUUUACCUCACUUUUACCAAUUAAUUAUUAUAUCAUUUAAUUCUAUGUGUAUGGAUAAAUAUAGAAUAAAGUACCUAAUGUGCCACACUAUAUUAAUGUGUCGACAUUAUGUCAAAAUACCAUAAAAUCUAGUGAGAUUUAUAAAUUAACAUGAUAUAAAAAUAAUUAGAAAAGAAUUAAAUAAACUUCAAAACUCAUUUGAGAAAAUAAUAAUAAUUAAUAGUUUGAAACAUUGAGCUUUACCAUUCACCUCAGCUUAAUAAAAUUAGCUACUCAUAUUGAAAGAAAACACAAUACUUUUUUUAUUUGAUAAACUUUUUGAAAUAUAUUACAAAGAAAAUUGAUAAAAACGGAAACAAGAAAAGAAAAGAAAAGAAACAAAGAAAGAAAGAAAUUCUUUAGCUGCACUCUAUUCUCUCUCGGCUUAAGCUCUCAAAAUAUACGUCCCCAGCUUCUCGCUCCCCCAUCGCUUGCCACCCCUUUGCCUUUUAUAGGCAAAGUAAAUCAUCUUCUUUUCUUUUAUUUUAUUAAUAUAUAUAUAUAUAUAUAUAUAUAUAUAUAUAUAUUGAAUUGUGUGAUGGUCAGGAGGCGUGAUGGCCUCCUGACCAUCACAGGCAACCAAUGUUUUGGUUGCCUUUUACUCUUUUGUCUUUUUGUUCUUUUUUAUUUAUUUAUUUUUUAUUAUUAGAUCUCCUCAAUUGUGUUCUAGUAGUUCUUCUUUGUUCCCGCUUUCAAUUCUAAUUCCAAUUCCAUCUUUAUUCCUGAAAAAUAUUUACAAGAUAAAAAUUAACAAAUUACGAAUUAAUUUAACAUAAAAUAUAUUUGGGGAGUAUUAAAAUAAUUUAGAAAUAAUGAACGCAUUAAUCGACACAAUAAGUGAAAAACUAAUAAUUUUAUCCUUAUUAAAUAUACACUUUUUAGUGUCAAUCAAGCAUCUAGUAUAGAUUGUAUGAAGUUAAAAGACAUUUUUGAUUGCUAUACAGUUGCAUCAGGCCAGGUUUUUAAUUAUGAAAAAUCCUUAAUGUUUUUUAGCUCGGGUACAAGCCAAUUUCAAAGGGAGGCACUUAGGAAUAUAUUUGGGCUGAAUGUGAUCACAAAACAUGAGAAAUACCUUGGUCUUCCAUCCAUGGUGGGGAGAAGGAAGAUUAGUUUUUUCAAUGAAGUAAAGCUAAGGGUUUUAAGCAAGCUUUCUAGUUGGCAAAGCAAAAAUUUCACCCGUGGUGGUAAAGAAGUUCUCACUAAGGCUGUAAAGCAAGCAAUUCCGGCCUAUGCUAUGAGUGUCUUUAAAAUCCGUCAAGGCCUUUGUUCUUAAAUUGAAAAAGCCAUUGCAAGAUUCUGGUGGGGAUCCUUGAAUACACAUAGAAGCAUACAUUGGGCGAGAUGGGAAAGAUUAUGCCAUGCCAAGAUAAGAGGGGGAAUUGGCUUCCGAGAUUUUUCUAGCUUUAAUCAAACCCUCAUAGCUAAGCAAAGGUGGAGAAUUCUGCACAAUCCUGAUUCAUUAAUGGCAAAAAUCUUGAAGGCUAAAUAUUUCAAACACAUUAAUUUUAUGGAAGCAAAGCUUGGCUCAAAUCCAUCUUUUGUGUGGAGGAGUAUUCUAUGGGGCAAACAAGUGCUUCAUAAAGGGCUGGGAUGGAGGAUUGGUAAUGGGAAUCAGGUGCCAGUUUGUGGUAGCAAUUGGGUUCAAAAUUUUGAGAUCACUGAAAAUGCCACCCAAGUUAUUGUACUAACCAAGGCAGUUGUGCCCGAUUUUAUUGACGAGAGCAAUAACUGGAGGGAAGAGUUGGUUGCUAAGUAUUUCUCUAAAGAGGCUUAGAAAGAAUACUAAGGACUCCACUUCCGAAAAUCCCAAGACCGGAUCAGCUGGUACGAUCCUUUGAUAAGCAUGGUUUGUAUACAGUUAAGAGUGGCUAUCAGCAGGCCAUAAAGCUCAAAUUCCCGGACAGAGCAUGUUGCUCAGAUAGCUCCAAAACUCAGUGGAAGGUAAUCUGGGCAAGUGACAUUCCGAAAAAAGUGAAAAUCUUCAUGUGGAGGGCAGCUCAAGACAUGUUACCAAUAGGGGAGAAUUUAUGGAGAAAGAAAAUUGUGGGGGAUCCAAUUUGCCAAAGAUGUUAUAAUAUGGGAGAAGAUGUGUUUCAUGCGUUAAUUGGGUGUAAGGUUGCUCGUAAGGUCUGGAAGUUGACAAAAAUUUAUGAGGAUAUCAGGCGAAUGGCCCUCCAGGACAUGUUGACACUACUAGAAAAAUGGUCUUUACUGACUUUAAAAUAGUGUCAGAAAUUACUAUUACUGACACUUGUUAAUUGUGUCAGUAAUUUGGGAGUCAGAAAAAUAGUGACACUUGUAAGUGGUGUCAGUGAUUACUAUUACUGCAGUAUCACCGAUAUUAUGACACCAUAGUAUUAGUAGUUAUUGAUAUUUUAUUAGUGUCUAUGAUUACUGUUACCAUGGUAUCACUAGUUAAUUUAUUUUUUAAAAAAUAAAAAAUUAAAUUGGAUAAUUGCCUAUUGAUUUAUUUGUAAAAUUAAAAGCACCAUAAAAUAACAAAAAGAAAUUGAUUUAUAUCACAAAAUCUUUCAUUUCACAUUUAAAUAUUAUUAGUAUAUAUUACAAAUUGAACUUCAAUAGCCAAAAUAUGAGAUAUCCUACUCUUAUAACUAAAUAAUCCAAAUUCAAUACAUAAAAAUUAGUCUCUGUCCCUAUCUGACCAACUUCCAUCAGAAUUAGCCUCAUCACUUCUGCUUUCACUGUGAUAAUUGGAGCGCCUCCGACUCCAAGUUGUUUCAUGAACUUGACGUUUAUCAUCAUGGCUUCUGCCAGAACCACUUUUCACACGAUCAGCCUCCCUUGAUCUAGACCUUCUGUAAUGAUGCCUGCAUAAGAAAUUACAAAACCAUAAAUAACCAGAAGAUUUCUAACAUCAGCAGUAAAUACAUUAAAUAAUGAAAUUUGAUCAUAGUUUGGAUCAUCAUCCCUUGUACAUAAGAUUGCAAUGCUACAUCACCAAAGGCAUCUUGUUGAAUCUAAUUAUUUUCUUGCCAUGCUUGCAACAUGGUCAUUACGCCACAUACUAAUCAUACAUUUUUGAAAAUGGGUUUUAAACUCAAACAAUAGACCAAAAAACCAACAGAAGAACUUUCUUUAAAUCUUACAUUGUGAGAACAUCUUUUCAUUAUUCAUUGCUUCUAAGAAAACCGAGUUAGGAGACUUGAAGAAAACACAAAUGAAGAGAACGAUACUAUGAAGAAACCUCUCAAAAUCAUAGGUCAAACAUGGAAGUUUAAACUAAAAAAUUCAAAUAACAGAAAGUGAAUUAAAUAAACAAGAGUUCAUAUAUACCAAGUACAGUUUAUAGUGUCUAUGACUAGUAAUAAAAGCAUACCUGUCGGCAUUAGUUGAAUCUAUCUUGUUCCUCGUUUGUCCUGAGCGUUCUUGAUUCCAGGUCCCAGAUUCAUUAGAAUAACCAAAUAAAGCAGCCAUCUUUUUCACCCAAUAUCUCGGAGGUGGUUUAUCCAAAUCAGCCCAUUCAUAGUCUCCGCCAGGGUUGCGGAAACAGUGGAUAAAAUUGCGAGCCAUUCCACGAGAGCAUGUCUGAUAAAAAAUGCCCAACGAAGAUAAUAAGAGCGUAAAGAAAAGAAGAAAAGAAACAAACUCAUUUCAUAUCAAAAGAAAAAUGGCAAUUGGCUGUACCUUUAGUCUUGACUUCAUAUAUUCCCCACAUAUGGCAAUCUUCCAUCUAGUCACAUUAAUAAAUUCACAUGUGAUCUGUCAAGAAACACACAAAUAAAUAAACCAUCACCAUCCAGAAAAUGACAAGCUGUAAAAUUCAGUAAACAGUAAUGUGUUGAUUACAAUUUAAGCAUGGAGAAAAUUUUCAGAUUAGACUAUGUCAACAGUGUCCACAGAUAGUUAAAAGAUGGGAGAAUGUGCUGGCGUUCACUAAGCAUAUAAUUUUUCACAGCUUAACCCAUUGCAAUUUUACCAGUGUCAAGUCUAAAGGAAACUAGUCAGGAAUCUUCUGUAAAGUAAAUAAAUAGUGAAACAACUGUUCUCAUAGCAAUAAAAUGAAAUUAUUUUAAUAAUUUUCUUCAACUUUCAGACCAAUCAAACAAGUAAAGCAAUUUUAGUACAAUGCACAGCAAUUUAAGCUGAAUGGACAAUUGGAACAAUUACGGAACAACUAGACCCCAACGAAUACUGCAAAAACAACCCUUAAACAAUGACUUAAGAAAGUAUAAGCUUCUCUUAAGAAAGUAGAAGCUUCUCCUAGAUCAUGCCUUUUCAAUCUCCCUUUACUAAGAAAGCUGCCAUGGUAUUUAAGACUAUCCAAAUCCUAUCAACAUGUUGGGAUAUUCAAAUACAGCCUCCAAGAAGACAUGCUGUAAACUUUACAACUGAAGUCUGUCAGAUAAACCAAAUCUUAUACCCAAUGCCAAGAGCUUUAAUUCAAUCCAUUUUAAUAGGCACCAAUUACCAGGAAUGCAGGCAGACAAAAAGGCUCAAAAUGACAGGAUAUCAGUAUUCUGGAAUUUUGUAUCAGAAACAUGAAAAGUGGCAAGGCCCAUUCACUGAGAGCCAAACAUUUUUUAAAUAGUAGUUACUUUAUAUAAAAUAAAUAAAUAUAAAGUAGAAAGUAAGCUCCAACAAUUCUUCACAAAGACCUGUUUCCCAGCAAAGUAAUGACCAUUGACAGAAUGGUAAGCGAGAACAGCUGAUUCCAGCGACUUAUAGUGAACAUAGACAUUUCCUCUCAAGUGGGAAAAACCAUUUCUACACACCUGCACAUAUUUGUUAGUUAGUAUAAGCAGAAAAAGGAAGAAAUCCAUGCCUAAAUCUUACAGAAUACUGAGUCUACAAGAAAUGCUAAAUAAUGUCCAUAGAGUUUCAAUUAAUCUGGGAGGCCAGAGAAUGAUUUAAGAAAGUGUAAUGAAAUAACCAUAGCCAUCUUGUGCAACCAAGGGCAUACAAACUAAUAUGGCACAACGAGAUUGAUUGUAUAAAACCAUCCUAGGUCUACAUAAUUGAAAAAAAUAACUGUUAUCACUUUUCAGCCAAGCUCUUCAUACCACAUCAGUUGGUACACACUAAGCUGUAAAAAUUUGUUUGUGGCUCUGUCAUUAUUGUCAAAGAAAAUGGUAACAGGUAGUUUUCUUCAUAUUUAUCAUAUUUGUUAAUCUCAAAAUUGCAAUAUUUGAAAAACCUAAGAAAAGGGUAAUAGAAAUAAAGAAACUUGAGAAACUCCAAGAUAGCAAGUACAUUUACAGAAAAUAGUUAACAACCUUGAAAUUGACAAUCUCACCAAACUUCAGGAACUCCGUAUGAACAUCCUCAUAAAAUUCUUCAUAAGAGCGUUCAACUUACUCAUCUAUAUACUGAAAAGAAAGAAGGCAAAUCAACCAAAAUUUUUUUUUGCGUAUGUUAACAUCAGAAACAUAAAAUCAAAAGAAAAGUAUGAAAGUAUAGUUUGUCAAGAAUGCUUUAUUUUGACCUUGGAAAAACAAAAUGAUAUUUAUCAGGAGGUGAAACAACUUAUAAAAAUACUCUAGCAUAUAACUUGAAACUUCACUAUGAUAGUUAUCGAUUUGAUUAGUUUCUCAAUUUGCAUUUUGUUCUUCCAGAUAAUGGUCAAAGGGUAGUGGAUUAACACGGAGACAACUAUUAACCAUGAUCUCCAUUGACAUGGUUAACACUAUUCAAAAUACACAACUAGGGGACAAGAUAUAUAUAACCUGCAAUUUAAUCCUCACCUAAUGGCUAAUAUUUUCUCAUCUGUAUAAUCGACUGAAAUGAAACCUAUCAUGUGUUCAACUAAUUUAAUUUGCAUCAAUCAAAGCAACUUCUUUUUCUCCAGCUUUCUGUCUCCCCUGACACAUUCUAAAGUAAAUGAAGAGCACCAACAACAUGUGUCAGUAAAUAGGUGUUGUGGCAAACAAUCCCAAACCUUCCAAAGUAAUGACCAUUGUUAGAUGACCAGCUCUGACAAUCGACGAUAUAUGGUAUAUUCCACAAGAAACUACUAGUUGUUAAGGAGAAAUUUUUAACUCAAACAGAGUUGUACAGUUAUGUGACUAGUGAGAGAGAGAAAGAAAGAAAGAACGAAAGAAAGAAAGAGAAAUAAGCCAAACAUAUAAACAAAAAAUUUCAUAAUAGCUAAAAUCAUUUGUAGCAUGUAGGAUACAUAAUAGCUCAUAGCCUUCACUCUUACCCAAUCAAGGCCAACACCAUGAAUCUCCAUCGUUAUGAAAACAUAAAUAUCUGAUUUCACAUAGUCAAAGAAAAGAAAUAAAAUGUGAACUCAAAAGAACUCACCAGUAAUACUAUGUAGAAUAAUUAUAAACACAUUACAGUAUAUCAACUGGAAAAAUAUUUUUCUCUAUAAAAAGCAUCUUCUAUAUAGCAAGGACAAUCCGUAUAUAAAAUGAUCCAACAAAUUGCACAAAAGUAUAAAAGUUUGGAAGAGUCCUUAUCAGGAUAUAAGAAUCAGCAAUUACAUACCUCGAGCCCCUCAUCUUGCUCCCAAGCAAGCCCGGGACCAUUAUGCAUAUUCUUGAUGAGCAGAGUGCACGAUUUAUCAGGGAAAAAAUAAACUCUGCUGCAUCUCUGACCAAACCGACAAGCUCCAGUCUUCAAAUGGAAAGGACAAUGAACUUUAUCCUGCCAUAUAUAAUAAAAACAUGAUUGACCAUGAUAAACACGCAAAUAUAAUAGAAAUGAAAUAUAAUACAGUAAUUGCAAAUUGAAAAUUUUAGAUAGACAUAUUGAAAGAAAAGGCAUGCCUGUUCAGUUCCAAAAUUGGGCACUUGUUGAGCAACAGUCUCCAACGCCUGUUGUGCAUUCUGGUAAUCAGCAAAGGCUUCUGAUUGUGGGGGCAUAGGAUUUGAUGUAGGCCUAUCAACAUCUUGUAAAGGCAGUAAUAACGUAGAAAGUUUAAUUUUUGCCAUAACCGAAGAGAAUGGGCAUCCUGAAGUAAAGUAGAAACAAGUCUAACAUAGCUGUCAAUAGAGUCAAAAUUACCUCUUUUUUACUUAGUGGGUUCGCAUCCUUCUUCGGAACUCUGACCUUUUUCAUCCUAAUAAUAAUCUCAUUUCCUUGCCAUAUAAUUUUUGCAGGCCCUUCUUCAACAUAUUCCCAAUCAUCAUCCUCAUCACAUUCAUUCUCCUUUUGCCUCCAAAUUCGCGAUACUCCGAGAACACGCCGUAGCUGGUGAGCAAGCGGAGGAUACGUUGCAAGUUCUCGGCGUCCCCACCACCGGAUGGGAGGAUACGUGUCAAGAUCUGGGAGGCAGAGAGAGGGGUGUUGGCCCUACCUUGCCAGAUGGCAUCCGGUACGUGGAGACGGAUGGCAGCGGUUAGAGACAUGGGAACACUUAUCAUGUUGGCCAGCUCUAUUAUGGCUGGUCUUACCUUCUUCUCGCCAUCUCUGCACUCGUUAUCUUCCAUUACUGCUUACUGACCUUUGAUUUCGCAGCACCAUGCCGGCCAAACAAAAAGAUAAAACCUAAGCACUUUUUGACAAUUUGGAUGUUAGGGAUUUUUUAGAUCUGGGGAGCUUAGGAGGGAACGAAUACUUUGUAAAGGGAGUUGAAAAAUUGUAUUUUGGAUAAGAUAAGAUUUGUCCAUUUGUUUUGUUUUUAUCCACUCAAAAAGCACAACUCUAAAAAAAUCAAAAAUAAUUCGUAGCCUAAUGGUCUUUUGAUUCAAUGUAGAAGCUCUAAGUUUAAGAGGUCUUGGGUUCGCAUUCAGACUAAAACAAAAUUAAAAUGAUAAUUUUUAAUUGCUGAUACCUAAGCGUCAUUGAUCGCUAUUACUAAAGCUAUUGAUACUUUAGUAUUAGUAAUUAGUGAUACAUAUUUGUUAAACGCGGAAAAUGAUCCAAAUAUAUGUAUAUACUGAUACUUUUAAAUAAAGUGUCAGAACACAAGUAUCAGUAAAGACCAUUUUUCUAGUAGUGUGAGUUUGCUGCAGCUAGCAGUGAAGAGGAAGAAAGAGGAGAUAGAGCAAAUAAUUGUUGUUUGUUGGGCAAUAUGGUAUUCAAGGAAUUGUUAUAUUGUGGAGGGGAAGAAGGAAGACCCCAUGCCUCAGUAGCAAGAGCAGAAGCUAUCGUGGCAUCCUACAGAAGAAUUAAAUCUGGAAACGGUCAAGAUCUGUCUCGGCAUCAGUACGACAACAAGAAAACUUGGGAACCCCCCUACCAGGAAGGUACAAACUGAAUGUAGAUGCUGCAAUUCAAAUGUCUAAGCAAAGAGCGGGUCUUGGAGCAGUAGUUAAAAAUUCAAGUGGGGAGAUCAUGGCUGCAGCUGUUAAGAGAGUAGCUUUCAAAGGAAACGUGGCAAACAUGGAGGCAGAAGCAGUGCUGCUCGGUAUUCAAGUAGCUUAGAAAGCAAAUUGUGCCCAAUUUAUUGUUGAAUCAGAUUAAAAGGAAGUUGUGGAGCUCACUUUAAACAAAAAGGAAAGUUUAACUGAAAUUUGUUGGAACAUUGAAGAAAUCCAGGCAGGGCUGAAAAACAAGGCUCGUCAGCUAUACUUUUUGUCCCAAGAAAGUGUAACGUAAUAGCCCAUAACUUAGCUAAUGUAGCUUUAGAGUUUGAGGUUGCUGUCACCUGGAUAGGUGACUUCCUUGUCCAGGUGUUGAUGUUGCUCUCUUCUUCUUAAUCUAUUGAAAGCUUUACUUUCUCAUCAAAAAAAAAAAAAAAUUACAUUUCAAGGGAAAAAUCAUCUUUUUACAUAAAUUCAGUAACAAAUACAAGGGCAAGGUGUAAACAUGUUAAUUUCAGAAACUCGGGUAUAAAGAUGACCUUUGUAUUAUAAAGAUGGACAAUAAGGGGAACUAGAAAUAUAAAGAUGGAAUCUGGACCCCUUCGUACGAAAAUUAUCUAGCUCUAAUAAUUAAACUAAAAUAACUCAUAAGUUGUUAUUUUUUCUUAUGGUUUAUAUUUGGUAUGUAACGGUUAAUUAAAAAAAUUAAAAUCUAAUUAAAAUUGGAAGACCUCUUUCUUGUGAUGGCAAGAUGGCGGUCACAUAAAGGCCUUUUUCUUGUAACUUGAGUGGAUAAGAAGUAUAUUAGAGACCCAAGUUUCAUCCCAGAAAAUAAAAAAUGAAACCAUUCACAACAGAUCUUCUUUAUGAAAACUAAAUUACUUGAUAUAUGGAACUUCUAAAUAAGGAAAAAAGCCAUUUAUACCCCAAGAUUUAGGAAAAUAGCCACAAAGACCUUCAAUUUUCAAUACCCUAACUCCUUUUAGACCAUAAUGUCCCUCAACUCUAUAAAUCCCAAAAAAUAACUCCAAAAUUUUAUAAUAAAUAGAAUAUGGCAUUAAAAUAAAUGUAAUAAUAUAUACAUUUCAAAAUAAUUUUAAUAUUUAAAAAUAUUUUAAUAUUUUUCAAUCCAUGAGACCUAUUUUAUUAAUUAAAGUAAUUUUUAAUAAUAGAUAGAAACAUAAUAAAAUAAAUAAAUUAAAACUAAAAUUAUUUUGAAUAUUAUGUAAAGUUUAAUUCUAAUAUUACUAAUAGGGAGAUUUUUUUAAUUGUAAAAUCUAUUUAACCCAAAGAUUUAUUUAAAAUCUUUAUAACAUUACAAAUAUAUUAUUAAAAUAAAUAUAAUAAUUUAAAAUUUUAAUAUUAUUUUAAAAAUAAAAAAUAAUUUAAUAUUAUUAGUCUACUAGACAGAUUAUAUUAUUUAUAUUAAAUUUUUGUUAAUUAAAAACCAUUAAAGUCAAUUUUUUAAUUACUAUAAUUAAAGAGUUUUAUGGAUAAAAAGAAUUUUGAUGUCCUUUUAUUUAAACUUGCCAAUUUUUAUGACCAUUUUCUCAAACUUUAGAGAUGUAGGUGUCUUUUUUUCUUUAAAUAAUCAUGCCACAGAGGAUUAGAAAUCGUUGCAUUCUAUGGUGCAUAUAGAUUUUUUAAGACCGUCAUUAUUUUCUUGUCAAAUUCAUCUGAAUUAUCCAAUUUUCUAUAAUUUCACAAAUCAACUGGUUUACUUUAAUUUGCACUUUUCUAAAUCGACUGUUUAGUCCCAAAAACACGGAAAAUUCACCCAUGAUUUCUUGUUUUUCAUAUUAGUUGGGAAAAAUCAACCGGUAAUCUACUUGGAUCAUUCAUUUGACAAUAUGACUGGUCCGUUUAUUGUGUUUUCUCCGCACAAUAGGACUGAAUGAUAAAGCAUCGUCCGAUUAUGUGGUGCAGAUUUUAAGGGCAUUUACAAAUCUUAUGUGUGAUUUACAAGUUUUAUGCAAUAUUUACAAGUUAAUGUUGAUUUACAAGUUUUAUGCAACAAUUACAAGUUUUUGUUUUGUUUAUAAAUUCUUCUUACAAUUUACAACUCAAAUAUUAAUUUACCUAUUUUCUAUCAAUUUACAAGUUUUAUGUAUGGUUUACAAAUUUUUUGUUUCAUUUCACACUUAAUGUCAAUUCACAAGUUUUUUGUCAUUUUUCUAACUUUUUGUUUUGUUUACACUUUUUUCUUUUAAUUUACAACGUCAUCAUUAAUUUACCUCUUUUUCCAUCAAUUUACUAGUUUUAUGUGUGGUUUACACAUUUUUUAUUUUAUUUCACACUUAAGUCAAUUUACAAAUUCUAUAUUAUUUUUCUAAGUUUUUGUUUUGUUUACAAGUUUUUCUUGUAAUUUCCAACUCCAACAUUAAUUUAUCAUUUUUUCCAUCAAUUUACUAGUUUUAUGCGUAGUUUACAAAUUUUUUGUUUUAUUUCCCACUUAAUGUCAAUUUAUAAGUUCCAUGUCAUUUUCUAAGUUUUUGUUUUGUUUACAAGUUCUUCUUACAAUUUACAACUCCAACAUUAAUUUACCCAUUUUUCCAUCAAUUUACUAGUUUUAUAUGUGGUUUACAAAUGUUUUAUUUCAUUUCACACUUAAUGUCAAUUUACAAGUUUUAUGUCAUUUUUUUAAGUUUUUAUUUUCUUUACAAGUUCUUCUUACAAUUUACAACUCAAACAUUAAUUGACCAUGUUUUCAAUUAAUUUACUAGUUAUAUGUGUGCUUUAAAAUAUUUUGUUACAUUUCACACUUAAUGUCAAUUUACAAGUUUUAUGUCGGUUUUCAAAAUUUUUGUUUUAUUUACACUUUUUUCUUGUAAUUUACAACUACAUCAUUAAUUUAUAUUUUUUCAUCAAUUUACUAGUUUUACGUGUGGUUUACAUUUCACAUUUAAUGUCAAUUUACAAGUUCUAUGAUAUUUUUCUAAAUUUUUGUCUUGUUUACAAGUUUUUUUUUCAAUUUACAACUCCAACAUUAAUUUACCAUUUUUCAUCAAUUUACUAGUUUUAUGUGUGGUUUACAAAUUUUUUGUUUCGUUUCACACUUAAUGUCAAUUUACAAGUUCUAUAUCAUUUUUCUAAGUUUUUGUUUUGUUUACAGGCUCUUCUUGCAAUUUACAAUUCCAAUAUUAAUUUACCCUUUUUUUUAUCAAUACACUAGUUUUAUAUUUGGUUUAUAAAUUUUUUGUUUUGUUUCAUACUUAAUGUCAAUUUGCAAGUUCUACGUUAUUUUUCUAAGUUUUUGUUUUGUUUACAAGUUUUUCUUGCAAUUAACAACUCCAACAUUAAUUUACCAAUUUUUUCAUCAAUUUACUAGUUUUAUGUGUGGUUUACAAAUUUUUUAUUUCGUUUCACACUUAAUAUCAAUAUACAAGUUAUAUGUCAUUUUUCUAAGUUUUUGUUUUCUUUACAAGCUCUUCUUGCAAUUUACAAGUCCAACAUUAAUUUACAUAUUUUUUCAUCAAUUUACUAGUUUUAUGUGUGGUUUACACAUUUUUUGUUUCACUUCAUACUGAAUGUCAAUUUACAAUUUCUAUGUCAUUUUUCUAAGUUUUUAUUUUGUUUACAAGUUUUUCUUACAAUUUACAAUUCCAACAUUAAUUUACCUCAUUUUCCAUCAAUUUACUAGUUUUAUGUGUGCUUUACACAUUUUUUUUGUUUUAUUUUAGAUUUAAUGUCAAUUUACAAGUUUUAUUUCUUUUUUCUAAGUUUUUGUUUUGUUUACAAUUUUUUUUUUGGUAAUUUACAACUCUAACAUUAAUUUACCUAUUUUUCCAUUAAUUUACUAGUCUUAUGUGUGGUUUACACAUUUCUUGUUUUAAUUUAUAGUUAAUGUAAUCUACAAAUUUUGUGUCAUUUUUCUAAAUUUUUGUUUUGUUUACAAGUUCUUCUUGCAAUUUACAACUCCAAUAUUAACUUACCAUUUUUUCUAUCAAUUUACUAGUUUUAUAUUUGGUUUACAAAUUUUUUGUUUCGUUUCACACUUAAUGUCAAUUUACAAGUUCUAUGUUAUUUUUCUAAUUUUUUUUGUUUACAAGUUAUUAUUGCAAUUUACAACUUCAAUAUUAAUUUACCCAUUUUUCUAUCAAUUUACUAGUUUUACGUGUGGUUUACAAAUUUUUUAUUUCAUUUCACACUUAAUAUCAAUUUAUAAGUUAUAUGUCAUUUUUCUAAGUUUUUGUUAUCUUGACAAGUUCUUCUGCAAUUUGCAACUCCAAUAUUAAUUUACCUCAUUUUUCAUCAAUUUACUAGUUUUAUGGGUGGGUCACAAAUUUUUUAUUUUGUUUCACACUUAAUGUCAAUUUACAAGUUCUAUGUCAUCUUAAAAAUUUUUGUUUUGUUUACAAGUUCUUCUUGUACUAUACAACUCCAACAUCAAUUUACCCAUUUUUCUAUUAAUUUACUAGUUUUAUGUGUGCUUUACACAUUUUUUGUUUCAUUUCACACUUAAUGUCAAUUUACAAGUUUUAUGUCAUUUUUAUAAGUUUUUGUUUUCUUUACAAGUUCUUCUUACAAUUUACAACUACAACAUUAAUUUACCCAUUUUUUCAUCAAUUUACUAGUUUUAUAUGUGAUUUAUAAAUUUUUUGUUUCAUUUCACACUUAAUGUCAAUGUACAAGUUCUUUGUCAUUUUUCUAAGUUUUUGUUUUGUUUACAAGUUAUUCUUGCAAUUUACAACUCCAAUAUUAAUUUACCCAUUUCUCUAUCAAUUUACAAGUUUUAUAUUUGGUUUACAAAUUUUUUGUUUCGUUUCACACUUAAUGUCAAUUUACAAGUUCUAUGUCAUUUUUGUAAGUUUUUGUUUUGUUUAUAAGUUCUUCUUGUAAUUUACAGCUCCAAUAUUAAUUUACCUAUUUUUCUAUUAAUUUACUAGUUUUAUGUGUGGUUUACAACGCCAACAUUAAUUUGCUCACUUUUCUAUCAAUUUAUUAGUUUUAUCCGUUGUUUACAAAAUUUUAGUUUCAUUCCACACUUUGUGGUAAUUUACAAGAUUUUAAUCAUUUUUCUUAGUUUUUGUUUUGUUUAUAAUGCCUAAGAGUAAUUUACUAUUCGAACAUUAAUUUACCCCGUUUUCCUUCAAGUUACUAGUCAUAUGUGUGGUUCAUAAAUUUUUUGUUUCGUCUUACUCUUAAUAUUAGUUUACUAAUUUUAUGUCAUUUUUAUAAAAAAAUUUUGUUUACAAUUUCUUAUUGUAAUUUACAACUCCCACAUUAAUUUACCCUUUUUUCUAUCAAUUUACUAAUCUUAUGUGUGAUUUACAAAAUUUCUGUUUCAUUUCAUACUCAAUGUCAAUUUAGAAGUUUUAUGUUAAUUUUCUAAGUUUUUGUUUUGUUUACAAUCUGAAAGAGUAAUUUAUCACUCUAACAUUAAUUUACCCAUUUUCUCUUCAAUUUACUAGUUAUAUGUGUGAUUUACAAUUUGUUAAUCACAUUUCACAUUUAAUGUCAAUUUACAAAUUUUAUGUUAUUUUUCAAAAUUUUAAUUUUUUAUUACAAUUUUGAUGAUCAAUUUACCUCUUACCCCCUUGUCCUUCAAUCUACUAGUUCUAUGUGUGAUUUAGAAAUAUUUUAUUUUAUUUCACAGUUAAUCAUUAUUUUCAUUUAUUAAUUUAGUUUGCUUGACCCAACCCAAAUCCAAUGUAAAAUUGGCUAGAGUAUCGAACUAUUGGCAUCCUUUUGAAAGUCUUUCAAAGCAUAUUUGUGUAUUUUAUAAUUUUCGAUGGUGUUAGAUUAAAAUGAUAGUAAUAAAUUUAUAGUAAGUAUGAAUUUGACUGAUAAAUUCAUGAUGGAUCUAUAGUAAGUACGUUCACAAGUUAAUUUUUAUUUUUAUUUAUCUAAAGUAGGUAGGUACCAUUAUUUAUCUAAUAUAGACAUGUAUUUGCCCUAUAUAUGAUAGAUUUGGAAAAAAAAAAUCAAAUCAUACAAACUCUUGUACAAAAUUGUUUUCUACAAACCUAUUCAACAUAAUUUAUUUGUUUAGAUUAAUUAGCUCUUGACUCACAUUAUUUAUUUUUAUUAUUUUUUUAAUUUCAUUCAACCAAUGAAUUUAUACCACACCAAUUUGUAUAAAAAUAAUAACUACUUAUUUAAUUAAAAAAUAAAACCUAAAAACAUGGCAUUACUACUUACUGAUAAACUAAUAAGUUGAAAUGUAGUUACACCGACACCCUAUUAUAUCAUCCAAUAAUAAUAUUAAAAAAAAGAACUAAAAUAAGUAAAAUGGUUAUUCGGUUUUUAUUAUCCGAUUGAAUGACUAUCAAAUUAUAGGCUGCAUCCAUCGUAUGGGAGGAGAAUGAGGGAUACAUCCUCGUACACUACUAAUAUUUUGUAUAUGCUCUUCCCGUCAGAAUACUUAAGGGAUCUUGUCCCCUCCCCAAAUAAUAUUCAAGGGAUCCCCAAAUACUCUCGAAUGACCGAUACGUUUUAGUCUCUAAAUUGAUUUAAUCACAUUAAAAUAAAUUUUUUUUAAUAAACAUAAAGUUUGACAAUAUAUCUUAGCAAAGUUUGGAUGUUAUAGUUUUAGCCUUUUUUUAAUUAGAUAAAUGUCUAAAACAAAAAUCUUGGGCCAAGUCCUUUUGAAUAAGACUUGAUCAAAUAGUAAUUCAGGACACAACUAGUUAACUAAGCCCGAAAGUUUCAUAGUAUAUUUGUAUAAAUAUUUUGAUAUUUGUUAUUUAUACUGAUAUUUAAUAUUUAAUUAUUUAAAAUUUAUUGGUUAAAUAAUUAAUAAUUCUAAAAAAUAAAAAUAAAUUUAAAAAUUAAAAUGGGUAAGUGGGGAAUGAGGGAGGGGAUGAAGAUUCCAGCUCAUACCUAUCCCUUCCCCUAAAAAUAAAUUGGGCAAAAAAUCGACCAUGUCCUUUUCCUUGAGAAAUUAGGUAUAAAAUCAUAAAUUUAAAAUUGAACUAAAAAUCAUAAAUCUGAACCCCAAAAAAUCAUAACCAUAUGUGGUUCUAUAUAUUUUACACCCACACACACACAAAAGUCCCCAUUAAGUCAAAAUAUAACGAUCAAUCCCAUUUAUUUUGAACAUACUUAUCAAGGCCCAAAAUUAUGAAAUCAACCUAUUCCUUAUGUCCGGUUUUGCCUGUUAAGUAUAAUUGUAAGUGUUAAAAUAGUAAGAGCAAUUUUUUUUUUCACGUGCUCAUAUGUCUAGGAGUUAGAUUUCAGAUUAUUCUAAUCUGCUAUGAACUUUCUGGCCUGGGAUUGAUACAAACUGGGUUAAUAUUUCAAAUUUGAUUUAUAUUUUUUGUUUUAUUUCAAUUAUUAGCUUCUUUCUUUCUUUUUUUUUCCCCCACUAACUAGCUUUUUACCCAAAACAAAAUUUAGUUAAAUCACGAAUAGAAAGAAAACGAUUUUCUUUUUUCAAAUAACUAGAUUACUAAGGGCUUGUUCGAUAUUGUUCUUUAAUUGAUAUUUUCUAAACAUAAAAAUGAGAAUGAAAAUUAUGUUUUGCAAUUGCUGUAUUUUGAAUUUAAGUAUAAGUUUGGUAUUAUUUUCUAUAACCUAUAUUUUAAAACUGAAAAAAAAUAAUAUGUAUUCGGUAGACAUGAUUGAAAAUAAUUGAAACAGUGAAUAUGUAGUCGGUAGAACUAUCCUAUAAAAGCAAAAUUUUAGUAAAUAUAUUAUCUUAACAUUUAAAUAAAAUUAAUUUUUUUCCAUGUUAUAUGAUAAAAAAUUGUAAAAUUUUGAUCAUUCAAAAUUCUUUUUAACUAGUCAAACGAAGAAUCAUAAUGAACACAAGCAGAAUUUUAUACAAGAUUAAGUUAGAUUAUAAGAUUCAAUAUAGAUUUUAUAAAAGUAAGGGCAAAACAAAGUUAAGGAGAGCAUUGUUAGUCAUCACCGAGUUACUGAAUCCAAGAAAAAUUGAGAGCAACCAAAAGAAAAUUCGAGUUACUCAAUGGGUCACAUUGUAUAAAUGUUCAUAUUAAUCUUUCAUGAGCAGUCAUCCAUUCUUUUGCUUCUUGAUAUAUCACAUGGUCUAACUUGGAUACUUUUUGUUACUUUCAUCUCUGUACAAAUGCUCAAACAUCUGUUUAAUAAUCUCAUUAAUUUGAACAAAUAAAACUAGCUAGCUCCCUAAACACCCAUUGAGUUUGCAGUAUUUUCAUGUAGCAAUAGAACCAAAUUUUAUAGUAAUUUCUUAUUUUUUAAAAGUAAUAGUAAUUUCUUAUUUUUUAAAGCAAUAUCAUACAUGUUUAAUUACAUUGAUCUGAACUAAUCAAACGUAAGGUGAUUUGAGAAGAUAAAGGAAAAAAAAAGGAGUUUACGGAAGAAGAAGGAAAGAAGAGGAAGAAGAAAUGGCCAAAGAAGAUGAUGAAAAGAAGAAAGGACGAAGAAGAUGCAGUAUAAAAGAAUUGAAAGAAAGAUUUUUAUAUUGUUUAGUUUUUAUGUCUCGAAGUUUGUUCAGGGAAUUGUUUUGUAGGAUGAAGAAAACGUGUAUAAGAAAACGUGGAAAUCCUUUUUUUUCUUUAAAUUUAUACCCGUAAAAGUUUUAUUUUUUAAAACAGUAUUUAAGCGGCUUGUAACUGGUUAAAUAUAAUUUAAUUAAAUUUUUUAUUAUAUUAUAGUAAUUAUGAAUUAUUGAUCUAAUUUAAUGGCUCAAAAUAAUUACGGUAUUGAUGCCAUGAUUUUAAUUACGGUAUCAUAUAAUUUUCCUUAUUUAUGUUAUAAUUUAACUUUUUUUAUAAUAUACUAAUAAAUUUUAAAAAAUAGUGCACCAAUAUUAUUUUAGUUCUUUACUAAUAAUAGUAAUUAGUGUUUUAACGAAUAUAAAAUUACUAUAAUUAUAUAUUAUCUAUAAUUUAUGUGGAUAAAUCAUCCAACAAUAUAAUUAACUAAUGCUUUAAAUGAUAUAAACUCUAUAUUAUAAAUUAUACCCUUUUAAAACUAUUUUAGUUGUUUAUGUUGUUGGUUAAAAUUAAUAAUAAUAAUAAUAAUUGUUACUUAAAUAAAAGCACCAGGUCGGCCAUGCUACUAUUUCCACCCUGGCAUGGAUCACUUCAGCCAAAUGGUACGAGCAGAACACGGGGACAAGUAUGAAUCGACCAGAGGCGAAUAUACCGACCAGAGGUAUUGCGGGAGACGCGAGAUCCCACGUUUACCCAUAAUGUAGCAGUUAGAGUCCCAUGAGGGGCUGCCACCACCCGAAAAAGGUGGGAUGCAGGGCAAACGGGAACGUGGGGACAGCGGCUAUAAAAGAAGAAGAAAUCGAUGAAGAAAAGGAUAGAAAAACUGAGAGAGGGGAAAACUCUGCCAAAUUAUAUCCAGAUAUUUUUCAUAUACCAAGAGUGAGCUAAUUGUAAGCAAUUAUUUGAACCUUAAUUACACCGUUUUCCCGUAAACACCUUGUGCUAACUUAGGCAUCGGAGGGUUUACGCCGGCAAAACCACCGGCGUCUCUGAUCCAUUUCUGUGAACGCAUGCUUAGUGAGAAAAAGAGGGACAACUCCAAUUUCACUAGCAGGAGCAAUCGUCGAAGCAAGAAGGAGUUGAUAUCUUCAUUAUUGAUAACGUGAACGUUGGUGUAAGUAUCUGGUCGGGCAAAGGGCGAGCAGAUUUCAGCAUCAACAAUAAUAAUAAUAAAAGACCAUUUAAAAUAUUUAGAUAUUGAAAAAGAUUUCAUUAAAUUAUUUUUUUAUUUUUUUAUUAUCACCAAAUUUUCAGACAAAUAACCAAAUAUAUUUGUAUUAUUUUCAUUUUUAUAUACUAUUUUAAAACAAUCAAUCAAAUACAUUUUCAAAUUCACUAAAAACUAAUCAUUCUUAUUUUAUAAAAUAAAUUCAAAAAUAUCAUUUGAAAAAAAAUACUAAACGCACCCUAAUAGUUUGAAUAUGGCGGAACACCAUUUUUCUAGCUCUAAAUUUUCUGUGGACUGCAAUUCAGGUUGCAUAUUGAAGCACGUGGGGCCUUGUAAAUACUGACAAUAAGACAAUGUGUUAUCAAUUUCUAUGAGUUUGCUGGUACCGCUCGAAAUUAUAUUUCAUGCUGAUACAUUGGGAUGCAAUGCUAAUUACGGUCGACAGAUGGCCGACAAGUAUUCAUUUCUUUUUCUUUUUUUUUUUGUUAUUCACAAAACAACCGCUCAAGUCAAAUCAAAAGUGGAAAAAGAUUUCCACGUCUAAAGCAAAAGCCAGAUAGAUAAUUACAUACGACAAAAAUCAUGUUGUAAUAUGUAUAUAUGUAUAGGUUUUGGCAAGAUGACAAUUCGUACGGUGAUAAACAUGCUUGAUCUUAUCUGAUCGAUAAUUGCGAUUGUGUUUUCGCCGCGUAAUAUGACUUAAUGACAAGGCAACUUCCGAUUUGCUAGAGAUUUGACGGGCUAUGGUCAUCAUGCGCCACUUAUCACAAUUACGAGAAUUGAUUUGGAUGAGAGCAACUUUAUAGAAUUAUUAGUUUUUGGGGGCGACUUUAUAGAAUUAUUAAACAACCAGAAUAAUACUUUGAAAAAGUAAGAUAAAAGUCAAGUAAUUAAUCGGAUCAAUCUUUUGGGGGCGGAAAAAAUAAAGUAAAUGUUUGAUGUGACUGAAAAGAAUAAUGAUAUGUGACCCCUAAAUAUAUUUCAACCGCUCACCAAUUAAUUAUCUCUACUAAUUUCCAAAAGUACCCUUGUUCAUAUAAGUUUAAUUCUGCAGCUCCAAACUUAAUUUCAAGUUUAGUGUUGGCCAAAAAUGGUCUCGGAACUGAGAAUAUGACUUUUCAUAAUAUAAUGUAGUGAAAUAAUCAAUGCAAAUUGCAAACAAAACGCAGGGGAAAUAAAACCGCCGAAAAUAUUAGAAACCUUGGAGAAAGAUUGCUGAGACGUUGGAUUGUUAGUAUCGGUAUUGUCUUGGCAAGCAAACGCGCCAAUUUUCAAUCUUUACUUUAGAAAAUCAAUUGCUGUCGUGGGCGUUUGGCAGGGGAGGAAAUGAAGGAAAGUGGUGGAGAAUGAGAGAAGGGAGAGAGGAAAAAAUGGGCACUUUUUGAAAAUAAACAUUAUUUUACUAAGUAUAUUUUAAUAAUUAUUUUAGAUAUUUUAAGUUAAAAUGAGAAAAAUAGGGGUUAGUGAGAUAAGUUGUGGAGGUCAAAUAUCACUAUUCUCUUAAAAAAGAGUGAAGCUGUUGGCAGUACUUUGUAGUCUUUAUAAAAUCCCACCUCAAAAAAAAUUAUAGUGAAGGACAAAUAAGAAUAAAGCAUACAUAAGUCCCACCCCCCCCAACAAAAAAAAACAUAAUCAAUCCUUUUCUUUUUUUUAAUUUUCUACUUGUUUCUUCCUAUUUAGCUAAGAUAAAUUGUAAAAAUUUAGAACAAUCCAUUACUCUUUUCAUAUUUCUUAUUUAUUUAAUAUAUUUUAUGCUUAAAAUUGCUUUUCAAAUUAAAAUUUAGAAUAUGUGUAAUUUAAGCCAAUGAUAAACAUUGAAAAAUUUUAUCACCCAAAAAAUUUUUAAUUUGUGUGUCCGGUAACAAUAAGAUUACAAAAUAAAAGGAAAAUAGCAUAAUAAGACCUUAAGUUUUAACAAAAUAAAAAAUUAGAAGUGUAUUAAAAAAGAAGAAAUUUUUUAAAAUAAAAUAAAUAUAACUGAAAAAAAAUGGGGGUUUUAUGAGGAUAUUAGGGGGUGCCAAUAGUUCAACUUUCUUUAGAAAUCCAAAUUAUGCCCAAUGCCUAGGGCCUUGUACAGCCCGAAGGUAUGUAUUUUACUCAAUGGGCAAGCUAGUAUUUGGGGGUAUUUAUCUUCUAUCUAAUAAAAGUUCAAACAAACUUUGAAAAAUAAAUGGUUUCAAUACUACAUUACAAACUGUUCAAAGUCAUAUAUAUUAUCCGAUUCAAAUAAAANNNNNNNNNNNNNNNNNNNNNNNNNNNNNNNNNNNNNNNNNNNNNNNNNNNNNNNNNNNNNNNNNNNNNNNNNNNNNNNNNNNNNNNNNNNNNNNNNNNNNNNNNNNNNNNNNNNNNNNNNNNNNNNNNNNNNNNNNNNNNNNNNNNNNNNNNNNNNNNNNNNNNNNNNNNNNNNNNNNNNNNNNNNNNNNNNNNNNNNNNNNNNNNNNNNNNNNNNNNNNNNNNNNNNNNNNNNNNNNNNNNNNNNNNNNNNNNNNNNNNNNNNNNNNNNNNNNNNNNNNNNNNNNNNNNNNNNNNNNNNNNNNNNNNNNNNNNNNNNNNNNNNNNNNNNNNNNNNNNNNNNNNNNNNNNNNNNNNNNNNNNNNNNNNNNNNNNNNNNNNNNNNNNNNNNNNNNNNNNNNNNNNNNNNNNNNNNNNNNNNNNNNNNNNNNNNNNNNNNNNNNNNNNNNNNNNNNNNNNNNNNNNNNNNNNNNNNNNNNNNNNNNNNNNNNNNNNNNNNNNNNNNNNNNNNNNNNNNNNNNNNNNNNNNNNNNNNNNNNNNNNNNNNNNNNNNNNNNNNNNNNNNNNNNNNNNNNNNNNNNNNNNNNNNNNNNNNNNNNNNNNNNNNNNNNNNNNNNNNNNNNNNNNNNNNNNNNNNNNNNNNNNNNNNNNNNNNNNNNNNNNNNNNNNNNNNNNNNNNNNNNNNNNNNNNNNNNNNNNNNNNNNNNNNNNNNNNNNNNNNNNNNNNNNNNNNNNNNNNNNNNNNNNNNNNNNNNNNNNNNNNNNNNNNNNNNNNNNNNNNNNNNNNNNNNNNNNNNNNNNNNNNNNNNNNNNNNNNNNNNNNNNNNNNNNNNNNNNNNNNNNNNNNNNNNNNNNNNNNNNNNNNNNNNNNNNNNNNNNNNNNNNNNNNNNNNNNNNNNNNNNNNNNNNNNNNNNNNNNNNNNNNNNNNNNNNNNNNNNNNNNNNNNNNNNNNNNNNNNNNNNNNNNNNNNNNNNNNNNNNNNNNNNNNNNNNNNNNNNNNNNNNNNNNNNNNNNNNNNNNNNNNNNNNUGCAGAUUUUAUUCUAAAUUAAAAUAAAUUAUUAAUGAAACUAAUAUACUAAUUAAAAUAAAAACGCAAUAAAUAAAAUGCAACAAAGUAAAUUAUCACGUCAAACUCAAGGAUAAAACCAAUAAGAAUAUAGAGUAGUUGAGUGAAUAAACUCUCCUAAUGGUCUUGACUAUUUUCUAAUGGUUGGCUCGGUUGCUGUAGGAUCUGCUACAGCACUGGGCAGAAUCCUUAUGCAUCCUCAGCCGUUGCAUAUUGGAUAUCUUAUAUCUAUAUGUAACUUAAUAGUGAUAAGUUCUUAUGCCAACAUAAGAUAUAACAUUACACAUUUAGGUUCUAUUUACCCUACAAGGUGAAUCCCUGUGUCUAGUUCAUCACUAAUCGUAAAUCAAGCAUGGUCCUUUUGGGACUCAAGUAAAACUCAAUCUAGGAAACCCAAUUUAAGAUCAAGUAUUGCUUUGAUAUAUUCCACUAAGAUAGGCUCUUUUGUGACUCUUCCUUAGCUAGUAUCAUUAAAUAGGUGAUCAGCCGAAAUAAUGAAUAAAAAUAAAUUCGAUCAAAACAAAAUGCUACAGCAAACAUGCAGCAACUCAUAUUUUCAGUCAAUAAACCAUCAAUAUUAUUUAUUACUCAACUAAAAAUAAAUUUAUUUCAUGGUUUGCAAAAGAAAAAUAAAGAACAAAGUUUUAGCCAUGAAACACAUUCUCAUGAAUAAAUAGAAAACAAGAAAACAAGAAAAGAACAAGAGGCCUGGAGUUUCUUGAUUGAUUUCUGCAAAUUNNNNNNNNNNNNNNNNNNNNNNNNNNNNNNNNNNNNNNNNNNNNNNNNNNNNNNNNNNNNNNNNNNNNNNNNNNNNNNNNNNNNNNNNNNNNNNNNNNNNNNNNNNNNNNNNNNNGCUGAAAAUUAGGGUAAACGGAAGCCUAGGGCGCCAAUAAGUCAGAUUAGAAAACUGUAAAUCGCAAUUCUGUAUACCGCUGCACUCCGGCCUCCAGCUUGCUCAUGUCCAGCUCGGGAUAUUCUUCCUUAAGCACAGACAUGAUGCACUUAUAGGAGAAAGCAACCCCAGAAUCAUACUCGGCAUCCAGCCGAUCGUCCACAUCAGUGGAUUUGCCUUUCUCCUCAGCCAGCUGCUCACCCAAGGAUUUGAUUUUCCCCUCAAGGGCGGUUCUCAGAGUAUCCCUUUCACUUUGAGUAGCCUGAAGAUCAGAUCUCAGGUCACCCAACUCACCCUCAAGUUUGGAGGAAGUGGACUCAGCAACCGCAACUUUCUCCUCUAGCUCCGUAAUCUGCUUGUUCAGCUCGGCCAGCUUCUCCUUGGAGCGAUCAGCAGAUUCAGCUUUCUUCUUUAAUUCCUGAUUGUCAGCUUGAAGCUUCCUCUCAUGGCGCGCGGACCCGAUCUUGUAGCACGAAACCAUGGUGGCCAGCCUGAAGGAUACUCUUUGAACAGAAGCAGCUAACUCGGAGAGGUUCAUACUCUCGAUGUCUUUCACCAUCUUGGGCCCCACCGAUUUUUUGUAAUCCUUCUGAUAUGGGCUCAGGUAGUCACCUUGAUCCCGAGAUGGUAGAGAAGAAGAUCGGUCCCCAGACUGGAAACUGACCUCAGGACUCUUGUCAGAAGUUUUCUCCCCACCACUCUUACGGGGUGGGGGAGGGGGCAGAGCAGGAACAGGAGCCUUGGAAGGGCCGACGCUGGUUUUCUUUGGAGGAGGAGGAGGGUUGCUGGAGCUGCUUGGAGCCCGACCAUGCUUCCUGCUCAUCGUGCUGAGGAUCUUGUUAUCCAUUCCAGCAGCAAUAUCUACCAAGCUCGAACAACCAAGUUUGUUGGCGACAAGAGGUCUUGGCAAGUAGACGCGUUCACCAGAGCAGUUUCCACCUGAAGCAAAGGUCGGUCUUCAAGAUCCUUAAUAAAACCCCACGAUUCUAAAAAAAUAAACAAGGUUAAAGAACCCGAUAAGUGGCAAUUGGAGAAAAAACACAGGUAAAAAAUGAACGACCUAGGGUGACAAAAUGCGUUAGAAGGUAAAUAUCACCACCCAACGAAUGGGCCGUUGGACACCAAUUUCCUCCAGCAAAUAAGAAUUUGUUCUUCUAAUUUUUGCACGAGGAGGGGAAGCCGGUGAUUGGCUUCCUCUUCGCAGAGCUCGACAUAAAAUAAUACCAGCCUGCUUCCUUUAGGCUACUCCUCAGCUGGUAUAAAUGCUUUACUUUAACAUGGGAGGGCUCCUCUGAUCCACACCUCUCCCAUAAUAUGAACAUAGCCGAGAGAACCCUCCACCCAUUUGGAUGUAAUUGACCUGGGGCCAUAUGCAUAUCCCCCAGUAUCUUGGCAAAAUAACACUGAAGGGGCAGCCGAGCUCCUAGUCUGAAACUCUCUAAGUGCAUUGUCACAUACCCCCGCGGAGGCCGACUAGGAACAUCACCCUUCCUAGGGACUACAAGGAUAACCUCCUCAGGAAUGUCAUAGAGAUUCCUAAGCUUGAACAUAUCAGUUUGGGUGGUGGCACAGGCUAUGUAAUCGAUUGGAUAAGAAUCUGCCUCCACCCUAUGGCCAAGGUGUCUUUUCUGAGGAAGUCGGGUCGGCUCGGAACUGCUUCCCUCACCAUCACCCACUUCUUCAGGGACCCCUACCCCACCAGAAUUGUGGUUCUCACCAGAGCCCGACGCAGGUCCACCUCCAUUCCCUACAAGCUCUAGUUCGGGGGAGGGAGAAACAGCCAAAGGGUGUGAGUACUCAAGGGUAUCCCUGCCAUGGGAAGGGCCUACACUACCCGAGGGACGUAAGAAAUCGGUGGGUAUCGACAAGUUAAGGUCUGAAUCCCCUGCUUCUUCGUCACUCUCAUCGACAAUUAACCUCAUUUUCUGAUUUGACAUGUCGGAAUCCCAAAAGAAUACAAAGAAAACUCGAGUAUAGGGACACAAAAAGGGCAACACAAAACCCAAUCAACAACAACCAGAGGAGAAGUUAAAAGCAAUACCUGGAUUGAACUGGCACUGAUAGCGCGGCCGUGACAGAAGAAAAACCCAGCGAGUGGAUACUCCGGAUGCGAGAAGUGUGAGCAAAGUUCAAGAAGGGGGUUGGUUGGCGACGGAGAGACGAAUGGCAAAACGAUGAUGAUUUAAGUCUAGGGAUUUGAAACGAAAAGGGGGAAAUGAAAACAUUUAAGUGAUGAGGAUGCCAGCUCAUUCACCGAAUAUAGAGGACAGAUAACCCGUCGUUUCAAAUUUCAAAUACGAAGAGUCUGGAGAUGCCACGUCACUAACCGUUACCAAAGACCAGGUUAGAUGCAAGCCCAGAUAUGCAAUGGACAUGAUUAUCUAGGCCCAUGCCCAGGUCGGAUUCUCCCCAGAAGAAAAAAUGGUACCUCAGGUCUGUCCUGGUAAACAGAAGACCAGAUGAGAAGCCCCCGGGUUGGCAAGAGUUGACUAUCAGUUUCUACUCUUAACUCAUUUCACUCGCAAGACCAGAAACUGGGGAACUGGUGUUACGUAAAUAAAAGCACCAUGUCGACCAUGCUACUAUUUCCACCCCGGCAUGGAUCAAUUCAGCCAAAUGGUACGAGCAGAACACGGGGACAAGUAUGAACCGACCAGAGGUGAAUAUACCGACCAGAGGUAUAUACCAAGCCAAUACCCGUCCCCCAAAAAAGUGGGAACACGAUCCCACAGAAUCACGGUAGUUACGCUUUUCCCAGAACCAUUGCGGGAGACGCGAGAUCCCACGUUUACCCAUAAUGUAGCAGUUAGAGUCCCAUGAGGGGCUGCCACCACCCGAAAAAGGUGGGAUGCAGGGCAAACGNNNNNNNNNNNNNNNNNNNNNNNNNNNNNNNNNNNNNNNNNNNNNNNNNNNNNNNNNNNNNNNNNNNNNNNNNNNNNNNNNNNNNNNNNNNNNNNNNNNNNNNNNNNNNNNNNNNNNNNNNNNNNNNNNNNNNNNNNNNNNNNNNNNNNNNNNNNNNNNNNNNNNNNNNNNNNNNNNNNNNNNNNNNNNNNNNNNNNNNNNNNNNNNNNNNNNNNNNNNNNNNNNNNNNNNNNNNNNNNNNNNNNNNNNNNNNNNNNNNNNNNNNNNNNNNNNNNNNNNNNNNNNNNNNNNNNNNNNNNNNNNNNNNNNNNNNNNNNNNNNNNNNNNNNNNNNNNNNNNNNNNNNNNNNNNNNNNNNNNNNNNNNNNNNNNNNNNNNNNNNNNNNNNNNNNNNNNNNNNNNNNNNNNNNNNNNNNNNNNNNNNNNNNNNNNNNNNNNNNNNNNNNNNNNNNNNNNNNNNNNNNNNNNNNNNNNNNNNNNNNNNNNNNNNNNNNNNNNNNNNNNNNNNNNNNNNNNNNNNNNNNNNNNNNNNNNNNNNNNNNNNNNNNNNNNNNNNNNNNNNNNNNNNNNNNNNNNNNNNNNNNNNNNNNNNNNNNNNNNNNNNNNNNNNNNNNNNNNNNNNNNNNNNNNNNNNNNNNNNNNNNNNNNNNNNNNNNNNNNNNNNNNNNNNNNNNNNNNNNNNNNNNNNNNNNNNNNNNNNNNNNNNNNNNNNNNNNNNNNNNNNNNNNNNNNNNNNNNNNNNNNNNNNNNNNNNNNNNNNNNNNNNNNNNNNNNNNNNNNNNNNNNNNNNNNNNNNNNNNNNNNNNNNNNNNNNNNNNNNNNNNNNNNNNNNNNNNNNNNNNNNNNNNNNNNNNNNNNNNNNNNNNNNNNNNNNNNNNNNNNNNNNNNNNNNNNNNNNNNNNNNNNNNNNNNNNNNNNNNNNNNNNNNNNNNNNNNNNNNNNNNNNNNNNNNNNNNNNNNNNNNNNNNNNNNNNNNNNNNNNNNNNNNNNNNNNNNNNNNNNNNNNNNNNNNNNNNNNNNNNNNNNNNNNNNNNNNNNNNNNNNNNNNNNNNNNNNNNNNNNNNNNNNNNNNNNNNNNNNNNNNNNNNNNNNNNNNNNNNNNNNNNNNNNNNNNNNNNNNNNNNNNNNNNNNNNNNNNNNNNNNNNNNNNNNNNNNNNNNNNNNNNNNNNNNNNNNNNNNNNNNNNNNNNNNNNNNNNNNNNNNNNNNNNNNNNNNNNNNNNNNNNNNNNNNNNNNNNNNNNNNNNNNNNNNNNNNNNNNNNNNNNNNNNNNNNNNNNNNNNNNNNNNNNNNNNNNNNNNNNNNNNNNNNNNNNNNNNNNNNNNNNNNNNNNNNNNNNNNNNNNNNNNNNNNNNNNNNNNNNNNNNNNNNNNNNNNNNNNNNNNNNNNNNNNNNNNNNNNNNNNNNNNNNNNNNNNNNNNNNNNNNNNNNNNNNNNNNNNNNNNNNNNNNNNNNNNNNNNNNNNNNNNNNNNNNNNNNNNNNNNNNNNNNNNNNNNNNNNNNNNNNNNNNNNNNNNNNNNNNNNNNNNNNNNNNNNNNNNNNNNNNNNNNNNNNNNNNNNNNNNNNNNNNNNNNNNNNNNNNNNNNNNNNNNNNNNNNNNNNNNNNNNNNNNNNNNNNNNNNNNNNNNNNNNNNNNNNNNNNNNNNNNNNNNNNNNNNNNNNNNNNNNNNNNNNNNNNNNNNNNNNNNNNNNNNNNNNNNNNNNNNNNNNNNNNNNNNNNNNNNNNNNNNNNNNNNNNNNNNNNNNNNNNNNNNNNNNNNNNNNNNNNNNNNNNNNNNNNNNNNNNNNNNNNNNNNNNNNNNNNNNNNNNNNNNNNNNNNNNNNNNNNNNNNNNNNNNNNNNNNNNNNNNNNNNNNNNNNNNNNNNNNNNNNNNNNNNNNNNNNNNNNNNNNNNNNNNNNNNNNNNNNNNNNNNNNNNNNNNNNNNNNNNNNNNNNNNNNNNNNNNNNNNNNNNNNNNNNNNNNNNNNNNNNNNNNNNNNNNNNNNNNNNNNNNNNNNNNNNNNNNNNNNNNNNNNNNNNNNNNNNNNNNNNNNNNNNNNNNNNNNNNNNNNNNNNNNNNNNNNNNNNNNNNNNNNNNNNNNNNNNNNNNNNNNNNNNNNNNNNNNNNNNNNNNNNNNNNNNNNNNNNNNNNNNNNNNNNNNNNNNNNNNNNNNNNNNNNNNNNNNNNNNNNNNNNNNNNNNNNNNNNNNNNNNNNNNNNNNNNNNNNNNNNNNNNNNNNNNNNNNNNNNNNNNNNNNNNNNNNNNNNNNNNNNNNNNNNNNNNNNNNNAAAUAGCCAAUAAUUUUGAUUUUUUUUUUAGUUAUUUCCGUCUACAAAUUAUUGUUAAGGGUAAUAUUGUCUUUGCACAGUCAACUAACGGUCAAUGUUAAAAUUAACUGACGGUAGGGGGUUUUCUUACAAAUAAAUCAAUUCUCGCCAUCUACUUGCAACAAGCCCAAACUUUAUGGGAGGUUUUUAAAAAUUAUCCAUGUUAAAAAGCUAAAACUAAAUGUUUCUUUAACUUUUUGGAAAUUUGAGCCAAUUACUUAGGGUGCAUUCACGGCAGCGGCACAAUACUCGACCACUUAUAUUUUCACUUAAAUCCAAACGCACCAUUAGUUGGCCCUUGUGGUUAAAAUCAUCUUUAUUACAUAUCUAUUUCAUUUAAAAGCUACUUAGUAACUCUUUACUUUACUUGCUGCAUGUUGGAUUUGAUUUAAAUGUUAAGUUACAUAUCUUAGUUUAAAAUUAUUUUUUAGCCUUGAGAAGUUGGAUCCAACAAUUAUGUUUUGAGUAAUUUUUAAAUUUAGAGUUUUAUCUGAAUUAUUGACCAAUGCGCUAGUGCCUAAAUAAAAAUUUACCCGAAAGAUAAAAAUAAAUUACAAAUAUCAAUUUCUUUUUUAUAAAGUAAAAUUGAAAUAUACAUCUUGUUAAAGGAAAGAAAGCUCUGUGAAUUUAGAUAGAUUUCUUUAGCUUAUCUUUUAAACAUGUGUAUUUAUAUCAUUACAUAGUUAAGAUUCUUAUUACCAAGAAAAUCACAUCAACACUUGAUCAAAAUUUUAUUUAUCAAAUACUAAGAAGAUAUUAGAUAUCUACUUUUAUAACAAGUGAAAUCUACCUUCAAUUUAUGCUUUACAAAGGGUUAAAGGAAAAUUACCAUUUUCCCUCCUCCAGCAGAUGGUAAAGGGAAAAAGACAAUUAUACCACUAAAGUUUGGAAAAAUAGUUAUCAACACUCCAAGUUUUCAAAAAGGAAUACCAAGAUCCCAUUUUAACCAUAAUGCCCUUUAUCUCCAUUAUCUUCAAAAAAUUAACUCUAAUGUUUUAUAAUAAAUAGGAAUAUAACAUUAAAAUAAAUGUAAUAAUAUGUACAUUUUAAAAAAAUUAAUGUCUAAAAAUAUUUAAUAUUUUACAAUCUACUAGAUAUAUUUUGUUAUGUUAAUGUAAAUUUUAUAAUAAAUAGAAUCAUAAUAUUAAAAUAAAUGUAUUAAAAUUUAAAUUAUCUUGAAUAUUAUGUAAAAUGAUAAUUUCAAUGUUAUUAGUAUGUGAGUUUUUUUUACUUGUAAAAUGUAUUUAAUACAAAUAUUUAUUUAAAAUCUAUAACAAAUAAAAAUAUAUUAUUAAAAUAAAUAUAAUAAUUUACAUAUUAAAAUUUAUUAAAAUAUUCUAAUAUUGUUAGUCUUUUGCAUAGAUUACACUAUUUAUAUAAUAUUAGCAUUUAUAAAAAAAAAUUUAAAGUCAUUUUUUUGGGAUAAUAGAGGUAAAGGACAUAAUGAUCAAAAGAAGCUCUUGGUGUCCUUUUUUAGAAACUUGGGGGUGUUGAUGAAGGGUGCAUAUAUCAUUUCUGUGGUAAAAAGACAAAAAUAGUACAAUACUUUGAAAUCUACCAUUUUUAUAAACUAAGGUGGCGUUUAUUUUUUAACUUAAUGACUUAAAGUGACUUAACUUAAUUAAUUAAGUUAAUUAGAGGUGUUUAAUUAAGUUAAUUAGAGGUGUUUGAUUUUAUAACUUAAUGAGACUUUUUAGAUAAUUUUAACUUAAUAAUUACUUAAUGGAGAAACCUUAAUUAAAUCAAUUACUUGCUAAUGUCAAAAAUAUCUCUGCUUUAUAAUUUAUUUUUCAUGUCUAUUCCAAAACUUACCCAUAGACAAUUACCCAACAUAAUAAUCUCAUCAUUAGUUUACUUAUAAAUGUUAAAAUAUUGUGGUAUUUAAUAUAUUAUUUAUUUGACAUUCAAAUUUAAUAAGGAUACAAAUGUAAAAGUACAUAUUUUCAGUUUUUUAAGUUGAAAAAAAAAACAACUUAAUACUUAUUUUCUGAGAUUCAGACGAAAAAAUAAACAUAUUAUUUAGAUUCAGAUAUUCAAAUCUAUUCAGAAUUCAGACUAAUUCAGAUCUAUUCAGAUUUCAGAUAAAAAAACAAACGCCACUUAAAUUUGUAAAAUACUAUUUUUACACUUUGAUGUUAACAAGGAAUCCGUUAGUGAAUUUGUUUGAAAAGAUGUUUUUAUCCUUGAAAUGUAAUUUAAUAUUUUGAAGUAGAAUAUUUUUAGGAAAUGAAGUCAAAUUCGGAUGUAUAACAAAUAUAUAUAUAAAGCUCUUAAUGAGAGGAACAAAAAUCUAAGUAAAUAUUUUACCACGUUCUAUUGUUUGUGGGGAAAAUGACACCUGUAUCUCCAAGACCCUCGGGUUUUCAAUAAAGGAUGCCAAGAUCCCUUGUUGACUAUAAUACACUUUAGCUUUAUUUACUCAAAAAAAAUGACUCCAAUUUUUUAGAGUAAAUGCAAAUAUAAUAUUAAAAUAAAUGUAACAAUAUAUACUUUUUAAAAUAAUUUCUAUAUUUAGAAAAUAUUUUAAUAUUUUACUAUCUUGUAUUGCAUUAAAAAAAAUAUAAUAAAUAGAAACAUAAAGUUAAAAUAAAUAUUUAAAUAUUUCAAUUGUUUUCAAGAUUAUAUAAAAUAAUUUUAAUAUUAUUAAUUUAUGAGAUUUAUUUCAUUAAUUGUAAAAUCUAUUUAACCAAGGGAUGUUUGGUUUAAAGAAAGGGGAAGAGAGGAAAAGAGUAGAAUGGAAGGAAAUGGAGAAGAAAUGAGUGAAGGAGAAUAGUGAAAUUAAAUUUCAUUAUUUGGUUUGACAUAAAAUUUGAUAGGAAAAAGAAUUACAAUUUUUUUCUCUGGACAAAUUUAUUCUUUGCCUUAAAUACGAUCUAUAUUAGCAAUGAAAUAUAAUUUAAUUUCAAUACCAAACUUUUUUAAUGUCAAAAAGUCCUAAAAUAAUUCAUGAUUUAUUAGAAUUAUAUAUAUAUAACGGAGGUCCAGCGGCAAUCGAUGACGUUUCGACGGAAAUCAGUGGCGGUCGACGGCAUUCCAGUAGUGGUUUGGCAGAGUUCCGGUGAAAGUCUGGCAGAUGUUCGGUGACGGUUUGUCGGAGUUCCGGCGGCGGUUAAUUUAUAUUUCUAUAUUUUCAUAUUAAAUAAAUAAAUAAGUUUAUUUAUUUUGUUAAGUUUCUUAAAUCAUUCAUUAAAUUUAAUUAAUAUAAAAUUAUUUAUAACAUUAAAUUGAUGAUAUAAAAUUAUAAAUAAUAAUUACUAAGGGUAUUAAAUAAGCUAAAAAGUUGAAGGUAAUUUUGGAAGUUUUGGUUUCUAAUAUAAGAGGAAUUUAAAUUCUUCACUCUUUAGUGUGGAAAUCAAAUUAUACAUUAAUUCUUAUAUAUUUUGUCUAACUAAACAAUGAAAAUAAAAAUAGAACUUAAAUUACUUUCCUCUCCUCCAUUCUCUGCUCCCAACCAAACAACACCUAAAGAUUUAUUUAAAAUUUUUGUAAUAAAUACAGAUAAAUUAUUAAAAUAAAUAUAAUAAUUUGUAUGCUAAAGUUAUUUUUAUAUAUUAUAAAAUAUUCUAAUAUUCUAUUAGAUAAAUUAGAUUAUUUAAAUUAUAUUUGUCUUUAUUAGAAAAAUCUAAAAACCAAUUUUUUUAGUUACCAUUCACAAAGGAUAUUAUAGUCAAAAGAGGAUUUUGGUGUCCCUUAUUGAAUUCUUGAGGGUACAUAACUAUUUUCCCAAACUUAAAGUGUAAGUGUUCUUUUUCCUUGUUUGUGCCUCAAAAACUUAUUUGAAUAUUUAAAAAAGACUUCUAAUAGAUUUUUGAUGCAAUAAAUGACAAAAUUUGGCAUACAUUUCUAAUUAGUUCUAUUCCUCACGUUGACUGCAGUAACUUACUCAAACAGCUCUCUGAAAGAUAACAAAAUGAAUAGUCCUUCGUGACUGCAGUCUUCUUUCUUCUCCUUGCCUUUGCCACAAAACCGCUUGUGGGAUUCGCUGAUCCUUUGGUUGAUGUCAAUGGCAACAAGGUCGAAGCAUCCCGAGACUACUAUUUGGUCUCAGCAAUUCGAGGAGCAGGCGGCGGCGGCCUCACCCUCUUCAGGGGCAGAAACGAACUCUGCCCACUUGAUGUUGUCCAACUAAGUUCCGACUUACAAAAAGGAACCCGUUUAAGAUUCGCAACGUAUGACAACACUAGUAUUAUCAAUGAAGAAGUGGAUCUGAACGUGAGAUUCUCGACAGAGACUCGCUGCAACGAACCCACAGUAUGGAGAGUCGACAGCUAUGAUGCAUCGAGAGGAAAAUCAUUUAUAUCAACUGGUGGUGUUGAAGGAAACCCUGGAGCUCAAGCUUUGAAAAACUGGUUUAAGUUUGAGAGAAUUGGAAGAGAUCAAGGUGAGUAAUAGGGUAAAAAUACCAAUAUUUCUUGAUUUAAGUACCUAUUUAAUUCUUAUAUUUUAAAAAAUACCUCAAAAACUUAUAAUGAAAAUUUUACAUUACAUUCUUAUCCUUUUUUUUUUCUUUUCUUUUAAUGAAAUAACUUAAUUUGAUAUAUUAUAAUUUAUUUAUUGAUAUCCCAAAAAUAUUAUUGUAAAAAUAUUAUUGUAAAAAGAAAGUAAGGAUGGAAUUGUGGCUUAUUUAACAAUAAAAGUGUCUUGAGAUUUUUUUUUAAAUAUAGAGAUCAAAUAAAUAUUUAACUCAAAAUAUAAGCAAUAAAUAAAUAUUUACCCUAAGUAAUAAUGAUAACGGAACACAAAAUUUGAAGAGACAAAUAAUGACAAAAUACGACAAAAUUAACCAUCUCACUUAUCUUGUAUUGAUUUUUUUUUUUAACUGACUUUACAAAAUUGUAUAUUAAUGUAUCCUUGCUCUUUCAUUUUGAAAAAAAAAAAAAUGAAAUACUUCAAUGUUCAAUCAACCAUGACAAUAUUCAUAGGCAUAUUCAUGUGACUAAGUUGAAAAAUUAAUAUUCAUUCAAGUGAUAGGCUUAAGCAUUACAAUUAAAAAAAAGUUGUGACAAUCAGCUUAUUCAGAUAUCUGUACCCCACAGUCGUGGAUCUUAUCCCAACUAACAUGCUUUAAGACAAUGAACAAAACCGUGUAGUUAAACACAUUUCAAUUGUCUUGAACCAAACCGUGAAACAGAUAUCAAUUGUCUUGAUGCAAAUAAUUAUGAGUAAUAUCUUGCUAACAUUUUGGACCGCUUGUUAGUGAAUGCAACGUACAGGGUAUCUCCAAUUCUUAACUAGGAUUAAUAAGGGUAAAUAUAUUAGAAUAUAUAGUAUUUAAGUCAGAUCAUUCUUAAAUACUUUAUUUGAAUUUGCCUUGUUUUUUAUUUGUAUUUGAGUUUUUUUUUUCUAGUUAGUAUAGUUUUAUAUAUGUUUGACCAGUAACUUCUUUCUCGCUUAUUUUAUUAGAAUUUUUCUAUGAAUCUACUCGUGUUCAAAAGUUAGCUUAAAAUUUGAAAGUUUUAUAUUAUUAGUCCAGUAAUAGGGAUGGCAAAAAAAAAAUCAACUUGAUUUUAUCCCUAAUAAACUCUCCUGUUAUAUUUUUCAAAUACUCGGCAAUAUUCAUGCUCAGGCCUCACCUUAAAAGCUUGAUUCCAACCCGAAAGCUAGAAAAAUGCUUUACAAUAAAAAUACAUAUUUUUUUAUAAUUAGAGUACACAUUUUAAUAUUUAUAUACCCCACUAAUAAUAUAUAUUUAAAGUUGUAAAUCCUUUAACCCAACUUUUAAAUCCUAAUCUAAUAAAAACAAAAUUUUAUAGACUACCAAGCUGUUUACAAAUUAAAUUUUAUUUUUAAAACACCUUUUAAUAUAUUUUAAAGUUUAUAACGUUUUAUUUUUAUCAUAUUACGCUUUAGAAGGAUUUAAAUGUUGUUAUGAAUGGGCUAAACAGAUACAAAAAUAAAUAUUUUAACCUUUUGUUUUUAAGCAUUUCUCUUGCUUUAAGCUGGGUUCAGGUUUUUUAAGGUGAAAUUUAAGCCAAACAUAAGUGUGUUUAGAAAACAUGCCCAGGGCGGGCUACCUAGGCUAGGGUGGAGCCGAUUUAUUUUGCCAUCCCCAGUAUGGGGGUAAUAAUAUAAGUUUAAGGCAACCAUCAAUUCUUGAGUUAGUUUUUGAACAUAAAUUAAGCAUAUAGGCUUAUGGGCUUCUAUAGUACGAUGGAACCCACAAAUUUAUUGUUGACUGAAAAUGAUAUUUAACAUGUCAAUGUGGUCCUUUUUCCUUUGCUUCAAAAACCAAAUAUCUGGGUAUAUUAUCUCCCUUGCAAACUGAUUUUAAGCUAGAAAAUAGGAGUUGGACUAUUGGUACCCACCCAAUCUCCUCAUGCAACCCCAUUUUUAGUUGUAUUUAUUUUAUUUCUGAAAAUUUCCUUUUUUUAAUACAUUCUUUUAGCUUUUAAUUUAAUUUUUUUAAUGUUAAAACUCAAAGUGGUAUUUUGUCUUUUUUUUUUUUUGGCAAUCUUAUUGUUUGUCUACAAACAAAUUAAAAAAUUUUCUAAGUAAUGAAUUUUUAGAUGUCAAUCAUUGGUUUAAAUUAAACUAUUUUAAAUUAUAACUUGGAAGGAAAUUAAACACAAAAAUAUAUAACCAGUAAGAAAUAGGAAAAAAAUAAAUUAUUUUAAGUCUAUUUUAAUUAGAUAGGAAGUGAAAGAUGGAAAAUAAAAAAGAAGGAUUGAUUAUGAAUUCAAGAAUUUGUUGGAAAAAUAUAACUGUGUGUUUGAUUCUUAUUUGUUUUAACUAUAAUUUUAUUUAAAGUGGGGUUUUAUAAGGAUAAUAAAGGGGUACCAAUAGCUUCACUUAGAAAAUAGUUUCUGGUAUGAUGAUAUGAGCUUCAAGCAAUCCUUAACUCUUGUUGUAACUUUUUAGUAUAACUUAGGCCCAUAAGAUUUGAUAUGAUCACAUUAUAAUCCCCUAAAUUAAAAAGAUUUUAAUAUGUUUCAAUUUUUUUUCUUUUACUAAUUGUUGAAAAUAAAGAGCAGUAUAGAUAAGGAUAACAAUUGAUUUUUGUAAGCAUCAAGGCUUAACUUAAUUAUAACAUGAACGAAAAUAUUAAAACGGAAAUGUUACAAUUACCAGGAAAAGAAAUGUUACAAUUAUACUGAUUAUGAUUUUUUAACGAGUUAAUCCUUGAUGCUUAAUUUAUUUGAUUGAUUUACAAUAUAUUAUUAAGGAUUAACUCGUUGUCCAGGUGUUCUAUCAUAUUCAUGCCUAUUAGCCCUCUUCUUAAUCAAAAUACUAAUCGCAACUCUUCUUCUAUCAAGACUGUGUUUUGGCGUUCUCCAGGGGUUCCUUGGCUUGAGAUAAAUACGGAUGGUUUGGCUACGGGUAAUCCCAGAAUCUCGGUUUGUGGGCUUUUUUCAAGGCUUUAAUGGUGCUUUUACGAAGCCGCCUUUACUGUGGCUCUGGGCCUUGUUAUGCUGAGAUUAAUGCCAUUCAAGCUGUUAAUAUUGCUCUUUCCAUGGGAUGGCAAUUUGUUUGGCUGAAGAGGGAUUCAAAUCUGCUAACUCUUGCUUAUUUGCAGAACUCUCUUUUUUAUCUGCCGGGGCAACUCGUACUUUGUGGUUGAACUGUCUAUAACAGAUCAGUCAUAUGUAGUUUCGUAGUCAUAUUAAUUUUGAAGGGUAAUUCGGUUGCUGAUUGCUUAGGAAAGGCGGGGUCUAACUGAUUCGAGGCCCUUGGUGAACUUUUUUUUUUCUUUUAAAGACAUUCUUACGUUAAACAACAUCAAUUCCCAAAGGAAUAUUAAAGAGCUUAUAAUUCAACUAUCUUUAAUAAUAUAUUGAAUUUCAACAAUUAUCAACAUGAUCCUAAAAUAUAUAUAUAUUUAUUGUGAUCAUCUUCAAAGUUGAUUAUUUCAUUCACUAUUUCAUUAUUGUUUAAUUCAUUUGAAGUUAAUUGUUCAAUAACAAAUUCUUCACUUAAAUACAUAUCUUUUCUUACCAGCAGUGAAAAAUUUAUCAAGAGCUCGUUUUUGAGAUUUGACUAAUUUUUUUGUUCUCUUUUUUUUUUAAUUAUUUUUUGUAGCUUUUCAUAUUCUAAUGCUUAUUUUCUAGUUGACAUGCUUUUCAAAUCUAAAUAACAAACAAAUACACAAAUACACAUUUUCUUUUCUAGAUUAUUCGAGCCAUAUAUCAAAACCAAAAAUAUAAAUAAAUUAAAUUUAAAAAAGAUAAGAAUAGUAACAAUUAAAAAUAGAAUUGUUGAUACCACUUAGCAAGUUGACUAGUUGAGACAAAUAUAAUGAUUAGAUGAUGACAAUAAAUUCCGUACAAAAGAAUUUUCUUUGUAGAGAGGAGAGUAACAAAUUGUUUAGUUGAGCAUAUCAUUGAUUCACUGUCUAUUUGUUUUGGGUUUUUAAAUAGAUUUUGAUAGAAUACUAAGAGUUAGUUCUAAAAUAUAAGGUUAAUAAUUUUAAUAGAGUAAUUUUUGGAAAGACAAGGCAUUGAAUUUUUUUUUUAAAUAAAGAAGUAACAUCAAUUAAAGUCUUUCCCAUGGCUAAGAAAGGUUUCCGUAGAAUGAUUGGCACUUCUUUGUCUGUCUCAAAGUUUAGCACAAUGAAAUCCACCAAAAAAAUAAAUUUAUCCACCUUCACCAACACAUCUUCAAUCUUCCCUUCUGGAUAGGCAUGAAAUCUGUCAGUAAGUUGUAGAGUCACUAAUGUUGGUCUACAUUCACUAACUCCCAGUUGCUUAAACACUGAUAGAGGCAAGAGAUUGAUGCUAGCCCCCAGAUUACAGAGUGCUUUGCCACUAUAUUUAGUGCCUAUGGAGCAUGGGAUUGUGAAGCUUCCUGGAUCCUUCAUCUUCUGUGGUAUCUUACUCUAAAGCAUUCGUCCGCACUCUUGUGUUAGAGCAACUGUUUCAAAUUCUCCAAGUCUUAUUUUCUUUGUCAAAAUAUCCUUCAAAAAGUUCGCAUAAUUCGGCAUUUGCUCUAGAGCUUCCACAAAAGAGAUAUUGAUAUGUAAAUGUUUCAACAAUCCUAAGAUUUUGCUGAAUUGCUUGUUUUGUUGCUGUCUCUGGAACCUUUGAGGAAAUGGUGGUGAGUACCUAAACUAUUGUGCUGCAACAGGUUGUGCAGAUUGCUUCUCUUUUGCCAUGUUCUGGGUUGGUGCUACAACCUCGUUAUCCACAUGUGUUGGAUCAUCAUUUUCGGCAAAUGCUACGGCUUGACUGCUCUCACUAGUGUGCUGUGAAGUAGAGGAUUGUGGAUCUUUUUCAAUUUGAGUUUCUUUAUGGAUUGAAGUGGACUCAGCUCUUCUUUUUAGUACACCAACGAGACUAUGAACAUCAUUUUCAGAUCUCAAGUUAAUCACUUUGCAUUGCUCUUUCCCUUCUCUUUUUGGGUCCUCUGUGUUGCUAGGUAAACUGUCCUGAGGUCUGUUGCUUAAUGUUGUAGCAAGCUGUCCAAUUUGAUUUUCCAAGUUUCUCAAAUAUACAGUAUGACUUUGGACAACUGCUUCAUUCUUCACAAUAUAAUCCUUAAUCAAACCUUCAAGGGAGUUGAGUUGAUCAUUGUUGAUGCUUCUUUGCUUUUGAUUUUGCUGAUAAAAUCCAUUGGGUGCUGCAGUAGUCUGGUUCUAAUAACUGCAUGAAAAGUUCGGAUGCUCUUUCCAUCCAGGGUUGUAAGUGUUUGAAUAUGGAUUGCUCUAAUUCUGUCUGUUGAAGCUACCCAUAUAGUUAACCGAAGCUGGAUUACUAGGACAAUUGUCAAAUAAAUGUCCUUCUCCACAAUAAACGCAAGACACAUCAGAAAUUUGGUUAACAGUUGCUGGAGCAGUAGUCAUAGCCUUUACCAUAUUUGUUAAUGAAGUUACUUGGGCUAACAAUGCUGUCAAAGCAUCUACGUUAUGGACUCCUUCUGUUCCUCUUGCUGCAGCUUGUCUGGUUGAUGGCCACUGAUAGUUAUUGUAAGACUUAGAUAACAAGGCUCCAUUUAUUGAAGCAUCCACCAUCAAUCUAGUACUUGGGUUGAGACUAUUAUAGAAAGUUUCCAACUGUAAACAGCAAGGAAUACCAUGAUGAGGACAUCUUUUGAGUAACUCUUUAAAUAUCUCCCAUGCAUCACACAAUCUCUCAUCUUCAAGUUGAUGGAAAGAUGUGAUCUUGUUCCUCAACUUUGCAUUCUUGGUUGGCGGAAAGUAUUUCAUCAAAAAUUUGUCAGUCAAAUCAUUCCAUAUAGUGAUAGAAUCUGGUGGUAGAGAAUUCAACCAUGUUCUUGCUCGAUCUCUCAAAGAAAACGGGAAAAGUCUGAGUCUCAAUGCUUGGUGUGAUGCUCCAACAAUCUUGAAAGUAUCACUUACUUCCAAAAAUAACUUAAGGUGUAAAUGAAGAUCUUCAGAUGGCAAACCAUUAAAUUGCCCCACUGUUUGAAGCAUCUGAAACAUCAUGGGUUUGAGUUCAAAAUUUUCAAUUUGAACAUCGGGUUUAACUAUUUCCGGAUGUAUGGCUUGAGGAGUCAACACUGCGUAGUCUCGAAUGGCCCUAUCUCUAUCGUUCACCAUAUGAAAAUGUUGGUGUUCCCUGAUUGCCUUUGAACACAUUAUCCAUUCAGAUCUUCAUGUACAUUGACUGGUUGUAUCUCCUCUAUAUGGUUCAAGUUUCUCAAAUCUUGCAAAUCAUCAAUUGCUACAGUAGUUUGUAAUUCCCGAUGCCUUUGAACACAUUGUCCAUUUAGAUCUUCAUGUACAUUGAUUGGUUGUAUCUCCGCUCUACGGUUCAAGUUUCUCAAAUCUUGCAAAUCAUCCAUUGCUAUAGCAGUUUGUAAUUCCCGAUGCUCUCUUCUCAAUCUCCUUACAGUUUUUUCAAUUUCUGGAUCAAACUGGAAUUCAACAGAUUUAUAUUUGUGCAUGCAAAGGUUGUCGGAUCACCUAUGUCAACAAAAUAAACAAAUCAAAAUAAAAUUAAAAAUUAGCACUGUUAAAAUUAAUUUCACAAAUCACAAUGAACAAUCAAUCUCCGGCAACGACGCCAAAAAUUUAUUGGGUAUAAAUUCAAAUGCUAUUAGUGUCAAUGUGCAAGUGUACACAAUAAGUAAUAUAAUGAUAAGUAUUCAAGAUCAUCUCCACAUGGAUUGAUGUUAUCAAACUUGCUACAACAAUUUUAACAAUGCAGAUUUUAUUCUAAAUUAAAAUAAAUUAUUAAUGAAACUAAUAUACUAAUUAAAAUAAAAACGCAAUAAAUAAAAUGCAACAAAGUAAAUUAUCACGUCAAACUCAAGGAUAAAACCAAUAAGAAUAUAGAGUAGUUGAGUGAAUAAACUCUCCUAAUGGUCUUGACUAUUUUCUAAUGGUUGGCUCGGUUGCUGUAGGAUCUGCUACAGCACUGGGCAGAAUCCUUAUGCAUCCUCAGCCGUUGCAUAUUGGAUAUCUUAUAUCUAUAUGUAACUUAAUAGUGAUAAGUUCUUAUGCCAACAUAAGAUAUAACAUUACACAUUUAGGUUCUAUUUACCCUACAAGGUGAAUCCCUGUGUCUAGUUCAUCACUAAUCGUAAAUCAAGCAUGGUCCUUUUGGGACUCAAGUAAAACUCAAUCUAGGAAACCCAAUUUAAGAUCAAGUAUUGCUUUGAUAUAUUCCACUAAGAUAGGCUCUUUUGUGACUCUUCCUUAGCUAGUAUCAUUAAAUAGGUGAUCAGCCGAAAUAAUGAAUAAAAAUAAAUUCGAUCAAAACAAAAUGCUACAGCAAACAUGCAGCAACUCAUAUUUUCAGUCAAUAAACCAUCAAUAUUAUUUAUUACUCAACUAAAAAUAAAUUUAUUUCAUGGUUUGCAAAAGAAAAAUAAAGAACAAAGUUUUAGCCAUGAAACACAUUCUCAUGAAUAAAUAGAAAACAAGAAAACAAGAAAAGAACAAGAAGGACUGAGUUUCUGAUUGAUUUCUGCAAAUUCUCCUCUUGUGCAUCCCUCAAUAUCUCUCUUGAAUCAUGUUUUCUUUUGUUUCUUUGUGGUUUUUCUCUUUGGGCGACGACUCCUCUUAUUCCUUAUGAUGUGUACUUCUUUAUAGCUGAAAAUUAGGGUAAACGGAAGCCUAGGGCGCCAAUAAGUCAGAUUAGAAAACUGUAAAUCGCAAUUCUGUAUACCGCUGCACUCCGGCCUCCAGCUUGCUCAUGUCCAGCUCGAACGGUUGCUAGAGCAACGGUUACAACAACUGAACUGUUUUAGAUUUGUUUCAAUUCUUUUGUAGCUAAGUUCUUUUUUAUCUUUUGCAAGCCUAUUGUAUCAGCAUUCCUUCCUUGAAAUUUGGGCUUCUGAACAUCUAUAAUUAUGCAUAAAUUUAGCACACAAAUUAUUCUAAAUCAAACAAAAUUUAUUACGAAUAAAGUAAGAUGAAUAUUUAUACAAAAUGCAAUGAAAACAUAUUAUUUACUCUCUAAGUAUUAUUGAUUUAAGUUUAAAAGUGUCAUGAUAACUCUUAUUUCAUAGAGUUAUCACCAGGGUACCGGAGGAGCUGCCGCUCAUGCGACUGAAGAAGGUGUUGAAAUCUUCGGCGAAAAGGUCCAUAUUUAUCCAACAUAAAGCAAACAAAAAAAAGUGAGACAAAGAGAUGGAUCAGAAAAAUGAACAUCAGAAUUGUCACAGGCAAAAGGACACGUUAAGAAAAAUGAGGUAUGGUCGCCAAAACAAAAAAACAAAAAAAAAAGAAAAGAAAGUUUGUGCAAAUGACGGGGGGCACCCCACAGAACCGGUGAAGGCAAGGUACCCUAGCAACACCACAUAGCCAUACGUGAAUCGCCAUUCGAAGAAGAUUGAAGACUCUUCUCAAUCAAACCAGCUCUUGCCAGGCGGGUAGUGUUCAGAACAUCACUCUCACUCUGCAAAAACUAGAACUUCUCUAUAACAUCACUCACUUUCCUCCCCACUUCAUGAACUGGGCAUGUUCCCUUGGACCAAGUGAUGUCUGCAAAAGUCCCAAGAAACAACGAAUAAGAAGAAAAUUCAUACGAGAAAUAUAUAUAUAUACAUAAAAAGGGAGAGAGGAGGAAAAAAACACAUACUAUCUUCAUUGAAGAAGUUCCGAACUUGCACAACUUCAUUCCCCGCUGGUAUACUUCUCCCCCACUCGCCUUCAGCCAGAAACCACCCAUAUCUAUAGCCCUUUUUCAGCAAUGGAUCCGAUCUCACCAAACUACCAUGAACCCCCCCAAGUAGCAAAAUAAGCUACGGAUAAACCAGUCGGCUUCUUCAACUAAUAAAGCCCCCUCAGAUCUCCAUAAGAAAUAUCCUCCCCAAAUGCGUCCAGCCACCAUACCUCCAAACCCAUGAGUAACCUCCAAACGGGUAAAGAUAACUGUCUGGGAGCAAUCUUCAUCUCAGUGAACAUUUUUCUAAAAAAUAGUUGAAGAGGCAAACGGAGACCUAAGUCAAAAAGGUCAAUGUAAAGGGCUACACCAUCAGAAUGGGGGUGCUCAGGGCGCUCGCCCUUGCGAGGUAUCCUAAGGCGGACAGAAUGAGGUAUGUUAUAUUUAUCUCUAACCCUUUCUAAAUCUCUUGGAGUAGCUGGCCUACCCCCUAUUGAAUAGAGCCUACGAGCUACAAAGACAAAGGGGAGACUUGGGGAGGUUCAAAGAUGCUGACAGGGGUAUGAGAUUUGGGUCUGGAAUUUUUUGCAUGGGUUUUCUUACGAGCUGCCCUAACCGGUUGCUUCCCCCUAGUUUUAGAUUUACUACAAGGAUUAGUUCGUGACAAUUUGGGGCUACUCGAAGGAGACCCGUCAUCAUCACUAAUGGGUAUAAAAGGGGCUGACUCAGAACAUGAGGCCUCCUCACCAGCCGAAUCAUCAACAAUAUUUCGACCCUUGAUCCCAACUCUUUUUCUCCCCAUCUUGUUCCCCUAAAAACACAAGACACAAGUUAAAAAGAAAAUCUCUACAUCAAAACAUGCCCCUACAACUCAAGGCCUCUUUCAUCACAAGUCAAACACCAACAUCCACUAAUAAAAGCAUAAACAAAAAGAAAAGUACCAACACUUUGCAUGAAAUCCAUAAACAAAACCACAACAAUAUUUUUCAAAAUAAAGAAGCCAUAAAUAGAUAUAAAAAUUCAUACCUAGAUUUCACCGAGAGCAACAAAUUUUAGUCGCCAAAAAAAACAAGUUUGGAGACGAAUAGACUGUAUAUCGCCAAGAAAAGUCGCAGAUCGCCAAAAAUUGCUUAAAAGAUGAAGUUGUGCAGAGGCUGUCAUGGGCACAAUAAAACCCGUUAGAGAUUUGAAAAAAAAAAGAGUCUGGAUAAUGAUAAAAAAAAAAAAGGUCUGGAUGAUAUAUAUAUAUAUAUAUAUAUAUAUAAAGGAGCCUGGAUCAUAAAAAAAAGUAGUAAAAAAAAGCCAAAGAAAACGCAGUAGAGGAAGAAGAAGAAGAAGAAAAGAGAGAAGAAGAAAAAGAAGUGAAGAAGACAAUGUGGGAAAAAGAAGCACCGCGCCAAACCCGCCGGAAGGAGAUCUCGGCUGAAGCCGCGGGACGCGGCUGCCCGCCGGACAGAUCGGGCACCAGAGACCACCGUAGCAACAGCCAAGAGCCCGCCAGAAAUGCACAAAAAGAAGUACAGCCAAGAGGGAAGGAAAAUGAGAAAGAGAAAAGAAAAAGAAAGAAAGAAAAAAAAGAGAGGAAAAUGAGAGUUGAUCGAAAGAAGAAAGAUGAAAAGAGAAAGAAAAGGAAAAGAAGAAAGAAACUAUGGGAAAUAGGACAUGAAAAUGCACCAAAAGAAAAAAGAAAAGGAAAGGAAAAAGAGAAGUAAAGGAAGAUUUUUUACCUGUUUAUGGAAUGUUAAUGGAGCCGAGGAGAAGAUGAGAAGCUAAAGAAAAAGACGAAGCCAAAAAGGAAUAAGAAAUAAAGCUAAGGAAAAGAUGAAAAGCCAGGGAACAAUAAGAAGCCACUGGAAGCAAUUAAAUUUAAUGGGAUUUUCAAAAUAAAGUGGUAAUAUAAAAGGAGUGGAACAGGUUUAAAUUAAACCUGACAAAUCGAACUUCAUAAAAAGAGAGGUCAAAUUAAUUUUAUAGAAGAGUGUUUUCAAAUUCAAAUUAUAUGUCAGGCGGUUACCACUUCCCAAAAAAGUUGAAGAGACGUGAAGAUAUGCAUCAAUUCAGUGUUUGUUAAAAAAAAAGAGUAAAUAUCGCCACGUGUCAUUUGCAGUUACUCCAAGAGUUUCUUGUGCCUCAAUUACAUUCGCCACAAAGAAACAAGGAGGAUGUUGUUUGGGAAGGAAACAUGAGGCCAAUGAUGAAGCGCCAUGUGUUGAUAGUACCUUGGGUACCUGGAGUACUCUAUGUACCUCGGCUACCUUAGGUACUCUGGGGUACCCCGGCUACCUUAGGUACUCUAUGUACCCAAGGUACCCCAGAGUACCUAAGGUAGCCGAGGUACCUCGGGUACACUAUGUAGGGGUAUAAAAAGUUUUUGUAAAAAUGUCAAGGGAUAUGUGGGCCUUGAAUCUCAAAAAGAUUGGUUGAAUACGUGUCAAAAAAUGAGGAAUCGAUGAGGAAAUCUCGUGCUACAAAAGAGGAGACAGCUGCCUGUCACGCCAGCAAAUUAGCCAAAAGUUUGAAAUACGAUAGUUGGGACCACCAGCUUUUUUUGCCACGCCUGUAAAAUUACAACGGAAUUACAAAGGUACGCGAGACCACUCCACUACACUCAGCACGUGAAUACGCCUCAAACUUGCUCUCCACGCAUAUUUUUGAAACGCCUAAGCCGCCAUACGCAUAAAGAUCAGGAUAUUCCUGACAUGCAGCAGAGAACGUCAAUAAUAUAACGUUAGGUGGCACGGCGACCCGGGGUACACCAUAUAAAUACUCAGGUUUAAUUUUUAUCAAGUAAGUUCAUACACACACCACAAAAAACUGAGCUUUCUUUAACCUUGAAACCUCCAUUACCAAGAGCUUGCAAGCUCUCUAACCUGAGAUAACCUAACUCUGACUUGAGCAUCGGAGUGUGGUCGCCGGCCUCCCCCGGCUCCAACUCUGAUCUCUUUUUUAGUUGUUUCGCAGGUUUAAGACGAUUUUUGCCAGCCCUCCGCACCUAAAGUCAGACCGUCUCCAUAUCCACCGCCAUCUCAAUCCUCCUUCACUCCAAAAAAAGGCCUAAAUAGCCCGCACGCGCCAAAUAAGCGAGGCACCCCGCUCCUCAACAAAAAAGCAAAUUUAUUGUUCUUAGCUUGGUUUUGUGGUUUUUUAUUCAUUGACCCAAAAUCAUCCGCAAACAAUAAUAUUCAUUUAAUGUAUGAUUUCAUUCUAGUAUAUAUUAUAAUAUUUUAAAAGCAUACCUACCAGGGAAGGCUCAUCCAGGCAAUUCAAACCAAGUUUUGAUUUCGCUGCUGAUUUUAUUUAUAUAUGAUAUCUAAAAUGAGUGCUAUCUCAAUCAAAUGCCAACAAUUCAUUGAAUGAACUAUUUAUAUGUCUUAGUAACCUUAGUUCCCCUAACAAGGAAAUCCCUAUGAAAUUUUUCAUUUGCAAUUAUUUACGUUAAUUCUGCCAUAAAUUUAAUUUGAUCGUAUUAUUAUUUAAAAAUAAAUGUUAGAGACCAAACAUUUGGGUUCUAAAAGUAAGUCCCAAUAUUUUAUGUUAUUCAUUUAUUAAAUAAUAAAUUUUAUAGAUUGUAUAAUUAAACUGCCAUCUAAUAAAUGAUUAUGACUUAGACGUGGUAUGACUAACGUUGCUCUAUUUCAGGUGACUAGGCUGGCAGGUUCAGUGUUGAAAGGAACCCACUUCAUUAUUCGGUUGGUGGUUAAUGCAAUUGGGCUUGGGCCUCCAGCCCAUUAGAGAGGAUGUAUUUGAGCCUACGCAGCUAAGCUGAACCUAUUAUUUGUUCUCUUUUAAAAACUUCUAAUCCUCUUUAUUGGCACAAAUUUUAAACUUUGCUCAACCGACCACUGGCUCGAUUUCGAUCCUAAGAAUCACGAUAAUUUCGGACCAGCCAUGCGGCAGUGAAUUCAUUGACGGGCAUUGUACACAUUGAAAAAUAAUUUAGUUGCGUUCCUAAGAUUAAUAUUUAUAAAAUAAUUAAAUUAGAAAACAAGAAAAGAGGAAUGAUGAUGGAAAAGAGGAUUACGAUGAUAAUCUUAUAAAAGUGUGUAACUAUCAUCGAUUUUUUUAUUAAAUGUGUGAUUUAAAGUUCAAAUAAUGUUUUACUUAUUCACCAUUAAGAACAAUGAACGUGCAAUUGUUGACAAAAAAAAAUGUAAAAUAAGAUAAAGGUCAAAACAAAACUAAUGCAUCUAAAACCAACAAUUUGUUUAAAUACCAAUCUAGAAAUUGAUAUGCUCAACAUAGAUACAUUGAACUAGAUUUGAAACUUAAGCGUUGUUUAGGAUUGAGAUACUAUAUAUUUUAAAUACAAUUGCUAUGAAAAAAAUUAUAACUAUAAAAUAAUUUUUUUUUAUAUUUCAUAAUACAUAUUAAAUAUAAUUUUUAAAUAAUAAUUUUGAUAAAAUUAUUAAAUAUAUAAUAAAUUUUUUAUUAUAAAGGUGAAAAAUUAAUUUAGCUUAAUUUUUAAACUACACUAAAUAAUUGGCUUUAUAAGCAUGUGUAAAGAAUUGCGUGACUAAUAUAUUUUUUAAUUUAAUGAUGUUAAAUCCAAUGAUGGGUUUGUUAAACUGAACUUCUCCUUUUUGAAAAAUUUGUUUAGGUCGAGGGUGUGUAUGGCUAAGGCUUUGGACAAGGCUACAGCUGAUGGCCACAAUGUAGACACUGGAUUGAAGGCGAUUGGUUUGACCAAUCAGAGGGAGACAACUGUUCUUUGGAGCAAAUCUACUGGUUGUCCGCUCUAUAAUGCUAUUGUUUGGAUGGAUGCUCGUAACAGUUCCGUUUGCAGCUGACCGGCCUGUCCUUUUCCUGUCGUUUUUCUUUGUUUGUUUCUUGUCAUUGUUUAAACGAUUGAAGAUCUGGAGCUUUUUGAUUGUUGGUUUUGCUCAUGAGUUGGCUUAGGGUGUUAUCUAAUGACCAUGAUUCAGAUUUUGCAAUUCUGGCCAUUUUUUGACUUUUGGAAUUUCGACCUUUUGAUGUUUGGAAGUGGUUUCAUUUUUAGGAAAUUGGAGAAGGAAUUAUCUGGGGGAAAACCCAUUUUCUGGAGGCCGUUGGUUUGCCUAUCAGAACUUGUUUCACUGCGGUGAAACUGCUAUGGAUGAUGGAAAAUGUGGAUGUUGUUAAAGAGGCUAUUAAGAAAGGGGAUGCCCUGUUUGGAACUAUAGACACUUGGCUAAUAUGGAAUUUAACUGGUGGAGUGAACGGUGGUUUGCAUGUCACUGAUGUCUCUAAUGCAUCACGAACGAUGCUUAUGAAUCUCAAAACUCUUGAUUGGGAUAAGCCCACUCUAGAAACACUAGGGAUACCGGCUGAAAUUCUUCCCAAAACUUUCAGUAAUUCUGAGAUUAUUGGAAAACUUGGCAAAGGGUGGCCAAUUACUGGAAUACCGAUUUCAGGAUGUCUUGGGGACCACCAUGCGGCUAUGUUAGGACAAACUUGUAAAAAGGGUGAGGCUAAAAGCACCUAUGGUACCGGUGCUUUUAUACUUCUGAACACAGGUGAAGAGGUAGUUAAGUCAAAGCAUGAACUUUUGAGCACUUUAGCCUUUAAGCUUGGUCCAAAAGCACCGACAAACUACGCUCUCGAGGGUUCAGUUGCCAUCGCUGGAGCUGCAGUUCAGUGGCUCAGAGACAGUCUUGGCGUUAUCAGCAGUGCGAGUGAGAUCGAGGAAUUGGCAUUGCAGGUCAACUCAACUGGUGGGUUUACUUUGUACCUGCUUUUAAUGGAUUGUUUGCUCCAUGGUGGCGUGAUGACGCCCGCAGUGUUUGCAUUGGGAUUACUAGGUUCACAAGCAAGGUUCACAUUGCUCGAGCUGUGCUUGAGAGCAUGUGUUUUCAAGUGAAGGAUGUCUUGGAUUCAUUGCAAAAGGAUGCAGUGGAGAAGGGUGUCAUAAAGGAUGCAAAGUUCUUGCUUAGAGUGGAUGGAGGUGCUACGGUUAACAACCUCUUAAUGCAGAUUCAGGUUUGCACUUCUCACUUUUUUUAGUGCUCUGAUGCAGUUCUACACAGCUUUUCAUUCAUAUGCAUGACUGAACAAUUUCCAAUUUUCUCAUCAAUCUUUCUGCUGUUUCUUUUUUUCUGAAGUAUCUUGUUUUUGGUAUUGUUUCUUCUUAUUAUUGAUAGUUUUGCAGCUAUCGAUGCAAAUUUAGCUAUUCUGCUUUCUUUUGAAAAAUAUUAUGAUUUCCCAUUUUUGAGCUUCUCGUAUUUUGAAUGCAGGUCAGUUAGUUGGUCUUUCUAGGGCUCUAGAAAUGUUUAUUUGACACUUCUCCACGAUUUGUGUGGUACAUUCGUAAGAGAUGUUUUCCAAAUAAACUUUUAGCAGGCUGCCUUGCUAAUCAGAAGCUAAAGCAAUGUUUAGAUUCAAAUGCUUUCAAAGGGUCUUACUAUGUGGGUGGAAAAAAGAAAGAAAAAUGGUCAUUUUGAAGCUAAAGCAAUCAUACUGUUUCUGCAUUAAAAUUUCACAACUGUUUUCCCGACAUUUUAUGUUGAUUUGUAAGAUAGCCUGGCAUGUUCUUUUUUCUACAAUUUCUUUGCUGUACUGUGGGUGUCUUAAUUAGCAAUCACUUAAUUAGCUAUUAGCUCACAUGGAAAUAAUGGUCAUUUUGAAGAAUCUGAGCUUUAUUCAGACAUCACACUCUUUUCCAUUUUCUGGAAUCUAGUGUUGAUACUUUAUUAUCUUUCUCCUCUGGAAGGCCAUAUAAAACUGCUCUUAUCAUGAUUUAAGGCGGACUUGUUGGGAAGCCCAGUCAUCAGACCAGCUGACAUAGAGACAACAGCUCUCGGAGCUGCCUUUGCAGCUGGGUUAGCAAUUGGGGUUUUCAAAGAAGAAGAGAUUUUUGCUUCUGGAGAAAGGACUAAGACUUCAACCACUUUCAAGCCCGUCUUAAACGAGGAAUUCAGGAAGAAGAAGGCAGAAUCGUGGUGCAGAGCUGUUGAAAGAAUUUUCAACUUGGCCGAUCUCUCUCUUUGAAUGACGUCUCCGUGGUUUGCAUCCACCAUCCGUUGUUUCCCCUUUUCUCCUUUUCCCUAUCAGUCUUUACGUCUUUCGUGGUAAAUUUUUUUUUUUAAUAGAUUCUUGUGAAUUACAGGCAUAAAUUUUAAUUGUAUUUCAGGUGAAUAACUAGGGAUGGCAAUGGGGAGGGGAGGGGAGGGGACCAAUCUCCCCAUAUCCAUCCCCGAUGUUUUGCAUAUGUUCCCGUCCCCUCCCCUUUCCCGUCAAAAUUGCUUGAGAGAAUCCUCAUCCCCUCCCCGAAUAAUAACGGGGGAUCCCCGAGGGUCCCCGGUCCCCGAAUAAUUAAUAGUCUAAUACAUUUUUUUAUUUUCGAUUUUAAAUUAAUCAUAUUAAAAUAAACUCAUACCGCUAUUGUAAGCUUGUAACCAACUUUGACAGCACAUUAAGGCCUCCAAUGUGCUUGGAUGAAGUUUGUUAUGGUAUGAGCUCACAACUCUACCACUAGUGUUAAAAGCUGAUUCAGAAGCAACUGUUGUAAUUGGAAUUGCCAAAAUAUCUCUAGCAAUUCGAGCUAAUGUAGGAUACCUAUUAGCAUUUGUCUUCCACCAACUCAAAAUAUUAAAAUCUUCCAUCCGAGAUAUAACUUUCUCAUCCAAAUAUGAAUCUAAUUCAUCUGCAACAACUGCACAAUCUCCAUUGUUUACAUAAUCAUCAAAACCUGUCAUCCAUUUGGUUGCUUUCUUAUAAGAAUCCCCUGUAGAUCUAGUAGAAGAACUACUACCAGUAUAAUCAAAGCAAUAAACAGUUGGUGAAAACUUCAAUUAAUACUCUUCAACUAAUUCCCGGCAAAGGGUGACCACUUUCCCAACAUACAACUAUUUUGAUAUUUAUUAUUUUUAACAAUAUUUAUAAUUUUGUUAUUUAUUUAUUAGUAAUUUUAAAAAUAAAAAUAAAAUUAAAAAUUAAAAUGGGGAAAUGGGUAGGGGAUGGGGAUUCCACCUCAUCCUCGUCCCCUCCCUGAAUAAAAAGUUGGGUAAAAAAUUUUCCCCGUCCCCUCCCCGAAAAAAAAAUUGGGUAUAAAAUUAUCCCCGUACCCUCCCCGAAUGGGGAAAAUCCCCGAGGAUACCCAUCCCCGUGGGGAUUUUUGCCAUCCCUAUGAAUAACGUUAUAAUUAAUAAAUGCUUUCUUCUCCUAAUUGCUUUUGUAUAGAUAAAAAUUGGUGUUUUUAUUAGUCUCCUCAUGCUCUCUGCUGAUUUAUUUGAUAGGUAAUUCAAUUCUUCUGCAAUUUGAUUAGAAAGGUCUCUCGAAUUCUGAUAAAUUGUAAAGAACUUGCAAGGCUUAAAAGCUAUGGGAAGUAGUUCAUUUGAAUCACGAGAAAAUCAGACGAAAGGUAAGUAGAAACCUUGAAUCUAGUUUCUGAAAAAACAUAUACCAGAUUGCAGAAAAGCCAAUAGAAUACGUAGUGCUAGAAAACAAGUGGCACAUCCUUAAUCUUUCGAUUAUAAUCGUGCUCUACGAUCACCAAUAGAAUACAUAUUUGAAAAGCCAAUAGUAACAUAAAUCAAUACAUUCUUCAAUGAAAUAAAACCAUAGUCUGCGCCAAUAUGGGUUUACCCAGAGGAUCGCGAGUAACCCCAACAUCACUGUGACGCAGGACGCAACGAAACUCCAAUAGAAUGCCACCAUAUCAACCGCAGAUUCGUCUUCUGCUCCUUUGGAUGAUGUUUCUAGCAACUCUAGGAGAUUGGUGCAGCUCUUGUUAAUUGGUGGACCGCAAAGAUGGAGAUUUCCUCUAUAGCUGCUUUCAUCAAAUGUGGAAAAUUGCUCUUUGUCUGGGAUUGGGCCGGACAAAUUGUUGUAUGACACAUCGAAUUUAGAUAAACUGUGAAGUUCUGUCAACUGAGGAGGAAUUUGACCACUUAAUUUGUUGUGGGAAAGGUCUAGGCUCUCUAUCAUUUUCAGAUUGGAAAAGCUCUCAGGUAUAUAGCCCGACAAGAAAUUAUGAGAUAAAUUCAAUCCAUGAAUAUUUUGAAGGUCACAAAUUUCUGAUGGAAUGUCACCAGUUAACUCGUUGCUCGACAAAUCUAGUCCUGCCAUGUAAUCAAGAAUGACACCCUUGUAAGAUUCAUAUCUGUUCUUUGUCAUAAAAUUCACCUCUACUUGUGUACCUAAACUUCUACCAUCGAUUCCAUCCAGCCACAGUUGAACAGUAGAAUUAUAGUAAUUACGGAUGUCUGCAACGCCUAAAUCCAUAACUACCAUAACAAACCCAGACAAAUAUCUACUUCCUACCUUCCAAAACAAUAAAUUAGUAAUACAUGCAGGUAUUGAACCAUUAAGCCUGUUGUGUGAGAGAUCCAUGAUACUUAAUUUUCGCAAUUGACACAAUUGAUGAGGAAUAGGUCCUUGUAGAUAAUUCCCUCUCAAAAGAAGAGCACGCAGAUUUGAAUGCUCAUUGAUCUGAUGUGGAAUUCUACCAAAAAAAUAAUUAUCCCUCAAAUCUAAAGUCUCCAAUGCAGAGCCUCUGAAAAUUGUAUUUGGAAUUGACCCACCAAGAGCAUUACUUUGCAAAUAAAGGUGCUCCACUGAUGAAAGAUUCAGGGUAGAUAUCAUGGAUCCGGACAAAUUAUUUUCGGAGAUAUCUAGAAUUUGAAGAAUUGCAAGAUUGUUGAAUUGGACUGGAAUAUUACCUUCCAAAAGAUUUUUGGACAUUGACAAAAUAUAAAGAUUUGAGAAAUUGCCCAUCCAAGAAGGAAUAUGACCAGACAAGUGGUUGUUGGAUAUAUCUAAGACCAUUAAUUCACUGGACCUUAACAAUCCAUCUUUAAUCUUCCCACUGAAAUGAUUGUUGUCCAAGUAUAAGAACAACAAUCGAGUCAAGUUCACGUAAUUGGGAAAAAUCUGCCCGUCAAAAUUAUUAUUUGACAAUUGCAACCAUUCUAGCGAGAAGCAAUUAGUAACUGGAGAUUGGGAUAAUUCUCCUGCAAACUUGUUACUAGACACGUCCAGUAAACGAAGCCCUUGCAUCUUGCCAAUAGAAGAAGGAAUAUUGCCUUCAAAACUAUUUUUUGAUAUAUUCAUACAGUCCAAUUUCGAAAGGACAGUACCCAUAUUCUGCGGGAGCUUACCGGUGAAAUUGUUACUAGAAAUAUCUAAACUAAUCAAACCAUGUUGGGCACUAGUCAGUUGAAAACCUGAGAAUGAGUUGUUAGUCAGGUACAAAACUUCCAAUUUUGUGUUGUUUUCCAACAACCAAGUUGGGAAAUUGCCAGCCAACUUAUUGUGAGAGAGAUCAAGGUAUUUUAAGUUAAAUUGGUGUAGAAGAAAAUUAGGAAUGACACCUAAGUUGCAGUUGGGUAAACUGAGGACUUUCAGUUGAAAUGUAGGGAGGCAGUUUUCUAUUUUGACUUGUAAUAAAUCGGCUUCCAUCGAUAGUUGGAAGACCUCAAGUUUCGAAAGGUUGGCUAAUGAACAGAAUGAAAACAAGCGCCCUUUAAAUUUGUUGUCAUAAAGAGCCAAAUACUCGAGGGAUGUGAGGUUUGCAAUUACUGAAGGUAAGAUUCCACUUAACUGAUUGGAAGACAUAUCAAGAACUUUGAGGUGGGUGAGGUUGUUGAAACACCGAGGAAGAUGACCUUCAAACUUAUUUCCUCUAAGAUUCAGCUCAAAAAGAUUCUUCAACUUACAUAUUCCUGAGAAGUGAAAAAUAAAAAGGUCAAAAUUUAUAAAAAGAUUCAAGUUCUAAAUUAGUGACAUUUGUAGUUUUGUCCAUUAAACACUUUCAUCUGUCAUGAAAUUGCUUUACCUUUUAGGUGGAGGUUUCUUGUAAAUUUUUAAUACCAUGUUUCUUCUAUAGUUUUAAGCCGUUAUGAAAAAAACAUAUUGUCGAAAGGUAAAAUUGACAUUUUAGUAUAAAAAUUGUUUAGGUUUAGUUUGCACAUACAUGUUGGAUAAUCAAUUUAUAUUAAAAGGUCACAUUUCUCCUUCAGUUAGUCUCUUUUUGUUAUUGUUUUAAACUUCGAUAGUAUGAGGAAAGUUUACUAAUUAGAAAGAACAUUCCCAUCCGAGGAACCUAGUCUUCUUAAGUGAUUAAUGAAUUAAGUGCUGCAGAGGAUGCCACUUCUGUCAUAGAACAUUUAGUUAGAGGGACGUAACAAAUCUUAUACCCUGAGAUAUGCAUAGUAAUAAAACCUAGGAGUAAAGACAUUACCCUUUUAGGGUUGACAAAAAACAUACAUACAAUAUUAAGUUCGGGUUGGACUCUGGCCUCCCAUUUGUGUUAAAAAAAAAAGAGGAAAAUAAGGGGUUCAAUUGAAAUUUCACAUUUUUCUAUGCAUAUUUUAUGUUUAAUCCUAUUUUGAAGCUUUUAUAUUACAACUAUUCAAGUUUAUGGCCUCUCAAUUAUGGUAUUUGUCGUUGGCCCUCUAAAUUAUAAUGAUUUUAUAUUAUAGUCCAACCAAAUUUAUGAUUUCUGCUUUACGGCCCCAUCAAACCAAACCCCUGCUUCCACCAUGGAUCUUAACUUUUACCUUAUUUAUAUUAGACGCCCUAAAGUUAUACUAAAAUACCCUUUAAUCAUACAAGUUUUAAAUGUUAAAGAUAGCCCUUAAAUUUUAAAAAACACACGAGUGCCCCUAAUUCUAAAUAGUAAUGUCCACUGAAGUUUGUACAUUAUCAGGAUGUAAAAAAUUCACUGUAAGACAAAAACAAAAAUUAAAAAGGAUAGAGAUAUUUUCACCAUGCUAUUUGCACAAUAAUACCCCAAUUUAAAAUACAUCUACUUAACACCAAACUUCCCACCCGAUAAAACUAAGCUUUAAAAAACAUGAUUGAUUUGAUAUUAUUAGUUCUGACAAUGCAUGAAGAAGUAUUCUUGGACACAAAGAUGUUGAGGUGCCGGAGUUUGACUAACGUGGGAGAAUUUGAUAGCUACAAAGAGGAAGAUUUCACAAAAACAGAAGUCUUUCAACAUUUUUUAAAACUAUUCAUGUUUUAACUCAAGAUCUUUCAACAUUUUUUAAAUUACUUUUUUUAGACUAAAACUAAAAUAUUUUAUAUUGAUAAAUUAUUGAAAUAAUAAAAUAAUUAUCUAAAUCAGGGCCGAGAUUUAGAAGAGACAGGCAGGGGCCAUUACCCCUAUACGAAAAAAUAAAUAAAAAUAAUAUACGACAUAAAAAUAUUUGUACAAAUAAAACAAAGAAGAAAUAUCUUUUAGAUUAAGAAGAAUAAGAAGUCCGUAUAAGAUCAAAAAGAAGAAGAACCGAAUAGUCUACUCUCAGUGGCCCACGGCCCACUGACCUUUGUAAAUAAAAAUAAUUAUUUUAUUGUUUAGACUCGAAAUGCAUUUUUUAAGAGAAAAUAUGUAUAAAAAAGUCUAAUUUCUUUAAGUAAGAGUUCGACUAAUGUUGAACUUUCAAUCCUUAAUCAAGAGCCAUGCCCUUAAAUCUUCAAGAAUAUUUUUAUACUUUGAAAGAAGUAGUGCCCAAAUUUGAGAAAUUUUUGUAAUUUUCAGUUUUUACUUAACUAUAUGUUUUGAUAGAGAAUGUGAAAUUUUAUUGAAAUAUAAAUAACUUAUCAAAAAGUUUUUUUUUUUUUGGUUAUGCUAAUGAAUGCUUAUUUAAAUUAGAAGUUUAUAUUUGUUUUUUUAAUACUCUUCGGCCCUUUUAAAGAAAAAGUCAUGGUUCCCAUACCUAAAGUUGGCUUGUUCUACCUCUAAUCUAAAUGAAGCUGCACUAAUUUGUAUAUAAAAAAAAAUUUCUUAUUUAAAAAAGAGCUAAAAAUAGAUAAAUCACAUGAUAAGAUUUUGUUUUUAAUUUGUAGCAAGUUAUUUAAUUGAAUUUAUUUUCUAAACUAGAAAACGAAUAGAAUUAUGCAAGAGCUUGGUUUAAGAUGAAUAACAAUAUUUUUUUAAAUUUUAAUAAAACAUUUAUUUUCUUUUAAAUUAAUAAAUUUAAUUACUAGUUUAACUAGAUAAAUGUGGAAGGGAUUGGGUUAAGAUGAGUAAUAUUACUUUCCAAAAUUUAAUAGUUUAUGUAAAAUGAUUUUAAAAUGUCUUGAGUAGAAAUGAUAUUUUUUUAUAAAAAAGUGGUAUAAUAAUUUUAUCCCCUUGGAUUUGACAAAUUUUUUAAAUUAUUCAGUUUUAUGGUUUCAUAUUGUUUUAUGUCUUUUUUAAAGUCAUGGGGGGUAUUUACAAUAGUUUAAACAUAAAUCUAUUUUAGUAUAUUUUAACUUGACUUAAGAUGUCUAAUUUUAUCACUCCUUGGGUGGCGAUAUUUCCACCCUAUAUUUUGUGCAAGAGUGAUGAUAUAGUAACAAACUCUUGUACAAACUAAUUUGACAUUGAAUUAUAAAAGCAGCCAAGCACCAAAGAAAACUAAAAAUAAUAGCAACCGACUGCCAUUAUCAAUUCAUCAUGGAGAAAUAUGUAAUAGACAUUCAGAUUUUGCAAAGAUACCUAAAAUCUUUUGAUUUUGUUUGGUAUUGUAUUUUGUAAUUUAAUUUGGUAUCAUCGUACUAAUUUUUAAGGUUUUUAUUACUGAAAUUCCAGUACGUGUUGAUUAAAUGGUUUGCUUCAGUUUGUAGCUUAUUUUUCAUGUUAGUGGGGGUGUUUGCGUGGUGUGCGGGGAAUAUCACUACCCAACUUUAAAAUAUAUAUAACCUCAAUUUGGGUUAAGGUCUAAGGGGUGUUUGUCUUUUACUCUAUGGGGGUAUUUGUCAUAAGAGUCGAGCUAUUUGCGCCCUAACAAGUACUCUGAAGAUCUAUUUACUCAGAAACCAAUUUGCAUAAUUUUUAUCAUUUAGACUUUAAUUAAUACACCCUUUUAAAUUUUAAUACCAAAAUCUAUAAUUGUCCUCAAAUAAGGGCUAAUUUGGUAAUGCCAUUGCUUCAAAAUAAUUAGUGUUAGGUGUGCUGUAAAAAUAAGGGUAAAAGCUCGUUUAGUCCCUAUAUUUGAAGUUAAUGUCCGUUUAGUCCCUAUAUUUUUAAAAAUACCUCAAACCAUCCCUACCAUUAAAUUAUUGACACUUUUGCCAUUAUCUUUUGUUCCUUUUAACUUAUUUUUAUAAUAUUGCCCUAUUAUAAUAAUUUUUUAGACAUUAUUAAAAAGAAAAAAAUAACCCUAUUAUAAUAAUUUUUUUAGACAUUAUUAAAAAGAAAAAAAUAAAUUACCAGUUUAACACCAAAAAAUAAAAUAAAAAAAAUAAAAAAAUAUAUAUUAAUUUUUUGGAACACACUCUUGAGUUAAAAUAUUAAUUUUUCUAAAAAAAUUGAUAAUGUAAUUUUUUACAAUAUUAAUUUUUUAGACAUACGUGAGCUUCCACAAAAAUUAAUAUAUACCUUUUUUGUUUUUAUUUUAUUUUUGAGUUUAAUUUGAUAAUUUAAUUUUUUAUUAAUAUCCAAAAAAGAAACAUUAUUGUAAAAAUAUAAUAUUGUAAAAGCAAGUUAAAAAUAAUAAAAAAUAAUGGCAUAAGUGUCAAUAUUUAGUAGCAGGGACAUUUUGAGGUGUUUUUAAAAAUAUAGGGACUAAAUGGACACUAACCUCAUAAUAUAGGGACUAAACAAACUUUUAGCCAUAAAAAUAAUUAGCUGUGAAAAGAAUCAAUUAAACUUUUAGUAAAAUUUAUUUUUAAAAGUACUAUAAAGUUUAAAAACAAUUGUAUGUGUUUGGUAAAUCUUAAUAUUAAAUGGUUGUAAGAAUAUAAAUGGUUGAAUUGGACAUAAUAUUGAAUCAAAUUUAUUUAAACAUUUAUAAACAUGUAUAUAAAAUAUUUUUUUAUUUUGUACAUAAAAUAAUUGAUAACUAUAAUAAAUAUUUUAUAUUAUUAAUUUCAUUUUAUAUUUUUUUAUCUCAAAAUAAUUAGUAAUAAUAAUCAUCUCUUUAAUGUUAAUGAUUUUAUUUCCUAAUUAAUAAGGAUAAUUUUGGAUUUUUAUAAUAUAUAUGAGGAAAUAUAUAGAAUUAUAUUAAAUAUCAAAGUGUUUCUCAAAAUCAGAUUUUGAAGAGUUACUCCUUUCUUUCUUUUCAAAAUCUACUGUCGAAUGGGUUAAUUUUACCAAAAAUAAUUUAUAAAAAAAUUUACCAAAUACCAAAAUUAGCUUUUAACUUUUCAAAAUCACUUUUAAGCCUCUUAAAAACAAUCACAAACAAGACCUAAAUCUCUUUUGUUAUACAUAUUUUGAUUUUUACACUUUUAAAAAUCAUUUUUACAACAAAGAACUUAUUUCAAAUGAUCUCUAAACUUGUCUUCGGAAUGAACGAAGUUUUUCCCUUUUUUUAAUAAUAGCUAAACUUGUUAGGAAUAAAUGGAAAUCCCAUCUCAUUCCAAGUGAAUAUUGGAGAAUUAUUUGAUUGAACAAAUUUUAUUCUCACUAAUUUAUUAUCAUGAAUGUAUUGGAUCUUACCAAUGUAAAAGUUGGAUAAUCAUAGACAAAUACUACCAAUAAUAUAAUUCUUCAUAAUUUAUAGUCACUAAUUAAUCACUAAUUCUUCAUAAUUUAUAAUAUAACUCUAGUAUGCAAGAAAUUUAAUGUAAAAUGAAAAUUCAAGACCAAAAUUGACGGUAUUGAGGAAAUUAAAAUGAGUCAGACUAUUAGCACCCCUCCAAGAUCCUAUUGAAACCCCUUUUUCAAUUAUAUCCCAUUUAAUGCCAAAAAUAUUUUUUUUUAAAUGAACACUUUUUCAUUUAUGAAUUUUUCAGUUUCUAAUAAUUUUCUCACUCUUUCAUUCUUAAUAUUUGUAUUCUCUCUUCAAACUUUCUUUAAUAUUUAAUUUCUAAAGAAAAAAAUCUAAAAGAAAAAAGCAAGAAAAACAUUCUACUUUGAAAAUAAUGAAUAUUUUAUGGGUCUAAUACAAUUCUAUCCUACCUAUAAAUUUUGGAUUCAUCAAUUAGUUUGAGAAUCUUUAAAAAAUCAUUUGCAGUGGGAUAAAAUUUUAUUUAAUUUAUUUUUUCAAUGUGUUGUAUCUUAAUUAAGUUGUUAUGUUUAAUUACAAGAAUUUUGUUUUGGCUUAGAGGAUUACUUCUUAAAUUCAGAUUAUCUUAAUGAUAAUAAAAAAAUUUAUAUUGUGUAAGGAAAAUAAAAUUGAAGAGAGAAAGAAAAUAUAAAUAGCUUAAUUCUAUUGAUAUUUGUCCUUAGAUGUAAUUGUAAUAUAAUAGGGGUUUUAUGAGAUUAAUGAAAGGGUGCCAAUAGUCCAACUCAAUUAAAAGGGAAAAAAAUCUUUUUCAUCCCUAGGGUUUCAUACAAUAGCCUAUUUUAUCGUUACUUUUUAAACAAUAGCCCAAAACAUCUUUCUGUUUACUCACCGUUAGUUGAAUAUCGUUUGUUAGUAAUUCAUUAAGGGUAAAAAAUAAUUUUCCAUCAAAGAGAAAAUUAGAAAAAUAAAUAAAAGUUGAUAUAUAACUAAAAAUAAUUUUCUCUAAUCCCACUAAAUAGAAAAUACUGAAAAAGAUGAAAAACUUCUAUUUCAAGCAAUUCUUUUUUCACUUAUUUCUAUUUUAGUGGCAUAAACACCCUAUAAACCCUAGAUCUAAGUACAAAAAAUAUCACAAUUUUUUUUAUUCAUAUAAGUAUACUCUCUAAUUGCACUGUAAAAUGGUUUGAAUUGAGUUAAAGAUAAAGAAGAUAUUCAAUAUAUGCAAGCACAUAAAAAUUGGUGGUAUUUUUGAGUAUUUUUCCAAUGAUUUAAAGAUAUUGUAUUAAUUACAGUUUGUUCCUUAUGGAAAUUAUUCAAUGGGCACAUCAAACUAUAUCAUCGUUGAUUUCAUUUAAUUAUGAAUUUCGUAUACGUUGUAGUGUUAUUUAAUUGUGUAAAAAAUAUUUUAAUAUAGUUUGUAUCACUUUAAUGAAAAAUUCUAUUUUGCCUUAAUGAAUUACUAGUUAACGGUUUUACACUAACGGUGAAUUAACAGAAGGAUAUUUUGGGUAUUGUUUGAAAAGUAGGAAUGAAAUGAGCUAUUGCAUUAAACCAUAGGGAUGAAAAGAGAUUUUUCCCCAAUUAAAAUUCAGGUUUUUGGUAUGGACGUAGUAAAUUAGUGUCAAGAAUAAUAUAUUUUUUAUUCGAUUGUAUAAGGUUGUACUUAGUAUUAAAUUAACUAUAGAUAACUUAAUAAUAUAAAAUUUUAUUUAAAGAUGGGUGUUCAAAAUAGUUUUUAGGGUAUAAUCAGUCCCACCCUUGUUACAAUCAUAAUUGAAUGGCGUUUCAUUUUUUUAAAAUUUAAAUCACUAAGGGUGCACCUCAAACACUUAUUUAAACUGCCAUGAAAAUUGGAAUCAAUUGCCUAUAUGUUUUGGUCAUUAUCAUCUUUAUCGAUUAUAGAAGCCUUGUUUGUGACUAAUAAAGUGCUGAAAAAUAUGAUUUUGUUUGGGGAAGGAUUUGUUCACUUCAUUAGGCGCUCAUUUGAUGACUUCUCUAUAUACUCGUGCUUUUCUAAAAGUUAUUUUUAAUUUAUUGUUGUUGCGACGUCUAUUAAUAUUUUGAUAAAACCAGUUAAAGAUUAAGGACGUAUUUGAUAUUAAUUGCAACCAGUCAUUCUUCAUUUAUGAGUUACGACAAGAAAUAAAGAAAACUUAUUUAGUAUGUCAUUUGAAAAAUAAUAUCAAACGCAUCCUAAAAAAAAUUAAACGCAGCCUAAAAAAUCUUGUCUUUCAAAUAUAGAUAUUCAAUUCUAAGGGUCGAAAAAAUAGCCAUGCAAAUUAUUACCUUGGCUUUCAAGAGAGCCGUUUAAAUCAUUGUCACUUAGAUCCAACGAUUUCAAGUUUGUUGAUUUAGCUAAUCCUGCACAUAAAUCCAACACUUGCAAGUUUGUCAAAUGACAAAUUUGCUAAUCGUAUUCAAAAAACGUAAAUUUUGUCAAUAAUAGUUAUGUCACUCUCGUCUAAAUUAUUUAAUUAAAAUAAUAUAGUAAAUAUUGAAUGAAAUUUAUUUGUGCAAAUUGUUUAACUAAAAAAAAUACCUUCUAAAGAACCUUGUAUAUAAGUAGAACUCAAAUACAACGCUUCUAAAUAAUUGUAGUAAUAAAGCUUAUGAUUGCGUUUCAACAAAAAAUAACUGCCUACAUUUAUUUAAAAAUUUUACCUUGAAUUGUCGUCAUCCCACAAUCACGAAGAUCCAAUAUUUUCAAGUUUGGCAAAUCUGCCAAUCCUACAUGCAAAUAAAAAAUGAAAAUAUUACAUUGAAAGGCAUUGUAUGUGAUCCACGCGUUUGAUGAACAUUAAUUCUUAAUUUGCUUCUUAUCUCAUAUUCAGUGGCUUACCUAGCUUUGUUAAAUUUCGGUUAUUGCUUAAAUCCAACACUUGUAGGUUUGUCAAAUUUGCUAAUCCUAUUACAAAAAUAUAAAUUUGUUAAAGAGCCCCUACAAUCUAUCAAAAAAAAAAAAACAUAGAAAGAAUGACCUCCUAAUUUUCUAAAAGUAGAUAAUUUAGUCAGAACCCCUAUAAUCUAUCAAAAAAGAAAAAAAAUCAAAUCCCUGUUAAAUUAUACCUAGAAAUUAAUUUGUAUUAUUCUCAUAUAUUGUGAUGUUGACUUCUAAGUCAUUUCAAAUAAUCUCAAAAGAGUCCAGCACUUCUUGUUCGUCAUAAUUGCCUACUGCGUAUUAGGUACGCGUUCAUUAAUUUGUCUCGAAAAUUUAUAUUACCUCUCGUAACUAUUACCAAUACAAAUAAAGAACUCGCUUUUCAAAGGUAAAAAAACGGUCUUCAUAAUUUUGUCUUUCAAGUAGCAAGUUUGACCGACAAACAAGUCGCUAGAAAUUGGGGGUAUAUAUCAUUAAUGUAAGCAUUCGAAAUUAUCAUGUUUCAAUGAAAAAUAACCGUCGACAUUUAUUUGAAAAUUUUACCUUGGCUUUCUAAAGAACCGUUUAUAUUAUUCCAACUCAAAUCCAAUGCUUCCAAGUUUUUCAAUUUAGCCAAUCCUGCACCAAGAAAGAAGAAACGAUGUCAAGGAUGCAGCAUUUUUUAAAUAGGUAAACUAUUUACGAAAAUUCAAAUAUUACUUGGCCAUGUUACGGAUAAGCUUAUACUAUUUUGACUAAUUCGCUAAUCCUGCUUGAUUUAUUUUGGAAAAAAUAGAGGCAUAGAAGAAUUUAUUUAUUUAUUUUGGAAAAAAAAAUAGAGGAAUAGAAGAAUUAAGUCAGUAAAUUUUAAAAAAAGUUUAUAAUCUUUGGGUUGUUAUAUACAUGUAUCAAUAAUAUUUUAAAAACACUAACAAGUGAGGGCUGUCGAAAACGUUUUCUAAAUUCGACAUUAAUAGGAAGUGAAUUGUUGUAUACCUUGAAUUGUAGUUAUUCCACAAUCACGAAGAUCCAAUGUUUUCAAGUUUGGCAAAUCUGCCAAUCCUACAUGCACCGAUAAAAAAUGAAAACAUUACAUUUCAAAGCAUUGUAUGUGAUCCGUGCACUUGAUAAACAAUAAUUCUUAAUUUGCUUCUUAUUUCAGACGUCAUGGCUUACCUAGCGUUGUCAAAAUUUUAUUAUAGCUUAAAUCCAACACUUGCUAAUAUUAGUCAAGUUUGUCAAGUUUUGCAAUCAAAAAUUGGUUUUAAUUUGACAUUAUACAUAUGUAAAAAUUAAGGCCAUAAUAAUAUCACAAGGAAUUUGGGUAGUGAUUUGUUGCCGUGUACCUUGAUUUGUAGUUAUUCCACAACCACGAAGAUUCAAUUCUUUCAGGUUUGUCAAAUUUACCAAUCCUACACCAAUGAAAAGCAAAAUAUUACUUUUAAAAUUAUUGUAGAAGGUUGUGAUUAGUGUGCUAACUUGGUAGUUAUCUCAGUAGCCUACCUAGCCUUGUUAAAGAGCCACUAGUUAUAUUUUCGUUCCAGCUUAGAUCCAACACUUGCAAGUAUCUCAAAUUUGCUAAUCCUGCUCCGAAAACAUUAAUUUUGAUCAAGACAAUAUAAAUAUAUAUUUUAAUUAAGAAAUUAAUUAAGUUGCCUAACAUGUAUAUCUGCUAGCCUGAAACGUAUAUGUAUACCUUGCAUGGUUCCGGAACCUUCAAUGGAAUUGGAAUAAAGAAUCAAAGUGGUAAGUGAAGUUAGUGUAUUCAAAUAUGGUAAUAUGCUGUCGUUGAAGAAAUUACAACCAAGAUCUAAGAUCUUCAGCUGCUUCAAACUCCCAAAGCUAUCGUAAGCUGCAAAUGCAUAUGAAGUGUUAUUAUUAAUUAGUCACUGACAACAUAAUUAUGAACGAGAAAUAGAUGCAUUUGCGCGUACCUUUAUUCUCAUAGAAGCCUCUAAACCAAUUGUCAGACAAGUUAAGGCUUUGCAAUUCUUCAAAAGGAUGAAACAAUGACAUAUUCAGAAGCGAAGCCGAAGUUCUAUCAUAAUAAUUCAAUCUCUCUGUAUAAGUGAGUGAGAGUUGCAUCACCCGUCGUGUGGUGGCGUUGCACUUAACUCCCUCCCAAUCAUCACAACAAUCAGACGGCAUUCCAUCAUCCUCACCAACCCAUGAGGGAAGAAUUUUGUCAUCAUAUCCAAUAUCACCGACUGAUAUGAAGAAGCUCUUGAUUUCCAACAGAGCAGUCCUCUCUGUUUCCAAGCAUCCUUUGUAUCCAUGCAUUUCAUUUAUCAAUACAAUAAUCCAAAUUAGUGAUGUUAAUGAGAACUUAAUACAAGAAGUACUUUCCAUUGCAGAGCAACUUUUCAUGUGGUUAAAAUUAAAUGUGCAAUGAGGGAAAGUUCAAUAUUAAUUUAUACUAAAAGUUUAUCAUAGGCCUUGCAAUUUGAUUGGCUGAGGAUUACUCAACCACUCAAUUCAAUAUCUUAAGCGGCCAAUACAUCGCCAUCUUGAAGUCUUUCUUCCAAGAAUUGUAAGCACUUCGCGUUUUGCUACAUUCGACCAACGGGAAAAACCAAUUCGGUAAUACUAUAUAAUUAAAGUGAUUGUAAACUACAAAUUUUUCUAAUAGUUUGACGGGGAUAGUCAUAACUAAUAAAAUAAAAGUUUACUAAGAGAAUUUGAACAAUAUAACCGUAUGUUUGGAUUUGCAUUGAAUUAUCAGUUAAUCUAUAAAAUAAUGUGUUUUGAAAAGAAUUUGAUUGUAUGUUUGAUAAGUUUAAAUUUGUUAGAAAAUCAGUAAGUAAUGAACUUAAAUUUUCAUACAUAAAAGUGUGGUGUAUUCUGAAAUGGCAAAACAAAUAAAUGUUAUUUGAAGCUCUUAUGACCCUUUUUGUUCAUGCAUUUGUAUCAAAGCUGCUAAAAUCAAAGAUAUUGAGAAUCUUUAAUAGGAAAAGUUUCCAUUGCUCUCAAUCUGCAGCUUCACUAUUACAAUCACUUGAAACGACAAAAAAAGAAAUUUCAUAUGAUAUUGGGACAGAUGUAUGGCUUCAAUUUAAAUGACCCUAGCUCCAUAUAUUAUUACAACUGGGAGAAAAAUUAAAGUUGACUGACUUUCAAAUUAAGCCAACUGUUGUGAAAAUUUUAAUAUACUCGCAAGCGCACGAAUCUAGAGAUAGAAAAGUGGUAACGAGGUCGAUCCCACAGGGAUUGUUAUAAAUUGAAAAGUCUAAUUUAAAUCUAAAAUUAAUAUUAAUUCUAACCUAGUUGAGCAAAUUGAGUUUUAAGAGAAAUUAAACUAAUUAAACUAAGAAAACAAUUAAAGUAAAUGAGAAUUUAAUGAGAUAAAAAUUACUAAGGUUUCGGAAUCCACCACUAUUCAAUUAGUAAUUAUCUAAAUAUUAAUUAAUCCCCAAUUUUAGAGUGACAACUCGAAAUCAAUCUAUGUCAUCUCAUGGAUAUAACAAUUAAGCCCAAGUAAUUAAAUCUAAUGUAGGUUCUUUUUCUACUUAAUAAUACGAUAUCUAAGUAUCCCAUGUAAACAUAUUGAAUAACAAAGAGUCAAAGUUUACUAAGCACUCUAUGUAAACAAUUUAAUGAAAGACAUAGAGUCAAAGAUAAUCAUGUAUAAACUUUAUAGAUCCAAGCAUAGAAUUAAUCGAAUAUUAAUCCUAACAAUCAAUAAUGCAUGACAGAAUUGAUGAAAAGAUUUUAUUAACAUCCAAUUAAUCAUGUGAAAUAAAAACCAUAAUCAUCAAAGAACAUAUAUAGGGAAUUAAUUAAAUAAAAAGAUAUAAUUAUUUCAUUGAAUAGGGUUUCAUCCUUAACCUCAGUAUAAGAAAAUUAGCUAGACAUACUUGAAUUGGGAGCAACAAAAUAAAUAAAUUCAGCCAUGGGAAAGCCGAAUUGCUGCAGAUUUUCUUCUCUGUCUUGAAUCCUUGCGUCUGCAGUUCUCCCUUCUGGCGGCUCUCUCUUCUUCUUUCCGUCCAGCCACUCCCUCCAAAAGCAAAAACUCUCUUUUAUAAUAUUUAAAAUGGACCCCACCUCUUAAAUCCUAAAGCCAAAAGGCUUGGCCUUUUACUUGAUUUGCUCUCACACGUGAUCACUCUUAGAAUUGCUUUAGGAUUCCUUUUGUAAUUAUGAAAGCCAAAUGUGGGUCCCAUUUAAAUUGCUUUCCAAAUAUUACAAAGCCAUGCACGUGUAACUUAACUAAGCUAAAGCCAAUGUUAUGCUUAAAUUCUUCUUCAUGUGCUAGAUCAAUUAAUUUACUAGCUUCGGUUUCCUUGGCUUCACUUCCACAUGCAUGUAUGUCUAAUUGCUUCUAAAAUCAAUUAAUUAACGCUUCCAAAAUUGAGCUCCCUUAUAUCAUUUUUUAUCCAUAAUCUUCAAUUAAUCCCCUAUUCAAUAAAAUAAUUUAAUUAAUUAAAAAUAACAAAUAAAAAUAACUAGUAAUUAUAUAAUUAAGGGUAAAAUAUGUAUAUAAAUUAUGCUCAUCAAAUACCCCCAAACUUAGAUUUUGCUAGUCCUCGAGCAAACUAAAAUUUAAACAAAAAUAAAAAUAACAACACAAAAGUAAAUCCUAACUAAACCACUUUCGCAGGUAAUCGCGAUUACAUUAGCACAUGCANNNNNNNNNNNNNNNNNNNNNNNNNNNNNNNNNNNNNNNNNNNNNNNNNNNNNNNNNNNNNNNNNNNNNNNNNNNNNNNNNNNNNNNNNNNNNNNNNNNNNNNNNNNNNNNNNNNNNNNNNNNNNNNNNNNNNNNNNNNNNNNNNNNNNNNNNNNNNNNNNNNNNNNNNNNNNNNNNNNNNNNNNNNNNNNNNNNNNNNNNNNNNNNNNNNNNNNNNNNNNNNNNNNNNNNNNNNNNNNNNNNNNNNNNNNNNNNNNNNNNNNNNNNNNNNNNNNNNNNNNNNNNNNNNNNNNNNNNNNNNNNNNNNNNNNNNNNNNNNNNNNNNNNNNNNNNNNNNNNNNNNNNNNNNNNNNNNNNNNNNNNNNNNNNNNNNNNNNNNNNNNNNNNNNNNNNNNNNNNNNNNNNNNNNNNNNNNNNNNNNNNNNNNNNNNNNNNNNAGAAAGUUAGAGAGAACACACCUGGAUGGGCUGGGAAAGCUUUAAAAAAAAAGAACAACUAAAAAGAAAACAUUAGAAAAGAAAAAUACUAGAAAAGAAAAACAAACAAAGAGAAGAAAACCUACUAUUAAAAUAAAACAAGAGUGCAAAGAUGGACAUAAUUAAUCCUGAUAAACAGGAUCAUCUAAAAGUAUCUCCUCAACUUCUGGUGUUCUUAACUCUAAAAAUGGUUUCAAUCUUUGCCCAUUGACCUUAAAUAAAUCACCAUUUUUAGGGUUUUCAAUCUCAACUGCUCCAUAAGGGAAAACAGUACGAACUAUAAAAGGACCAGACCAUCGAGAACGUAACUUACCUGGAAAGAGAUGCAAUCGGGAAUUAUAUAAAAGUACUUUCUGACCUGGUGUAAAGGCUUUUCUCAAAAUGUGUUUGUCAUGAAAGACUUUCAUUCGCUGUUUAUAAAUCUUGGCAUUCUCAUAUGCAUCAUUCCUGAUCUCUUCAAGUUCUGCUAGUUGUAAUCUUCUCUUGGAACCAGCCUGCUGCAUGUCAAAAUUGAAUUUCUUGAUCGCCCAAUAUGCACGAUGCUCCAACUCUACUGGCAGAUGACAUGCUUUUCCAUACACAAGUCGAUAAGGUGACAUCCCAAUUGGUGUUUUAAAAGCAGUCCUAUAUGCCCACAAUGCAUCAUCAAGUCUCAAAGACCAAUCCUUUUUAUCUGGCCUAACUGUUUUCUCUAGAAUCUGCUUGAUCUCUCUAUUAGAAAUCUCUACUUGGCCACUGGUUUGAGGAUGGUAUGGGGUGGCAACCUUAUGUGUAACGGAAUAUUUGUUCAAAAGAGUUUUGAAAGGUUUAUUGCAAAAAUGAGUGCCACCAUCACUAAUGAUUGUUCUAGGAAAACCAAAACGAGAUAGAAUAUUACUCUUCAAGAAUUUCACUACAACCCUAUGAUCAUUGGUUUUGCAUGGAAUAGCUUCAACCCACUUCGACACAUAGUCUACUGCAACCAAUAUAUACUGAUAACCACAAGAUGGAGGAAAAGGUCCCAUGAAAUCAAUACCCCAUACAUCGAAGAUCUCAACCACAAGAAUAGGAUUGAGUGGCAUCAUGUUCCUCUUUGAAAUGCUACCCAUACGUUGGCACCUAUCACACAAAGAACAGAAAAUGUAAGCGUCAUGAAAAAGAGUAGGCCAAUAAAAACCACACUGUAAAAUUUUUGUUGCUGUCUUUUUAGCACUAAAGUGGCCUCCACAAGCUUGUUCAUGGCAAAAUGAGAUAACACUUUGAAUUUCAUUAUCGGGAACACAUCGCCUAAUAAUCUGAUCAGCACAAUAUUUAAAUAAAUAGGGAUCAUCCCAAAAGAAGUCUUUCACUUUAGAUAAGAACUUUGUUCUAUCUUGCUUAGUCCAGUGCUUUGGGAUUUGACCUGUAGCAAGGUAAUUAACUAUAUCAGCAAACCAUGGUACGACAUUUACACUCAUAAGUUGCUCAUCUGGGAAAGACUCAUUCAAAGGUAAAGAUUCUGGAAUAAAUUUAACAUCAAGGCGAGAUAAAUGAUCUGCCACAACAUUUUCAGAACCUUUUUUAUCUCUAAAUUCAAUGUCAAAUUCUUGUAAAAGCAACACCCAACGAAUCAAUCUUGCCUUGGCAUCUUUCUUAGUAAACAAAUAUUUUAAAGCAGCAUGAUCAGUAAAAAUAAUCACUUUACAACCUAUAAGAUAAGAUCUGAAUUUAUCAAGUGCAAACACCACAGCUAGCAUUUCUUUUUCUGUAGUUGAAUAGUUCAACUGUGCAUCAUUGAGUGUCAUACUAGCAUAAUAAAUCACAUAAGGCACACGAUCUAAUCUUUGUCCUAAAACUGCUCCUACAGCAUAAUCAGAUGCAUCACACAUAAUUUCAAAAGGCAAAUCCCAAUUAGGUGGCUGAAUGAUAGGUGAAGAAGUCAACAAUUUCUUAAGCUUUGCAAAACCAUCAAGACAAGAUUCAUCAAAGAUAAAAGGUGCAUCCUUAACAAGUAAAUUGCAUAAAGGUCUAGAAAUUUUACUAAAAUCUUUAAUGAAUCUUCUAUAAAAACCAGCAUGUCCAAGGAAAGAUCUUACUUCUUUUACAGAUUUGGGAUGUGGAAGAUUAGAAAUUAAAUCCACCUUAGCUUUGUCGACUUCUAUUCCUUUGCUGGAAAUUAUAUGACCAAGAACAAUACCUUGUUUUACCAUGAAGUGACACUUUUCCCAAUUUAAAACCAAGUUCUUUUCUUUACAUCUCUGCAAAACUAAUGUUAGGUGCUGUAAACAUUCAUCAAAAGAAUCUCCAUAAACAGAAAAGUCAUCCAUGAAUACUUCAAGAAAUCUCUCAACCAUAUCAGAAAAAAUACUAAGCAUGCAUCUUUGAAAGGUAGCAGGUGCAUUGCAUAAACCAAAUGGCAUUCUCCUAUAUGCAAAAGUUCCAAAGGGACAAGUAAAAGUAGUUUUCUCCUGGUCCUCUGGAGCUAUAGGGAUCUGAUUAUAACCUGAAUAUCCAUCUAGAAAACAAUAAAAAUCAUGACCUGCAAGUCUAUCAAGCAUUUGAUCAAUAAAUGGAAGAGGAAAAUGAUCUUUUCUUGUGAAUGAAUUCAAUUUUCUAUAAUUAAUGCAAACACGCCAACCUGUAGUUACUCUAGUGGGAAUUAAUUCAUUAUUAGCAUUAGUAACUACUGUAACACCAGAUUUCUUAGGAACAACUUGAACAGGGCUAACCCAAGAGCUAUCUGAAAUAGGAUAAAUAAUUCCUGCAUCUAAUAAUUUGAUUACUUCAGGUCUUACCACUUCUUUCAUGUUAGGAUUUAGCCUACGUUGCAUUUCCCUAAUAGGUUUAGCAUUUUCUUCAAGAUGAAUACGAUGCAUGCAAUCUACUGGAUUAAUACCUUCAAUAUCAGCGAUGGUCCAUCCUAUUGCCUCCUUAUGUUUUUUUAGAAUACAUAACAACUUACCUUUUUGCUCAAGAUCGAGGGAAGAAGAAAUAAUAACAGGUAGAGUGUCAGAUUCUCCCAAGAAUGCAUAUUCCAGAGUGUCGGGCAAUGCUUUGAGUUCCAAUUUUGGUGGUGCCUCUGCAGAUGGGCCAAUUUUCUUCUCAGAAUGAGGCAGUAGUUCUGACUUUGUCUUCCAUUUAGUUGUGUCCGUAAUUGGAGGUGCAUCAAGUAAAGCGCUGACUUCUGCAAUUGCACUGUCAUCAUUAAAAGAUAAAUCAGAAUGAGUUAGACGUGCCUCUAAUGGAUCAUCAGUAUGGUUAGAAAUGAAUGAAUCUUCUACUAAUUCCUCUAUCAUAUUUGCUUCAACAAAUUCAUCUUCUUCUUGUGGCUGCUUGGUAACAUUAAAAAUAUUCAAUUCCAUGGUCAUAUUACCAAAAGAUAGCUGUAUAUUUCCAUUCCUGCAAUUAAUAAGAGCAUCAGCUGUAGCUAAGAAAGGACGACCUAGAAUAACUGGAGUGUGUUUCUUAGGAUCAUGUACAUGCUGAGUAUCAAUAACGAUAAAAUCAACAGGAUAAUAAAAUUUAUCAAUCUGUAUCAACACAUCCUCUAUAAUACCACGAGGUAUUUUCAUUGACCUAUCAGCAAGUUGCAAAAUAAUAGAAGUUGGCUUUAAUUCCCCUAGUCCAAGUUGCAUGUAAACAGAGUAAGGCAAGAGAUUAACACUAGCGCCUAAAUCCAAUAAUGCUUUAUCAAAACAUUGGUUCCCUAUAACACAUGAGAUAGUAGGAGAACCAGGGUCCUUAAAUUUUGGUGGCAUUUUACAUUGAAGUAAAUUGCUAGUUUGUUCAGUUAAAAACGCCUUUUUAGUGACAUGCAAAUUUCUCUUUUUAGUGCAUAAAUCUUUCAAAAACUUUGCAUAUGAAGGAACUUGCUUAAUAGCAUCGAGUAAAGGGAUGUUUAUACUUACCUGUUUGAAGAUUUCCAUAAUCUCACCUGUUGAAGUCCCUUUCUUUACCUUUGUUAACCUUUGAGGAAAAGGAGCCUUGGGAAUGUAAGCUGGCGGGCCACUCUCUUUAGGAUCAUUUGGUGAUGAGUCUUGUGAUGGAACUGAAUAUGAAGAAGUAGGCUCAGAUAUCUUCCUUGUUUGAACCUCUACUUUGUUGUCAAAUAAUUUUCCUCUUCUCAAGGUCAUAACAGAUUUUGCUUCUUCAUGUUGAUGGCUUGAACUCGAUCCAACUUCGUGCACUCCUUUGGGAUUAGGAAUUGGUUGACUUGGAAAUUUUCCUUUUUCUCUCUCAGCUACAGUAGUUGCUAAUUGACCCAAUUGAUGUUCAAGCUUUAGAAUAGCUUGAGUGUUUGACUGAAAAGCUUGUUGGGUUGACUGAAUGAAACUUUGAAGUGUAUCCUCUAAAGAAGACUUUCUUUGUUGGGGUGCAACAAAUUGAGACAUAGGUUGUUGGGCAGGAGGAUAUACUUGGUUAGGAGGGACAAAUUGUUGAUUGGGCAAGUUAAAUUGUUGUCCUCCUUGGUUUGACAAAGGUUGAUUUUGUUUCCAAGAAAAAUUAGGGUGAUUCCUCCAAUUAGGAUUAUAUGUGGGUGAAUAUGGAUUAUUAGGGGUUUUCUCAUAUGAUUGUAAGGCAUGUACCUGCUCAGAAUAAGCCUCUUGAUAGGCUGGUAAUGAUGGACAAUUCUGUGCUGUAUGAGACACGUUAGAACAAAGAGCACAAACCUCAUUAGCUACACUAGGAUGAUGAUUCAUUGAUUGGUUCAGAGCUAAGGCAUCUACUUUCCUAGAAAGUGUAGCUAGAGUAGAUUUCACAUCAAAAUCAUCCUUAACUUCAUAUAACCCCUUUCUAGAAACUUGAGAUGAUUUUUCUCAUUGAUUUGAAAAAUCCCACUGUUGAGAAUUCUCAGAAAGUGAAUUAAAGAAAUCCCAUGCAGCCCCUUCAUGUAAGUUCAAAAAUCUCCCACCAUUCAUAGACUCUACCAUAUGACGAUUUGACAUGGUUAAACCAUUAUAAAAGCAUUGUAUAAGUCUCCAUUUCUCAAAACCAUGGUGGGGGCACUUAAGGAGUAAAUCAUUGAAUCUUUCCCAACACUCGUAAAAUUGCUCACCCUCUCUUUGAUAAAAAUCAUUUAUCUCUCUCCUAAGGGCAUUUGUUUUAGACAUAGGGAAAAACUUGGUGAGAAACUUAUUACUCAAUUCAUCCCAUGUACUAAUAGACCCAGCAGGAAGUGAAUUCAACCAAGCUUUUGCUUUGUCUUUUAAUGAGAAAGGGAACAUACGAAGCCUAAUUGACUCAUCAUUAAAAUUUUGAAAACGAAAUGUAGAGCAUAUGUCAAGAAAUUCCUUAAUGUGCAAAUAUGGAUCCUCUCUCUCUAACCCAUGGAAAGAUGGUAAAAGUUGAAUGACAGAGGGCUUGAGUUCAAAGUGUGUUGCUGUGGUUUGUGGCAACACAAUACAAGAUGGUUGGUUGGCUGCAAGUGGUGAAAAAUAUUCUCUAAGGGUUUUCUCUGCUUGCAUUGGUGGAAGUAUUGGCAAUAGUCUAUUUGGGUCAUCCAUCACUUCUAAAGAACUAGUUUGACUACUAUCAAUUUUCGACUCUCUUUUAACCAAACGAUUUGUUAAAUCACGUUCCCAAACACUCAUAAACUAACUAGACAAGGAAAGAAAGAAAAAAAAAAAUAAAACAAAUCAACAAUAAUAAAAAUUAAAUAAAAGAAAUCAAACAACCAAACAAUGAAUUUAAAGACAAAUAAUUUUUUUUUUUGUGUUUUUUUUUAAUUAAAAAAAUAUAAAAGACAAUCUAAAUUAUAACUAGUGGAAGAAUCAAAUCAACCUAGAUUAAACUGACUUUCUAGCACAAUCCCCGGCAACGGCGCCAAAAACUUGUUGUGAAAAUUUUAAUAUACUCGCAAGCGCACGAAUCUAGAGAUAGAAAAGUGGUAACGAGGUCGAUCCCACAUGGAUUGUUAUAAAUUGAAAAGUCUAAUUUAAAUCUAAAAUUAAUAUUAAUUCUAACCUAGUUGAGCAAAUUGAGUUUUAAGAGAAAUUAAACUAAUUAAACUAAGAAAACAAUUAAAGUAAAUGAGAAUUUAAUGAGAUAAAAAUUACCAAGGUUUCGGAAUCCACCACUAUUCAAUUAGUAAUUAUCUAAAUAUUAAUUAAUCCCCAAUUUUAGAGUGACAACUCGAAAUCAAUCUAUGUCAUCUCAUGGAUAUAACAAUUAAGCCCAAGUAAUUAAAUCUAAUGUAGGUUCUUUUUCUACUUAAUAAUACGAUAUCUAAGUAUCCCAUGUAAACAUAUUGAAUAACAAAGAGUCAAAGUUUACUAAGCACUCUAUGUAAACAAUUUAAUGAAAGACAUAGAGUCAAAGAUAAUCAUGUAUAAACUUUAUAGAUCCAAGCAUAGAAUUAAUCGAAUAUUAAUCCUAACAAUCAAUAAUGCAUGACAGAAUUGAUGAAAAGAUUUUAUUAACAUCCAAUUAAUCAUGUGAAAUAAAAACCAUAAUCAUCAAAGAACAUAUAUAGGGAAUUAAUUAAAUAAAAAGAUAUAAUUAUUUCAUUGAAUAGGGUUUCAUCCUUAACCUCAGUAUAAGAAAAUUAGCUAGACAUACUUGAAUUGGGAGCAACAAAAUAAAUAAAUUCAGCCAUGGGAAAGCCGAAUUGCUGCAGAUUUUCUUCUCUGUCUUGAAUCCUUGCGUCUGCAGUUCUCCCUUCAGCCACUCCCUCCAAAAGCAAAAACUCUCUUUUAUAAUAUUUAAAAUGGACCCCACCUCUUAAAUCCUAAAGCCAAAAGGCUUGGCCUUUUACUUGAUUUGCUCUCACACGUGAUCACUCUUAGAAUUGCUUUAGGAUUCCUUUUGUAAUUAUGAAAGCCAAAUGUGGGUCCCAUUUAAAUUGCUUUCCAAAUAUUACAAAGCCAUGCACGUGUAACUUAACUAAGCUAAAGCCAAUGUUAUGCUUAAAUUCUUCUUCAUGUGCUAGAUCAAUUAAUUUACUAGCUUCGGUUUCCUUGGCUUCACUUCCACAUGCAUGUAUGUCUAAUUGCUUCUAAAAUCAAUUAAUUAACGCUUCCAAAAUUGAGCUCCCUUAUAUCCUUUUUUAUCCAUAAUCUUCAAUUAAUCCCCUAUUCAAUAAAAUAAUUUAAUUAAUUAAAAAUAACAAAUAAAAAUAACUAGUAAUUAUAUAAUUAAGGGUAAAAUAUGUAUAUAAAUUAUGCUCAUCACCAACAAACAAGUGGCUAUCAAUUCUUUUUCCUCUAACAAAUAGUGGAGACUGUCAAUACAAUAAAAUAAAAGUUGACUAAGAAUUUAUGUAAUUUAAGAAUAUGAUUGGGUUUUUAUUGAAUUGUAUGAUUGGGUUGCACUGAAUUAUCAAAAAAUCUAUUCAAGCAUGCAUUGAUAUUCUCAAAUAUUUAAUGAGUUUCAAAAAUUAUUUUAUUAGAUUUUUGGUAAAUUGGUUCAUUUAUUAGAUGAUCAAUUAUUAAUCAAGUAAUUUUCCAUAUAUAUUUGGUAAUUUACUCAUAAAAUUUUGUGGAUUGCAUUGAAAUGACAGUUUAUAUGAUGUAUGACAUAUGUAGAGCUGCAAUUUAAAUAGGAACUAAUUUUAUAUAUAAAUACAUAUAUAUUGCAGCAUUCAAUCAUUAAGUUAAAGCAUCAAUCACGGUGACCACCGAAACUUGUGAAUGAUUAGUCCAUCAAAAUCCUAUGUGUGGUGAAUUAAUAUUUCCCAAUGGAAUGGUGAGUAGAAUAACACAUGUACCUAACUCAUAUUUAAAAGUUAACUAUAGAGUUGAAGGUUGUUUAAGUAUUAUACACUUUAACCAAAAUCAAUUUUUUUUCACUCUAUUAAUUCACCAAUCAUGGGCAUAAACGUCAUGGGCAUAAAAGCUCAAUUUAUACAAAAACUAAAAAUUUUUGAAAAAAAUGUUACAAUUAUCAUAAUUGGAAAUUUGAUUGAAUUUCAAAGAUUGAUUCAAUCAAUCUUGAUGUUACUGGACAAUCGAUCUUAAUAUUGAUAGUCAAUCUUUACAGUGAUUGGUACGCGUUAAGAUAAUGAGUUUUGGCCUCUAUAAUGACUAAGAAAGACUUGUAAGACCUGAACCAAUGAGGAAACACGCUUCAUUAGUACUCCAUGGAAAAUAAAUGUUGACUGACUUUCGAAUUAAGCUAGCAUACAAAGUACAAACUGUCGUUAAUUCUACUUUUUCCAACAGGUGAUGGGGAUAGUCAACUAAUAAAAUAAAAGUUGAUUGAGGUAAUUUAAAGAAAGGAAAAGGACAAUGAACCCUUAACGUUUGAAAAAAAAUGACAUAAUAUUCCUUAACGUUUAAAAAAAAAAGAUAUAUAAUUCAUUUUUAUUAUUAAAUUUUAUUUUUUAAUAAUAAAUUUAUUUUUAAUUUACAAUUAUUAUUAUGUCCCUAUAAUAAAUAAUUCAAUAUAUUGACUUAAGAAAUGCCAUUGAUAACAUGUAUAAUGAAAUCAAUAACUUUUUAUUUAAAACUUAAAAUUGAGUUGAAAUUAUCUUUUAUCCAAAUUAUUCACUAUAAAUUAUUAAUAUGCCCUUUCCAAUGAUAGGAUGAUAAAAAAAUGAUGAAUAAUAGGUAAAAUUAAAAUCAAAUUUAUCAUUUGGAAGGGUAUGUUCGUAAUUUAGAGUGAAUAAUUUAGGUAAAAAGUAAUUACAUCUUAAUAUUUAAGUUUUAAAUAAAAAAUUAUUAAUUUCAUUAUACCUAUGAUAUGUCUUAAGUCGAUAUAUUAAAUUAUUUAUUAUAGGGAUAUAAUAGUAAUUGUAAAUUAAAAAUAAUUUUACUAUUAAAACAAAUGAAAUUUAAUUAAAAAAAAGGAUUAUAUGUCUUUUUCGAAACAAUAAGGAGUUUUAUGUCAUUUUUCCCAAACGUUAGGAGACUCACGGUUCUUUUCCCUUUAACAAAUUUAAGCGUAAAUUUUGAGUUCAAAUUAUCAAAUAAUUUUUUCCACUAUUGAUUCUUCAAUAAGUGCUUUGGAACUAAUAAUUCGAUAGGAUGUUUGAUAUAUUGAAAUUUGUGAAAAUCAAUAAUCAACUAAUUUUCAUACAUCUUUAGACAUUUUAAUAAAUUACUCAUAAAAUUAUGGUUCAGAGACCGAUAUUAAAAAUUUAUAUAAAUGACUUAAAGAGUAUGAUUGGAUUUACAUUUCCAAUAAUGCAUUCAAGUAUUGAUAUUAUUAGAAAAAAAGGGGGACAAUCAAUCUUUGUGUCAAUUGAUCUUAUUAAUUGACCAUGAAUCUUAGUAUUGACUGACAAAAUUGGAACAAUCACUCUCAGCAAUUAAUAGUCUUUGUCCUCAUCUUUCUUUUGAUUCUUGUCACAGAGGAUGCGUGGCGUGUUGGAGAGGGUUCAUCGCUGGUGGAAUUUUCGUGGCCAUUCAAGAAUCGGGAUGGUUGUUGUAGAAUUCCACAGGGAUUGCCCCAGUCUACGCAAUACAUACUCUCAUGUCCUUUGAGAAAGCUCACGACUUACGAGGCAGAUCAGCAUGUCCUUAUCAUCGGGUUUAAGCUUUUAUGAAUCUGAUGUCUUUCUACUGAUUUUAUUCACAUCCCUACGAUGAUUUUCUAUAAGCAAUUCUGCUAGUUUUUUAUGAAAUGAUGCUAACUGGUAUGAGCUUCUUUGCUUGUGUCCAUCAGAGAUGAAUUCAUGAUACAUAACAUUGUUAUUUAUAUUUGUCUACAAGCUGUUCUGCUGGUUAUUUAUGAAUUAAUCCGUGGAUGAUUGAACUGUAAUUAAGUUCCCCUUGGUCGACGAAUUAAGUUAAAUUAAUUUAUAAAUUAGAAUCAUAGUGGUUUAUUUUAAAAAAGAAAAAGGGAAAAAAAGAAAAGACGACGACAACAACACAUUUUAAAUACUGUCACAAUCUUGGGGUUUUGGGCAUGAAUGCGUCGCCGUUGGACAUGGUAUCUAGACAGGCCCAAAGUUAACACAAACUUGGGUUUUAUCUUUUUCCCGUUGGGCCCAUCAGAACACUGGGCUGGAUUUCGCCUUGUUGUAGAAAAUCGUACUGUUCAGUGGAGAAGCAACAAAAUGGUGCCGGUCCAGAGAAUUCCAGAAUUGACACGGUCUCGUCAACAGACCGCAAGCUCGGAGGGGGAAACUCUUGAUCGAACAUUAAUGACGUAAUAAAGACCUCUUGAGUAUUUCUCACUUUUACAACUUUAAAAAAUUAUUUCUUACAUCAUUAAUGUUAUAAAAUUGUUGUUGUAAUAAUCAUAAUAAUUAUAAUAUUAAUAAUUUACAAACUGCAUUAAUGUAAGCUCUCACUUAACAGAAAGUUAGCAAUAAUUCAAGUGAUUUUCUAGUGAUUGUCAAGUUACUCAUAUACGAAGGAAGUUGACCUUCAAAAUUAUUACUAAUGAGAUCCAAAUCAAUAAGAUUCUUCAAUUCAUAUAUUCCUGCGGAAAUAAAAGUGUCAAAAUUCAUGAUAAGAAGAAAAUGUGCGUUUUAGUUUUCUUAUUGUUACAUGUUCAUUUUAAAUUGAUUCUCUCUAAUAUAUAAUUCUAUUGGAAAUUAUUAUGUAUACAGAGAAAUUCUUUUCAUAAGUAAUAAAUUGUCUACAAAUCAUGACAAUGCACUUAACUUAUCUUAAAAUUAAAAUUAUCAUGUUUUUAGUGAAAAAAUAACUGCUAAUUGUUUCUAAAGUUUACCUUCGCCUUCCAAAGAACCUUUUAUAUUAUUAAAGCUCAAAUCCAAUGCUUCCAAUUGUUUCAAUUAAGGGAAUCCUGCACCGAGAGAAGAAAUAAUGUUACAAGAUGCCGAAUUUCUUAAAUAGGUAGACAGCAUCACGAAAAUUCAACUAUUACCUGGCCAUGUUACCAGUACGCUUGUACUAUUUCUCUUUAGAACUAUAGACACUUGGCUAAUAUGGAGUUUAACUGGUGGAGUGAAUGGUGAUUUGCACGUCACUGAUGUCUCUAAUGCAUCACGAACGAUGCUCAUGAAUCUGAAAACUCUUGAUUGGGAUAAGCCUACACUAGAAACACUAGGGAUACCAACCGAAAUUCGGCCCAAAAUUGUUAGUAAUUCUGAGAUUAUUGGAAAAAUUGGCAAAGGGUGUCCAAUUACUGGAAUACCAAUUUCAGGAUGUCUUGGUAACCAACACGCGGCUAUGUUAGGACAAGCUUGUAAAAAAGGUGAGGCUAAAAGCACCUACGGUACUGGUGCUUUUAUACGUCUGAACACAGGCGAAGAGGUAGUUAAGUCAAAGCAUGGACUUUUGAGCACUUUAGCCUUUAAGCUUGGUCCUAAAGCACCGACAAACUACGCUCUGGAGGGUUCAAUUGCCUCGCUGGAGCUGUAGUUCAGUGGCUCAGAGACAGUCUUGGCAUAAUCAGCAAUGCAAGUGAGAUAGAGGAAUUGGCAUUGCGGGUCAACUCAACUGGUGGGAUUUACUUUGUACGUGCUUUUAAUGGAUUGCUUGCUCCAUGGUGGCGUGAUGACGCCCGCAGCGUUUGCAUUGGGAUUACUAGGUUCACAAGCAAGGCUCACUUUGCUCGAGCUGUGCUUGAAAGCAUGUGUUUUCUAGUGAAGGAUGUGUUGGAUUCAAUGCAAAAGGAUGCAGUGGAGAAGGGUGUCAUAAAGGAUGCAAAGCCGGAGUUCGUGCUUAGAGUUGAUGGAGGUGCUACGGUUAACAACCUCUUAAUGCAGAUUCAGGUUUGCACUUCUCACUUUUUCUAGUGCUCUGUUGCAGUUCUACACAGCUCUUCAUUUGUAUGCAUGACUGAUAACAAUUUCCAAUUUUCUCAUCAAUCGUUCUGCUGUUUAUUUUUUCCUGAAGUAUCCUGUUUUUGGUAUUGUUUCUUCUUAUUGGUUAUAGUUUUGCAGCUAUCAACGCAAAUUUAGCUACUCUGCUUUCUUUUGAAAAAUAUUAUAAUUUCCCAUUUUUGAGCUUCUUGUCUUUGAAUGCAGGUCAGUCGGUCUUUCUAGGGCUCUAGAAAUGUUUAUUUGACACUUCUGCAAGAUUUGUGUGGUACAUUCUUGAGAGAUGUUUUCCAAAUAAACUUUUAGCUGGCUGCUUGCUGAUCAGAAGCUAAAGCAAUGUUUAGAUUCAAAUGCUUUCAAAGGGUCUUACUUUGGGUUGGAAUUAGCUCUAUGGAAAUAAUGGUCAUUUUGAAGAAUCUGAGCUUUAUUCGGACAUCACACUCUCUUCCAUUUUCUGGAAUCCAUUGUUGAUAUUUUAUUGUCUUUCUGCCCUGGAAGGCCAUAUAAAACUGUUCUUAUCAUGAUUUACAGGCGGACUUGUUGGGAAGCCCAGUCCUCAGACCAGCUGACAUAGAGGCAACGGCUCUCGGAGCUGCCUUUGCAGCUGGAUUAGCAAUUGGGGUUUUCAAAGAAGAAGAGAUUUUUGCUUCCAGCGAACGGACUAAGACUUCAACCACUUUCAAGCCCCUCUUAAACGAGGAAUUCAGGAAGAAAAAGGCAGAAUCCCAGUGCAGAGCUGUUGAAAGAACUUUCAACUUGGCGGAUCUCUCUCUUUGAAUUAUGUCUCUGUGGUUUUCAUCAAUCAUCCCUUUUCUCCUUUUUCCUUAUCAGUCUUUACAUCUUUCAUGGUUAAUUGUAUUUCAAGUGAAUAACGUUAUAAUUAAUAAAUGCUUUCUUCUCCUAAUUGCUUUUGUAUAGAUAAAAAUUGGUGCUUUUGUUAGUCUCCUCAAUUGAGAGUUGAGAGAAGUAAUUCUUGCAAGAGAAAAUAAUUUUGUGUGCUUAGUGAUUUGAGAGUUUGGGUGUAUUGGGGUUUUGGGUAGUGAGCUAAAAUACUACAAUACUUGUAACUCCUUUUCACUAGUAUAAUAUUUCUUUCUGUCUUCGCCCGUGGACGUAGGCUAAAAGCCGAACCACGUAAUUUCUGGUAUUCUCUUUUGUGCUUGUUCUUUAUUUUUCUAUCAAUUUUACUUUAGCUGCGUGUCUGCUUCACCCACCAAUUUCCUAACAGUGGUAUCAGAGCUAUUGGUUGUAUUUUUUGGAGUCAGGAACUGUUCACGUAAGGGGUACUAUUCACGUAUACGUCACUAUACACGUAUACGAUACUAUUCACGUAUACGGUAUUGUUCACGUAUACGGUAUUGUUCACGUAUACGGUUUUGUUCACGUAUACGGUACUAUUCACGUGAAACGGUGGGAGCGAUCCAAGAAUUUUGCGGUGCAAAGCAGGGAAUAGUGGUGUGAGUAAAACAAUUGUGUGGUUUUGUACAUGUCUAGGAAAGUUCUGUCACAAAGGCGAUAAGAGCUUAAGGAGUCUGGGUUUUAAGUGGGACCAUUGUGACCCCUCCAGUCUUUCCUGGGAACUUUCCUGGUGUGCAUUCUCACACAUACUCAUAACUAUUCAAGGUGGUAUACCAGCUUGUGUGCAGUAUUUAUCAACAAAAUGGCGGCAAAGUAUGAAAUUGAGAAAUUUAACGGAAAUAAUUUUUCGUUGUGGAAAAUGAAGAUGAAAGCUGUAUUGAGGAAAAAUAAUUGCUUGGCAGCAAUUGGAGAAAGGCCCAUGGAGAUAACUGAUGACAAGUGGAACGAGAUAGAUGGCAACGCCAUUUCUGAUCUACACUUGGCACUUGCAGACGGAGUAUUAUCCAGUGUGGCAGAGAAAAACACAGCGAAGGAAAUAUGGGAUACUCUCACAAAAUUGUACGAGGCCAAGUCACUACACAACAAAAUUUUCUUGAAGAGAAAACUCUAUACUCUUCGAAUGGCGGAAUCUACAAUGGUGACCGACCACAUCAACACAUUGAAGACUCUAUUUUCACAACUCACAACAUUGGGUCAUAAUAUAGAGGAAAAUGAACGUGCAGAGCUUCUACUUCAAAGUCUACCAGAUUCGUAUGAUCAACUCAUCAUCAACCUGACGAACAACAAUCCAGUGGAGAGUCUAGUUUUCGACGAUGUUGCAGCCUCCGUAUUAAAUGAGGAAAGCAGGCGGAAAAAUAAGGAAAAUAGACAAGCAAGUUCGCAGCAAGCGGAGGCGCUAUCGGUGAUGAGAGGGAGAUCAACGGAACGUGGCCCCAGUGGGAGUCAAAAUCAUGGUAGAUCAAAAUCUAGAAGUAAGAAGAAUGUUAAAUGCUACAACUGUGGCAAGAAAGGACACGUCAAAAAGGAGUGUUGGAGUAAUCAGAAGAGAAGAGAGGGUAAAGAACCUGAGUCAUCAAAUGCUCAGGGGUGUGUAGCAAGUACCUCGGAUGAUGGUGAAAUACUCUACAGUGAGGCAACAAUUGUUUCAGAAGGCAGAAAACGACUUUCUGAUGUUUGGCUUAUAGACUCAGGAGCUACCUGGCACAUGACCUCUAGGAGAGAAUGGUUCCACACAUAUGAACCUAUCUCAGGAGGAUCUGUAUAUAUGGGUAACGAUCAUGCCUUGGAGAUCGCUGGUAUUGGUACUAUCAAAAUAAAAAUGUUUGAUGGUACAAUUCGCACAAUUGGAGAGGUACGACAUGUCAACGGCCUGAAGAAAAAUCUAUUGUCUUUAGGACAAAUGGAUAGUCAUGGGUACAAAACUCAUGUGGAAAAUGGAAUUAUGAAGAUCGUUAAAGGCGCGCUUGUAUUGAUGAAGGCAGAAAAGAUCGGUGCUAAUCUAUUCAUGCUUAAAGGAGAAACGCUACAGGAGGCUGAUGCGUGUGUCGCAUCAAAUGGAGAAGAGUUAACGAUGAUGUGGCAUCUCAAACUUGGCCACAUGUCGGAACAAGGUUUGAAGAUUCUCUUUGAGCGAAAAUUGCUUCCAGGGCUCAAAUCGGUAAGUUUACCAUUUUGCGAGCAUUGUGUUACAAGUAAGCAGCAUAGAUUAAAAUUCAGUAGAUCUAUUGUUAGAAGUAAAUGCAUUCUAGACUUGAUUCAUUCUGAUGUUUGGGAAUCACCGGAUAUAUCCAUGGGAGGUGCAAAGUACAUGGUGACUUUCAUUGAUGAUUAUUCCAGAAGAUGUUGGGUGUAUCCAAUUAAGAAAAAGUCAGAUGUAUUUUUAGUGUUUAAAGAAUACAAAGCGCGGUUGGAACUUGAAUCUGGUAAAAAGAUCAAGUGCUUAAGGACGGAUAAUGGUGGAGAGUAUACAGACGGUGAGUUUCUUGCUUUCUGUAAGCAAGAAGGUAUUCAGAGGCAGUUCACGGUGGCAUACACUCCUCAACAAAACGGAGUGGCGGAGCGGAUGAACAGAACUCUUACAGAAAGAAUAAGAGCUAUGUUGAGGACUGCUGGUCUACCCAAUUCAUUCUGGGCAGAAGCAGCCAAAACUGCAUGUUAUAUAGUAAAUCGAUCGCCAUCUACAGCUAUUGGGCUGAAGACAGCGAUGGAGAUGUGGACUGGAAAGCCAGCUGAUUAUUCCUACCUACAUGCAUUUGGAUGUCCUGUGUACGUGAUGUACAAUGCCCAAGAAAGAACAAAGCUGGAUCCAAAAUCUAGAAGAUGUAUCUUCUUAGGGUGUGCUGAUGGAGUAAAGGGGUAUCGUCUGUGGGACCCCACUGCCCACAAGAUCGUCAUCAGCAGAGAUGUUAUCUUUGUAGAAGAUCAACUGCAAAGGAGAGAUGAGGAUGAUGGCACUACAAAAGAAAAGUCAGAGACUGUGCCAGUAUAUGUGGAAAAUAAUCUAGAAGAUUCAGAUUCUUCUGAAGCAGCACCAGAGCACGAGGAACAAGAACCAGUCGAGUCUGAGGCUCUAGAAGUUCGUCGGUCAACUCGUGAGAGACGACCACCGACGUGGCACUCGGAGUAUGUCACAGAGAUCAACAUUGCAUACUGUCUUCUAACAGAGGAUGGAGAGCCUUCAACUUUCCAUGAAGCUUUAAACAGCUCAGAUGUUGCUUUGUGGAUGAUAGCAAUGCAGGAAGAAAUUGAAGCUCUACACAAGAACAAGACAUGGGAACUUGUACCACUACCACACGGAAGAAAAGCCAUUGGAAACAAAUGGGUAUACAAGAUCAAACGUGAUGGCAAUGACCAAGUGGAGCGGUAUCGUGCGAGAUUGGUGGUGAAAGGAUAUGCUCAGAAAGAAGGUAUUGACUUCAACGAGAUAUUUUCGCCGGUGGUUCGACUCACAACAGUCAGAAUAGUUUUGGCAAUGUGUGCCACAUUUGACCUACAUCUAGAGCAGUUAGAUGUGAAAACUGCAUUUCUUCAUGGAGAACUUGAAGAAGAAAUAUAUAUGCUCCAACCAGAAGGUUUUGCAGAAACAGGAAAAAAGAACUUGGUUUGCAGGUUAAACAAAUCUCUAUACGGUCUCAAACAGGCGCCGAGGUGUUGGUAUAAGAGAUUUGAUUCCUUCAUAAUGAGCCUUGGAUACAACAGACUCAGUUCAGACCAUUGUGCAUAUUACAAGAGGUUUGAAGAUAAUGAUUUCAUCAUUUUGCUGUUGUAUGUGGAUGACAUGUUGGUAGCAGGUUCCAACAAAGAUCGAAUCCAAGAAUUGAAGGCACAGUUGGCUAGGGAGUUUGAAAUGAAGGACUUGGGACCAGCAAACAAGAUUCUAGGGAUGCAAAUUCACCGAGACAGAAAUAACAGGAAAAUUUGGCUUUCACAGAAGAAUUACUUGAAGAAAAUCUUGCGACGCUUCAACAUGCAAGAUUGUAAGUCAAUUUCUACCCCACUUCCUGUUAAUUUCAAAUUAUCCUCAAGUAUGUGUCCUAGCAAUGAAGCGGAGAGGAAGGAGAUGUCUCGAGUACCGUAUGCAUCAGCAGUGGGAAGUUUAAUGUUCGCUAUGAUAUGUACAAGACCGGACAUUGCACAAGCAGUGGGAGCAGUCAGUCGAUACAUGGCGAAUCCUGGCGGAGAGCAUUGGAUAGCUGUGAAGAGGAUUCUGAGAUACAUCAGAGGAACCUCAGAUGUUGCAUUAUGUUAUGGAGGAUCAGAGUUUACUGUCAGGGGCUAUGUGGAUUCAGAUUUUGCAGGAGACCUUGAUAAAAGAAAAUCCACUACUGGUUAUGUGUUUGCACUUGCAGGAGCAGCUGUAAGCUGGGUUUCGAAACUGCAGACCGUUGUGGCUUUAUCUACAACAGAAGCAGAGUACAUGGCAGCUACACAAGCUUGCAAGGAAGCUAUUUGGAUACAAAGGUUAUUGGAGGAGCUCGGGCACGGACAAGAGAAAAUUUCUGUAUUUUGUGACAGUCAGAGUGCCUUGCACAUUGCAAGGAAUCCAGCCUUUCAUUACAGGACAAAGCACAUAGGAGUUCAGUAUCACUUCGUUCGUGAAGUAGUGGAAGAUGGAAGUGUGGAUUUACAGAAAAUCCAUACUAAGGAGAACCUAGCAGAUGUUUUGACCAAGCCGAUAAAUACUGAUAAGUUUGUCUGGAGUAGAUCCUUUUGUGGCCUAGCAAAAAUGUAGGCAACAUGUUUAUGGCGAAGAAGAAAGGAUGAUGUGGAGAUUGAUUGAUUUUCAAUCAAAUCUCCAAGUGGGAGAAAUGUCAAAGGCUGGUGGCCACAAAGCCAAUUCAAGUUGGCUUUGACAAGCCGGCCAAAGAAAAUGGUGAUGCCGGCCAAAGAAAAUGGUGCCAUCCAAAUGGAGAAAAAGAAGAAGUUGGCAACAACAUUUGAAAUAUAUACAUAUAUAUAUUAAUUUAAUAGCCAUUUUUUGGCUAUAAAAGGAAGAGCUCCCUAAUUCAUUUUAUUCCAAUCUUGAGAGGCAAUUUUUUGUAGAGAGAGUUGAGAGUUGAGAGAAGUAAUUCUUGCAAGAGAAAAUAAUUUUGUGUGCUUAGUGAUUUGAGAGUUUGGGUGUAUUGGGGUUUUGGGUAGUGAGCUAAAAUACUACAAUACUUGUAACUCCUUUUCACUAGUAUAAUAUUUCUUUCUGUCUUCGCCCGUGGACGUAGGCUAAAAGCCGAACCACGUAAUUUCUGGUAUUCUCUUUUGUGCUUGUUCUUUAUUUUUCUAUCAAUUUUACUUUAGCUGCGUGUCUGCUUCACCCACCAAUUUCCUAACAUCCUCAUGCUCUAAGCUGAUUUAUUUGAUAGGUAAUUUAAUUCUUCUGCAAUUUGAUUAGAAGGAUCACUCGAAUUCUGAUAAAUUGUAAAGAACUUGCAAGGCUUAAAAGCUAUGGGAAGUAGUUCAUUUGAAUCACGAGAAAAUCAGACGAAAGGUAAGUAGAAACCUUGAAUCUAGUUUCUGAAAAAACAUAUACCAGAUUGCAGAAAAGCCAAUAGAAUACGUAGUGCUAGAAAACAAGUGGCACAUCCUUAUUCUUUCGAUUAUAAUCGUGCUCUACGAUCACCAAUAGAUUACAUAUUUGAAAAGCCAAUAGUAACAUAAGUCAAUACAUUCUUCAAUGAAAUAAAACCAUAGUUUGCGCCAAUAUGGGUUUACCCAAAGGAUCGCGAGUAACCCCAACAUCACUGUGACGCAGGACGCAACGAAACUCCAAUAUAAUGCCACCAUAUCAACCGCAGAUUCGUCUUCUGCUCCUUUGGAUGAUGUUUCUAGCAACUCUGGGAGAUGGUACAGCUCUUGUUAAUUGGUGGACAGCAAAGAUUGAGAUUUCCUCUAUAGCUGCUUUCAUCAAAUGUGGAAAAUUGCUCUUUGUCUGGGAUUGGGCAGGACAAAUUGUUGUAUGACACAUCGAAUUUAGAUAAACUGUGAAGUUCAGUCAACUGAGGAGGAAUUUGACCAUUUAAUUUAUUGUGGGAAAGGUCUAGGCUCUCUAUCAUUUUCAGAUUGGAAAAGCUCUCAGGUAUAGAACCCGACAAGAAAUUAUGAGAUAAAUUCAAUCCAUGAAUAUUUCGAAGGUCACCAAUUUCUGAUGAAAUGUCACCUGUUAACUCGUUGCUCGACAAAUCUAGUCCUGCCAUGUAUUCAAGAAUGACACCCUUGUAAGAUUCAUAUCUGUUCUUUGUCAUAAAAUUCACCACUACUUGUGUAUCUAACGUUCUAGUAUCGCUUCUAUCCAGCGACAGUGGAACAGUAGAAUUAUAGUAAUUAUAGAUGUCUUCAAGAUCUAAAUCCCUACCUCGCUCAACUAACCCAUACAAAUCUCCAUUUCCUACCUUCCAAAACAACAAAUUAGUAAUACAUGAAGGUAUUGAACCAUUAAGCCUGUUGUGUGAGAGAUCCAUGAUACUUAAUUUUCGCAAUUGACACAAUUGAUGAGGAAUAGGUCCUUGUAGAUAAUUCCCUUUCAAAAGAAGAGCACGCAGGUUUGAAUGCUCAUUGAUCCCAUAUGGAAUUCUACCAGAAAAAUAAUUAUCCCUCAAAUCUAAAAUCUCCAAUGCAGAGCCUCUGAAAAAUGUAUUUGGAAUUGACCCACCAAGUAAUAGAGAUGAUAAUCAAUUGAAACUGAUAAACUUAGGCUUCCAUUUCAGUUUGUAUGUAUCUAGCUGUCACCCAUAGAUAUAGGAUUCAGUUUGUAACUUCCCUAGUUUAUAGGAUCUUCAAUUAUCCUCUAAUGUAUUUAUAUACGGUUGAUUUAUCAAUAAGGAGUGUUCAGUUUUACAAAUCUGUCAUGGUAUCAGAGCUCAACCAGAGAUGACAAACUCAAAUAUUCAUUUUACUUUUCUUCUCACAUCCCAUUCCUUUCUUCACUCUCGAACAGCCAUGGCUACUUCUUCCCCCUCCAUUCUCAACACCAAUGAAUCCCAAAACGCCCUCAUCAGCAUAAAUGUUGCUGCCCAAACCCCUCUAAAACUCACCUCCACCAACUACCUCUCAUGGAAACUACAAUUUCACACCCUCUUCAUUGGCUAUGACCUCCUAGGCUAUAUAGAUGGCUCAAAGCCAUGUCCCCCAGCCACUCUCACACAAAAUGCAACAACCAUAACCAACCCUGCUCACACUCUCUAGAUCCGACAGGACCAGUUAAUCUUGGAUGCAAUCAUUGGCUCCCUCUCCCACACCAUCAUACCAUUCAUUGCCCGAGCCACGACCGCUCACGAAGCAUGGACUAUCCUGGCCACCACAUACGCCAAGCCUUCUCGUGGCCGUAUUAAACAAGCCAAAAGCCAACUCAAGAUGAUCACUAAAGGCUCUGACACUGUCACAAUGUUUUUGCAAUCCAUCAAGGCAAAGGCUGAUGAGCUUGCCCUUCUUGGAGCACCACUAGAUGCGGAAGAUCUCAUCGAAAAGAUACUUGAUGGCCUUGGCGAUGAAUACAGAGAACUCACACGUGCUGUCCAAGCCAAAGACAUGCCUAUAACCUUUGAGGAACUACAUGAAAAGUUGCUCAACUUUGAAGCUUCAAUGCUCACCACCAAACCAGAACCCCUUCACUUUCCUGCCACUGCUAAUUCCACGAGCAAAAAUCCAGCACCUUGGCGCUCACCUGCACCUUCAAGGACCACCAAUAAUUCAUGGCGUCCCUCCCACAACCACUAAAACAAGUAUCCUACUCCACCAAACAACAGCCAACUGUCAACUCAAGGUAAUCGUCCAUCUCAGCCAUACUUGGGUUAUUACCAAAUUUGCAGGAUACAAGGACAUACAACAAAAAGGUGUCCCUCAUUUCGGCUAGUCCCAGUUAACACAUCCAACAGUAAUACAGGAAGUCCUUCUUCUGCUUUGUCCAAUCACUCUGCAACUCCAUGGCAACCAAGGGCUCAUUAUGCUUCCAAUACACCUAGUACUACAUCUUGGCUCCUGGACAGUGGAGCCUCUCACCAUGUUACAGCUAAUCUAAACAAUCUCUCCAUGCAUGCUCCAUAUAAUGGCUUAGAUGACAUUAUGAUCGGUGAUGGCUCGGGUCUCUCCAUUACUCAUACCGGUUCUACUUCUCUCUCCACAACUUAUAACAAUUUUCAAUUGAAUAAUGUCCUCUGUGUUCCUGCUAUGAAAAAGAAUCUCAUUUCAAUUUCUCAAUUUUGUACCUCAAAUAAUGUCUCUAUUGAAUUCUUACCAACUGCUUUUCUUGUAAAGGACAUUCGCACGGGGGCAACACUUCUGAAGGGCCAAACUAAGGAUGGCGUUUAUGAGUGGUCGGUAUCUCCACCCUUGCUUGCAUUUUCCAGCAUCAAAACAACCUUAUCCGAGUGGCAUCAAAGACUAGGACACCCAGCUUUUCACAUUCUGAAACAUAUUGUUUCCCAAAAUAAUCUCGAUAUCUCUUCUUCAUUAUCCAAUAACUUUUCAUGUAAUGCUUGUCUAAGUAAUAAAAGCCACAAAUUAUCAUUCUCUCAAUCUACAAUUGUCUCUUCUCAACCCCUUGAAACUAUCUUUUCUGAUGUUUGGACUUCUCCAAUUCUAUCAAAUAAUGGAUUUAAAUAUUAUUUCAUUUUUGUAGAUCAUUUCACCAAAUAUAAUUGGUUCUAUCCUCUCAAAGAUAUUUUUAUCCGAUUUAAAGCCAUUGUUGAAAAACAUUUUGAUAAACCCAUCAAAAUGCUUUACACUGACAACGGUGGUGAAUAUAUUACCCUUGCCCAUUUUCUUUCAACAAAUGGUAUUUCUCAUCUCACUACACCACCUCACACACCUGAACACAAUAGUUUUUCUGAACGUAGACAUCUUCAUAUUGUAGAGACUGGAUUAGCAUUACUCUCUCAUGCCUCUCUUCCUUUACAUUAUUGGCCUUAUGCCUUAGCCACAGCAGUUUAUUUAAUAAAUCGAAUGCCCAUACCCACAUUAAACCUUUCCUCUCCUUAUGAAAAAAAUUUUACACUAGCCCCUAAUUACUAAAAACUAAAAACUUUUGGCUGUUUAUGCUAUCCCUGGCUUAGACCGUAUACAACUAACAAACUAGACACUCGAUCCAAACCAUGUGUCUUCCUUGGAUACUCUUUAACUCAGAGUGCUUACUACUGCCUUAAUCCAUCCACUUCCAAAAUAUAUGUCUCUAGGCAUGUUAAAUUAGUUGAGUCAGUUUUUCCCUUCAGUCAUCGCUCUGUUCCAUCCUCUUAUCCACAAUCAGACUUCAUUGCUACUUGGAUUCCACCACCUCUUCGCAUUCCCACCUUGCCAUUGGUACCACCACUCAAUUCGUCAUCUACAGUGGACAGUCAACAGCAAACCCCCAGAGAAGUUUCACCAUCAUCAGCCCUGCCUGUCACUUCUGUUCCACCACCAUCAUGAGCACCUUCAAAUACCAACAAUCCCCAACAACCAUCACCACAUAUAAACCCACCCGAGCCUCAGCCACAAAACACCCACACCAUGACUACUAGAGCCAAAAAUAAUAUUCGCAAACCCCUCACCAAAAUGAAUCUUCACACCCAAUUAACCAUAGGCGAUGAUAAUGAACCCACCACAUUAACCAAAGCUCUCAAAGAUCAUAAAUGGCGUCCAGCCAUGUCUGAAGAGUAUGACGCUUUAGUAAAGAAUGGCACAUGGGUUCUAGUCCCACUGGAUAGAAAUCAAAAUCUGGUUGGCUGUAAGUGGAUUUUUAGAACUAAACGCAAAUAUGAUGGCUCUGUUGACAGGUUCAAGGCUCGAUUGGUUGCAAAAGGUUUCCACCAACGCCCUGGAAUAGAUUACUAAGACACUUUCAGUCCAGUUGUAAAACCGACUACUGUCCGAAUUGUUCUCAGUAUCGCAGUCAGCCGUGGUUGGUCCUUAAGGCAACUUGAUGUAAACAAUGCCUUUCUUCAAGGCCAUUUAUCAGAAAAUGUAUACAUGUCACAGCCACCGGGAUUUGUUGAUAAAGAUAGCCCCUCAUAUGUCUGCAAACUCAACAAAGCAAUAUAUGGCCUCAAACAAGCCCCCCGUGCGUGGUACCAUAAUUUGGCUUUCAAAAUUCCCAUGCUAAUACAUCCCUCUUUGUCUUUCAUAAUGGUGGCCACACUAUGUAUCUCAUUGUUUAUGUUGAUGAUUUAAUUCUCACAGGAGACAAUACAACCACAGUUAAUCACUUCAUUGCUAUUCUUGCUUAGCGGUUUUCCAUCAAAGACCUUGGCUUUCUGACUUACUUUCUGGGUGUAGAGGUUGUACCAAACAAACAUGGCUUGUUACUUUCACAAAGGCGAUCUAUUAUGGAUCUCCUCACUCAAACCAAGAUGCAAGACGCCAAGCCUGUUCUUACUCCCAUACCAACUAGUCCAACUCUCAUGUUAACCUCCGGUUCUCAUCUGUUGAAUCCAACCGAGUAUCGCCAUGUGGUUGGGAGUCUCCAAUAUUUGCUAAUAACAAGACCAGACAUCGCUUUUGCUGUCAACAAACUCUCCCAAUAUAUGCACUACCCAACAACUGAACAUUGGUCAUUUGUCAAACGGUUACUACGUUAUCUUGUUGGCACCAUUGAUGAUGGUCUACAACUCUACAAUGACUCUACUCUCAGUUUGCAUGCCUUCUCCGACACUUCUCUUAGUUUACAUGCCUUUUCUGAUGCUGAUUGGGCAGGGGACAAGGAUACUUUUUGCUCAACCAGUGCUUAUGUUGUAUAUCUUGGUAAAACUCCUAUCUCCUGAAGUUCUAAAAAGCAACGAACUGUUGCUAGAUCCUCCACUGAGGCAGAGUAUCGUUCCGUCGCAAAUACAGCUGCUGAACUUAAUUUCAUUUGUUAUCUCUUGACUGAUCUUGGCAUUUCACUUCCCAAUUGCCCUGUCAUUUACUAUGAUAAUAUUGGAGCAACUCAGCUAUGUUCCAAUCCAAUUUUUCAUUCCCGAAUGAAGCAUGUUGCAAUAGAUUUCCAUUUUAUCCGGGAUCAAGUUCAACAUGGUACUCUCCGCGUCGUUCAUGUCUCUUCUGACGAUCAGCUUGCUGACGCUCUUACCAAGCCACUUCCAAAACAACGUUUUCUUCGACUUAAACACAAGAUUGGACUUCUCUCCCGAGCUCCAUCUUGAGGGGGCAUAAUAGAGAUGAUAAUAAAUUGAAACUGAUAAACUUAGACUUCCAUUUCAGUUUGUAUGUAUCUAGCUGUCACCCAUAGAUAUAGGAUUCAGUUUGUAACUUCCCUAGUUUAUAAGAUCUUCAAUUAUCUUAUAAUGUAUUUAUAUACGGUUGAUUUAUCAAUAAGAAGUGUUCAGUUUUACAAAUCUGUCACCAAGAGCAUUAUUUUGCAAAUAAAGGCACGCCACUGAUGAAAGAUUCAGGGUAGAUAUCAUGGAUCCGGACAAAUUAUUUUCGGAGAUAUCUGGAAUGUAAAGACCUGCAAGAUUCUGGCAUUGGACUGGAAUAUUACCUUCCAAAUGAUUGUUGGACAUUGACAGAGUAUGAAGAUGUGAGAAAUUGCCCAUCCAAGUGUUGGGAAAAUAUGCUCUUUAAAAGCAUAUGUGUUUAUUUAAUUGUAAUAAACAAUUUUUUCUGAUUAAUAAAAUAAAUGAGGUAUUUUAUUCAAAUAUCUUAAUUGCAUUAAUAUUUGUAUUAAAGUCCAUUUAAUCAUAUUAUAUGUAUUUAUGUGAUCACCAUGUGGAUUCACAGAAGACAUAAAUACAAGUUAUCUUAUGAUUAAAUAAAUUUAGUUCGCAGUUGAUAAAUAAAGUUGGGCACUUUAUUUAGGUAUAGACUGUAAUAAAUUCAUUGAAUGAUUUGUCUUAAUCAUGUAUGAAUUUAUUGAUGUAGUACGACUACAUUGAACAGGAUCACAUAUGAGAUUUAAUUAACUUUGUAAUAACUGUCAGACUUAUUAAAUCUCAUAGGCGUUGAUUUUACUGUAAUCUUAAUCUUGAGUUAAUUAUGAUUUCAUGAUUGUGAUUGUUAUUUCAUUUGAGUUACCUAUGGGCACGACACAUCCUUGUGAUCAAGAUUACCCGGUAUCUUGGUGGGAGCAAUUAUGAGUAUUGGAGUUAUGGAUUAACAAUAUAGAAUUUGUACAACACAUCUCUUGAUAGGUUUUCGGUACUUGAUCAUAGAAUUCUCUGGCCAGAGUGUGUCAACAUAUUUAGUAUGUUGAAAAUGAUCAUUAGAGAAAACCAGUAAGGAUCAAGGAAUAAGAUGUUAUUAAAUUGAUUGGACAGUUGAGAUAUCAAUUUAAUUAACGAUGUGGUACAAAGGAUUGUGCAGUAAAGAAAUCAAUGUGGCUUGGGACGAAUUAUUAUUCGAGCAUACAAUUAUGGAAGUCAGUUCCAAUCUUUUAGUGGAGUAGAUUUGGAAUUAAAUAAUUGGGCUAGUUUAAUUACAUGCCUAAUUAUUGUAGCCACUAUUGUAUGUUCCCAAAUGAUCCCCGGGUUAGCUCAUUUAAUUGAUUGCACCACUACUGGACUAAUAAGUAAGAUAACUAGCAAUUUGGGUCAAAAGCCUAAAUAUAUCAUUUAGUGGGAGGCUCCAUUUAAUUAGCUUUUGUAUAAGGGGCCUUAUGUUAUUUUACAAGGUGGGUCCCGUAUUGAAAAAGCAAAUAACGUGGGUUUUGAUUUUUCAUUAUUUGGAGCCUAGGGUUUUCACUAAAGGGAGAUAUAUAAGGCUUAUUUUUCUCAACAGAAAAAAGAGAAGCCACUUUAUACAGAUCAGAGAAAAAGAUUUUUCUCUCCAUUGUUGAGAGAAAAAUUUUCUCGUGCUAGUUGCUUUGGUAGUGAUAAAGGCGCCCACACGUCAAGUGCAGAUCGAACCUGAGUCAUAACCUGGAAGAUCAUUGGAGACAGUUCGUGAUCUAACAAGCGUGGUGGUGACGGAUCGUGAUCUAACAAGAGUGGUGGUGGCGGAUCGUGAUCUAGGAGCCUAAAUCACUUCAGCGGAAAAAAGCCAACUCAGAUUUUCAAGGUACGAUUUCUGAAUUACGUAUUCCUAUAUAUUAUAUGAGAGCGGUCCAUAAAAAGGUUUUAUAAAAAUUUAAAAAUCGGAUUUUUCCCUACACCAAGAAGGAAUAUGACCAGACAAGAUGUUGUUGGAUAUAUCUAAGUCUUCUAAUUUAGUGGACCUUAACAAUCCAUCUUUAAUCUUCCGACUGAAAUUAUCAUUGUGCAGAUAUAACGCCCACAAUUGAGUCAUGUUCAUGUAAGUGGCAACUCAUUCUAGCGAGAAGCAAUUGGUAACUGGAGAUUAGGAUAAUUCUCCUGCAAAAUUGUUAUUAGACACGUCCAGAAAACGAAGCCCUUGCAUCUUGCCAAUAGAAGAAGGAAUAUUGCCUUCAAAACUAUUUUUUGAUACAUUCAUAUAGACCAAUUUCGGAAGGACAAUAUCCAUAUUCUGCGGGAGCUCACCAGUGAAACUGUUACUAGAAAUAUCUAGACUAAGCAAACCAUGUUGGGCACUGGUCAGUUGAAACCCUGAGAAUGAGUUGUUAACCAAGUACAAAAGUUCCAAUUUUGUGUUGUUUUCCAACAACCAAGUUGGGAAAUUGCCAGCCAACUUAUUGUGAGAGAGAUCAAGGUAUUUUAAGUUAAAUUGGAGUAUAAGAAAAUUAGGAAUGGCACCUAAGUUGCAGUUGGGUAAACUGAGGACUUUCAGUUGAAACGUAGGGAGGCAGUUUUCUAUUUCGACUUGUAACAAAUCGGUUUCCAUCGAUAGUUGGAAGGCCUCAAAUUUCGAGAGGUUAGCUAAUGAAUAGAAUGAAAACAAGCGCCCUUUAAAUCUGUUGUCGUAAAGAGCCAAAUAUUCAAGGGAUGUGAGGUUUGCAAUUACUGAAGGUAAAAUUCCACUUAACUUAUUGGAAGAAACAUCAAGAACUUUGAGGUGGGUAAGAUUGUUGAGACACUGAGGAAGAUGACCUUCAAACUUAUUUCCUCCAAAAUUCAGCUCAAAAAGAUUUUUCAACUCACAUAUUCCUGAAAUGUGAAAAAUAAAGGAGUCAAAAUUUAUAAAAAGAUUCAAGUUCUAAAUCGGUGACAUUUGUAGUUUUGUACAUUUGACACUUUCAUCAGUAAUAAAAUUACUUUACCUAUCAGGUGGUGCUUCCUUGUAAAUUUUUAAUACUAUGUUUCUUCUACAGAAGCCUUUCAACAUUUUUUUAAAAAAAACUAUUCAUGUUAUUAACUCAAGAUCUUUCAACAUUUUUUAAAUUAAAUUUUUUAGACUAAAAAUAAAAUUUUUUAUAUUGCUAAAUUACUGAAAUAAUAAAAUAAUUAUCUAAAUCAGGGCUGGAAUUUAGAAGAGACAGGCAGGGGCCAUUACCCCUAUAAGAAAAAUUAUAAAAAAAAUAAUAUACAACAUAAAAAUAUUUGUACAAAUAAAACAAAGAAGAAUAAUCUUUUAGACUAAGAAGAAGAAGUCUGUAUAAGAUCAAAAAAGCAGAACCAAAUAGUCCACUUACUGGGCCCAACGCCUACUGACCUUUGUAAAUAAAAAUAAUAUUUUUAUUGUUUAGACGCGAGAUACAUUCUUUAAGAAAAAAUAUGUAUUAAAAAGUCUAAUUUCUUUCAGUAAGAGUUCAACUAACGUUGAACUUUCAAUCCUUAACCAAGAGCCAUGCCCCUAAAUCGUCAAGAAUAUUUUUGUACUUUGAAAGAAGUAAUGCUCAAAUUUGAGAUUUUUUUUUUUAUAAUUUUCAUUCUUUACUGAACAAUAUGUUUUGAUAGAGAAUGUGAAAUCUUAUUGAAAUAUUAAUAUAUUAUCAAAAAACCUUUUUUUUUGGUUAUGCUAAUGAAUGCUUAUUUAAAUUAGAAGUUUGUAUUGAUUUUUUUAAUACUCUUCGGCCCUUUUAAAGAAAAAGUCUUGGCUGCUAUUAGCUAAAGUGGGCUUGUUCUGCCUCUAAUCUAAAUCAAGCUGCACUAAUUUGUAUUUAAAAAUAUUUUUUCUUAUUAAAAAAGAGCUAAAAAUAGAUAAAUCACAUGAUAAGAUUUUUUAACUUGAAACAAUUAAUUUAAUUGAAUUUAUUUUUCUAAAACUAGAAAAUGAAUAGAAUUAUGCAAGAGCUUGGUUUAAGAUGAAUAACAAUAUUUUUUAAAUUUUAAUAAAACAUUUAUUUUGUUUUAAAUUAAUAAAUUUUAAUUUAUAGUUUAACUAGAUAAAUGUGGAAGGGAUUGGGUUAAAAUGAGUAAUAUUACUUUACAAAUUUUAAUAGUUUACGUAGAAUGAUUUUAAAAUGUCUUGACUAGAAAUGAUAAUCUUUUAUUUUGUUAUUUUUUUACAAGUGGUAUAACAAUUUUAUCCCCUUGGAUUUAACUAAUUUUUUAAAUUAUUUAUUUUUACGGUUUUAUAUUGUUUUAUGUCCUUUUUAAAGUUAUGGGGUAUUUAUAAUAGUUUAAACAUAUAGGUAUUUAAUUAUAUUUUAACUUGACUUAAGAUAUUUAAUUUUUAUCAUGGCGAUAUUUCCACCCCAUCUUUUGUGUAAGAGUGAUGAUACAACUAUAAACUCUUAUAUAAACUGAUUUACCAUUAAUUUAUUAGUUGAAUGAAAAUAUAAAAUAAUAAAAAUAAAUUAUAUAGACCAAGAGAUAUUUAAAUAAACCCCACUUAUUACUAAUAUUACCCUAGGAGCAAUUGCUUUGCCUCAUUAUAUUUGGUCUCCAGAAGCAUCUUUUUAAGUUAUAAAAGAAGCCAGGCAACAAAGAAAACUAAAAAUAAGAGCAACCAACUGCCAUUAUCAAUUCAUCAUGAAGAAAUAUGUAAUGGACAUUCAGAUUUUGGCGCGCAAAGAUACCUAAAGUCUUUUAAUUUUGUUUGGUAUUGUAUUUUGUAAUUUAAUUUACUGUCAUCGUACUAAUUUUUAAGGUUUUAAUUACUGAAAUUCCAGUACAUGAUGAUUAAAUGGUUUGCUUCAGUUCGUAGCUUAUUUUUCAUGUUAGUGCGUGGUGUGCGGGGAAUAUCACUACCCAACUUCAAAAUAUAUAUAACCACAUUUUGGGUUAAGGUCCAAGGGGUGUUUUUCUCUAUGGAAGUAUUCGUCAUAAGAGUGGAGUUAUUUGCGCCCGAACAAGUACUAUGAACAUCUAUUUACUCAAACACCACUUUUCAUAAAUUAUAUCAUUUAGACUUUUAUUAAUACAACUUUUUAAAUUUUAAUACCAAAAUCCAUGAUUGUCGUCAAAUAAGAGCUUAGUUGGUAAUGCUAUAACUUUUAAAAUAAUUGGUGUUAGGUUUGCUGUAAAAAUAAUUAACUGUGAAAAGAAUCAGUUAAACUUUCAGUAAAAUUUAUUUUUAAAGUACUAUAAGGUUUAAAAUUAGAUGUAUGUGUUUGGUAAAUCCUAAUAUUAAAUGGUAGUAAGAAUAUAAAUGACUGAAUUAGAAAUAAUAUUGAAUCAAAUUUAUUUAAAUAUUUAUAAGCAUGUAUAUAAAUUUUUUAUUUUGUACAUAUAAUAAUUGAUAACUAUAAUAUAUAUUUUAUAUUAUUAAUUUCAUUUUUUAUUUUGUUAUCUCAAAAUAAUUAGUAAUAAUAAUAAUCUCUUUAAAGUUAAUGAUUUUAUUUCCUAAUUAAUAAGGAUAAUUUUGAAUUUUUAUAAUAUAUAUGAGGAAAUAUAUAGAAUUAUAUUAAGUAUAAAAGUAUUUCUCAAAAUUAGAUUUUGAAGAGUUACUCCUUCCUUCUUUUUCAAAAAUCUACCGUAGAAUGGAUUGAUUUUGCCAAAAGUGAUUUAUAAAAAAAUUUUACCAAACACUAAAAUUAGUUUUUAACUUUUCAAAAUCACUUUUGAGUCUCCGAAAAGUAAUCCCAAUCAAGACUUAAACUCUUUGGCUAUAAAUAUUUUUAUUUCUACAUUUGUAAAAAUAAUUUUUACAACAAAGAACUUAUUUGAAAUGAUCUCUAAACUUAUCUUCGGAAUGAAUGAAGGUUUUUUUCUUUCUUCUUCUUUUUUUUUUUUAAUAGAUUAUAGCUAAACUUGUUAGGAAUGAAUGGAAAUCCCAUCUCAUUCCAUGUGAAUGUUGGAGAGUUAUUUGCUUGAACAAAUUUUAUUCUCACUAAUUUAUUAUCAUGAAUGUGUUGGAUCUUACUAAUGUAAAAGUUGGAUAAUCAUAGACAAAUAUUACCAAUAAUAUAAUUCUUCAUAACUUAUAGUCACUAAUUAAUCAAGAAAAUCUAUUAGAUUUAAGUUUCACGAAAUCAACAAGGAGAGACAGAAAAAAGAAAAGGUGUCCGAAGCUUUAAUUUUAUUAUUGUUUGAUAAACCUCUAGUAUGCAAGAAAUAUAAUGUAAAAUGAAAAUUCAAGACCAAAAUUGACGGUAUUGAGGAAAUUAAAAUUCGGGUUUUUGGUACGGAUGUAGUUUUAGUGUCAAGAAUAAUAUAUUUUUUAUUCGAUUGUAUAAGGUUGUACUUAAUAUUAAAUUAACUAUAGAUAAUGUACUUAGUAUUAAAUUAACUAUAGGUAACUUAAUAAUAUAAAAUUUAAUUUAAAGUUGGGUGUUCGAAAUAGUUUUUAAGGUAUAAAUACUCCCACCCUUGUCACAAUCAUAACUGAGUGGCGUUGCAUUUUUUUUUUAAAAUUUAAACUACUAAGGGUGUAGCUUAAACACUUAUAAACUGCCAUGAAAAUUGGAAUCAAAUUGCCCAUAUUUAUCGAUUAUAGAAACCUUGUUUGUGACUAAAGUGCUGAAAAAUAUGAUUUUGUUUGGGGAGGAUUUGUUCACUUCAUUAUGCGUUCAUUUGAUGACUUCUCUAUAUACUCGUGUUUUUCUAAAAGUUAUUUUUAAUUUAUUUCGAUAAAACUAGUUAAAGAUUAAGGACCUAUUUGAUAUUAUUUUCAACCAGUCAUUCUUCAUUUAUGAUGUACGACAAGAAAUAAAGAAAACUUAUUUAGUAUGUCAUUUGAAAAAUAAAAUCAAACGCUUCCUAAAAAAAAUUAAAUGCAUCCUUAAAAAAUUCUUAUCUUUCAAAUAUGGAUAUUCAAUUCUAAUGUCGAAAAAACAACCAUGCGAAUUAUUACCUAGGCUUUCAAGAGAACUGUUUAAAUCAUAGUAACUUAGAUCCAACGCCUUCUAAGUUUCUUAAUUUAGCUAAUCCUGCACCAAGAGAAGAAAUGAUCUUAGAUAUGGUUUUUCUUUUAUUUUAUUUUCUUCAAACAAUUAGACAUUUUUAAUUCUGCGACUUCUUACCUGGCUCUGCUACGGAAACGCCUAUAUUAUUCUCACUUAGAUCCAAAACAAAUAUAUAGAAUGGAAUGAAUAAAUAUAUAGAUAAAUAAAUACAAAAAGUUAGAAUCCGAACACUUUAAUUUUACAAUAUAAAUAUCAAGCAAUCACAUUUUAACCUAGUUGUUAUCAAAUAUUUUUAUUUGACUGAUCGUUUGAAUCCCGCGGAAAUAUGUGGUAAAAAAAUUAAUUUAUACUUUACCAACCAAUGCCUUAAAAAAAGAAAAAGAAAAUUAAAUAAACAUACCUUGAUUGGGUAUGAAACCUUCAAUUCCACAGUACCCCAGACUCAAAUUUGUAAGUGAAAUUAUUGUAGUCAAACUUGGUAGUAGACUGUUGUUGACGUUAUUAGAAUAAAGAUUCAAAAUCUUCAGCCGCUUCAAACUCCCAAUGCUAAGCUGCGGAAAAGGCAGGUAUUAAUCGCAAUUGAAGAAUUUUGUUUUUGUUUUUUUUCCCCAUGAAAUUGGUUUUACAUUUUUCUUUUCAGUGUAAUUGUGAAAAUUGUCGAAGGCCGAAAGUAAAUGAGCCCAAGAAUUUAAGAACAACAACAAUAAUUAAUAAAUAUAUUUUUUGCAUUUUGUAGCUUUUGCACAAAGGAGGGUUCAUUACACUUGGAAUUGAUCAGCAAAUCAGGACUUUGCACAAAUGGAUGUACAUACAUACCUUCAUUCUCAUAGACACCAUAAAAAGAGUUGUAAGACAAGUCAAGACUCUCCAAUUCUUGGAAAGGCAGAAACAUUGACAAAUUUAGAAAUCCAGAAUUCGCCCCCAGCGUAAUUCCAUCGAGUGACAGUUCCUUCACCCGUCGUGUGGUGGCAUNNNNNNNNNNNNNNNNNNNNNNNNNNNNNNNNNNNNNNNNNNNNNNNNNNNNNNNNNNNNNNNNNNNNNNNNNNNNNNNNNNNNNNNNNNNNNNNNNNNNNNNNNNNNNNNNNNNNNNNNNNNNNNNNNNNNNNNNNCACUGUUUCCAAGCAACCUCUGUAUCCGUGCAUUUGAAUAAAGCAUAUGGAAACCCACGCUAAGAGCUUAAACAAAAACAUAUUCAUUAUUUUAAGCAAAACACUCACAAGAUUAACCCUCACUUAAAUUGCUGCACUCGAUGUUCAUUUAUUGCAGACUUAUAUAUAUAUAUAAGGGAUUAAUUUGUUAUGGUGAAAGAUUCAUUUCACAAUAAAAUUAAAAAAUGUCAAAUCUAGCUUCAUAAUGCAUGCAUGACAGGGACGUUAAUGAGCUAUUGCUGACGUGGUAGUUUCGACAUAAAGAGGAUUUUCUCCCGACCAAAAGAAAUAAUCAAAUAUGAAUAAUUGAAUAUGAGUUUAAGUGUUUGUUUUUUCAAAUUAAAAUAAUAUGAAUACCACUCUUUUUUUUCUCUUGUAAUUGAUACACGUUUUGAAUUUUAGAUUUUAAGACCAAUACUGUUAUAUUUGUUUCCUCACUAAUUUUAAAUUUAAAAAUAUAUAAAAAAUAUUUGAAAACCAAUAUUUUUACAUUUUUCCUUACAAAUUUCAAAUUUGAUUUAUAUAAUGAAAUAUUUCUAUUAGCUAUUAGAUUUAUCGUAAUUUUAGAAAGACAUUUUGAAACAGUAAUUGAAAAUAUUCAUUUAAACUUUUUAUACUUACAGAGAAAAAUCUAUUGGUGCUAGUUUCCAAUUCAUAAAAAUAAAUCAUCCAUGAAACACGCUUUGAAAUUGGUUAGGCAGGCUGCAAAGUGAAAAGUAAUCACCAGAUUCACCACUCAACCAUCUUUUAACAUAAAAAUGUGUACUCCACGCUUGACUUGUAAAAGCUGGGCAUUUUCCAUUCUUAAUGAUUUAUUGGUUGAUUGACUCUAUCACUAAUUUACUGGGAAGAACGGAUAGCUCAGAGUCGUGGNNNNNNNNNNNNNNNNNNNNNNNNNNNNNNNNNNNNNNNNNNNNNNNNNNNNNNNNNNNNNNNNNNNNNNNNNNNNNNNNNNNNNNNNNNNNNNNNNNNNNNNNNNNNNNNNNNNNNNNNNNNNNNNNNNNNNNNNNNNNNNNNNNNNNNNNNNNNNNNNNNNNNNNNNNNNNNNNNNNNNNNNNNNNNNNNNNNNNNNNNNNNNNNNNNNNNNNNNNNNNNNNNNNNNNNNNNNNNNNNNNNNNNNNNNNNNNNNNNNNNNNNNNNNNNNNNNNNNNNNNNNNNNNNNNNNNNNNNNNNNNNNNNNNNNNNNNNNNNNNNNNNNNNNNNNNNNNNNNNNNNNNNNNNNNNNNNNNNNNNNNNNNNAGUGAAAUCAAUGCCUAUUUUUUAAAUUGGGUUUUCACUGCCUUUUAUAAAAGGCAAUAGCCCUCAUGUCGGUUGCCGAUAAAGCAAUGGUGGUGUUAUUAAUACUAAUAGUGACAAUGACAUUUUCGUCUUUUUAUAGAAUUUGUUUUAUCAUCCAGGUCUAUGAUAAGUUGAAUGAUGUGUGACUGUAUGUGGUAUUUUCACAUAUAAUUGAAUAUCUAUAAUUUUUACAAACUAAAAUAGUUAAUUGUUUGUUAAAAUAUUACAUUUAACUUUUUUUUUAAUGCAUUAUACUGAUGAGCCUUGAAUUCAAGGCUUGAGUACUACUGGGGGCUUUUUUUUUUUUUUUUUUUUCUACUAGAGAUAGAUUACAUUUACUCUUUAAUUAUGUUUUUUUUUUCUGUAAUUGUUUUAACAUUGAAGAUGAAAUGAUGAGAUAUUAAAAAUUUAUUAAGAAACAAAAUGGUGAAAAUAAUAUUUAAGAGGAACAAAAGUAUGGGCGGAUAUAGAAACUUAAUAUUGUGUUUACUUUAUGGAGUGUAAGUGAGGAAUAUGGAUUCUUCCCACUCCGGUGUUUACUUACACAUUUAUAGGGGGGAUUAGAAAUCCCACUCCGUGGGCCACACCCAUUUUUGGAGUGAGGAGUGAGAGUAGUCAUUUUUAUUUAAUUUAAUAUAAUUAUAUUUAAUAACAUAAAAUAAAUAAUAAUAUUAUAUUUAAUUAAAUAAUAAUUUGCAUUGAUUCUAAAUUAAAAUUACUUAAAAAUGAUAUUAUUAUAUUAAUAGAGAAUUAAUAAUAUUAUUGUAUACUAUCUUUAUUUGAAACUAUAAUAUUAUUAUAUUUAUUUAAAAAAUAGUAUUAUAUUUAUUUAAUAUUAAUAAUUAAUAACAAUAAAUAGUUUAUUCUAAGAAAAUAUUAUUAUUUAAUAUAAUAAUAAAUUUAAAAUAAUUAUAUUAUAUUUAAAUUAUAUUAUAUUUAUUUAAAUAAUAUUAUUAUAUUUAUUUAAAAAUUAUAGUAUUAUAUUUAUUUAAUAUUAAUAAUUAAUAAUAAUAAAUAAUUUAUUCUAAGAAAAUAUUCAUUUUGGACUAUGUUAAUAGUAAAAAUGUUUCAUUUAUGUUGCCCUUAUCAAUAAUUUUUAAUUUACAUAAUUAAAAUUAGAAUUAAUAAACAAAUUUGGUGUACAUAAUUAAGAAUAUUAAUAAUUAUUAUAAAUUUACAAAUAUAAUAAAAUAAAUAUUUUAUUCUUCAAAUAUAUAUUUUUUUAACUUUGUAAUUAAAAACUACAAUUCCUCAAAUAAGGGUAAAAUUAUAAUUUAAAAUUAUUUACUCAUAAUCCAAGACAAAGUAAACACAUAAAUUGAAUUCUGGUCUUCAUUCCAUACUUUAAUUCAUGUAUAAGUAAAUAACAUAUUCACACUCCCACUCCACUCUCAAUUGUAGGACUCUCACUUCUUAGGAUUCUCACUCCAAUCCAAAAUGUAAACGCUAGCUUAAUUCAUUGGGGUGUAACCAUGAUAAAAAUUAAUAAUUUAUAAAAUUGACCCCAAUAUCAGAAUUUUUUUAUAAAUUUGCCCCAUUUAGAUUUUUUUUUUAAUUCUUGAGCAGAAUCAAUUGCACACACUAGCUUGUAUGUGGAUCUGCCCUUGAACAGAAGUGUCGUUUUCCCUUAAAAAUAAGAGAAAUACGGUAGUAAAAAGAAUAGCAUAAAUAAUUGAAAAAUCAAACCUAAAAAGUUCUAAGAAGCAACUUAAUUGACAGUAAUUAAAUGUAGUACUCCCCAUGAAUGCAAGAUAAUCCCACCAAAAAUCAAAUCGGUGCGAUUAAUUGAGAUCUAAAUUUGCAACAAUAUCUGCAGCCAAAUAUUAUUUUAUUGGCUUCACUAAAUUUAGUAAAAUAGUCUGUACAAGAAAUUUAACUUUUUAUGAUAUAUUUAUAUUUGGUCUUAGAAUAGUAUUUAUGAUGACAAACUUUUGAAACCAUAACGAAUAACAUUGUCUUGACUUAUGUUAUAUACUGUGACCAAUAAUUUUUGUUUUAAAAUACAGUAACUAGUUUCUUAUUCAACAUUUUUGUGACAAAUAUUAUUUUAAUCAUCAAAAAAUAUAUUUUUUCAGCGCAUAAAUUUCUCUUUAAAAUUAAACAUUUUGGGACAAUAUUUCAUCAUUUAUGUCAUAAUGAAUGAUUAAUAAGGAGAUGUCUAGAAAUUAUGCUUUCCUACAAUAUAUACUUAACUUUAAAUAAUUUUGAAUAACAAAAAAAAUUAUUAAUUAUACUAACUAAUAAAUAGAUAAACAAAAAUUGCAGCAUCCAUAAAUAUUGGGCUCGCCUAGUGGUAAAGUGUUAUAGCCUUAAAACUUGAGUCACGCCAAUGUUUGGCUUGCAGCCUUGUACUAAGCAUGGCUACACAACAGAUGUGAGAGGGAAGGCACGAAAGCAAGGCAAGUCUGCGCGCAAGCUAGGGUGUGAUAACUAAGCAGGCUGAUGGACAGCGCGCAAGAUAUUUAUGAGGUAGCGCACAAGUGCUCCGUGGGAUAGCGUGCACGCGAAGGCGCGCGAGGCAUGUGCACAAACUGUGGGUGAGCCCGCCAGGCAGCAUGGCCGCGCAUGCUAAUGGACAGCGGGGAGGCGCGCAAGGGAGCGCACACGCACAAGCACACUAGCAAGAGCCACACACAAGCAACAGGCCAGGGGGUUGUUGCUAAAGCACGCAUUGAGCACAACUUUCAUGCAUUUGGAGGCAGGGCCUUCGAAAAUAAAAGUUUUGGAGCCGAAACCAUUUGCGGGUACGCGAAGUGCCAAAGAGAUGGAGAACUUCCUGUAGGAUAUGUAGCAGUAUUUCAAGGCUGCUCGGAUACCCGAAGCGGAGCGAGUUUCCAUUACAAGCAUAUAUCUCGAGGGGGAUGCAAAUCUUUGGUCACGCAGUAGACUCCAAGAGGAUGCUGAAGCCAACCGACCAGCUAUCGAGACAUGGUACUUACUGAAGCGAGAGUUGAAGGGUCAAUUUAUGCUGGGUAAUGCGAGUUAGAUAGUGGGCUUAAAGAAGCUCAAGCAUACCGGUUCAAUCAGGGAUUAUGUCAAAGAAUUUAGUUCUUUAAUGCUUGAUAUCAAGAACAUGUCCGAUUAAGAUAAGCUGUUCAAUUUCAUGAGUGGUUUGCAACCAUGGGUGCAAACCGAACUAGAAGGUAGGCUGUGUGUGACUUGCCUAUGGCGAUUGCUGCUGCUGAAAGUUUGGUUGAUUUUAGGUUUGCGAGUAAGGGUAGGCAAAACCGGGUUCGAGUCAACCUAAUCGGGUUUCAGGUUGUUCAGGUUAGACAAAAAUCAAUCCGAAUGAAACCAUAAUUCGGAUCGGAUCAGGUUAGGUCAAUAAUUCGGGUUAAAUUCGGGUAGGAUCAGGUUUAGAUUUAAAUCAUAAAUACACCAAUUUUCUUGAUUUUAUUACUAACAUUUAAAAAUACAUAAUUACAACAAUCAAAUAAUAACUAAUUACAUAAUAAUAACCAAUAAUUAAGCAUAUAUAACUAUAUAGUAUAUACCAUGAAAUAUUGAAAGUUAUGAAACUUCAAAGCUUCAAAAUUGGGUUCGGGUCACAAAGCCACAAAGGGAGAAAGCUCGGGUCGGGCCGCGGCAGUAGAUGAUAGCAGAUGGCGACAGCAGAUCACGGCUACAAAUCGCGGCAGCAGAACGCGGGAUUGGAGCAGCAUUACAGCAAAUCGCGGCUGUUGGCUCUUGCUUGUUGGGCGUCGGUUUCGGCAGCAGAUUGAAAAGGGUUAAGACUUCAGGCCUUCAGGGUUGUGUCUUGUGUGGCUAUGUGCGUGAGUGAUGAGUCUGUGCGUUGUUUGUGUGUUUCAAUGUUUGUGAGUUCUAAGUGUUUGUCGUCUGGUGUGUGCGUGUGUAAUGUGUUUAGACUUUAGGUUUUAGUCCUUUCGCUAACGGUUGAAACCCCACCCCUAUUUGUGAGUUCUUCUCCAUUCGAACCUAAAAAGAAUAAAGAUUCGAAGAAAUCUGGCCCUUCUAAGCGUGAUAGUGAAAAGAAAAAGGGCUUUGCGGGGAAAGCCAAACCGAAAUAUGGACACAACAAGAAAAGCUUAGGAUGCUUCAUAUGUGACGGACCACACUGGGCAAGGGAUUGCCCAAAGCGGACACAACUUAAUGCUAUGGUCAAGGAGAUGAAGGUAGAAUCUUUAAUGACCAAGACAAGUACUUCUUGGAUGAAUCCAUUAUAGUUGAUGAACACUUUAAGGGAAGAGGUCAUGUGCAAUAGCUUCAAUCAUGGGUUGAUGAUCACGAUUGUUUUGGUAGAUGGGAGGGAACUGCGUGCUAUGUUGGAUACGGGAGCCACAACUAGCUUUCUUGCAUCCCAUAAAGUGGCACAUUUGGGUUUGAAAAUAACGGCUGUGGGCAGCAAAGUAAAGGCUAUAAAUUUUGCGAGUGUGGGUGUUCAAGGGGUUGUGCAAAGUUCACUAUGGGUAGAAAGUUGGCAGAAAAUGGUAAAAUUUAUUGUCAUGCCUCUUAAUGACUUUGAUUUAAUUCUUGGUAUGGAAUUCUUUAUGGUGCAAUGAUACAAUUGAUGCCCUAUUGAAAGAACAUCUUCAUCAUAGGAACAGACACACCAUGGGUUGUACCAUGCCAAUUCUUAGUUCAUGGCAAAUCAGAACCAUCACUUCAAUCUAUGGGACAAUUUACAAAAGGCUUGAAAUAGAAAGAGAACUCUUACUUGGUAGCGUUGUUGGAGAUAAAACCUGAUUAGGUUGUAGAGAUGCCUGAUGAAUACGCCAAGCAUUGGAAGAGUUUGUGGAUGUCAUGUCGUCGGAGCUCCUUCAAGCCUUACCACCGAAACGUGUUGUAGAUCAUCAGAAUGAUUUAGAGCCUAGUACUAGACCCUCUGCACAGACUCCUUAUCGGAUGUCGCACUUAAGAGGCCUUAUACAAAGUUGUAAAUCACAUCCACUUUGGGAACUGCAACCACCAACAUUAGUGUAAUACAUUGGGGACCUGAAAAGACAACUCAGAGUAAUAGAGAGUGGUGUAUAUGAAUUUCAAUUGGAGCUUGAGGUUAACUCAAUAAAAGGAUGAAUGUAAGUUCAUUUUUCUUUUUUCUUUUCUUUGUGUGAUUUCUUUUUGUUGUUUUGUUCACUUUCACGUUUGAUUUGAUUUUGCAGUUUUAGUUCUCUUUAUUUUGGUGUAUUUUGGUUUAUUUUCCCGUAUAAAUGGUGGAUAAUGGUAUUCCGUGACUUAUUAAGUCGGUAUCUUCAGUUUCCCACAAUAACUAAAACCCUAAAAUCAAACAUGGAAGAAAUACAACAUAAACUGCAUAAGAAUUUUCCCUCUCUCCCUCAGAAUGCCCUCAGGAAAAUUUACAAAGCUCGUUGUGAACAAUUGUAUUUAUUAAUGAUCAAUGGAAUUCCUUCUGACAUUCAUUGGUUAAUUGAAGCAAAGGUCUGAUUAGCAGGUGAGUUUUCUAAUCCAUUUGUUUCUUACAUGUCUGGUUUUGGUAAAAGUACAUUUGCUAAAAAAAGAAGAGCUAAACGACUUGGUUCAAAAUGUCAUAACAGUGUACGACUUAAUUACAAAUGGUCGGAUUGUAAAACUUUAGGAAUGGUGUCUGAUACUUGUGAAGAUAAAAUUAAAUUCGUUAAAGAUGGCUUGAGUAAAUGUUAGAGUGCAAAUUAUGCACUAGUUUUGCAUUGUUUACUUCCCUUAAUACCGAUGUUUUGCACUUAAUUAUAGUGAUUUACUUUUGUAGGUGCAAUUCUAUUGAUUGGUGAUAAAAUUGAGCUACAAGAUAAUAUUUAAGGAUGAUUGUUCUCUUGGAGAAAUUAUGAGCGUCAGAAGAACUUUGUUGAUAAGGCGUGGGCGCGUGCUGUCAACUACGGACCUGCAGUUUUUAGUUUAACGUGUUUUGUAUUUUUGGUUAUUUUUGUAAUUACGAAUUUAAUAUUUGAGAUAUUAGUAUUUUAUUUUUAAAAAAAACUCUAGAGGAGAGGAGAGAGAGAGUAUUUAAGGGAGGAAUCUAUUGUGAAAAAGACUGAUUUGGAGAAAAGAAAGAAACCCUAGAUCUAAAUUUUUCUCUUCUCUCUAUGAAGAACUAAACCUAUUAUUCUGGUUGAAGGUUAAUGAAGCUUUGAUUCAUCACUACUGUGAGAUCUUUCUUAUGUUUUAAUUGUUUUAUUGUUUUUUGGGUAUUUGUUUAUUCUCUGAAUUAUUUUCAUGAUUAUGUUUGUUAAUUAGGUAAUUGGCCACUAUUUAAUUAUCAACUUAAUCUAUUGUCAAUUAAAGGAUUCAUCGUAUGAAGAAUUUAAUGUUUGUGACAAAUAACAUAGCAGUGAGUUGUGUUAUGAGAAUAAACAAUCUAAUUUAAAUGAACCAUCGUAUGCGUUUGUCGAUUAGGAUUUGGGUCUCUCUGGUUUUUCAGGUUGUCAAUUGAUUAAAUCCUAUGAUCGUAUCUAGGGUUGUCUAUUGAUUAGGGAAAUAACCAACGGUCGUACUUUGGUUAUCGACUAGUUAAGAAGAGAUUGGCUAUUAGAGGGUCUCAACAGCUAUAACCGGUUUAUUCAUAAGUAGUAACGAUUUAUAUUUGAAUCAAUGAUCAGUAGUCGAAUCAAGCUGAGUUAAUUCCUUCAACCAGAGCUUUCUCCAAUUUGAAUUACAAUUUUAAUUUGCACUCUUGUUAUUUUAAUUUGAUUUUUAUCAUUAUCAACAAAUCUCCCAUUUUGCAUUUUACAUUUUAAAAGGAUUUAAAUAAUUAUCGAUCUCUGUGGACACGACCCUACUCAAUCACUAUACACAAUUUAUUUAGAGUAGGUAUUUAUUUUUGCUGGCUUCGACAACCAUCAAAUUUUGGUGCCGUUGCCGGGGAUUGGUGUCGUUUAUUUAAUCCUUUUUACGUUUUACUUGGUGUAUGGUUCCUUCUUCUCGUACAGGUACACUUUCGUUUGAUCCUGAAAUUGAGAAGACAGCUCGCCAACUGAGACAGCAGACGAAGCGAUCUAAGCAACGAUUCUGGUCGCCUUUGCUUUCUGAAACAGAUACGGUACCUAAUUUAGUUGAAUCAUCUAGCGAUUCAGAAAAACAAGUGAUGGAUAGAGCUGCACCUGUAGAAAGAACUCUUAGAGAGUUAGCUGAACCAGACUUGAAUCAGCAACCACUCUGCAUUCAAUAUGUAGACUUGGAGGUAAAUUUUGAAUUAAAAUCUAGUCUUAUUCAUUUAUUACCCAAGUUUCAUGGUUUUGCAGGUGAAGAUUCUCAUAAACAUCUCAAGGAGUUUCAUGUUGUAUGUUCAAGUAUGAGACCACAAGGCGUGACGGAAGAGCAGAUUAAGUUGCAUGUUUUUCCUUUCUCUUUAGAUGGACUAGCUAAAGACUGGUUGUACUACUUGCCUCAUGGAUAGAUUACAACGUGGAAUGAUUUGAAGAAGCAGUUCCUCGAGAAGUACUUUCUUGCUUCAAGAGCUGCUAACAUCAGAAAAGAUAUUUGUGGGAUCAGACAACUUCCUGGGGAGACUUUGUAUGAGUAUUGGGAGCGAUUCAAACAAUUGUGUGCCAGUUGUUCUCAGCAUCAGAUUUCUGAUCAAUUUCUUAUUCAAUAUUUUUACGAAGGACUGUCAUUAAUGGAUAGGAGUAUGAUAGAUGCUGCUAGUGGAGGUGUGUUGGUGAACAAGACCCCUACUCAAGCAAGGGAGUUGAUCUCAAAUAUGGCUGCUGUUGGUAGAUUUCUAUAAGCAAUUAUUAUCAAUGCCAAUGUGCAAGUAUACACAACAAGUAAUAAAAUGAUGAGUAUUCAAGAUCGUCUCCACAGGGAUUGAUGUUACUCAAAAUGCUAAAGCAAUCACAAUAGUGCAUAUCAAUCAAAGACCGAAACAAACAAUUGUCGAAUAAUUCUAUUGUAACUAAUAAUUGUGAGGGAUGAAAAUAAAAUAAUACUGUAAUGAAAUAAACUAAGUUAAAUGUGUCUAAGAUUCAAUUGAGAAUAUAGUAGUUGAAUGAUCAAACUCUCCUAAUAGGGUGACUGUUGUUUACCAAAUUAGCACCAGUUGUUACAAUAAAUGCUGUAGCAAUAGGUAGAAUAAAUCUGCAUUCGCACCUAUCGCAUGUUGGAAAUCUCAUACCUUUAAAUCCACUAACAAUGACCAGUUGCUCAUAUAUUUAUGGUAUGGCAUUAUAACUUUUAAUCUCUCUACCCUACAAGGUAAACACCUAUGUUUAGAGUGUCACAAAUCUUAACUUCAAGUAUUGCCCUUAUGGGAUUCAAGAUAACCUAAUCCAGGAAACUCGACUUAAGAACAAGUAAUACUCUAAUAAUGUCCGCUAAGACAUGCCCUUUUGCUGCUCUAUCUUAACUGAAACUAUUAAAUGGGUGGUCAACUGAAAUAACAGUUGUAUUCAUAAAAACUACUAGAGUAUAAUGUUACAACAUUACCAUAACAACAUAAAAGAACAGUCAAGAACCCAUUGGAUUAUUUGUCACUCAACUACAAGUAAAUUUAGUUCAUAAUCUGGAUGAGAAAAAUAAACACAAAUAUAUUGAACUCGGAAUACAUCCCAACAAUUCAAGGAAAAAGAGAAAAUAUAAGUUGAGCACGAUGAAAGGCAAAUAAUUAUGCACGGCUCUCUUAUUUUGUUUCCGAUUAGCACUCUCCAAUCUUGAUCUCUUUCUUCUUACCUUUGUAAUUAUUUCUGAUGAUAAUUCCUUGCCGCCUUUUAAUGUGGUGCACGCCUCAUUUUUAUAUUGCAAAUUAGGUUAAAACCAAAGCCCAUGAGCGUGCAUAUGUUUGAAUUAGGAAACAUGCAGAUCGCAAUUUUAUUGCUGACUUGUGCCUAAAUUCUCUCCUACAUUGCUCCUAGAUUGCUAUAGCACUGGUUGCUCUAACAGCUGCUACAACAUUGUUUUUUUCCCGAUUGUGCUUUACUUCUUUUGUGGCCAUCUUCCUUCCUCCUCUUGCUCUUCUAAUGCCUUAACAUCCUCUCACGAAUUUAAAACCUACAAUUUAAAACUUGUUUUUAGCACAAAUUAUUAUGAUUCAAUCAAAACUUAUUAAAACUCAACUAAAAUGAAUGUUUAUGCAAAAGGUACCCAAAAUGUAAUAAAAACACCUUAUUUGUUCUCUAAGUGACCUUGAUUCAAGUCUAGAAUUGAUGUAAUAACUCUCAUUUCCUAGAGUUAUCACACCCCCAAACUUAAACCAUUACUUGCCUUCAAGUAAUGACACAUACUAACAUUCCCCGCAAACAAACAUGCACACAACUUAAGCUCUUUUAUCAAAUUUGCAAGGAUUGUUCCACCUUCAUAUCACCAUCCUAAUCAAACAAAAUGCCCAUAGUAAAUCAGUUCUAGACUUAAGCUUCUUUCUGUCCAUAGUGAGUGUGUGCUUUCUUUGAUUGAAUUCCAGAUAUGCUGUAACAUCACCAAAGUACUGCAGAAAUUUCAGCAGUGAUAUACUUUUUUUCAAAAAAAAAGGGUAGCACAAAUUUCACAUAUUCAAACUGUGAUUGUUUUAACAUUGAUAAACUGGGGAGUAAUCAACCUCCUCACUGUAACAUUUAUCUUUCAUGUGAAUGUUAAUCACUUGUAAUGAUGACACCCAAUUACUCAAACCAUGCCCAGAUCAGAGUUGCUGCAGUAAUAUCUGUGAUAUAAUCUUAUCUAAAGAUAUCUUUUACUCAAGGCUGAACAUGGGGAUCAUGAACAGACCUGGCUACUCACUGCCUUAGACAAAGGAUUUUUUUUUCUUUCACUUGCUACAACAUUGCUUAUAACUCUCGCUACCUUUUACACAAUUCGGCAUAUGGGGUACAUACUCAGAUCUGGUUAUUCAGUAACUUAAGCCAUUGGAGCAGAGUUUUAUUUCAUAAAAUCACAAUAAAUCAACUUGCUUCUCCCUUCAAAGUUAAGAUAUUUUCUAUUCUUUUGGCUCUACUCUAGCAGUCUCAUACAACUCAACCAAAGUCUAAGUGUUGGGACAUAAUUUCACUUCUAUCUAUAACUAUCUCUACUUGGCAUUCUCAUAAAUACUGAAUAAAACUUAAUUUAUCUUCAUUAGGUUUUCAAAUCCAUACACAAAUAAUAGAUAACAGAGCUUCACACAAUACAGACAUAAACACAUACAUAAAUCACAUGCAAUCGGCAACAACCCCCCCAAACUUGAGAGAUGCUGUGUCUUCACAAGCAUACAUAACAACAGCUCACAAAUUGACAAACAAUAAAAUCUUUUUUUUUAACUGAAAUGAACUAGUAAAGAAAGAGUACUCCCCUGGGGUGGGGACUGCAGCACAGGACAUGGUGCUCAUCAGCGCUUCUUGGAUGCACUGCGCAGCUUAUCCUUUGGUGAAGCUUUGUGGGAGGUGGUUGGCAAUGUCUUCGUCUUUUUCGCUGUAGGGCUGGUGAGAGGAGUGGUGGCUAGGGUUACUGUAGCAGUACCUGUAGACGUACUGCCUUUUCGUUUACUGGAUUGUCUUGGACUGGUGUAGAUAGCUGGCUAGGAGUUUGCUAUGGAGGCUUUGGGGUCAAUGCAUCAGCUGUCUGGCCCUCAGCGGUGAUGGCAGCAAUAACCGCAAGUAGUUGCUUGGCUUGCUCAGAUGUAGGCAUAGCUCUGGCUGCUGCAGCAGCCAACUCAGUAUCGACUUGCUACAUCUCAUCUUCAGAGGCUGGAGGGGUUGCCAAUUUAGCUUUACUCUUAUCCUUCCUCCUAUUCGUAAAGACUGGAAUAGAGGGUUCCUCUUCAGGGUCUUCUUCAUCUUCUUCUUGAAUAAUGUGUUUUUUCUGGUUUUGGGUUGAGCUGGGAUGGUUGGUUCCUCACUUUCUUUUUCUGAGUUGUCUUCUGCCUCUGAGGGUGAGCUAUCAGUCUUAGACUUGUCACCUUCGUCCUCAGGUGGGUCAGAUGGUUCAACCUCUUCUGAGUCGACUGCUGCUUGUGGCUCAGUGGCAGCUUCCUCUGCUGGUUCAUAUGAAGUAGUGGUUUCUUCAUUGGCUGCUGCUGGAGCACCUGUAGUGGUGGUGUCAAAAUUGAACUGCUAGAGCAGUGCAUCAGGGAAGUUCCGGUGAGUGUGUUUCAUGUACAGAGCAAAUUGGUGUAGUUGGUUAUCCAGGUGCUGUAGAUAGCUCCAAAAUCGACCAUUUUCCCUCUGUUGAGCUUCUACACAUUGAGUUAUACUAUUACUGAGUGCCUGGAUAGUCUGUUCUAAACUAAUAACUCGUCUUGCUCCAGUGACAACAGCUGGUUCAGUGGUUGUUCCAGCACUCUCACCAGCAACUCUCUCAAUGGUACGUGCCGUAAAGGCACCAUUAUUUUUUACAUAUUCAUCUCUGGUGUUAAGACGAACACCUGAAACUACACAAAUGCUAGUGACAAGAGAGGGAAAUAGCAAGGCAGCAGUUCGGUGAGUUUUGACUGUACAAUCUCGAAUUUCUUGUACAAUGAUGCCACCGACAUCUAUAGGAAGUCCUCGAACUAUGACAUAUAACAAAACCAACCUUUCUUGCGAAACUGUAGUAGUGUGAGUGGUGGGCAUAAGCCUAGAUUUCAAGAAUUUCACCCACACCUUAACAAUAGGUUUCAAAUCUAUCCUAUUAACUACAUGCCCUUCCUCAUUAACCCAUGAUGCCCCUUCGAUGGUAAGAGUUUUGAAAAUGGUGUUCCACUUUUUCGAGGUCAACUUAUCACGCAACUUAGCAUACUCACAGGCAAUUUCAGCAGGUAAGUUAUAGAAAGCAUUGAUGACACGAGAGUCUAAUGGGACAAGUGUAUUUCUUACCCAAAUGUUGUGCUGAUUAGGGCUUACCAAAUUGGCUUAAAAUUCUUUGACUACAGGCAGCACAGGCUCUCGAGGGUGGUUGCAAAACUCUAACCAUCCUCGCUUUGCUACAGCAUUAUGAAUAGUUUGCACAAUUCCCGUGAGUUGGUCUGGAAAUUGAAACCCUUUUUCUUCUAGAAUCCGACACGGCUCUAUGAAUUCUUCAUAUUUUUCUUCAACGUGGUAACUCUGGAAUCGUGACGGAUCUUUCAGGCGGCUGGCUGUUUUCUUGUAUCUCGGCAUUACUGUAGCAGUAACAAAUUAAAGCUACUGUUCUUGAGAAUAAAAAGAGAAAAAGAGUUUAAGAGUUUUUAGAGUAGUCUUUGCGAAGGAGAUGGGGAAUAGUGGCAUAGAGCACUAAGCACAAUGAUUCCUUUUUAUAAUGGACUUUAAUUUGAAGAUAAAUACGGUAACUAGAGAUAAUUGAGGGAAUAAAUUAUUUGAAUUAAAUGUGCAUAUCCCCAAAAUUAUCGACCAAUGAAAUUAAAGCUUUAAUUUCGGAGAUUUGUUUCCUCAAUUUUCUAUCCAUAUCCAUGCAUCCAUCUGUCACGAUUUUAUCUCCAACAGUAACUGAAAGGCUCCAGCUUUUGAUUUACUGUAACGGUAAAAUUAUCUGCUGCAGCACCCAGUCGCUUAUUCUAAUAACGGAUACAUACUCCCCACUAAAAGCUUCUGACACGUGGUUCACCUCUGAAUUCUGCCACCAUUCACUCUCACUUGUCAAUAUGAAAUUCAAUUAUCACACUUACUAAAAUUAAGUCAAAAAUUUAUUAAAAGAAAUAGAUAUAGCAAAUUAAAGUGAAAAGUAAAGAAUGCAAUAAUGUAAAUGGAUGAAAAUAAGGGCUAAUCAUAGAAAAACAAAAAUUAAAUAAGAUGGUAAAUAAGGAAAGCUAUCUACAAAACCAAAGGAUAUCAAACUUGGUUUGAAGUGGCUAUCUCCUCAAUGGGCUGCCUCCCAUGAAGCGUUUGAUUUAAGAUCCUUCAGCCUGACCUUCCUUCUUUGUUCAAUAGCUAGGUUCUUUAAAGAGUAACACCUCCUUGGAACAUUCUGCUGCUAGAUGUAUGUAAUGCUUAACCCUGUGUCCAUUAACCUUGAACUCGUGGCCUGUUUGUUCAUCUAGAAGAUUAACAGCUCCAUGAGGGUAAGAUUUUAACAACUUAAAUGGGCCAGACCAUCUUGACUUGAGCUUUCUUAGAAAUAAUCUUAGUCUUGUAUUGUGGAGUAACACUAAUUGACCAGGGGUGAACUUUCUGUGUUGAAUAUGCUUGUCAUGCCAGUGUUUUGUUCUCUCUUUAUAGAUUCUUGCAUUUUCAUAUGAAAACAAUCGUAAUUCAUCAAGCUCACAAAGUUGAAGUUUCUUAUGCUCUGCUGCAGCAUGCAUAUCUCAAUUUAAUUUCUUCAGUACCCAAUGGGCUUUGUGCUCUAGCUCUAGUGGCAAAUGACAUGCUUUGCCAUAAACAAUUCGGUAAGGAGACAUGCCGAGUAGAGUUUUGUUUGCUGUUCUGUAAGCCCAUAGAGAGUCAUGCAAAUGUAAAGACCAAUCCUUCCUUAUUGGGUUCACCACUUUUUCUAAGAUCUUUUUAAUUUCUCUGUUGGACACUUUAACCUGACCAUUGGAUUGUGGGUGAUAUGUUGUUGCUAUCUUGUGUCUGACUCCAUAUUUCAUCAUUACUGCAGCAAAGAUUUUGUUGCAAAAAUAUGUGCCUUCAUCAUUAAUAAUUGCUCUAGGAGUGCCAAACCUGGAGAAAAUAUUUUUUUGAAGAAAAGUCACCACUGUUUUAGCAUCAUUGGUAGGUAAUGUUGUAGCUUCUACCCACUUGGAGACAUAAUCUACAGCAACAAGGAUAUAUAAGUUCCCAACGGAUGGGGGAAAAGGUCCUAUGAAAUCUAUUCCCCAAACAUAAAAAACUUCCACUUCCAGUAUGUUAGUCAAUGACAUCUCAUGUCUGCUAGUUAUGUUCCCUGUCCUUUGACACCUGUCACAACAUUUAACAAAUUCAUAAGCAUCUUUAAAGAUAGUGGGCCAAUAAUAACCUGAUUGCAUAACUUUGGCAGCUGUUCUGUGACCACCAAAAUGUCCUCCAUAUGCUGCAGCAUGACAUGACUCAAGUAUUUGAGGUAUUUCUUUUGCUGCAACACAUCUUCUUAUUACUUGAUCUGAGCACAGCUUAUAUAAAUGUGGGUCAUCCCACUGAUAACUUCUAACAUCAUGAAGAAAUUUCUUUUUCUCUUGAAACUUCAGCUCAGGUGGUAGCAACCCACUUACUAAGUAGUUAGCAAAGUCUGCAUACCAUGGAGAUUCUGACUGUUGCAGCAUAUGUGAUUGCUGUAUUACCAAUAACUGUUUAUCAGGAAAAGUUUCGGUGAUGCCCUUCCUUGUCAAUGUACUAGUGUUUGCUUCCAGCCGUGACAAGUGGUCUGUCACUUGAUUCUCAGUCCCCUUUCUAUCUUUAAUUUCCAGAUCAAAUUCUUGAAGCAAUAAGAUCCAUCUGAUUAAUCUUGGUUUGGCAUCUUUCUUUGAAAUUAAAUAUUUGAUGGCUGCAUGGUCUGUGUAAACAGUUACUUUGGUACCCACCAGGUAAGCUCUGAAUUUGUCAAAAGCAAAAACUACUGCUAGCAACUCUUUCUCUAUAAUGGUGUAAUUGAUCUGAGUUGGAGUGAACGUUUUGCUUGCAUAGUAUAUGGAAUGAAAAACCUUAUCCUUUCUUUGCCCCAAUACUGCCCCCACAGAAUGAUCACCAGCAUCACACAUCAAUUCAAAUGGUAAAGUCCAAUCUGGAGAUAUAAUUACUGGAGCAAUGAUCAGAGCUUUCUUUAGUUCUCCAAAUGCUUUAAGGCACUCUGUGUCAAAGUGAAAUGGUUUGUCAUGCUCCAACAAUGAACACAGAGGCUUAGCUACCUUGGAGAAAUCCUUAAUGAAUCUUCUGUAGAAUCUAGCAUGACCCAAAAAACUCCUAACACCCUUUACUGAAGUUGGAGGUGGCAGUUUAUCUAUUACCUUUAUCUUGGCUUUAUCUACCUCAAUACCAUCCUUGGAUAUCUUGUGACCCAGCACUAUUCCUUCUUGCACCAUGAAAUGACACUUUUCCCAAUUGAGUACUAAGUUGGUCAUCUCACAUCUUUUAAGAACUUCCAAGAUGUGUAAACAAUCAUUCUAUGUUUCUCCAAAAACUGAGAAGUCAUCCAUGAAAACUUCCAAAGUUUGCUCUACCAUUUCAGAAAAUAUAGACAUCAUGCAUCUCUGAAAAGUUGUUGGAGCAUUGCAUAGCCCAAAUGGCAUUCUUCUGAAGGCAAAUGUUCUAUAAGGACAAGUAAAUGUAGUCUUCUCUUGAUCCUCUGGAGCUAUAGCAAUCUAGUUGCAGCCUGAAUACCCAUCUAAGAAACAGUAGUACUGUUUUCCAGCAAGUCUGUCCAACAUUUGAUCUAUGAAUGAAAGUGGGAAAUGGCCUUUCCUUGUGGCUUUGUUGAGCUUCCUGUAAUCCAUACACACUCUCCAUCCAGUCACUGUCCUUGUAGGAAUAAGUUCAUUCUUCUCAUUAGCUAUUAUUGUUAUCCCUCAUUUCUUUGGAACACAUUGAACUGGGCUUACCCAUGAACUAUCUGAUAUUUGGUAUAUGAUUCCAGCAUCUAGCCAUUUGAUGAUUUCCUUCUUCACUACUUCUUUCAUAAUAGGAUUUAGCCUUCUCUGGUGUUCCACCGAAUUGCUGGAACAAUCCUCUAACAUGAUUUUAUGCAUACAGAUGGAUAGGCUUAUCCCUUUUAUAUCUGCCAUGGUCCAUCCAAUUGCUCUUCUAUAUUUUCCCAGCAAAUCUACUAAACUCUGUUCUUGACCUGCAUCCAAAGUAGAAGAAAUGAUUACGGGAAGUGUGUCGUUUUGACCAAGAUAAACAUAUUUUAACUAUGAAAGUAGCAGUUUUAAUUCAAAACUAGGAGGUGAUUCGAUAAAUGGUAAAGUUAUUUUUACUUCUCUGUCUGAAAGAUCAGGUGUUCAAUACACCUGUUGUGCCUAUCAGAUUGCUGUUUGUCCAUCCAAUCGGUUUGGAUUGCUGCAACAUCUUCCUCUUCAACAUCCUCAAAGGUGAUGACUUUGUCAAGUACAUUACUACAGCAUCUGUCCAUUCUGUCUGCUACAACAAGAUCCACUACACUUAGGAAAUUACAAUCUUCUACUUCAUCAGGGUUCCUCAUAGCCUCUAGCACAUUAAAUGUGACUUACUGAUCAUUCACUCUUAUGGUGAGCUCUCUUUUCUGCACAUCUAUAAGAGUUUUUCCAGUUGUUAGAAAAUGUCUUCCAAGUAUAAUACAUCCUUAUGGUACAUCUUUGUCAGCUUCAAAGUCCAACACAAUGAAAUCCACUAGAAAGAUGAAUUUGUCAACCUUCACCAAUACAUCCUUUAUCUUUCCUUCAGGGUAUGCAUGAGAUCUGUCAACUAAUUGCAGAGUGACUGUUGUUGGUCUGCACUCUCCUACUCCCAGCUGCUUAAAUACAGAUAAUGACAUCAGAUUAAUACUAGCUCCCAAGUCACAAAGUGCUCUGCCAGCAUAUCUAGUUCUUAUAUAAUAAGGUAUUGUAAAACUCCCUGGAUCUUUCAAUUUUGUGAGAAUUUUACUCUGGAGCAUAUGACUGCUUUUCUGUGUUAAAGCAACAGUUUCAAACUCCCCCAGCCUUCUUUUUCGUGCCAAGAUAUCUUUUAAAAAUUUAACCUAAUUUGGCAUUUGCUUUAGAGCUUCCACAAAAGGUAUGUUUAUGUGCAAUUAUUUCAGCACUUCCAGGAAUUUGCUGAACUGCUUGCCUUGUUUUUGCUUCUGGAACCUUUGUGGGAAAGGUGGUGGAUGUCUGAACUACUGGGUAUCAUCAGGGGAUAUCAAAAUUUGUUUGUUUGAUUUGGUGCAAGUUGUAACUACUGGUGUUGUAACUUCUUUGUCAGCAUGUUCUGGUUGAAUUUCCUCUGCAGUUGCUGUAGCUUGGCCCAUGUAACUAGUGUCUUGAAGAGGAGUUUGCUGUAACAGGCUUCCCUUUUGAGUUGGUUUUUGGCCUGAAUUGCAUUCCAUCCCAUUUUUGGUCACCUCAACUGGGAUAUCAACAUUCUUUCCAGAUCUCAAACUAAUUACUUUGCAGUGUUCUUUGCUUUCUCUCCUAGGUUCUUCUGUGUUGCUAGGUAGGCUUCCUUGAGUUCUGCUGCUCAUUACUGUAGCUAAUUGUCCCAUUUGGUUCUCAAGGUUUCUAAAAAAUAUAGCUUGACUUUGCACAAUUGCUUCAUUCUUUGCAAUAUACUCCUUAAUUAGUGUUUCCAGUGAAGUGAUUGGAUCCUGACUAAUAUGCUUUUACCCUUGACUUUGCUGAUGAAAACCAGGUGGUUGUGUGUUUCUGUUUUGUCCAUUUAAUGCUGGAGCAUUUCGAUUCUGACUAUUCCAUGCAAAAUUUGGGUGUUGCUUCCAGCCUGGGUUGUAAGUAUUUGAAUAUGGGUUGUUCUGAGGUUGUCGAUUGAAGUUACCUACAUAGUUUAGUGAGGAUGGAUUUCCAGGACAGUUAUCAAAAUCAUGUUCUUUACUACAGUAGAUGUUGUACAAAUUUUAUUGAACUCGUAAGUGGACGAAUCUAUUGUAGAAUAGAUUAAUGGUGACGAGUGUCGAUCCCAUGAGGAGGUGGAUUUUAAUUGUAUGUAGAAUUAAUUUUUCUAAAUGGGUGGUUGCAUUUGUAGUGAAAGUGACUUUAGAUUAUCCUAAAAUUGGAUUUUAAAUGGCGAGUAUAAAUUGAAUAGAAAUUUAUUGAAAUGACGUACUUGGGUAUCUGGAUCCGUAUCAACAUGCACUAUGAGCUAAAUAUUCCUUAUUAAUACCAAUUAAAUCAUGAGGGGGGAAUCCACAUCUCAUGAACUACACUUUAAUCAAUAUGGUGCUAAGGGUUUAUCGUGCCAAAUAAUAAUAACCUUAUACUAGAGAGCCGGUGAAACCAGGGCGGUAUCUAGACAAACUUAUUAUUAUUUAUCGACGAGAAGUCAAAACAUCCACAAAAACUAGAGGGGAAGAGAAAAUAAAUUUACCAAAUAAAGCCCAUGACACAUGUUGAGACUUCACCUUCAACCCAAGCUUGAAAGAAAAUUAGCUACUCAUAAUUGAACUAGGGGCAAAAAGGAAAUUUAUUAAAAUACGUAGAAAAUACAAGAUGGAGAAGGAAUUACAGAAAAUGGAGUCCAAAAAUAGAUUCAGAGAUAUCAAAUUAGGGGGGGAGAGCCCUCUUUUUAUAGAUACAUUGAGUAAAUCAUGGCCAUCAGAUCGAAAACAUUUAGGACGCUCAGGAUUGCACCACGUCAUCAGUCAACAGUACGCGGUUUGACCACGCGGGUGAACAGUAACACAGUUUGACCCGACUUGAACAGUGACGCAGUUUGGUUGAAAAUAAUCCUGUGUAAUGCAUAUACCAUACGCGAGAUUUUUGGUCCACUGAUAUGCUGCCACGUCAUCAAUCAACAGUGCAUAAAAAUUUUAUUCGAACAGGAUCGUGACACCUCAUCAGUCAAUGCCACGUCAUCGAUCCGUAUAUGUGAACAGUGUCGUGAACAGUAAUGUAGACAGUAUCGUACAUGUGAACAUUGCCAUUUUUCCUUUUAUGCUCCUUCUAAGGUUUUCGACCAUCCUGAGUUCAAAAAGUGAUGUCCGUUUUAUCGUCUGAUCUCUCGUUCAUUGUGAAAUGACUAUGAUGCCCCUAAAAUACAUAAAAUACCUAAUUAUAAUACAACACACAUAAUUAAAUGACAAGAAGUUUAAAUACAUAAAAGUAAGGGUGUUAGUAAAACUUGAAGUGUAAAAUGACAAUUUUUUCCUUUAUAAAUAUACAUUUUCUAACACUCAACAGUAGACACAAGAAAGUUCAGUAAUUUGCUUUACUGUUGCUGGAGCAGCUGUCAUGGCCUUUACCAUGUUAGUCAAUGAAGUAACUUGUGCUGAUAAGACUGUAAUUGCAUCAAUGUUAUGUUACCCUGCUGAUCCUCUUGCUGCUGGUUGCCUGGCUGCAGGCCACUGGUAAUUAUUGUUGGCAAUUCUCUCCAGAAUUUCAUAAGCUUCUGUGUAAGAUUUGGACAAGAGAGCUCCAUUUGCUGAAGCAUCCACCAUUAACCUAGUACUCGGAUUCAACCCAUUGUAGAAAGUUUCCAAUUGAAUGCAACAAGGGAUACCAUGAUGAGGGCACCUUCUGAGCAAUUCCUUGAAUCUUUCCUAAGCCUCGUACAAACUUUCAUCUUCAGUUUGAUGGAAGAAAGUAAUCUCAUUCCGCAACUUUGCAUUUUUUGUCGGUGGGAAAUAUUUCAUUAAGAAUUUAUCAGCCAAUUCAUUCUAUGUAGUGAUGGAAUCAGAUGGUAACAAAUUUAACCAUGCUCUUACUCGAUCUCUUAAGGAAUAAGGGAAAAACCGUAUCCUAAAGGCAUCUUUUGUUGCUCCAGCAAUUUUAAAAGCAUCAUUUACUUCCAAGAACAAUUUAAGAUGGAGAUGAGGAUCUUCAUUUGGCAAUUCAUUGAAUUGCCCAAUUGUUUGCAACAUUCGAAACAUCACUGGCUUCAACUCAAAAUUGGCAGCGUCUACUUCAGGUCUGAUGAUGCCAUGAUGUACAACUUGAGGAGUUAGCACAGCAUAGUCUCUUAUAGCUCUGUCCCUGUCAUCAGCCAUGUAAAUAAUAUUGUUAUUGCCUGGCUAUCUCCUGUUAGCAUGGUCAUUCUGCUCUUCUUGAAUGUUCACUGGUUGUAAGGGCCCGUGAGGAUUCACAUUUCCUGCAUCUUGUAAAUUAUUCAUACUUGAAGCAAUUUUUGAAUUCCUUUGUUCUCUUCGCAAUCUCCGGACAGUCCUUUCAAUCUCAGCAUCGAGUUGGAAUACCACAGAUCUGUCUUUGCGCAUGCAUGCACCGAUCUGCCAAUAAAUAGAAUAAAUCAAAUUAGAUUUGGCGCUAUCAAGAUUUACUUGACACUUCAAAAAUAAACAAUUAAUCUCCGGCAACGGCGCCAAAAACUUGUUGGUAGAUUUCAAUAAGCAAUUAUUAUCAAUGCCAAUGUGCAAGUAUACACAACAAGUAAUAAAGUGAUGAGUAUUCAAGAUCGUCUUCACAGGGAUUGAUGUUACUCAAAAUGCUAAAGCAAUCACAAUAGUGCACAUCAACCAAAGACCAAAACAAACAAUUGUCGAAUAAUUCUAUUAUAACUAAUAAUUGUGAGGGAUGAAAAUAAAACAAUACUAUAAUGAAAUAAACUAGGUUAAAUGUGUCUAAGAUUCAAUUGAGAAUAUAGUAGUUGAAUGAUCAAACUCUCCUAAUGGGAUGACUGUUGUUUACCAAAUUAGCACCAGUUGUUAAAAUGAGUGCUGCAGCAAUGGAUAGAAUAAAUCUGCAUCCUCAGCUAUCGAAUGUUGGAAAUCUCAUACCUUUAAAUCUACUAACAAUGACCAGUUGCUCAUAUAUUUAUGGUAUGGCAUUAUAACAUUUAAUCUCUCUACCCUACAAGGUGAACACCUAUGUCUAGAGUGUCACAAAUCUUAACUUCAAGUAUUGCCCUUAUGGGAUUCAAGAUAACCUAAUCCAGGAAACUCGACUUAAGAACUCUAAUAAUGUCCGUUAAGACAUGCCCUUUUGCUACUCUAUCUUAACUGAAACUAUUAAAUGGGUGGUUAACCGAAAUAACAGUUGUAUUCAUAAAAACUACUAGAGUAUAAUGCUACAGUAUUACCAUAAACACAUAAAAGAACAGUCAAGAACCCAUUGGAUUAUUUGUCACUCAACCACGAGUAAAUUUAGUUCAUAAUCUGGAUGAGAAAAAUAAACACAAAUAAAUUGAACUCGGAAUACAUCCCAACAAUUCAAGGAAAAAGAGAAAAUAUAAGUUGAGCACGAUGAAAGGCAAAUAAUUCUGCACGGCUCUCUUUUUUUUUUUUUGAUUAGCACUCUCCAAUCUUGAUCUCCUUCUUCUUGCCUUUGUAAUUAUUUCUGAUGAUAAUUCCUUGCCGCCUUUCUAUGUGGUGCACGCCUCCUUUUUAUAUUGCAAAUUAGGUUAAAACCAAAGCCCAUGAGCGUGCAUAUAUUUGAAUUAAGAAACAUGCAGAUCGCGAUUUUAUUGUUAACUUGUGCCUAAGUUCUCUCCUGCAUUGCUCCUAAAUUGCUACAACACUGGUUGCUCUAACAGCUGCUACAACACCGUUUUAUUCCCGAUUGUGCUUUACUUCUUUUGUGGCCAUCUUCUUUCCUCCUCUUGCUCUUCUAAUGCCUCAACAUCCUCUCACGAAUUUAAAAACUACAAUUUAAAAUAUGUUUUUAGAACAAAUUACUAUGAUUCAAUCAAAACUUAUUAAAACUCAACUACAAUGAAUGUUUAUGCAAAAGGUACCCAAAAUGUAAUAAAAACACCUUAUUUGUUCUCUAAGUGACCUUGAUUCAAGUCUAGAAUUGAUGUAAUAACUCUCAUUUCCUAGAGUUAUCACACCCCCAAACUUAAACCAUUACUUGCCUUCAAGUAAUGACACAUACUAACAUUCCUGGCAAACAAACAUGCACACAACUUAAGCUCUUUUAUCAAAUUUGCAAGGAUUCUUCCACCUUCAGAACACCAUCCUAAUCAAACAAAAUACCCAUAGUAAAUCAGUUCUAGACUUAAGCUUCUUUCUGUCCAUAGUGAGUGUGUGCUUCUUUUGAUUGAAUUCUAGAUAUGCUGUAACAUCACCAAAGUACUGCAGAAAUUUCAGCAGUGAUAUACUUUUUUUUAAAAAAAAAGGGUAGCAUAAAUUUCACAUAUUCAAACUGUGAUUGUUUUAACAUUGAUAAACUGGGGAGUAAUCAACCUCAUCACUGUAACAUUUAUCUUUCAUGUGAAUGUCAAUCACCUGGUAAGAAAGUGACAAAGCAUGUAGAAGAUGAGCUUGAAAAGAAUGAAUUGAUGCCUAAAUCUCAAGAUGCGCAACCCACCAGAGCGAAACCUUUACCUAUGGUGAUACCUCCUCCUUUUCCAAACCGGUUUGUAAAAUCCAAGAAGGAGGAACAAGAGAAAGACAUCCUUAAGACAUUUCGCAAGGUUGAGUUAAAUAUUCCCUUAUUAGAUGUUAUAAAACAAAUACCUCGAUAUGCUAAAUUCCUUAAGGAACUGUGCACCUCCAAGAGAAAAUUAAGAGGAGAUGAAAGAGUUCAAAUGGAGGAGAAUGUUUCAGCAGUUCUCCAAAAGAAACUACCUCCUAAGUGCAAGGAUCCAGGUAUGUUUACUAUCCCUUGUAAAAUUGGUAGUGUUAGAGUUGAGAAGGCUAUGUUAGAUCUAGGAGCUUCUAUUAAUGUCAUGCCUCAUUCUGUUUAUUCGUCUUUGAAUGUUGGUGCAUUAAAAGAAACUGGCGUGAUAAUUCAACUAGUUGAUAGGUCUAAUGCAUAUCCUGAUGAGUAUUAGAGGAUGUCUUAGUACAAGUUAAUGAGUUAGUUUUUCAUGCUGAUUUUUAUAUACUUGAUAUGGAAGAGGAUAACUCCUCUAAUUCUGUCCCAAUUUUAUUAGGAAGACAUUUUCUUAAGACUACUAGAACUAAAAUGAAUGUACAUAAAGGGACUCUCACUAUGGAGUUUGAUGGAGAUGUUAUAGAGUUCAAUAUGUAUGAUGCCAUGAAAUAUCCUAGUGACGAACAUUCAAAAUUUUCUAUGGAUGUUAUUAACCCUAUAGUGUAGGAAGCUUUUUAUUUGGAUGUUGAAGAUUCAUUGGUAGCUGCUUUAAAUAACAGUUUGGGCCUCAAAGGAUUGCAAAAUGAUGAAAAUGAGUUUGUUUUAAAUUCUGUAUUGCAAGAGACAAUUUAUGAAUUAAAUUCUUUGAGAACUUUAACUCAUCAUAUGUCUAAUAUUGAAUUACCUUCAUCUCAUGCAAAACUUCUUCCAUCUAUUCUGCAGGCACUGAAAAUAGAGCUUAAACCAUUGCCGAGUCAUCUAAAGUACACGUUUCUAGGAGAUGAUGAGACACUUCCGAUGAUCAUCUCUUCAAAGCUUAGUACUUUAGAGGAAGAAAAGCUUAUUAGAGUGCUGAAGGAUUACAAAAAGGCUAUUGGGUGGACAAUUGCAGAUAUUAAAGGGAUAAUUCCGUCCACGUGCAUGCAUAGAAUACUGCUGGAGGAAGAUGCCAAACCUUCAAUUCAAGCUCAACGCCGUUUGAAUCCACUCAUGAUGGAAGUAGUAAAGAAAGAAAUUCUGAAACUUCUUGAUGCAGGUAUAAUCUAUCCAAUUUCAUAUAGCAAAUGGGUAAGUCCGGUACAAUUGGUAUCGAUGAAAACUGGUAUAACAAUUGUUGAGAAUUCUUAUGGUGAGUUAGUACCCACCCGGAUUCAGAAUGGGUGGAGGGUUUGUAUUGAUUUUAGAAAGCUUAAUUCACUCAUUAAGAAUGAUCAUUUUCCUAUUCCUUUUAUUGAUCAGAUGCUUGAAAGGUUGGCAGGAAAAUCUCACUUUUGUUGUCUUGAUGGUUAUUCAGGUUUUCAUCAGAUACCAGUUGUGUCUGAGGAUCAGAAGAAGACUACCUUCACAUGUCCUUUUAGAACUUUUACGUACCGACGUAUGCCAUUUGGUCUUUGUAACGCUCCCGUCACUUUUCAGAGGUGCAUGGUUAGUAUAUUUUCAGACUAUGUAGAAAACACUAUAGAGGUAUUUAUGGACGAUUUUACAGUCUAUGCUGAUUCUUUCGAUGAUUGUCUCUAUAAUCUGAAGAAAGUGCUUGAAAGAUGCAUUGAAACAAACCUUGUCUUGAAUUAUGAAAAAUGUCAUUUUAUGGUAGAUCAAGGCAUUAUUUUGGGCCAUGUAGUCUCUGCUAGAGGAAUUGAGGUAGAUAAUCUAAGAUAUAUGUUAUUAAAUCUUUACUUUAUCCCACAUGUGUACGGGAAGUUCGUUCUUUCCUUGGUCACGCAGGUUUCUAUAGAAGAUUUAUCAAGGAUUUUUCGAAGAUAGCCCAGCCUUUAUGCAAGCUUCUACAGAAAGAUGUGACGUUUGAUUUUAAUGAAGCAUGCAAGGUAGCAUUUGAUAAGCUUAAGGAGCUAUUGACUUCAGCUCCAAUUAUACAGCCACCCGACUGAAGCCUCCCUUUUGAGAUAAUGUACGACGCCAGUAAUUAUGCUGUUGGUGCUGUUCUCAGACAAAGGGUUGGAAGAGCUGCUCACGUGAUAUAUUACGCAUCAAGAACACUUGAUAGUGCUCAGUGCAAUUACUCAACAACGGAAAAAGAACUUUUAGCUAUUGUUUUUGCUUUAGAAAAAAUCCGUUCAUAUUUAUUGGGUACUAAAGUGAUUAUUUUUUCUGACCAUGCAGCUCUCAAAUAUUUGCUCGCCAAGAAGGAAGCGAAACUGAGACUCAUCUACUGGAUCCUACUAUUUCAAGAGUUCAACUGGGAGGUCCGUGACAAGAAAGGAGCAGAAAACUUAGUUGCAGACCACCUUAGUAGAUUGACCACGAGUGAAGAAGCAACACCUUUGAAGGAUGAUUUUCCAGAUGAGCAUCUCUUUGUAACUCAAGGCAUGGUUCCUUGGUACGCUGACAUUGUCAAUUACUUAGUUACAAGAACACUACCUAGUGAUCUGACGAUGGCUCAAAAAGAUAAAAUUAAGAGCGAUGCUAAAUACUAUGUUUGGGAUGACCCUUACUUGUGGAAACAUUGCUCUGACCAAGUCAUCAGAAAGUUCAUAUCUGAGUUUGAAAUUCCUUCUAUUCUUCAGUUUUGUCACUCAUAUGCAUGUGGUGGUCAUUUUGGUCCCAAAAGGACAGCAUCCAAGGUGUUAGAAUGUGGUUUAUUUUGGCCUACUUUAUUUCGUAAUUCAUACAUGUUUUGUAAGUCGUGUGAGAAUUGUCAAAAGACUGGUAAUUUAAGUCAUAGAAAUCAAAUGCCACUUACCCAUAUUCUUGGGUGUGAAAUAUUCGAUGUGUGGGACAUUGAUUUUAUGGGACCUUUUCCCUCAUCUUUUGGCAAUGCUUACAUUCUUUUAGCAGUAGAUUACAUUUCAAAGUGGCUAGAGGCUAAGGCCACCCGAACUAACAAUGCUAAAGUUGUUGUAGAUUUUGUCAAGUCUAAUAUUCUUGCCAGGUUUGGUGUACCGAGAGCAGUGAUAAGUGUUAAAGGCACUCAUUUCUGUAAUCGAAUGGUGGAGGCUUUGUUCAAGAGAUAUCAUGUUACCCACCGAGUGUCUACCGCCUAUCAUCCACAGACAAGUGGACAAACUGAGAUAUCAAACGGAGAAAUCAAGUCUAUUCUUGAAAAGACAGUUAGUCCAAAUUGAAAGGAUUGGAGUUUGCGAUUAGAUGAUGCAUUGUGGGCGUAUCGCACCGCUUACAAAACUCCCAUAGGUAUGUCUCCUUAUCAUUUAGUAUUUGGUAAGCCUUGUCAUUUACCUGUAGAGCUUGAGCACAAAGCAUACUUGGCGGUUAAGCAAUGCAAUAUACGGAUGGAUGAAGUGGGAAAGCAGAGAAAGUUGCAGCUGCAAGAGUUGGAGGAGAUUAGAAACGAAUCCUAUGAGAGUUCGCGAUUUUACAAGGAAAAGACAAAAACAUUUCAUGACAUAAUGAUUUUGAGAAAGGAGUUCUCUGUUGGUUAAAAAGUUCUUCUUUUUCAUUCUAAGCUUAAACGUUUUCCUGGUAAAUUACAUUCUCGUUGGGUAGGACCUUUUAUUGUUACUAAUGUUUUUCCUCAUGGUGCAGUUGAGAUUCGGAGUCCGACCUCUGAUAAAGUUUUUAAGGUUAAUGGUCAUCGCUUAAAAUCUUUUUAUGAACGUUUUUUGGUGAAUAUUGUAGAGGAAGUGGCUCUCGAGAAUCCCAUUUAUGGAGAUUGAUGCAUGAAUGUGUCUAGCCAAAGACAUAAAACAAAGACACUUUUUGGGAGGCAACCCAAAGGAUUUAUUUAUUUUGGUUUUUGUUAUAUCUUCUUUUAAUUUUGAUUCAGAUUUUUCUUAAAAUAAUGUUUUUACUUAUUUUGGCCAGAAGAAAAUUUUUGAUAAGGCAUGCCCACGUCUUAACUAAUAAGUACUUCUGUAAUUUUUAACGUAAAAUGGUUUUAAGGCGUGCCCACGUGCUUAUUAAAAAAGUACUUCUGAAAUUUUUAGUGUCUCAAAGUGAUUCAUAAAAAAAAAAUUUAAUUUAAUUAAUUAAUUUAUUUGAAAAAAAAAAUGAAAACGAAAAAAAAAGAGGUUUUUUUUUCUUUUCUUAUAUAUAUAUAUAUAUUUAUUUAUUUAUUUAUUAAUUUAAAAAAAAGAAAAAAAAUCAAAAAAUCAAUAUUCACAAAAUCCCUAAUUAAAAAAAACAAAAAUCGUUUUCUUUCCCGCAGCAACCAGCAGCUCCAACCUUCACCGAGCAUCCCCAGCAGCAGCAGCAACCGUGUGCAUAACCAGACCCAGCCCGCGCGCACAGCACAACCAUCCGCGAGCAACCUGAACCAGCAGCCAUGUACCCGCAAGCUCCAGCCGAGCAGCAAUUGUUCGCAACCAACCCACCCCCUGCAUUCCAGCCGCGUGAAUCGAAAUCCGUGAGUGAAAUUAUUGUAACAAUGCCGAAGAGGAAAACAUCAACUUCCAAGUCAUCUAAAAAGACACCCGUAGCAAAGAAAUCCAAGAUUGCCACUCCCACUACGGUCCCAUGGAACACAGUUUCAAAUUCAUGUCAAGCCGUGAGACAAAGAUCGAAACAUGGAAAGGGCAUGAGUGUUUUGCCACUUGCGGAAUCCAAUCUCGGAGGGUGCUUCAUAUUCACGACUCAACAAGAGAAAGAAAGGUAUAAAGAUAUUUCCAAACGACAAAUACUUCCAGCUAAGUAUAUUCAUUACCCGACUCUUGAAAAAUUGAAUGUUAAGGAUAAUUUUGACUCUUUGAUAGAUAAGAUUGAUUUGCGUAAGUUUGUUGAUGUUGAUUGUUUGGGAUAUGCUGAGUAGAUUAGGGAGUUCUAUGCUACUUUUCAAUUUAAUAUACCGAAUAAUUUUACUUUGCAUACUCCGGAUGUUAUAAAGUUUAGGUUAACUUUAGGAUUCAUUGAUGGGAUGAAACUUUUCACAAUCUAUCACAGAUUUUAACCUAGCUUUAGGAUUUAUUAAUGAUGAUUAUUCUUCUAGUGAUGCAUAUUUAGGAACAACUUGUGAUUUUAGCAAAAAUUUUGAGCCUUAUGGUCUUUGGCGUAAUUUAUCUGUUGAUCACAAUGCCUAUAACCCGAGUAAAUCAAAGAGUUCUUUCUUACGUGAUUCUGUUUUGAAAUGUGUGCAUCGAUUCUUAGCAUAUAAUUUUUUAGGAAAGAAAGAUCACUUAGGAGUUUUUUCUAAAACUGAAUUUUAUUUUAUCUGGUGCAUGUUAAAUGAUGUGAGGCCUAAUUUAGGUUUUUGGUUAGCAGAUCAAUUUCAAAGUGUGCUUAAACAGUAUAGGACUUUAUUUCUUGGUCCAUACAUUACUCUGUUAGCUAUAAACCUAUGUGUGCCUGAUCCUGACAAUAAUGAUUUGCAUCCUGCUUGCAAAAAGGAAUUUUUGGAUAUGUCUGUGUUUGAAAGAACAUGUGUGGUCGAAUUCAAGGAGGGGAGAUUUCAUUUUACUGAACCAGGACCCACUCAACCUCCAAAGAAGCUCUAUGCUAGGAGUGGUGCUACCUCUAAUGACGAGUUUGACGACAACACUGCUGCCCCGCCAACUAUUCCUUCUACAUCCGCACCACCUUUAAGCAUUCAGUUAGAGAAAAUGGAGCACAAGCUGAACAAGAUGGAGCAGAAUUUGGCCGCAUACUUCGAGAGUGUGGGAUUUAUCCCACCAUUUUCACCAAGCCCAUAGACGUUAUGAGGAUCAAAGCUCAUAAUUCAGGGAAGUUUUUGCCUUUAAUCUUUUAUCCUUACACUUUAAUUUAUAUGUGAGCUUUGAUUAUCUUACAUUAGGGACAAUGUAAGUUCUUGGUGUGGGGGAGGGAUUUUUGCAUUAUUGAUGUCUGGAAGUAUUAUUUUCACUCUACCCAUUUAUUUUCACUCUACUCAUCCUUAAAUGAUUUUGGAGUUAGUAUGCUUCAUAUAUUAUUAUUUUUCUUUUCUUUUCUUUCUCACUACUCUUUUCUCAUCUAUCUCAAAUUAUUUACAUCUAUUUUUAUUCUAUCAUACUCUUUCAUCACUCACAUUUUAUCUUUCACUUUUUAUAUUACUACAUACAUCUUUCUCACUUCUUAUCAUUUUUACCUUUCCUUUUAUAUAUCACUCCUACCUUCUUCCUAUUCUACACCACUAUUGAUGGUUGAUUCAUUUGAAGAGUGUACAUGAUUUGACGGCAAAUUUACCAACUUUGUGAGGAUUUGAGCCUAGGAGCAACCACUUUGCUGUAAUUAUUUUUGUUAUGUGAAUAUCAAUCUUAGUUUGUUUAUUCUAGAACUUGCUUUGUUAUGCAUGUUGAAGCCGCAUUACGGGAUUUUAUGCAUUAAAAUAAUAAGGGCAAACCACUUUCCAUUUUUCUAUUCCCCCAUUUUUCUUCUUUUUCUCCACCCGAAAACCUUUAUUAUCUUUGUUUGAGCCUUAAAUAAAUUCCCUUCUAAUUCUCUCUGUCUACUUAACCAUUUUUCUUCUUUUUGAGCCUCAAUUUAAAGAGAUUUUUGGACUCAUUGUGUGGAUAUAUUUUGUAUAUAUUUUGUUGCUUUUUCUACCUUGUAUUAAAGUUUCUCAAUUAGAUCAACAAGCAUUAUGCUUGAAUUAAAUUGUGCAAGGUUCAUUUCUUUUGUUUGAUUCAUAAAAAAAGAAAAGAAAAGAAAAGAAUCGCUAAAAAAAAAUGUUUACAUUCUUGGCGACUUGAGUAGAAAUAAGCGUUUUGAUAUCAUAAGGUUCAUUCAAUGAGUUCAUUCUUCUUAUUUUGAUCUCUUUUCAUUUAACCUAUUUAACCCCAUUGCACCAUUUUUAAGACCCUUAGAUUUUUGCAUUUUAUUCAUGUUUUGUGGAUUGAGAUGUGAUAUAUGAGCAAGCUUAUGGUAAUAGCAUUCUUUGAUUUGAUUUGAGUGCAUAAAUGAUACCCUAAACACUUUGAGUGCAUGGAGUGAAGUCAAUGAGAGGGCUAUUAAAUCUUGUUGCACUUGAAUUUUGAAUGGAUCUUCUUGGUGGUUGAAUGUUUUUCUUUUAUUCUACCUUAUGAGAUUCUAUGCUUUAAAAUCCUUAUCUCUCGAAUGUUGAUUGACUUAAAUUCUUGAGGUAUGCUUGCUUAAGAUUGUUUUUGGAUGAGUUGAGAUGAGAAUUGAGUGAAGAUUUGAGAUUAGCCAUGAGUUAUAUGCUUGAGGACAAGCAUAAUCUUGGUGUGGGGAAAUUUGUUAGAGUGCAAAUUAUGCACUAGUUUUGCAUUAUUUACUUCCCUUAAUACCGAUGUUUUGCACUUAAUAAUAGUGAUUUACUUGUGUUUUACUUUUGUAGGUGCAAUUCUAUUGAUUGGUGAUAAAAUUGAGCUACAAGAUGAUGUUUAAGGAUGAUUGUUCUCUUAGAGAAAUUAUGAGCAUCAGAACAAUUUUGUUGAUAAGGAGUGGGCGCGUGCUGUCAACUACGGACCUGCAGUUUUUAGUUUAACGUGUUUUGUAUUUUUGGUUAUUUUUGUAAUUACGAAUUUAAUAUUUCAGAUAGUAAUAUUUUAUUUUAAAAAGAACUCUAGAGGAGAGGAGAGAUAGAGUAUUUAAGGGAGGAAUCUAUUGUGAAAAAGACUGAUUUUGGAGAAAAGAAAGAAACCCUAGAUCUAAAUUUUUCUCUUCUAUCUAUGAAGAACUAAACCUAUUAUUCUGGUUGAAGGUUAAUGAAGCUUUGAUUCAUCACUACUGUGAGAUCUUUCUUAUGCUUUAAUUGUUUUAUUGCUUUUUUGGUAUUUGUUUAUUCUCUGAAUUAUUUUCAUGAUUAUGUUUGUUAACUAGGUAAUUGGCCACUAUUUAAUUAUCAACUUAAUCUAUUAUCAAUUAAAGGAUUCAUCGUAUGAAGAAUUUAAUGUUUGUGACAAAUAACAUAGCAGUGAGAAUAAAUAAUCUAAUUUAAAUUAACCAUCGUAUGCGUUUGUUAAUUAGGAUUUGGGUCUCUUUGGUUUUUCAUGCUGUCAAUUGAUUAAAUCUUAUGAUUGUAUCUAGGGUUGUCUAUUGAUUAGGAAAAUAACCAACGGUCGUACCUUGGUUAUCGACUAGUUAAGGAGAGAUUGGCUAUUAGAGGGUCUCAGUAGCUAUAACCGGUCUAUUCAUAAGUAGUAAUGAUUUAUAUUUGAAUCAAUGAUCAGUAGUCGAAUCAAGCUGAGUUAAUUUCUUCAACCAGAGCUUUCUCCAAUUUGAAUUAAAAUUUUAAUUUGCACUCUUGUUAUUUUAAUUUGAUUUUUAUCAUUAUCAACAAAUCUCCCAUUUUUCAUUUUACAUUUUAAAAGGAUUUAAAUAAUUACCGAUCUCUGUGGACACGACCCUGCUCAAUCACUACACACAAUUUAUUUAGAGCAGGUAUUUAUUUUUGCUGGCUUCGACAACCAUCAGUAAAGAAUCAUUGGAUAAUAUCUUACAAUCUCUUGAGAUGCAUCGAAGCGGAUAUGUGCAACGUGAGAUUCAUAAUUUGUGGAUACUAUUCCAAAUAGAAAUUGCACAGUUUAGUCUUGGGAAUCUGACUAAAAAAGACCUUGUUCGUCAGUUUUUAAGAAAAUUGGAUGGGAAGUCUAUCCUCGACCCAUAGAGGGCGUUUAAGUUGUUAUUAGACGUAAAACCAGAGGAAGAUGUGAGCCGCAAUCACAACUAUCAGUAAAUAUCCUUUUAUUUUGUUGUUCUUUUAUCAUUUGCAUUAUUGCACUUAGUGGUGUGAUUUUGUAUUUAAUAAUAUUUGUUUUCUUUUACUAUUUACUUUUUCUAAUCAUUAUUUUCUUUUUCUUUUUAUUAUUUGCUUUUAAAUUAUUGAGCCACGAGCUUUACUCGUCAUUUGACAAAUAUGCCAACCCAUUUACAAUUGUUUCCCAUUAUUUUUGUCACUAAGAUCUUUAAAUAUGAGCUUGUUUUUCAAACACUCACAACUUGUUUUUGAAAGAUUAUUCCAAUAGCAGUAUCUUCGAGUAAACAAUUCAAAAAUAUUUGUGUGUUUCCUGGGUUUCACUAUGGAAAGUAUAAAGAGUUUGUUCAGGCAGUUGUAGAUCUUGGUCGUCUCAUAGCAGAGAGGAAACUGCAUCUUGUAUAUAGAGGAGACGAACGAGGGUUAUCAAGACUUAUCUCAGAAGUUGUUUUUACUAGAGGAAGCCAAGUACUAGGCAUUAUUCCAAAAGCCAUUAAACCUCUAAUAUGCAUGUCUGGCCCACCAAUUGGAGAAGAAUUAGUGGUAUCAAGUAUGCAAGAGAGAAUAUCUAAAAUACUAAAUCAUGCUGAUACUUUUAUUUUCUUGACAGGAGAUCUUGUAACUUUUAAGGCACUGAUUACAUUUGCAUCUUGGGCCCACUUGAACAUUCAUAAAAAACUCAUCGAUUUAUUAAAUGUUAAUAAUUUUUAUGAUGGCUUACUAACUUUUAUUAACCAUGCAAUAAAGAAUCAUUUUGUUCCACACUCUAUAAAAAAAACUCUUUAUCUCUACUUCUACUGCUAAUGAGUUACUUGAUCUUUUACAAACUUAUACACCAAAACCAGAUCCCAAGACUUUUAUGCUGGAUUGGUCGACUGAUGAUGGUAGCAGUAGCAAUAAUAAGAAGUGCAAAUUAGAUUUAACUCUCUGUCGGUAAAUAUUUUCUAUUGCAAUGUUCAUGUGUUGUCUUCUAAAUUCUUCUUCUUUCCUUUUAAAAUAUUGAAGAUAAUGUCUCUUUCAGGUUGGGGGGAGGGAAUAGUUGAUAAUUGUUGAAUGUCUUAAUUCUGGUGAUAUUUUUACAAAAAAAAUUCUGUAAAAACUAACUUUGGACUAAAUUUAAGUCGAAGAUGGGUGGAUAUGGAGAGUGCAGUACCUCUAGAAACACAUUUUCUUAAUCUUAGAGUUUUAUUAAAAAAAAAUUGACUUUUUCUUGUUCUUUGUUAUUUGCUUUUAAGCUUCUGCAUCGAGUUCAUGUGAGAUCUCUUACUCUUCUUCUUUAUUGUUAUUUUUUUCUCUUUUAUUAUGCAUAUCUGUAAAAUUAUAAAAUGUUAAGAUAAUGUUUAGAUUAGGUUGGGGGGUGGGGAUAGUUGACGCAUGUUUUUAAAUAUGUGUGUUUGUUUUUCUCUUUUCUUUUCUUUUUUUUUAAAAAAACCCAAAAAAACAACAUUUUUUUUGUCUAGGAUGGCUGUGUAAAGAGUCACGACUUUUGAGACGCAUCCUAAUAGUCCUGUUAUAUUAUAUUUUGAUUUUAAAAUUCAUAGUAAGUUGUUUUUGUUCCCUUUUCUUUGAAUUACUCAAAUUUAUAAACUCUCCAAUUUGUUAUUAAGUUAUUUAAUUGUUACUCAUUUAACAGGUAUUAUUGAAUAAUUCUUCAUACACACACACUAUGACACAUACUAGUGGGUUGUAAGUUAAAAUUUUUACAGUAUUUAGUUCUUUGAUUUAUUAGGAAUAAUAUCUAAGGUAGUAGAAAGUGUAUAUUUUCAAAAAACAAAAAAAAAACUAAAAAACCUAAAAAAUGAGAGAAAAAAAAUGAAUGUUUUUAAUUUUGCUAUGUCUAGAACCCGAGUAAUUAAGUCCGUAGGGGUGUUUCAACACCUAGUGCCCUAAGGUCAACUGAUCUGGAAGUUACUGGCCUAAAACUCGCUACAUGAGUAAUAGAUAUAUUGUUUGAUUAUUAGAAACCCGAGUAAUUAAGUCCAUAGGGGUGUAUCAACAACGAGUGCCCUAAGACCAACUGGUCUGGGAGUCACUGGCCUAAAGCUCACUACAUGGGUAAAAAAUGUAAUAUUUUUAAUUUAUAUGUGUGAAUAAUCUACUGCCUAAAGAUAUAAUUUCUAAUGAAUUUUAGAACAAAAAUGUUGUUUUUCUUUUAAUGGAGCCCCAUAAGUAUUGUGUUAAUUACUUGAGAACAAAAGAAGGUUUGAUAAUAUUCUGGAUAAUGAGUGAACAUCAAAGAGGUAAAAAAAAUUGGGAGAGUUUAUUUAUUUGGCAGUUUAAAGGAUAGAUGAACAACUAUUAACUUGCAUGUGAAUUUUGUAAAUCUUAAUUUAAUAUAACGCUUUAAUUGCUAGGGGCUAGUAAUAAGCUAGUUGGGGGAUGUGAUUAGUAUUAAAAAUUGUUUAAUUAUCAAGCGAUAAUAAUAUUAUUUUGUGCUUAUGUUAUAAUUUAUAUUUGUGUUUAUGCAAUAGAUUAUGAAUUAUUAAUUAUGUAUUAAAUAUAUCCAAUUUUGUGUAUUUUUGUGUGUUUAUUAGGUAAAAUAUUAAUUCCACAUAAUUCGAGACUCCAAACAGAUAAACGGAUGUCAAAUUUAGAUUCUGGAGGUCCGAAAAUCUUAAAAUCAGUCAAGAUCGGCUUAAAAUUAGGCUUGUGUAAAAGAGUUGACUUUUUUUUGUUGACCGAGCACUGAUUGGAUGAUGAAAUGAGCGUACAAUAGAUAUGAGUGCAUGGGAUAGCUGGCAAUUUUGACUAAAUCUCAACCGUUCAUGAUUCAAUGGCCAUGAUUGUGCCAUGUGGCAAUGGUUGGUGAAGCAAGUUGUGGGUCCGAAUCUUUGUAUUCGGGUCAACCUGAUCCACCCAUUAACCCGCCAAAUCUCAAUUGUUCUUUUGCUAAAUCAGACGAGUCAAAUGAUGCCACAUGUGAUGUUGACUUUGGAAGUUUGACCAGCCGUUGGAUCUUGAUCUAACGGUUUCUAAGAGCGCAUGCAUGAAGCUUAUGAGGGACCGCAAAGCACUGGAUUAUUAAUUUACUUUUCUAUAAAUAUAGCCUCAUUUUUAUGUUUUUAAUCAUCUCUCUACAUCUCUCUUCUUCUCAAUUUCUCUCCAUCUCCCUAUAAUCUUGAUUUUCAUGUGUGUUUUUAAUAUUUUGUAUAAUUAUUUUUAUAAAUAAAUUUAGUUUUAUUUUCAAUUUAGUUGCCUUUAUUACUUUUAAUUAUAAGUAAUUUAAUUUUAAUAAUUCUUUUUAUUUCAAUUAUGCUUAACUAAAUAAUAAUAAUUAGGGUAAGGUAAAACUCUUAGGAAAUAAAUAUAAUUUAAUGAAAUUCUAUUUUUAAUUUUAUAAAUUAAAUUAUUUUCUGUUUAAUUUUAUACAUAUUUUAUAUUUUGAAAUUUUGAUUUAUUGUAGACAAAUAAGGGAGUUUCACAAUAAAUUCUUAAUAUCUUAAUAUAAGGUAUGUAAAAUGGUAUUUUAACUUAUUCUGGACAAAUUAAAUUUUGGCACAAUAAAUACUUAAUCCAUCAUAAAAUUAAAGGAAAAAUAAUAAUAAUUUAUAUAAUUAAUCUUUAUCUAAAAAAAUGGCAAAAAGAAUUUAUGAAGUUUUAUUUACUACUAAAGUGGAUUCACAACCCUAACUAAUUCAAUUUCAUAGUUUUAUUUAAAUUAAGUUGUUUAUAUUUGAGUUUUAUUUUUAAUUUUUAGAUAAAAUAAAAUAAACAAAUUAAAUCUUUUCUCUGUGGAUCGACCUCGCACUUACCGAGCUAUAAUACAACAAGACGCUCUUAUACUUGGGAGUUAAAAAUUACUUUUAAGUUGUGUCAAUAUCCAAGAGACUUUCUUUAUUAAAGUGCCUUGAGGAUUGAGGUAUGUCAUUUUCAAUAUAUUUGUGCCAGAAUUCAGCAGCUGUAUGCCCUAAUUUGAAGCAAAUUUGAGAGAUAGGCACUAAUUUAUCACCAUUUGAAGUUUGUGGUUAAAUAGCAGACAUAUUGCCACUACUAAUAAGAUUAGCGCCAAAUGAAUUCUUUCCAAACUGAGCAGACUUGUUACUUCCCAUUAUACGACCUCUUUCAAAAUUACCAAAAGUACUAGUACUAGGGGGAAAACCUCUUGGAUAAGACUAAAAAACAUGCCUUUGCCAAUUUUUUUUUUUUUUUUUUUUUUUGGGUACAAAAAGGCUUAGCCAAGCUAAGAAAUUACAAAUCAGGAAAUUCUCGUCCCGUACAUAUCAUAAGAAAGCUAGGGACCAAGUUCUGGUGGGGGUUCCUGAAAAACAUGAAAUCCAAGAGGCAAAGAUAUUGCAUUCCCAGCUAAAAAAUCAAUUGCAAAGUUGGCUUCGUGACAGAUAUGUCGAAAGGAUACGUGUAAUCCUUCAUGAGAAGAUUCUUGAUCGAAUUUAUCAAAGGGGUGUGCACAUUCGGGCUCUGACCUCUAGACUCCAUCAUAUGCAGUAUGCAAAGGCUAUCAACCUUUGCCCCUAAAAAUCUAAUGCCGUAAUUCCACGCAAGAUUAAGACCUUGGUAUAGCCCCCAAAUUUCUGCUAUACUAAUGGGACAAGAUCCAAUAUUCAUCCCAAAGCCCCGAAUCCAAUUUCCAUUUGCGUCACGAAUUAAGCCACCUACAUUAGCUUUUCCAUUAAUUUCUCUUGUUCCAUCUAGGGGUUGUCCAGCCAAUACCAACUGACACAAUGUCUCUGUUGUAUAUUAGCCUUAAAAUCUGUUGUAUCUCAUGCACCCAUGCUCUGAUAUCCGACACUACAUGAAGGCUGCAUGGGGUUGGCAAAAAGAAACUGAUUCCUCUAAUGCCAAAUUUUCCAUACAGUGAUCUCAGAAACCAAGGACCAGCUAUCUCUCAUCUCCACACUCUCCCACAUAGAAAUGUUGUUAAAGAGCCAUUCUUUUAAGUAAUAGGAAGCAAGGAACUCCAUACCCAUUUGGCCAAAAUGCAGUCACGGAGUGUGUGCAAAAUAGUCUCCGUGUCAGCUCUGCAGAUAUCACAAACAGAAUUACUAUAAAUGUGCCUCCUAAAAAGUUCCACAUUUGUCUUGAUUUUUUCAUGCAUUAAGAGCCAAAUAAAUACCCUUACUCGUUGUGGGCCUUUCCAACUCCAGAUAAGCUGCCAAUCAUUUUUAUCCCCAUAAAAGACUUGGUCACUGAUAGAUUAAUAGGCUAAUUUUGUAGUAAAAUUGCCAUUACGUGAAAAACCCCAGAAUGAUUCGUCUUCACCUUCUAAGCUAGAUGGGGGUUUAACCACUGCAAGUUGGAGGAUAUGUUUAUUAGAUAAAAGGUAGCCAAAAACAUCCCAUCGUAAUAACCUGUCUAGGUUAACCAUGCCAGCUGCACACAUGUUUGCCAUCCCUAAAGGAAUUUAUUGUACGUGAGAUCCAAGAUUACAAACCUCAGGCACCCAAUUAUCCUUCUAGAAACUAACACUUUUCUUGUUCCCUAUGGCCCAUUUAAUGCCCUUCACAACAUGGGGCCAAACAUUACAAACUAACUGCCCUCUACAAAUGGGAACCAUGUUUAAAUUUUAAAUUAGUUCGAAUUCUAUAGAAGUGUAAACCAUACUUAGUUCGAGGAACUCUAAUCCAUAAACUUUAGGGUGAAGCAACUUUAUCCCAAUCAAUUUUCAUUAACAGGGUAGUGUUCAUGUGCAAGAGAUUUUUCAAGCCAAGGCCCCCUCGGUCUUUAAAAUUGGCAAAUUGUUUACCAAUUAAUCAGGCUUAUCUUACGCUCAUUGGCAACACCACUCCAAAUAAAUCUUCGACAAAUUUUGUCAACCCUUGUAUGAACACCCUCGAGGAGUCGAGUAGUUUGCAUAUCAUAGGUGUGUUAAGGAAGCUCAUACUUGCAAUGUGGUCAGUAGAGCAAAGGAUCACUGUAGCAGCAACAACAUAGCAGAGCAGAGGAUCACAACAGCAGUAACAUUCAGUUACAAAUUGAUGAUGUGGCUUGCCGGCUGGCACCUAGUGAUUAUGUAAUCGAUUGUGCAUGUAUUAACUAGAAGUAGUUAAUUAGUUAUAGUUAGUUACAAAAAUUUGAGCUGAGCUUCAUCUUUUUAUAUAAAGGAACCUCUUGUACAUAUCAGUGUGUGUGGUUAAUAAAAAUGAUGUUCUGGAGAAUUCUCAGAUCCAGUUCUUAUUUUCUUUCAAUUUUCUCACUAGUUUCUCAGUUGCCAAACAAUGUGUUCAUUUUUUAACUUGGUAUUAGAGCUAGUUGCAAUGGCCUCAAUACAUCUAGCUUCUCCUUCUCAAACGCUAGUCAAUCACACAGCUGUUAACUCAACAAAUGUGACAUUUACUUUCAAUGCUCCCGUUAAGCUAGAUCAGUCCAAUUAUUUGAUCUGGCGAUCUCAAAUUCUUGCCUCGAUACGUGGCAAUAGACUUCAAAAAUUCAUUGAUGAUUCCAUCACUUCACCUCCUUCACACAUUGCUCAAAGGAUUAGUGAUGAUCUAAAAUCAAUAGAGAAUCCAGACUUUGUGAUUUGGAGAUCACAAGAUCAUGUGCUUCUUAGCUGGCUACUCUCUUCAAUAAGUAAAGGUAUUAUUAGUCUGGUCUUUAAUCUAAAGACUUCUCGUGAGGUAUGGAAAGCUAUUGAAGUUCAGCUUGGAUCACAAUCUAAAUCCAGGCUUUUGCAUUCAAGAUACAUGAUGAACUCAAUUAGGAAAGAUGAUCUAAAAUUACUGAUUACUUUAUUAAGAUGAAAAACAUAGUUGAUAAUAUGGCUGCAGCAGGGAGUGCUUUAAGUUAUAAUGAUUUAAUCCUGCAUAUACUCUAUGGCUUAAGUCUAGAAUAUAAUUCUAUUAUUACCUAUAUCACUGGACAAGUAGGUGUGAGAAAGAUGAAUGUGAAUGAAGCUUAUGUUUUGCUCUUGACUCAAGAUGCCAGGAUUGAACAACAAACUCAUAUGUUAGUUGGUAUAGAUGUGAAACAAAUUUUGAAGCUAAUCUUGCUCACAACACAGGAUAUAAAAGAGGAAAUAUGUCAAAAGGUAAAAGUUUUAGGGGCUUUGGAUAUAAUUCUGGCUAUGGAAAUAAUAGAAACACUAAUAAUGGUAGCUACAAGGGAGGUUAUGGAGGUUUUGGAUUUACUGCUAAUAGUAGAAAUGUUUAUGGCAUCAAUCUGUUAGCCUAUAUGGCUAUAAAUAUUGAUUUUGAUGAUAACAAACCACAUGUAAUUAUUAAGCAAAGAUUUAUGAAUUGUGCUUUUAUAAUAAGAAAAUGAUGUUAUGGAAUUAAAGUAUUUUGAACUAAAAUGAAAGUAUUUUUAAAAUCUUUGAUAGUGCUUUUUAAAUUUUGGAUUUGGACCUAUUUGAAACUAUUUAAAUGUUUUUGAGCCAUUCUUUAAUUUCACAAAGUUUGGGCAAAGUCAUAAUUUCAGAAAGUUGUGGGAUUGACAAAGCAUUAUUCUAAAAUUCUGAAAUUGGGCCUUUUUGCAAACUUUCAUAACGUUUUGGGCCACACUACAAUUUUAUAAAGUUUUGGGAUCAAACUGUAAAUUUAGGAAAUUUUUCACUGUGACAGUUAUUGUAGCAAGUGGCAAUCCAGAUUCUGACAAACGGAAGUCCGAAUUUUAGGCAGAAUCUAUCCGAAUUGAAAGCGGAAAUCCGGAUCCUGACAAACAGAAAUCCGGUUGUUGGGCAGUAAACUACUGAGCAUAAGCAGAAAUUCAGAUGUGACAAAGCGACAAUCCAGAUGUUCAGAAAUUCAAAAUUGUGGCUGUAACGGUAACAUUAAGUGGAAUUCUAGAUGUCCAUAACCGGUAAUCCGGUUACGACCAAAAUGUGCAUAACGGCUAAUUUUUGAGCUCAAACUAUAAGAACUCAAAUCCAACUCAUUUUCAAUCUCUCCAACAAGCAAAAACAAAAAGCACACGUGAUAUCUUGAGCCUUCAAACUUGCGAAAUACAAACAUUGAAUCUUUUCUUGUUCUUCAUUUUUGAAUAUCUACUCAUUGAGUGAGUUUCAUUGUAACCUUCAUUUAUUCAUCUCAAUUGUAAGAGUUUGAGUGUGUGAGACACUUGAGUGAAGAGAUUGGGAGAUAAUCUCUUUGUCGUAAAGGUUUAUUGACACCUCGAAGUCAAUUGUAAUCGUUGAAGCCUUGGAAAGGCUUGGAUCGUGGAAUCCUCAAGCUUGGAUCGCUUGGAGGCGUGGACGUAGGCGGGGAUUGCCGAACCACGUAAAAAUUUGUGUGUUUGUUUCUCUUCUCCCUUACUCUUUAAUUAUUGUGCCUUUAUUAAACUUAUUGCUUUCAAUUUUUAUUAAGGCAUUAGAUUGCUUGUUGUGUGGAUUUGCUAGGAUAAUUUUUAAAUUUCCAAUUCACCCCCCUCUUGGGUUGCACACUUAUAUUUCAUUUGGUAUCAGAGCGAGGUGCUCUUAUUUAGAUUUAACCAUCUAGAGCUAAAGAUCAAUGGCAACUCAAAAUGAUUCCACAUUUAGGGAAGGGCAGUCCACCACUAGACCACCUUACUUUGAUGAAAACGAUUACCCAUAUUAGAAAAUUAGGAUGAGAAUUUACUUGCAAGCCUUAGAUUAUGAGAUUUGGGAAAUCGUUAAUGAUGGUCCUUUCAUGCCUUUGACUAAAAAUGAAGUAGGAAAAGAUAUUCCAAAACCUUCACGGGAUUGGAAUGAAUUUGAAAAGAGAAAAGCUUCUUUAAAUUCCAAGGCCAUGAAUGCCUUGUUUUGUGCACUAGAUAAGAAAGAGUUUCAUAGAGUGUCUAGUUGCGAAAGUGCUAAUGAAAUUUGGCACAAACUUGAGGUUGUCUAUGAAGGCACGAACCAAGUGAAAGAAUCUAAAAUAAGUAGGUACACUCGACAAUAUGAAUUGUUCCAAAUGGAACAAAAUGAAAAUGUGUACUCUAUGUAUACUAGAUUCACGGACAUAGUGAACACUCUAGGAGCCCUAGGAAAGACUUUUUCAAAUAGCGAAAAAGUCAAGAAAAUCAUUAGGUCUCUACCUAAGGAAUGGAGACAAAAAAGGACUGUCAUUGAGGAAGCCAAGGAUUUAAAUGUAUUACCUAUUGAUGAUUUAAUUGGCUCUCUCAUUUCAUAUGAAGAAGAUUUGGCAGCUGAAAAAGGGCAUGAGGAAAAGAAGAAAAAUAUUGCUCUCAAGGCUUCAAAACGUGAGAGUGAUGAGGAAAGCGAAAUGGAUGAUGAAGAGCUGGCUAUGUUGGCUAGAAGAUUCAGAAAAUUUUACAAAAAGAAUAAUGAGCAGAGAAAGUUCAGAGGCUACAAGAAUAAGAAGGAGAAGAAGGAGCCAAUCACGUGUUAUGAAUGCAAGAAGCCCGGACACAUAUGACUGGAAUGUCCUCUUCUCAACAAACUCAAGAAGAAAGCUAUGGUGGCCACAUGGGAUGAUAGCGAUGAGGAAACAAGUGACGAUGAUGAGCAACAAGAAAUGACAAAUUUAGCUCUCAUGGCCGUUGGGGAAGAAUCAUGUGAUGAACUUGAUGAGGUAAGUGUUCUUCCUACAUAUGAUGAAUUACAUGAUGCCUUUAAGGAUUUGCAUGAUGAGCUGAUGAAGAUUGGCAAAAAGAAUAUAUGCCUUAAAAAGAAGAUGAUAGAGCUUAAGAAUGAAAAUGAUUCAUUUAGUGCAAAGAUUAUAUGUCUAGAAUUAGAAAAUAAAACAUUGCAUGAUAAUAUUGCAUUAUUUGAGAAUUCUAGCACCUCACAUGAGCACUUAGAGUCACACAUGAAUGACUUGAAAAAUGAGAAUGAAAUGCUUAGAAAGAAGAGCAAUGAACUAAAUGAAAUUGUGCUAAAAUUCACAAAUGGACAAAAGAUGUUAGACAAUUUGCUAAACUCACAAAAAUGUGUAUUUGACAAAAGUGGCAUAGGUUAUAAACCGAAUUUGAAACAAAAUUUUACAAGAGCUAUUUUGUGAAGAAUACAUCUAUUAACAAUAAAAUUGUAUGUCAUUAUUGCAAUCAAGAUGGCCAUAUGAAAAAUAGAUGGACAAUGAAGAGAAAUGCAUAUUAUGGUGUGAAAUGUGUUUGGAUUCCGAAAGGAACCAUUGCUAACUCUCAAGGACCCAAAAAGGUUUGGGUACCUAAAACUUGAAAUUUUUUUUAGGGCUCAAAGAAGAAGAAGAAUAAGUGGUACUUGGACAGCGGUUGUUCAAGACACAUGACAGGGAAUUAUUCUUGGUUUUCAAGCUUUACCAAGAUCGAAAAUGGUGGAGAUGUAUCGUUUGGGGAUAAUUCAAAAGGAAAAAUCAUUGAAAUUGGAAAUGUCGGUAAUGCAUCCUCUACUCUCAUUGAGAAUGUGUGUUUGGUUGAAAACUUGAAACACAAUUUACUUAGUAUUAGUCAAUUAUGUGAUAAAUGAUAUAGAGUUAUCUUUGAUGAAUCAAAAUGUGUUAUUGAGAAUGCAUGUGAUGGAAAAGUCUUGUUUGUAGGAAAUAGAUGUGUUAAUGUCUAUACCAUUAAUAUAGAUUGUGCAUCAAAACAUGAUAAAUGUCUCUCUGCAAUGCAUGAUGAUGGCUGGUUGUGGCAUAGAAGAUUAAGUCAUGCAAGCAUGGAUUUGAUUUCAAAAAUCGUGAAAAAUGAUUUAGUAAAAGAUAUUCCAAAAAUUAGUUUUCAAAAAGAUAAAACUUGUGAAGCAUGCCAAUUUGGAAACAAAUCAAAACUUCCUUUAAAAGCAAGAAUCAUGUCUCUACUUUAAAACCACUUCAAUUGCUUCAUAUAGAUUUGUUUGGACCUUCUAGACAUGCUAGUUUAAGUGGCAAAUUUUAUGCAUUUGUAAUUGUGGAUGAUUACUCUAGAUACACAUGGGUAUUGUUCUUAGCUAAUAAGGAUGAUGCCAUUGAUGCAUUUCGAAUUUUCUUUAAAAUGGUUCAAAAUGAAAAAGGCUAUUCUAUUACUUGUAUUAAAAGUGAUCAUGGUGGAGAAUUUGAAAAUCAUGCAUUUGAAAAUUUUUGUAAUGACCUUGGCAUUGAACAUCAAUUUUCAUCACCUAGGACUCCACAACAAAAUGGAGUAGUAAAGAGAAAGAAUAGGUCCAUUCAAGAAAUGGCUGGGACUAUGUUGAAUAAAAACUCUUUGCCUAAGUAUUUUUGGGCCGAAGCCGUCAACACCGCUUGUUAUGUUUUAAAUCGGGUGUUGAUUAGAGCUAAUCUUAAUAAAACUCCAUAUGAGCUUUGGAAAGAUAGAAAACCCAACAUUGGCUAUUUUAAAGUUUUUGGAUGUAAAUGUUUUGUUUUGAACACAAAAGAUAAUCUUGGUAAAUUUGAUCCAAAAUCUGAUGUUGGCAUUUUUCUUGGUUAUUCAAAUUCAAGCAAAACUUAUAGAGUUUAUAAUAAAAGAACUUUAGUUGUGGAAGAAUCUAUGCAUGUUACAUUUGAUGAGUCUAACUCCUCCUCUACGGAGAAAGUUGUUAUUGAUGAUAAUGCAGAAGAACAACAACAAGAAAAAGCAUCGAAUGACAACCAAGAAGACGCACCACGUGGAAUUCAAGAGGAACAUCAUGAAGAAACAAAUGCAGAGCAAAAUGAAGGUACUUCACAAAUACUCCCCAUGGAGUGGAGGUAUGUAUCCUCUCACCCUAAUGAUGUAAUUUUAGGAGAUCCCUCACAAGGUGUUACCAUUAGGUCAUCUCUUAGGAACACAUGUGAGCAUGCCGCAUUUAUUUCUCAAAUUGAACCAAAAUCCUUUGCGGAUGCGGAAAAUGAUAAAUCUUGGAUUAUGGCAAUGCAAGAGGAGUUGAAUCAAUUUGAGAGAAACAAUGUGUGGGAAUUAGUUCCUAAUCCAGAACAUCAAUCCAUUAUAGGUACUAAAUGGGUAUUUAGAAACAAAAUGGAUGAAUCUGGUGUGGUUGUAAGAAAUAAAGCUAGAUUAGUGGCUCAAGGUUACAACCAAGAAGAAGGAAUUGAUUUUAAUGAAACCUUUGCACCUGUAGGAAGGUUAGAAUCCAUUAGGAUGUUGUUAGCAUAUGCAUGUCGUAAGGAUUUUAUUUUAUAUCAAAUAGAUGUCAAGAGUGCUUUCCUAAAUGGAUAUAUUAUGGAGGAAGUUUAUGUGAAACAACCUCCUGGUUUUGAAAAUGAAAAAUUUCCAAAUCAUAUGUAUAAGUUAUCCAAGGCUUUGUAUGGUUUAAAAUAAGCACCUAGAGCUUGGUAUGAUAGGCUUAAAAACUUCUUGUUGGAUAAUGAUUUUUCGAUGGGAAAAGCGGACACAACUCUAUUUGUUAAGCAUAAGAACCAAGAUAUACUUAUUGUUCAAAUUUAUGUUGAUGAUAUUAUUUUUUGUUCUACUAAUGAGUUGUUAUGUAAAGAUUUUUCAUCAUGUAUGAGCCAAGAGUUUGAGAUGAGUAUGAUGGGAGAGUUGAAGUACUUCCUUGGACUUUAAAUCAAACAAAACGAGGAAGGAAUUUUCAUAAACCAAGCCAAGUACGUGAAAGAUCUACUCAAAAGAUUUGGCUAUGAUAAUGGAACGGCAAAAAGCACUCCUAUGAGUACUACUAUCAAGCUGGACAAAGAUGAGAAAGGUAAGGAAGUUGAUAUCAAGACAUAUCAAGGUAUGAUCGGAUCCUUACUCUACUUGACUGCUAGAAGGCCUGAUAUUAUGUUUAGUGUAUGCUUGUGUGCUAGAUUUCAAUCGUGUCCUAAAGAGUCUCACAUGCUUGCUGUCAAACGCAUUUUUCGAUAUUUAAUUGGCACCAUUAAUCUUGGCCUUUGGUAUCCUAGAGGAACUCAUAUUGAUUUAACUUGUUAUUCGGAUGCCGAUUUUGCUGGGUAUAAGGUUGAUAGAAAAAGUACUAGUGGAACAUGUCACUUCCUAGGCCAUUCUCUUAUCUCUUGGUUUAGUAAGAAACAAAACUCGGUUGCGCUUUCAACCACCGAGGCAGAAUAUAUUGCCGCAGGUAGUUGUUGUGCACAAAUUCUAUGGAUGAAACAAACCCUUAGAGACUAUGGUAUUAAGCUUGAUCAAAUUCCUAUUUUAUGUGACAAUACUAGUGCUAUAAAUCUUUCUAAGAAUCCUAUUCAACAUUCUAGGACUAAGCAUAUAGAAAUUAGACAUUAUUUCCUUAGAGACCAUGUUCAAAAAGGAGAUGUUGUAAUUAAAUUUGUUUCCAUUGAAAAUCAACUUGUGGAUAUCUUUACAAAACCUCUUAGCGAAGAGCUUUUUAUAAAGAUAAGACAUGAGCUUGGAAUGAUGAAUGUUGAAUCUUAAUUCAUGUUUUACUACAUGACUUGAUAUGGUUGUUAUCAUAUGAUUUUAUGCUUCAUGAAUUAGAUAGCAUGAUAUGCUUGUAAAUUUAUGAUUUUAUGAUUUUGUGUUUCAUGCAUUAAAUGACUUAUUGAAAAAUUUUAAAUCUCAAAAUGAUUUAAAAUUAAUCAAUUUUUUAAGGCCGGAAAUAAAAUGGUGUGUGUAGUACAAGUAUAAGAGCUAGCAAAUAUUCCCUUUCCACUCGUCCGGAAAACCAUUUUUUUUUAUUGAUUUCUCUCGGGACAAAUUUCGGAUAACUGGAUUUUCAAUCCGGAAAACCGGAUUAGCGUUGGUUGCUCUCGGGACAACAUUCAGAUAACCGGAUUUUCAAUCCGAAAAACCGGAUUUGCUAAGCCUCCUCUCUGCCUCAAAACCGGAUAACCGGUUCUUAAAAUCCGGAAAACCGAAUUCAAGAGGCAACUUUCUGCCUCAAACCGGACUAUCGGUUAUCAAAAUCGGAAAGCCGGUUUCGCGUGGAACCUUGCUGGAGCAAACCGGAUUUCCGGUUCAUCUCAUCCGACAAGCCGGUUUCGGAAGCUAUUUCAAUUGUUCUUCUUCCCUCUUCAAACGGAAAUCCGGUUCUUGCUCUCUCUCUAAAAAUCGGUUUCUCUCUUUCAUUUUUCACUCCAAAAUCCACCAUUUCUACUCGGUUUUGAUACAAAUCAAUCCAUAAAUCUUGAUCCCCAUCCGUUCUUAUACCUAAAAUCACACUCAAAACUCAUUCUCAACCUCCAAAUCCCUAGAUCCGAAUUUCAACCUAGGUUUUGGGCCGAUUUUUCUCUCUCUAGAUUUCUCACUCUCAAGCCAUUUUUUGAUCCAAUUUGUUUCUCCAAAUCACUUUCAAUCUUCAUCAUCUUCAUUCUCCUUAUCCUUUUCAAGCCCAAAUCAACCAAAUCACAAUGUCAAGCUCUCGGCCGGUUCGAAGAAAAGGCAAAGAACCGGUUCAACAAACCAACCGGCCACGGGAAGCAAAGGGCAUCACCAACCAAUCCAAUUUUGAGUCCACACAUUUUCAGAACAAGAAACAUCUAGCCAAACGUUUUCAUCAACAAUUCAUGACUCGUGAGGUACUCCAAACAUUUUUUGUUUUAUCGGAUUGUUUGAAUCAUCUUAGUAUUAGCAAUAGAACUUUAUUACAAUUGUUGGAAGAUGUUGGUUGGGUUAAUGCACUUGUUGUUGAGGAAAAUGUAUAUCCUGACUUGGUGAGAGUAUUUUACUCGAAUAUGGAUUGUUCCGCGGAGAAAGAGAAUCGAGUAAUCACCACAGUUGGAGGAGUUUUGAUUGAGUUUGAUGAUUCGGAGUUGAACUCCAUCCUAGGAUCUUCCGAUGAUGGCCUAGAAAUUUUUUCACUUAGGAAACCUCCUGACAUUGAUGACUAUGUUUAUAUUGAUGUUGUUAAGAAUAUAUGUCGUCGUGUCGACCUUUCCGAUGAAGAUUGUACUAUCCAUUUUCGCAACCUAUGUCUUUGUCUUCAAUCUCGGAUAUUACUUCGUUUUAUUCAGAGUAUUGUCCUUCCUAGAUCAGGCCAUUUGGAUGAGGUCUCUCAUAUGGAUGUCGCCUUGAUUGAUUGUAUUCUUAGACAUCGUCCAGUUGACUUAGGAUAUACCAUUGUCCGAAACAUGCUCAGUAUACCUAAGUUGAUUACCCGCUCCCUUCUAUAUGGUCAUUUCAUUACCCGAAUCCUGAAAUUUUUUGAUGUACCUAUUAAAGAACCAUUGUGUAGGCCGUCUAAGGGUAUCAGAGAUGAUGCUAUUCUCGGCUUAGGCUUUGAGUGGAAAAAUGGCACUUGGGUCAAAUACUCUGAAAACAAGUUUACCUUCCUUGCUCCAAGUGAUGAUCGGCCACUUAAUGUUGUGGUUCCAGCCGAUCAGCUACCCAUUUCCUCACUCUCAUUUCGGGGGCAGCGUAGACGCCGUGAUCCUCCCGUGAUUGCUUCAGAUCCUGUUGUCUCUGCAUCCGUUUCAUCACCUCCACGGCCUCCUACCUCUGGAGAUGUUACUCUUCAGCAACUUAUGGAUGAGGUGCGGACACUUUCGGUGCGGCAGACUGAGUUUCAGUAGGAGCAGCAGCAGCAGCGGCAGCUGCAGCAGUAGCUCAUUCAUGGACAGCGCCUCCUCUUUGAGCACUUCGGCAUUCCAUAUCCAUUUGCACCUCCAUCCUCACCACCUGAGUAGUAUCUUAUGCUUAUAUUUGGACACACCUACAUUUCAUUUACUAUAUUGUGUGUUCUUUUAUCUUCGACUCUAUGGAUGGUUAUUAUGAUUUUCGGUUUAUGGUUUUUGGAUGAUAUGGAUUUGUUGUGACUAUUUAUAUUGGAUAUUAUGGAUUUGUUUUGACUGAUCAUUAUGGAUUAUAUGGAUUUUCUUAUGCUUAUGGAUAUUUUUUUUCCUAAUGUGCUUAUGUUGCGAUUUUGAUCAUUGAUAGGGGGAGCUCUCAUUCUCUUAUUCUUUUAUUCUUUUUUAUGAUGAAGGGGGAGAAUGAUUUAAUAUGAUAAGUGUUAUAAAAAGUGUUAUGAAAAUAUGCAUGUAUCUAGGGGGAGUAUGCAUGUAUGCAGGGGGAGUUUUUGUUAAACAAUUUUCAAAUCAAUUUUUAACUUGCUUUGAUUAAGGGGGAGCUUUUCAUAACUAGAUUAAAUUUUUUUUAUGUGUUUUGUCAUCAUAAAAAAGGGGGAGAUUGUUAGCCUAUAUAGCUAUAAAUAUUGAUUUUGAUGAUAACAAACCACAUGUAAUUAUUAAGCAAAGAUUUAUGAAUUGUGCUUUUAUAAUAAGAAAAUGAUGUUAUGGAAUUAAAGUAUUUUGAACUAAAAUGAAAGUAUUUUUAAAAUCUUUGAUAGUGUUUUUUAAAUUUUGGAUUUAGACCUAUUUGAAACUAUUUAAAUGUUUUUGGGUCAUUUUUUAAUUUCACAAAGUUUGGGCAAAGUCAUAAUUUCAUAAAAUUGUGGGAUUGACAAAGCAUUAUUCUAAAAUUCUGAAAUUGGAUCUUUUUGCAAACGUUCAUAACAUUUUGGGCCACACUAUAAUUUUAUAAAGUUUUGGGGUCAAACUAUAAAUUUAGGAAAAUUUUCACUGUAGCAGUUACUGUAGCAAGCGGCAAUCCGGAUUUUGACAAACGGAAGCCCAAAUUUUAUGCAGAAUCUAUCCGAAUUGAAAGCGGAAAUCCGGAUCCUAACAAACGGAAAUCUGGUUGUUAGGCAGUAAGCUACUGAGCAUAAGCGGAAAUCCGGAUGUGACAAAGCGGCAAUCCGGAUGUUCAGAAAUUCAAAAUUGUGGCUGUAACGGUAACAUUAAGCGGAAUUUCAGAUGUCCAUAACCGGUAAUCCGGUUACAACCAAAAUGUGCAUAACGGCUAGUUUUUGAGUUCAAACUAUAAGAACUAAAAUCCAACUCAUUUUCAAUCUCUCCAACAAGCAAAAACAAAAAGCACAAGUGAUAUCUUGAGCCUUCAAACUUGCGAAAUACAAACAUUGAAUCUUUUCUUGUUCUUCAUUUUUGAAUAUUUUCUCAUUGAGUGGUUUCAUUGUAACCUUCAUUUAUUUAUCUCAAUUGUAAGAGUUUGAGUGUGUGAGACACUUGAGUGAAGAGAUUGGGAGAUAAUCUCUUUGUUGUAAAGGUUUAUUGACACCUCGAAGUCAAUUAUAAUCGUUGAAGCCUUGGAAAGGCUUGGAUAGUGGAAUCCUCAAGCUUGGAUAGUGGAAUCCUUAAGCUUGGAUCGCUUGGAGGCGUGGACGUAAGCGGGGAUUGCCAAACCACAUAAAAAUUUGUGUGUUUGUUUCUCUUCUCCCUUACUCUUUAAUUAUUGUGCCUUUAUUAAACUUAUUGCUUUCAAUUUUUAUUAAGGCAUUAGAUUGCUUGUUGUGUGGAUUUGCUAGGAUAAUUUUUAAAUUUUCAAUUCACCCCCCCUCUUGGGUUGCACACUUAUAUUUCACAAUCCUAUGUUCAAAGCCUAUCAAGUAGAUAAUCAAAAAGGUGGAGAAGGUAAUUGGAAUCAAAAUGUUGAAAAUUGUGGAUAUAAUAAUGACAUAUCAACUAGAAACACUAAGUCUCAGUGGAAUGCCUCUAAUCCAACAUGUCAAAUUUGUUUCAUAACAAGUCACAUUGCCAAUAUUUGUUGGAAACUUGAAAAGUUCACUGCAUUUGGAGCUCACAGACCACCACCAAAUAGAAAUCCAAAGUCUGCAUAUUUGGCUAAUAUGGAAGGGCCUUCUGAUGCCAAUUGGUAUCUAGAUAGUUGAACAACACACUACCUGACAAAUGAUAUAAAUAAUGUGCACAUCUCUGAAACCUUUGCAGGUACAUCUAAACUUGUUGUUGGCAAUGGUGUUGGAUUGAAUAUAACACAUAUAGGAAUCGCUGCAUUGAAAUUAUAUAAUUCUAAUGAUAAUACUUCUUAUACUUUUAAACUUAAUGAUAUACUUUUAGUACCGCAAGUUACCAAAAACCUUAUCAGCAUAUCUAAUCUUACAAAAGAUAAUGAUGUUGUGAUAGAAUUUACUGAUAAUUUUUGUUUUCUGAAGGACAAGGUGAAGAAUUUGAUCAUACUGCUGGGCAAGGUUAAAAAAGGUUUAUAUAGAUUGCAAUUGGUUCCAUCCAAUAAGACAUUGUCUCCAACCUCUAGUCAACGUUAUGUUAUUGAGUUUGUUUUACCAGGUGCUCCUCUUUCAAUGUUUUCAACUAUCAAUUCUACUAUUUCAAAUAACACCUCUUGCUUGCUUACUGCAGCAACCUCUUAUAGAAAGUCUAAGUGUUUAUUGAGCACAUCUGUAUUACAUCAAAGAUUGGGACAUCCAUCUUCUAAGAUAUUAAAUCAUGUUAAUCUCUUAAGCCUAUUAAUAAAAAUAAAAAAUUUGAUUUUUGUGAUACUUGUAAGUUGGGAAAAAUGCACAAACUUCAUUUUCUAGCUAUUGAUAUAAAAACAAAGUCUUCUUUGGAAAUAUUGAACACUAAUCUGUGAGACCAGCCCCUAUGAUUUCAUUACAAGGCUACAGAUAUUGUGUGAGCUUUGUAGAUGAUUUCACAAGAAUUACUUGGAUAUUUUCUUUAAAAACCAAAGAUGAAACACUUUCAGUCUUUAAAAUUUUCAAAACUCAAGUUGAAAAAGAACUAGACAAAUCCAUAAAGUGUCUUCAAUUCGACUGGGGUAGAGAAUUUAGAUCCUUUAUUAACUAUCUUCACACAAAGGGAAUCCACUUUAGACAUUCAUGUUAAUAUACUUACAACAAAAAUGGUAUAAUAGAUAGAAAACAUAGACACAUUAUUGAACUUGGUCUAACUUUACUUGCGCAAGCAAGUUUACAUAUCAAAUUCUAGUGGGAUUCUUUCCAUACACAACAUAUAGUAUAAACAUACUACCUAUCCAAGUUUUGUCAAUGAAAUCCCCUUAUGAAUCUAUCUUUCAUCUUCCUCUAGAUUACAAGUUUUUAAAAACAUUUGGAUGUUCAUGUUUUCAUUUCCUUAGAAACUACAGUCAAUACAAGUUUCACUUUAACACAUCAAAAUGCAUUUUCUUGGGGUACAGUCCUUUGUAUAAGGGUUACAUGUGUCUCCAUCCCUCUGGUAAAAUCUAUGUAACUAGCCAUGUUAUAUUAGAUGAAACCUCAUUUCCAUAUUCAUCAAUUUCAGUUCAUCUUCUCCAUCUCAAUCUUCUGAUUUUCAAUACAAUCUUCUUCAAUUGUAUACUAUUCUUGUUUCCAAUAAUAAUCAAAGCACCUUUAAAGUUGAUACAAUAUCUUCACCACAUUCUCACAACACAUCAUCUCAGUCUUUACCACCUACUACUUUCUCCCAGCCAACUAUACCUUCUUUCCAAACACAACUAGUGUUGUAACACUCCACUUUUAAAAAAAUGAUUUAUUUUGGAAAUAUUUAAAAACCUCGUUACUUGUUUAAUAUGAAUACGAAUUCAAAAAAACGUUUUACAUAGUAAACAAAACUUCUUUACAAAUAUAGGAGACAUGCAAAUAUUUCUCAAAAACUUUAUUAUUAUAAAAAGCUAAGAUAUUUAUUUUUGAUAGAACAAAGUUGAGCCCAUCUUAAAACCUAAGGUUUGUUAUACUUAUAUGCACCUCGCCUUGGUUGGGACUUGGCGUAAGCUUACCCUGCUCAUGGUUACCUGCAAUGUAAUGACUUUAUGAGCUAAUACCCAGUAAAUUAACACUUUGAUGCAUGUAUAAAUUAUUAUACAUAUAGAUAACCAUAUUAAUUUUUCAAAAGAAACUUAGAAAAUACAAAACAACUUUAUUAGGGACCUAGGUAUGUUGCAUUACAAGGCUAGCAUUCUUAUUCUUUAAAAUAACAUGCCCUUGAGCCUAAUUAGUUGAUCUUUUGGGUGUUACAUAUCGUCGUCCCCAAAAGAUUUAACUUUUACUAUGUUUAGAGGGCUUGCCCUCCUUCAGAACUUUGCCACCUGGUAGUACAACCACUCAUUUUUCAUAAAUUCAUUUUAUAAAACGUCUUCUUUAUAAAGUAAUCCAUGAAAUGGAUGCAUCUAAUGCAAAUGAUGUCAUAACAUUUGAAGUUUCUAGAUGUAGAACAGAAUCAACAUACAACCCUAUUUAAGAACAACAAUCUUUAAUAUAGGCAGCAGUGUCAUCUGUACAAAGAUUAAACAACAUGGGAUUAUAGUAUAGGUGGUAAAGCUGACCAUAGCAUAAUUAAGUAUUACAGAAUAAGCGGCAUAGCCGACCAUACAAGGCGUAAAUAAGAAAAUAUCAUAGCCGACCAUAUAAGGAUAAAUAAGAAAUUACUGUAAUAUAGGUAGCAUAGUCGUCCAUGUAAAAUUUAGAUCAUAACUAAUCACAUUAUAGUAGCUAUCACAAGAUAAAGAAUUAGUUAAAACUGAAGUUAAGUAUAAUAAGAAUUUUGCCCCUACAUUGCAGUUGAAGCGUUACUUACUUUUUAACCUUGACUUCUCUAUACCUUUUAAACUUGAGGAUUUCUCUACUCUUGAUAUUAUGACUUAGAAUAGAAGAGGCUUGAAUUUCCAGGGUUGUAUUGAAAAUGACAGGGCUAGAGGGUAUUUAUAGGAUUUCUUAAGGUUAAUGGAUUGUUAGAAUUUUGCCACCAUAACUCUUGAUUAAUGGUUGUGAUUAUUCUUCAUAAAUAUCUUACUAAAUUCUAGAUUUCCUAAUUAUCUCUACAAACUUCUCUUACAUCAUCACUUAUGUCAUUGUUUAUGUUAUCAUUACUUUAGAAUUAAAUUAUUAUUAUUAUUAUUAUUCAAGGGCUUGAUAGCUUAAAGUUAAUUAUAUUAUAUUCAAGUGAGAAAGUUGUAUCCCAUAAAUGCAGCUCUCUAUACCUCCAACUGAUGCACCAUCUUGCCUAUCGCCUACACAUUAUACAUCUUCUUUACAGCCUCUCACCUCUUCCUUUCAAAUUCAACCAACACUUUAAAGUCUUCAUCUCAGCCCAAACCAAUCCUCUCUACACAUAAAAUUAUUAUUAGAGCAAAGGCUGGAAUAUUCAAGGCAAAAGCCUACGUAACAUAUCACAAUAGCCUAGAACCAUCUACCGUCUUAGAGGCAUUGUCUGAUCGAAAAUGGAAAGCAAUAAUUCAGACUGAGUAUGAUGCUCUCAUUAAAGAUAAUACUUGGAAUCUUGUGCCUGUAGGCCCAUCUUAUAAACCGGUGGUAUGCAAAUGGGUGUUCAGAACCAAGUACAACACAAAUGGCUCAGUCUCUAAGUAUAAAGCUAGAUUGGUGGCCAAGGGAUUUUAUCAAACUGCAGGCGUUGAUUAUUUAGAAACCUUUAGUCUUGUAGUAAAGUCCUCGACAAUGAGAGUAAUUCUAAGUUUGGCUGUCAUGAAAGGUUGGAAGGUUAGACAAAUUAAUGUUAAUAAUGUUUUUUUAAAUGGGGAUUUAUCAGAGGAUGUGUAUAUGACUCAUCCUGAGGGUUUUGUUUCUAAAGAAGGCUAUAUAUGCAAGCUUAAUAACGCAUUAUAUGGAUUGAAACAAGUUCCAAGAGCAUGGUAUGAUCAACUGAAAAGUUAUCUUACCACUUGGCAAUUCAUUAAUUCUAAAGCUGACACUUCUCUAUUCUUCAAACAUGAUAUUAGAGGCAUGAUCAUUGUGUUAAUUUAUGUUGAUGACAUUUUGCUUACUGAUCCUGACUCAGCAUUACUUAAAGAUUUCAAUACUAAACUCAAUAAGGUCUUUGCUCUCAAGAAUCUGGGAUUACUAGCCUAUUUUCUAGAUGUGGAAGUUUGUUACACAACUCAUGGUAUGCAUCUCUUAUAGACAAAGUACAUUAAGGAUCUAUUGAGUAAAGCCUAAAUGCAGGAUUGCAAGGGUUCUGAUACACCUCUCAACACUGGUUUCAAACUGGAGAAAAAUGUUAAAGGACCUUUGGGGCAAGAAUUUGAAGAGGCAGCAUGUUGAGUGUUAGAAAAUGUAUAUUUAUAAACGAGAAAAUCAUCAUUUUACAUUUCACGUCUUACUAACAACCCUUACUUUUAUAUAUUUAAGCUUCUUGUAAUUUAAUUAUGUGUGUUUUAUUUUAAUUAAGUAUUUUAUGUAUUUUAGGGGUAUCAUGGUCAUUUCACAAUAAACGAGAGAUCAGACAGAAAACGGACAUCAUUUUUUAACUCAGGACGGUCGAAAACCUUAAGAGGAGCAUAAAAGGAAAAAUGGCACUGUUCACAUGUACGGUACUAUUCACGUGUACGGUACUGUCUACGUUACUGUUCACGACACUAUUCACAUAGACGGAUCGAUGAUGUGGUAUUGACCGAUGAUGUGGCAUUGACUGAUGAGAUGUCACGAUCCUAUUGGACUAAAAUUCUUAUGUACUAUUGAUGGUGACAUGGCAGCAUAUCAGUGGACCAAAAAUCUCGCAUACGGAAUAUGCAUCACACAGGAUUAUUUUCAACCAAACCGCGUCACUGUUCAACCCGGGUCAAACCGUGUUACUAUUCACUCACGUGGUCAAACCGCGUACUGUUGACUGAUGACGUGGCGCAAUCCUGAGCGUCCAAACUGUUUUUACUCUGAUGGCCAUGAUUUACUCAAUGUAUCUAUAAAAAUGGGGCCUCCCCCCCCCAAUUUGAUAUCUCUGAAUCCAUUUUUGGACUCCAUUUUCUGUAAUUCCUUCUCCAUCUUGUAUUUUCUACGUAUUUUAAUAAAUUUUUAUUUUGCCCCUAGUUCAAUUAUGAGUAGCUAAUUUUCUUUCAAGCUUGGGUUGAAGGUGAAGUCUCAACAUGUGUCAUGGGCUUUAUUUGGUAAAUUUAUUUUCUCUUCCCCUCUAGUUUUUGUGGAUGUUUUGACUUCUCGUCGACAAAUAAUAAUAAUCUUGUUUAGUACCGCCUUGGUUUCACCGGCUCCCUAAUACAAGGUUAUUAUUAUUUGGCACGAUAAGCCCUGAGCACCAUAUUGAUUAGAGCGUGGUUCAUGAGGUGUGGAUUCCCCCCUCAUGAUUUAAUUGGCAUUAAUAAGGACUAUUUAGCUCAUGAUGCAUGUUGAUACGGAUCCAGAUACCCAAGUACGUCAUCUCAAUAGAUUUCUCUUCAAUUUUUUCUUGCCAUUUCAAUUCCAAUUUUAGGAUAAUCCAAAUCAUUUUCACCACAAAUCCAACCACCCAUUUACAAAAUUAAUUCUACACACAAUUAAAAUCCAUCUCCUCGUGGGAUCGACACUCGUCACCAUUAGUCUAUUCUACAAUAGAUUCGUGCGCUUGCGAGUUCAAUAAAAUUUGCACAACAAGUUCUUGGCGCCGUUGCCGGGGAGGUAAGUAAUUUUAAUUCAUAGAAUUAAUUUUUGUGAAUAAUUCCAUUUAUUGUUUUCUUGUAUUUUUUUUCUUUAAAAAAAAUGAAAAAAGAAAAAAUGUGAAUCUACAUUUAAAGGUUAGUAUUUCUUUUCUUUUUCUCUUCUUUAAAAUUCUGUAAUUUAUUUUUCUUUGUAAAUUUUUUUUAGUUUAUCUUAUUAAUUUAUUUUUAGUUAAUUUAUUUCACGUAUUUAUUUUUGUGUAUUUUUAUAGAAAGGUUUUAAUAGCGUGAUAAGGUUAGUAACAUAAUUUCUCUUCUUUAUUUUUAUUUGUUUUGUUCCCAUUUAUCUUUGUGUUUCUUGCAUGCAUGGUCGUAGGUCAUUAUUACCUAAUCUUGAACCUAUAGACCUUGAACUAAAAAAAAACACUUCGCACACACAAGCAAGUUAAAAAUAAACUGGAUUUGCAUCCACAUGAGAGGCCAUUUAAGGACUACUUCAGUCCUUUAGCUAAUUUGAGCACAUCAUGCAUAAGAUACCCAAAUGUAGCUGCUGGGAGUUUUGAACUAAAACCUAGUGUGCUAAAUUGUCUCUCAACAUUCUAUGGCCUAGAAAAUGAGUACUCAUAUAAUCAUUUGAAUGAUUUUUAUGCUAUUUGUCAAACAUUUAAAUAUGAGAAUUUUUCAGAUGAUGAUGUUAAACUUAGACUAUUCCCAUUUUCUUUAAAGGAUAGAGCUCAUUCAUGGCUCAAUACAUUGCCUGCUAAUAGCAUUACAUCAUGGGAAUAAAUGGUUACAAAAUUUUUGAAUAAAUAUUUCCCAGUGCAUAAAACCAAUGCUAUUCGCAGGGAAAUUUCAGAGUUUACCCAGAGAGAAGAUGAGCAGUUUUUUGAAACAUGGGAGCGAUUCAAUGGGCUACUCUUGAAGUGUCCACAUCAUGGGUACGAGAAAUGGCACCAAUGCCAAGACUUUUUGGAGGAAUUAUUGCCGAAUGUGCAAGAAUGGCUAAUGGCAACAAGUGGAGGAGAGCUAAUGUCAAAAAGUGCAUCAGAGAUUUGGGAAUUCUUCUAGCGACAAGCAGAUAAUUCCCAACAACGGAGUCGAUCACUUAGGAACACUAGAAGAAUUAAGGGAGUAAAUGAGGUUUACAUUGGCGAGUCAACUUCAGAAAUCAAAGAAGUCAAGGAGAUGGUUGAAGGUCUCGCUCGACAAAUAGCAUCUUUAUCGACUGCUAAAUCAACAGAGGCACAUGACCAUGACUCAUACUCAAAUCAAGCCAAUGCCAUAGGUGUAACGAGAAAACCAUCGAAUUACAACCCAUACUCCAACACAUAUAACCCUGGAUGGAGAGAUCACCCCAAUUUUUCAUGGUCUCAAGGAUUCCAACAGAAUGGACCAGUAGCUCCAACUCCACCAAUGCAAUAAAUUCCUCAAGUUCCUCAAGCCUCUCAGCCACCAUUUAGACCAUAUAAUCAGAACCAGAACUACUCUCAACCCAGACCAUGGAAGGAUUCAUUCUAGAAUCUCAAGAAUCUUACUCACUUCACGAUUUAGCAAUAGAACCGCACCAUUGAUGGACUACGAAAUGAGUUGAGAGCAUGCUUCAACUCAUAAGCCUAAUCAGUUUCAAACCUCGAGAAAAUGGUGGGACAACUUGCUUCUUCAAUUCAGACCUUGGCAAUGACUGUUGAGAAAAGUAAAUUUCCAAGUCAACCAGUGCCUAAUCCUAAAGGAGUGCAUGAAGCAAGUACCAGUUUACCACAGCAGCAUGGAGAGGUCAAAACAGUCAUGACCUUGCAAAAAGGAAAAGAAGUCGAUAACAAAGUGGAGAUGCCGGUGACAAAAGAAAAUCAAAUUGUACAUGUGAGUGUUGAGGACUCAUCACCGGAGGAGAGAGAAGAAACCAAACCACGAGAAUACGUUCCGAAAGCUCCAUUUCCUCAGAGGUUAGCGAAAGUAAAGAAGGGAAAAUCCACAGGUGAGAUUCUCGAAAUCUUUAAAUAGGUAAGUGUUAACAUCCCUUUACUUGAUGCUAUAAAGCAAGUUUCAUCUUAUACCAAGUUUCUUAAAGACCUUUGUACUAAAAAGAGAAACAUUCAUGCUCAAAAGAAUGCCUUUUUAACAGAAAACGUUAGUUCUAUACUCCAACACAAAAUUCCUCUAAAAUGUAAAGACUCAGGCUCCCUCACUAUCUCAUGUAGCAUAGGGAACCACACAAUUGAGAAUACUUUGUUGGAUUUAGGAGCUAGUGUAAAUAUAUUGCCUUACUCAGUAUUUUUGAAACUUGGACUUGGAGAAUUAGACCCAACUCCAGUGGUGUACAGCUUGCAGAUCGGUCCACGAAAAUACCUCGUGGUAUUGUGGAGGACGUGCUUAUCCAGGUAGACAAGUUUUAUUUUCCUGUUGAUUUCAUUGUAAUUGACACUCAACCAAUAUAAGAUUCAAGGAAGCACAUCCCCAUUAUUCUAGGCAGACCUUUGAUGUCUGCUAUGGUCCAUCCUAAUGCUCCUUUGUGCUCUUUUAAAACAUCCAACAACUUAUCUUUUUGUUCGUCAUUUAAGGAUGAUGAGAUGAUUAUCGGUAAAGUGCUUUCUUCUCCUAAAAAUGCAUAUUCUAGAGUGUUGGGCAAUGGUUUGAGCUCGAGUUUCGGUGGUGAUUCUGAUGCUUACAAACAUGUUUAACUCACUUUGAUUUGGAUUUUGAUAUUGACAGAUCAGUCGAUGAGGUCAACGCCCUACUUGACUCAGCACCAUCUAUGGACACUAAUAAAUGAAAGUCAAGAGUUGAAUAACUAGCACCAUCAGAGAAAAAACGCAUCCCAUCAUCAGAAUCACCACCGAAACUCGAGCUCAAACCAUUGCCCAACACUCUAGAAUAUGCAUUUUUAGGAGAAGAAAGCACUUUACCGAUAAUCAUCUCAUCAUCCUUAAAUGACGAACAAAAAGAUAAGUUGUUGGAUGUUUUAAAAGAGCACAAAGGAGCAUUAGGAUGGACCAUAGCAGACAUCAAAGGUAUAAACCCAGUAGACUGCAUGCAUUACAUUCCUCGAUGAAAAAGCGAAAUCUACUAAGGAAAUGCAACGUCGGUUGUUGAGUGUUAGAAAAUGCAUAUUUAUAAAGGAGAAAACCGUCAUUUUACAUUUCAAGUCUUACUAACAACCCUUACUUUUAUGUAUUUAACCUUCUUGUGAUUUAAUUACAUGUGUUUUAUUUUAAUUAAGUAUUUUAUGUAUUUUAGGGGCAUCAUAGUCAUUUCACAAUAAACGAGAAAUCAGAUGGCAAAACGGACAUCACUUUUGAACUCAGGACGGUCGAAAACCUUAGGAGGAGCAUAAAAGGAAAAAUGGCACUGUUCACUUGUACGGUACUAUUCACGUGUACGGUAAUGUAUACGUUACUGUUCACGACACUGUUCACAUAGACGGACCGAUGACGUGGCAUUGACUGAUGAGGUGUCACGAUCCUAUUGGACUAAAAUUCUUAUAUACUGUUGAUGGUGACGUGGCAGCAUAUCAGUGGACGAAAAAUCUCGCAUACGGUGCAUGCAUCACACAGGAUUAUUUUCAACCAUACCGCGUUACUGUUCAUCCGGGUCAAACCUCGUUACUGUUCAAAGUCGGGUCAAACCGUGUUACUGUUCAUCCGCGUGGUCAAACCAUGGACUGUUGACUGAUGACGUGGCGCAAUCCUAAGCGUCCAAACUGUUUUUUUAAUCCGAUGGCCAUGAUUUACUCCAUGUAUCUAUAAAAAGGGGGCCUCUCCCCCCUAAUUUGAUAUCUCUGAAUCCAUUUUUGGGAUCCAUUUUCUGUAAUUCCCUCUCCAUCUUGUAUUUUCUUCGUAUUUUAAUAAAUUCUCAUUUUGCCCCUAGUUCAAUUAUGAGUGGCUAAUUUUCUUUCAAGCUUGGGUUGAAGGUGAAGUCUCAACAUGUGUCAUGGGCUUAAUUUGGUAAAUUUAUUUUCUCUUCCCCUCUAGUUUUUGUGGAUGUUUUGACUUCUCGUCGACAAAUAAUACUAACCUUGUCUAGUACCGCCUUGGUUUCACCGGCCCUCUAGUACAAGGUUAUUAUUAUUUGGCACGAUAAGCCCUUAGCACCAUAUUGAUUAGAGCGUGGUUCAUGAGGUGUGGAUUCCCCCCUCAUGAUUUAAUUGGCAUUAAUAAGGAUUAUUUAGCCCAUGAUGCAUGUUGAUACGGAUCCAAAUACCCAAGUACGUUAUUUCAAUAGAAUUCUCUUCAAUUUAUUCUCACCAUUUCAGUUCCAAAUUUAGAAUUUAUUCUCGCCAUUUUAAUUUAAGUUUUAGCAUAUUCCAAAUCAUUUCCACCAUAAAUCCAACAACCCAUUUACAAAAUUAAUUCUAUACACAAUUAAAAUCCACCUCCUCGUGGGAUCGACACUCGUCACCAUUAGUUUAUACUACAAUAGAUUCGUGCGCUUGCGAGUACAUUAAAAUUUGCACAACAAGUUUUUGGCGCCGUUGCCGGGGAGGUAAAUAAUUUUAAUUCAUAGAAUUAAUUUUUGUGAAUAAUUUCUUUUCUUUGUGAAUUAAUUUGCACAACAUCGGUUAAAUCCUAAUAUGAAAGAAGCUGUUAGAACUGAAGUCCUUAAGCUAUUAGACGUAGGUAUCAUUUACCCAAUUUUUUAUAGUUCAUGGGUCAGUCCUGUACAAGUUGUCUCUAAAAAGUCAGGAGUCGCAGUAGUUACCAAUGCUAAUAAUGAAUUGAUACCAACUAGAGUAACUACAGGAUGGCGUGUAUGCAUUGAUUAUAGAAAAUUGAAUUCUGUCACACGUAAAGAUAAUUUUCCUUUACCAUUUAUCGAUUAAAUGCUUGAUAGAUUAGCAGGCCAUGAAUUUUAUUGCUUUCUAAAUGGCUACUCAGGAUAUAAUCAGAUUCCCAUAACACCAAAAGAUCAAGAGAAAACUACUUUCACUUGCCCUUUGGCACUUUUGCAUAUAGGAGGAUGCCAUUUGGAUUAUGUAAUGCACCUGCUACAUUUCAACGAUGCAUGUUGAGCAUUUUUUCUGAUAUGGUUGAACGAUUCCUUGAAGUCUUUAUGGAUAAUUUUUCUGUCUUUGGUGACUCGUUUGAUCAAUGUUUACAUCAUCUGACACUAGUUCUGCAGAGAUGUAUCGAGAAGAACUUAGUCUUAAAUUGGGAGAAGUGCCAUUUUAUGGUAAAACAAGGUAUUGUUCUCGGUCACAUCAUUUCGAGCAAAGGUAUUGAGGUUGACAAAUCCAAGGUGGAUCUCAUUUCUAAUCUUCCUCCACCCAAAAUAGUCAGAGAAGUAAGAUAUUUCCUUGGACAUGCUGGUUUAUAUAGACGUUUCAUUAAAGAUUUUAGCAAAGUUUCUAGACCCUUAUGCAAUUUACUUGCUAAGGAUGUACCUUUUAUCGUUAAUGAUUCAUGUCUUGUGGCUUUUGAAAAAUUAAAGCAAUUAUUGACAUCAUCACCCAUCAUCCAGCCCCCAAAUUGGAGCUUACCAUUCGAGCUCAUGUGUGAUGCUUCUGAUUAUGCAGUAGGAGUAGUGUUAGGACAAAGAGUUGAUCGAAUUCUCCAUGUUAUUUAUUAUGCUAGUAUGACAUUGAAUGAUGCACAGUUGAACUAUUCAACUACUGAAAAAGAAAUGCUAGCAGUAGUGUUUGCAUUGGAAAAAUUUCGAUCUUACCUCAUUGGUUGUAAAAUAAUUGUGUUCACAGAUCAUGCUGCUCUUAAAUAUCUUCUCACGAAGAAAGAUGCAAAAGCUAGACUAAUUCAUUGGGUGUUACUUUUGUAGGAAUUCGACUUGAAAUUCAGAGAUAAGAAAGGCACAGAAAAUGUUGUGGCAAACCAUCUCUCUCGUCUCCAUUUUGACACAAUUACAGAGCCAUUAACAUUGAAUGAGUCAUUUCCAGAUGAACAGUUGAUGAGUGUGGAAGUAUUACCAUGGUAUGCUGAUAUCGUGAAUUAUCUUGUUACAUGUCAACUUCCAGAGCAUUGGACCAAGCAAGACAAGGCUAAAUUCUUUGCAGAGAUAAAGAAUUUCUUUUGGGAUGACCCGUAUUUGUUCAAGUAUUGUGCUGAUCAAAUUGUUAGACGAUGUGUCCCAGAAAAUGAAAUUCAGAAUAUUCUUUCAUUCUGCCAUGAACAAGCUUGUGGAGGCCAUUUCAGAGUUAAGAAAACAGCGACUAAAGUUUUACAAUGUGGUUUCUAUUGGCCAACUAUAUUUCGAGAUGCUUACACUUUCUGUUCUUCAUGUGAUAGGUGUCAACGAAUGGUAAGCAUUACACGAAGGAACAUGAUGCCACUAAAUCCAAUUUUAGUGGUUGAGAUUUUUGACGCAUGGGGUAUCGACUUCAUGGGAUCCUUUCCCCCGUCUUUUGGCCAUCAAUACAUAUUGGUUGCUGUUGACUACGUAUCGAAAUGGGUGGAAGCAAUUCCAUGUAGGACCAAUGAUCACAAGGUGGUGAUAGCAUUUUUGAAAAGCAACAUUGUUUCACGCUUUGGAUUCCCUCGAGCAAUAAUCAGUGAUGGUGGUGCCCACUUUUGUAACAAAGCAUUCAAAGCUCUUUUGACAAAGUAUUCAAUCACACACAAAGUGGACCCCGUAUCAUCCGCAAACCAGUGGCCAAGUUGAGAUCUCCAAUCGAGAAAUAAAGCACAUAUUAGAAAAGACGGUGAGGCCAGAUAGAAAAGAUUGGUCAUUAAGACUCGAUGAUGCAUUAUGGGCAUAUAGAGCGGCUUUCAAGACCCCGAUUGGGAUGUCACCCUACAGGCUAGUGUAUGGAAAAGCUUGCCACCUACCUGUGGAACUCGAGCAUCGUGCAUAUUGGGCCAUCAAGAAAUUCAACUUUGACAUGCAGCAAGCCAGCUCAGAAAGAAGAUUACAGCUGGCAGAACUUGAAGAAAUUCGCAAUGAUGCAUACGAAAAUGCCAAGAUUUACAAGCAACGAAUGAAAGUCUUCCAUGAUAAGCAAAUUAUGAGAAAAUCGUUCACUCCAGGUCUGAAAGUGCUUUUAUUCAAUUCUCGCUUGCACCUAUUUCCAAGUAAAUUACGCUCUCGAUGGUCUGGCCCCUUUAUUGUUCAUACUGUUUUUCCACAUGGGGCAAUUGAAAUUAAGGACCCAAAGAACGGUGUCACGUUUAAAGUUAAUGGUCAAAGAUUAAAGCCAUAUCUAGAGUACCAACCACAUGUAGAGGACACCGAAAUAAAUUUGAGUGACCCACCAGAUUUGAAUUGAUUUUUUUUUCUUUUCGGUGAUUUGAUUUAUUUUUCUUUCUUUUUAUUAUUCUUUUGCUAAUUAAAAUUCUUUUUGCAUAAGUGUGUUUGUUUAACCAUUAAGUUUUUUCAUAUCAUUGUUAAUCAUGAGUACCAUACUUAAACCGUUCCUCCUGAACAUUCUUAAACCACUUCAACGUGUAAAAUCUCAUCUCAAAAGGCAGAUUCAAUUUUGUAAGACACAUCGUAUUUGGGCUCUGCAACCACCAGAGUUAGUAUCCUAUGUUGAGGGUUUAGAAAGUCAACUCAGAGACAUUGAGAGAAGUGUUUACGACAUCCAGUUGGAGCUUGAGUUAAAUUCAAUAAGAGAACGAUUUUAAUUUUCUUUGUGUGUUUUAAUUUGUUUUCCUAUUUGUGUGCUUUAGUUUGUUACCCCGGUGAAGUGGCGGAUAACGGUACUCCGUGACAAUCAAGUCAGUUACUUCAGUUUCCCAUAAUAACUGAUAUUCUGAGGCGAAGGUAUGGAUAGAAAUGAGAUUCAAGCAAAGCUUCACAAGCGAUUCCCUUCACUUCCUCAGAAUGCCCUCCUUACAAUCUAUAAAGCCCGGUCCGAACGCAUGCGAUUGCUCAUGAGGAAUAACAUACCUGCUGACAUUCGUUGGUUAAUCGAGGCUAAAGUAUGAUUGGCAGGUGAGUUACCUCCAAAAUUUAUUGCAUACAUGCCUGGUUGUGGUAAAGGAAAUUAUGCAAGAAAACGACGAGCUCGAAGAAUUUCUGUUGCUUGUCAUAAGUGUGCCAGAAUGAGUUGCGAUAAAAAAACCAUGUUCUUUAUUAAUGAUGUCUGAUAACAGAGAAUAUAAGAUUCAAUUCAUUAGGGAUGGCUUAAAUAAGGAGUCAUUGGAUGAUAUCCUUCUAUCUCUUGAAACGCAUCUCAGUGGAUAUGUGCAAUGAGCGAUUCUCCAGUUAUGGCCAUUAUUCCAGAAAGAGCAUACACGAUAUAGUCUCGAGAAUCUGACUAUAAACGACCUUGUUUGCCAGUUUAUAAGAAAACUGGAUGGGAAGCCUAUCCUCGACCCAUAGAGGACGUUCAAGCCGUUUCUGGAUGUAAAACUAGAGGAAGAUGUGAGCCACAGUCGCAACUACCUGUAAAUAUCAUUUUACUUCACUGUUAUUUUAUUUCAAUGUUGUUUUACGAUUUGCAUUAUCGUCUUUAAUAAUUUUAUUUUAUCAUUGUUUCUUUUUCUUUUUACUGUUUCCUUUUUUACUCGCUAGCCAUGUGUUUUAUGCGUUAUUUGACACUGACAUGCCACCUCAUACAUAGUUGUGACCCACUGUCACUAAGAUUCUUAAAUAUGACUUUUUGUUAAGCACUCACAAAUUAUUUUUGAGAAAUAUUCCAAUGGCAGCUACUCCCAAUAGGCAAUUCAAGAACAUUUGUGUGCUUUCCAGAUUUAACUAUGGCAAACAUAAAGAGUUCGUUGAGGUAGCCGUAGAUCUUGGUCGAAGUAUAGCAGAGAGAAAAUUACACUUGGUGUAUGGAGGGGGUAACCGAGGGUUAUCAAAAUUGGUCUUAGAAGCUGCUCUUGUCAGAGGAAGCCAAGUGUUAGGGAUCAUCCCAAGAGUCUUAAAACCUUUGGGCAGUUUGUCUGACUCACCGACUGGAGAAGAGUUAGUCGUCUCAGGUAUGCAAGAAAGAAUAACUGAAAUGCUUAAUUAUGCUGAUGCUUUUAUUUUCCUUCCAGGAGAUCUUGCAACACUAGAGGCACUUAUCACACUAGCAUCUUGGGCCCAUCUGCACAUUCACCAGAAACUCAUCGUUUUGUUAAAUGUCAAUAACUUUUAUGAUGGCUACAUCGCAUUUCUUAACCAUGCAAUAAAAAACUACUUCAUUCCUUCCAAUGCGAAAAAAACUUUUUAUUUGUGCUCACACUGCUAAUGAGCUACAUGAUCUGUUGCAAACUUAUAGACCGGAGCCAGACCCCUGGACCUUUGUGUUGGAGCGUCCAAAUAAUGAUUGUAACAGUAGCCGCAGUAAGAAGUACAAAUUAGAUUUAACUCUCCACCUGUAAAUAUUUUCUUCUGUAUUGCAUCACCCAAGUGAUGUCUUCUAAACUCUACUUCUUUCUUUUAAAACAUUGAGGACAAUGUUUCGUUUUGGUUGAGGGGAGGGAAUAGUCGAAAAUUGUGGAAUCUUGGUUAAGUUUUUACUAAUUUUUUGUUGUAGAAACUAAUUGUUGCUAACUUUUUAUGUUGAAAAUGGCUGAAUAUGGAGUGUAGUAACUCUAGAAACACAUCUUCAUCGUUUGAAAAAAAAAUUCAAAAAAAUUUCAGACAUUUUCUUUUUUUUUUUAUUAAGUUUUGAUGUUCAUUUUUCUUCUUCUUUUUAAUUUCUCCUUUAUAAAUAUACAUUUUCAAAUAUUUGAGUCGAAGAUGGCUGAAUAUGGAGUGUAGUAGCUCUAGAAACACAUCUUCUUAGUUAAAAAUUAAAAAAAUAUAUUUCUUUUUCUAUCAUUUUAAGUGUAACUUUUCUAAUUAAUUUUUCUGCAUCAUUUUCAUAUUUCUGCAUGCAUAUUUUCCUUUCAUGUUUAGAAUAGGUUGGGGGGUAGAAUGUUGUUUAAAAAAAAAUUGUGAUUUGUUUUAACAUUGGAUGACAUGAUUAAUUUCAAAUUUUAGUAUUUGUAUUAUCUUUGGUCUUAAGUGAUGUUACACUAUAUUUGCUACUCUACAUGUUGAUGUCGGAGACAAAUAUGAGUUGCUUGAAGGAAUGAACAUGUCAUAAUAAGUACCAAGUGAGUUUUUCAGCUUAUCAUUUUUCUUGGAGAGUGAUUAGUAUUAAAAAUUGUUUAAUUAUCAAGCGAUAAUAUGUUAUUUUAUGCUUAUGUUAUAAUUUAUAUUUGUGUUUAUGUAAUAUAUUAUGAAUUAUUAAUUAUGUUUUAAAUAUAUUUAAUUUUGUGUAUUUUUAUGUGUUUAUUAGGAAAAAUAUUAAUUUCACGUAUUUCGAGGCUCCAAACAGAUAAACAGAGGUCAAAUUUGGAUUCCGUAGGUCCGAAAACCUUAAGAUCAGUCAAGAUCGGCUUAAAAUUGGGCUUGUGUAAAAAAAGUUGACUUUUUCUGUUGACUGAGCACUGAUUGGAUGAUGAAAUGAGCUUACAAUAGAUAUGAGUGCAUGGGAUAGCUGGCAAUCUUGACUAAAUCGCAACCAUUCAUGAUUCAAUGGCCAUGAUUGUGCCACGUGGCAAUGGUUGGUGAAGCAAGUUGGAGGAUCCGAAUCUUUGUAUUCGGGUCGACCCGAUCCACCCAUUAACCUGCCAAAUCUCAACCGUUCUUUGGGCAAAUCGGACGAGUCAAAUGAUGCCAUGUGUUCAUGAUUAAAUCUCAACCGUUCAUGAUUCAAUGGCCAUGAUUGUGCCACGUGGCAAUGGUUGGUGAAGCAAGUUGGAGGAUCCGAAUCUUUGUAUUCGGGUCGACCCGAUCCACCCAUUAACCCGCCAAAUCUCAACCGUUCUUUGGGCAAAUCGGACGAGUCAAAUGAUGCCAUGUGUGAUGUUGACUUUUGAAGUUUGACCAACAAUUGGAUCUUGAUCUAAGGGUUGUGAGGAGCACAUGCAUGAAGCCUAUGAUGGACCGCAAAGCACUGGAUUAUGAAUUUAUUUUUCUAUAAAUAGAGCCUCAUUUUUAUGUUUUAAUCAUCUCUCGACAACUAUCUUCUUCUCAAAUUCUCUCCAUCUCCUUGUAAUCUUGAUUUCCAAGUGUGUUUUUAAUAUUUUGUAUAAUUAUUUUCAUUAAUAAAAUUAGUUUUAUUUCCAAUUUUAGUUGUUUUUAUUUCUUUUAAUUAUAAGUAAUUCAAUUUUACUACUUCUUUUUAUUUUAAUUAUGCUUAACUAAAUAAUAUUAGUUAGGGUAAGGUGAAACUCUUAGGAAAUAAAUAUGAUUUAAUUAAAUUCUAUUUUUAAUUUUAUAAAUUAAAUUAUUUUCUAUUUAAAUUUUAUACAUGUUUUAUAUUUUGAAAUUUUGAUUUAUUGUAGACAAACAAAUGAAUUUGGCACAAUAAAUUCUUAAGAUCUUAAUAUAAGGCAUGGUGAAAUGGUAUUUUGACUUAUUGUAGACAAAUUAAAUUUUGGCACAAUAAAUACUUAAUCCAUCAUAAAAUUAAAGGGAAAAUAAUAAUAAUUUGUUUAAUUAAUCUUUUGGGUAAUAAAUCUAAAACAAAUUGGCAAAAAGAAUUUAUUAAGUUUUAUUUAUUUCUAAGAGUGGAUCCAUAACCCUAACUAGUUCAAUUCCAUAGUUUCAUUUAAAUUAAGUUGUUUAUAUUCAAGUUUUAAUUUCAAUUUAUAGAUAAAAUAAAAUAAACUAAUUAAAUCUUUUCUCUGUGGAUCGACCUCGGACUCACCGAGUUAUAAUACAACAAGACACUCUUAUACUUGGGAGUUAAAAAAUUACUUUUAAGUUGUGUCAAGUUUUUGGCGCCAUUACCGGGGAAAAAUUUUUUAUUUGGUUUGUUUUUCCGUUUUUAUUUUUCUCUUAUAUGUAAAAUUUCGUUUACCCCCUUUUCCUUUUCUUAAAUUCUCUUUUGUCCCUAACUCCUCUCAUAAAAUUGCUAAUUCUAAACUUCUAAAAAUUACAGUUUGACCAUAAAAUUAAAAAUAAUUUGUAAUAGAAUCCCUAGACGAAAUUCCUCAAAAUAAUCAAGACUUGAAUAUACUUUGGACAUACUUUGGACAUAUUUGGACUUAUUUUGGAUCAAACUAACUCUAAUUACUAACUCUUAACUUACUAACUGCUAACUCCUAACUUUUAUUUAAUUUCAGUUAUUUAAUUUUCUGCAUUUAUUUAAUUUCGUAUUUAUUUAUUUUUGCUUUAUUGGUGGGUUUAACCACCAAACUAACUACUAACUCUUAACUUUUAUUUUCAGUUAUUUAAUUUUCAGAAUUUAUUUAAUUUUUUAUUUUUUUAAUUGGUGGGUUCAACCACCAUUUUUUUUCUUUCUUUUUCUUUUUUUUCUUUUGCAUUUAUUUUAUACUUAAUUUAUUGUUAAUUGGUGGGUUCAACCACCAAAAUUGUUAUUUAAUUUUCUUUUGUACACUUAUAUUGUUUGCUUACUUAUUUUUUUAUAUUUUAUUUUGUUAUCAAUUUGUGUAAAUAUUAUCUUUAUAACAUAACCAUUGCAUGAGACGUUGGUCUCGAUCUUCAAGUGGCAGGUUAAUUCGUAGAUCUCAAUCUCCACCACCAAUCAUGGAUGAGAAUCAAGGCGAAAACGUUUUGGGCGAACUUAACCCUCAAAUUGAUCAGGGAGACAACCAAUCUCAACAUAGGCAUGAUCAGAAUCAACCAAGGACUCUGAGAGACUACAUGAAUCCAACCAGAACCGAAGCACCGUCGUGUAUAGUAUUUCCUCCAGAAGCAUCUCGAUUUAACUUUAAACCAAGUAUUAUCCAACUUUUACCAACAUUUCAUGGUUUAGAAUCUGAGAAUCCGUACUUGCAUCUAAGAGAUUUUGAGGAAGUUUGUAAUACAUACAUGGAUCAAAAUUGUAGCAUGAACAUAAUUAGAUUAAAGCUUUUUCCUUUUUCAUUAAAAGAUAAAGCUAAAACUUGGCUACAAAACCUUAGAUCUGGAUCAGUAAGAACUUGGAAUAACAUGCAAGAACAGUUUUUGAAAAAAUUCUUUCCACCUCAUAGAACAAAUUCUUUUAAAAGGCAAAUCACUUCUUUCACUCAAAAAAAUGGAGAAACAUUAUACCAAUGUUGGGAUAGGAUUAAAGAGUUGUUUAACAUAUGCCCACAUCAUAGUUUUGAAACUUGGCGAUUGGUCACUUACUUCUAUGAGGGCUUAAUACCCCAAAGUAGACAGAUUGUUGAAAUGAUGUGUAAUGGUGAAUUUAGGGAUAAAAAUCCUGAAGAUGCACUAGAUUACCUUGACCAAUUAGCUGAAAAUGCACAACAUUGGGAUACUGUUGGAACUUUUGAAUUGACAAAUAAGCAACAAUCAUCUCCAUCUAGUGGAGGAAUCCAUAACCUUAGGGAAGAUCAUGAUUUACAAGCAAAAUUUGCAUCCCUAGUUAGGAAAGUUGAAGCUUUGGAGCAUAAAAAGAGUGAUCAAGUAAAAAUUGCUCAAGAAAUUGCAUGUAACAUAUGUAGUUCGAAUGAUCAUUUCACUCAAGAGUGUCCCACUUUGCCUGCACUUAAAGAAUGUCUAAAUGAUCAAGCUAAUGUCAUUAACACUUUCAAUAAACCAAACCCAUAUUCACAGACUUAUAAUCCUGGUUGGAGAAAUCAUCCAAAUUUCAGUUGGAGAAAUAAUAAUAAUGCACAAUCUUCACAAGCACCACCUCCACAAAAUUUUCAAAAUCCUCAGCCUUAUGCACCAUAUGUUCCACCACCCUGGAAAAAUCUGGAAGACACAAUGCAUUCAUUCAUCAGAAAGCAAGAUGUUAUUAACAAUCAAAAUGCACUAACUUUUUCUGAUUUGAAAGAUACUCUUGCUAAAAUUGCUUCUGCACUCACCAUUCAAGAAAAAGGAAAAUUUCCAGCCCAACCACAACCAAAUCCUAAAAUUCAACAAAAUCCACCCACAGACCAAGUCAAGUCAGUUAUAAGUCUUCGUAGUGGUAAGGUUGUUGAUAGACCUAUGCCUGAACCUUAUGAAAAUGAUGAAAAUUCAAAGGGUAAGAAAGGACUAAAUGAACUUACACCUAAUGAAGAAAUAACUAGUGUUCCACCUUAACCACCAUUUCCGCAUGCAUUGAAUAAACCAAGGAAAUCAAACCACUCUUCUGAAAUUUAUGAAAUCUUUAAGCAAGUGAAAGUUAACAUUCCUCUAUUAGAUGCAAUCAAGCAGGUUCCUUCAUAUGCCAAAUUUUUAAAGGACUUGUGCACUGUUAAGAGGAAAUUGAAGGUAAGAAAGAGUGCUUUCAUGUCCGAACAGGUAAGUACAAUUCUGUCUACUAAUAAUAAGUUGAAAUAUAAAGAUCCUGGUUGUCCUACCAUUUCUUGUAUUAUUGGUAACCACAUAAUUGAGCAUGCUUUACUAGAUCUUGGUGCUAGUGUUAAUUUGCUUCCAUAUUCAAUUUAUCUUCAACUUAAUCUUGGUGAGUUAAAAUCAACUUCAACUACACUUUUGCUUGCCGAUAGAUCAGUUAAAGUACCAAAAGGAAUAGUGGAAGAUGUUUUAGUACAAGUUGAUAAAUUUAUUUAUCCUGUGGAUUUUAUUGUCUUGGAAACUGAACCUAUUGUGAAUAAUUACAAACCAAUUCCUGUAAUUUUAGGUCGACCAAUUUUAGCAACUGUUAAUGCUUUGAUUAAUUGUAGGAAUGGUUUAAUGAAUUUAUCCUUUGGGAAUAUGACUUUGGAAUUGAAUGUUUUCAACAUGUGCAGGCAACCUAAUGAAGAAAAUGAGAAUGAGAUGAUACUGAUGACAAAAGGAAUUGUUUAAAUCUUGUAUCAAGGAAAAUAUUCAAAAGGGAUUUUUCNNNNNNNNNNNNNNNNNNNNNNNNNNNNNNNNNNNNNNNNNNNNNNNNNNNNNNNNNNNNNNNNNNNNNNNNNNNNNNNNNNNNNNNNNNNNNNNNNNNNNNNNNNNNNNNNNNNNNNNNNNNNNNNNNNNNNNNNNNNNNNNNNNNNNNNNNNNNNNNNNNNNNNNNNNNNNNNNNNNNNNNNNNNNNNNNNUUGCCUGAAGGAGAUGAAUAUGCUUUUCUUGGAGAAGAACAAACCUAUCAUGUUGUGAUUUCGUCUACUUUAACAAGCGACCAAGAAGGUAAGUUACUUACUGUUCUGAAAAAGCAUAAAAAUGCAAUAGGAUGGACUUUAAAUGAUAUUAAAGGCAUUAAUCCCUUAAUCUGCACACAUAGAAUUAAUCUGGAAGAAAAUGCUAAAACAUGUCAACAACCUCAAAGAAGAUUAAACUCACACAUGAAAGAGGUAGUCAAAACAGAAGUCCUUAAAUUGCUUGAUGUGGGAAUUAUCUACCCUAUUUCCGAUAGUAAGUGGGUAAGUCCUACACAAGUAGUGCCUAAAAAAUCUGGAAUCACUAUUGUUAAAAAUGAAAAAGGUGAAUUAAUUCCAACACGAAUUACAUCUAGUUGGCGCAUGUGCAUUGAUUAUAGAAAAUUAAAUGAAGCCACUAGAAAAGAUCAUUUUCCAUUACCAUUCCUUGACCAAAUCUUAGAAAGAGUAGCAGGACAUCCCUACUACUGUUUUUUAGAUGGAUAUUCGGGCUAUUAUCAAAUUCCUAUAGCACUUGAGGACCAAGAAAAGACCACAUUUACAUGUCCAUUUGGAACAUUUGCAUUUAAAAGAAUGUCAUUCGGGCUUUGUAAUGCUCCUGCAACAUUUCAAAGAUGUAUGUUAAGCAUAUUUUGUGAUAUGGUUGAACAUUGUUUAGAGGUCUUUAUGGAUGAUUUGACUGUGUUUGGGAAUUCUUUUGAUGAUUGCCUUGAUAAUUUGGAGAAAGUUUUAAAAAGAUGUGUUGAAAAAGAACUCGUGUUGAAUUGGGAAAAAUGUCACUACAUGGUUACUUCUGGAAUUGUUUUGGGUCAUGUUGUUUCUAUUAAAGGAAUUGAAGUUGACAAAGCAAAUAUCGAAGUCAUAUCUAAAUUGCCACAACCAAAAAUAGUUAGAGAUGUGCGAUCUUUUUUAGGACAUGUAGUUAUAGGAGGUUUAUAAAAAACUUUAGUGUCAUAUCUAAACCACUUUGUAACCUCUUAUUAAAAGAUGCACCGUUUGAAUGGAAUGAUGAUUGCCAAAAAUCUUUUGAAAAAAUAAUUUGUCUUUUAACAUCUACACCUAUUAUGCAAUCUCCUGAUUGGUCUUUGCCAUUUGAAUUAAUAUGUGAUGCAAGUGAUUUUGCUGUUGGUGCUGUUUUAGGACAAAGAAGGGAUGGUAAACCUUUUGUGAUUUAUUAUGCGAGUAAGACUUUAGAUAGUGCUCAAAUGAAUUAUUCUACAACUGAAAAAGAAUUACUUGAUGUGGUAUUUGCAUUAAACAAAUUCCGUUCAUAUUUGCUUGGCUCUAAAUCUGUUGUGUUUACUGACCAUGCUGCUGUGAGAUAUUUGAUGAGUAAACAGGAUGCCAAACCGAGACUAAUUCGUUGGAUUUUGUUACUACAAGAAUUUGACCUUACCAUCAAAGAUAAAAUGGGUGCUGAAAAUGUUGUUGCUGAUCAUCUAUCAAGACUCACAUCCAAAUUCUGCAAUGAUAUAACACCCAUAAGUGAUUCUUUCCCUGAUGAAUUUUUAUUUUCUGUUACUUCAAUGCCAUGGUAUGCUAAUAUUGUUAAUUUUCUUGUUACAGGUAAAAUACCUUUGCAAUGGAAUGCUCAAGAAAAGAAGAAAUUUUUUGUUGAAGUAAAGAAAUUUUAUUGGGAUGACCCUUAUUUGUUCAAAUAUUGCCCAGAUCAAAUUUUUCGGCGAUGUAUUCCUAAUAAUGAGGUAAGUAGUGUUAUUAAUUUUUGUCAUUCUGAAGCAUGUGGUGGUCACUUUUCUUCAAGAAAAACUACUACUAAAAUUUUGCAGUGUGGAUUUUAUUGGCCUACUAUGUUUAAAGGCACAUAUGAAUUCUGCAAAAGUUAUGAAAAAUGUCAAAAAUUGGGAUCAAUUACAAAAGGAAACAUGAUGCCCUUAAAUCCCAUACUUGAAAUUGAAAUAUUUGACUGCUGGGGAAUUGAUUUCAUGGGUCCACUUCCAUCAUCUUUUGGAUUUGUGUAUAUAUUAGUUGCAGUUGAUUAUGUCUCAAAAUGGAUUGAAGCAAUUUCUUGCUGAAAUAAUGAUAGUAAAACUGUGAUUAAAUUUUUAAGAGAAAACAUUUUAAGUCGAUUUGGAAUCCCUCAAGCCAUUAUCAGUGAUGAAGGUAAGCAUUUUUGUAAUAAGUCCUUUGAGUCUUUAAUGAAGAAAUAUGGAAUUACAAAUAAAAUUACUACCCCUUAUCAUCCUCAAACAAAUGGUCAAGUUGAAUUAGCAAAUAAGGAGAUAAAACAAAUUUUGGAAAAAAUGGUUAACCCAAACCGAAAAGAUUGGUCUCUUAGACUUAAUGAUGCACUUUGGGCUUACCGUACUACAUUUAAAACGUCAUUAGAAAUGUCACCCUAUCGAUUAGUUUAUGGUAAACCUUGUCAUUUACCUGUUGAACUUGAACAUAAAUCACUUUGGGCUAUUAAAGUUUUUAAUUCAAAUUUGGAUGAUGCUGGUAAUGUGCGAAAAUUGCAAUUGAAUGAAAUUGAGGAAUUAAGGAAUGAUGCAUAUGAAAAUGCAAGAUUUAUUAAGGCAAGAACAAAAGCAUUUCAUGAUAAAAGAAUUUUUCGAAAAACAUUUGAGAUUGGUCAAAAAGUGUUGCUUUAUAAUUCUCGUCUUCAUUUAUUUCCAGAAAAGUUAAAGUCAAAAUGGAGUGGCCCAUUUGUUGUAAAAAAUGUAUAUUCAUAUGGGGCCAUAGAAAUUGAGAAUCCAAAUAAUGGUGUCACAUUUAAAGUUAAUGGUCAAAGAUUAAAACCAUAUCUGGAACAUCACUCACGUGACGAGGACACCGAAAUUAAUUUGGGUGACCCACCAGUUCUUGAUUAAGUCUUUAAUGAUUUUUUUUUGUUUUGUUUUACUAUUAUUUUACCGUUUCAUUGUUUGAUUUUUUUUUCUCUAGAUUGAUGCACUGUACAUAGUUUUUUUUUUAACAUUGUUUUUCUUGUGUAAGCGUGUUUGUUUGACAGUUGUACAUUCUCUCAUCAAUUUUCAUUUUACAUCAUGAGCACCUCAAUGAGAAAAUUCCUAUUCGCACAUCUUAAAAGAUUUCUGCGUAUAAAAUUUCACUUAAGAGGCCUGAUACAAAGCUAUAAAUCACAUCCACUUUGGGAUCUACAACCACCAGAAUUCGUGUCCUAUGUUGAGAAUCUAGAGGGACAACUCAGAACAGUAGAGAGUGGCAUAUAUGAAUUUCAAAUGGAGCUUGAGGUUAACUCAAUGAGAGGACGAAUGUAAGUUCAUUUUCCUUUUAUAUUGUGUGCUUCUUUUUGCUCGCUUUCACGCUUGAUUUGAUUUUGCAGAUUUGAUUUUGGUGUGUUUUGAUUUAUUUUCCCGUAUAAAUGGCGGAUAACGGUACUCCGUGACUUCUUAAGUCGGUAUCUUCAGUUUCCCACAAUAACUGAACCCCAAAAUCAAACAUGGAAGAAAUACAACAUAAACUCCAUAAGCAUUUUCCCUCUCUCCCUCAGAAUGCCCUCAGGAAAAUUUACAAAGCUCGUUGUGAACAACUGCGUUUGUUAAUGAUCAAUGGCAUUCCUUCUGACAUUCGUUGGUUAAUUGAAGCAAAGGUCCGAUUAGGAGGUGAGUUUUCUGGUCCAUUUGUUUCUUACAUGCCUGGUUUUGGUAAAAGUACGUUUGCUAAGAAAAGGAGAGCUAAACGACUUGGCUCAAAAUGUCAUAAAUGUGUAAGACUUUGUUGCAAACGACCGGAUUGUAAAUCUUUAAGAAUGGUUUCUGAUACUCGUGAAGAUAAAAUUAAAUUCGUUAAAGAUGGCAUGAGUAAAGAAUCGUUGGAUGAUAUCUUACGAUCUCUUGAGACGCAUCGAAGCGGAUUUGUGUAAUGUGAGAUUUACAAUUUGUGGAUACUAUUCCAAAAACAAAGUGCACAGUUAAAUCUUGGGAAUCUGACUCAAAAAGACCUUGUUUGCCAGUUUAUAAGAAAACUGGAUGGGAAGCCGAUCCUCGACCCAUAAAGGGCGUUCAAGCCGUUACUGGACGUAAAACCAGAGGAAGAUGUGAGCCACAAUCACAACUACCAGUAAAUAUCCUUUCACUUCACUGUUAUUUUACUUUACUAUUAUUUUAUCAUUUGCAUUAUUGCAUUUAGUGAUGUGAUUUUGUAUUUAAUAAAUAUUUAUUUUUUUUACUGUUUGCUUUUUCUAAUCAUUAUUUUCUUUUUACUGUUUGUUUUUGAAUUAUUGAGCCACGAGCUUUACUCGUCAUUUGACAAAUAUUGCCAAUCCAUUUACAGCUGUUUCUCAUUAUUUAUGUCACCAAGAUCUUUAAAUAUGAGCUCUUUUGUCAAACAUUCACAACUUGUUUUUGAAAAAUUAGUCUAAUGGCAGCAUCUUCGAGUAAACAAUUCAAAAACAUUUGUGUGCUUUCUGGGUUUCACUAUGGAAAGUACAAAGAGUUCGUUCAGGCAGCUGUAGAUCUUGGUCGUGUCAUAGCAGAGAGGGAACUGCAUCUUGUAUAUGGAGGAGGUGAACGAGGGUUAUCAAGACUUGUCUCAGAAGCCGUUUUACCAGAGGAAGCCAAGUACUCGAAAUUAUCCCAAAACCAUGAAACCGCUAGUGUGCAUGUCUGGCCCACCAAUUGGAGAAGAAUUAGUGGUAUCAAGUAUGCAAGAGAGAAUAUCUGAAAUGAUGAAUCAUGCUGAUGCUUUUAUUUUCUUGCCAUGAGAUCUUGCAACUUUUGAGGUACUAAUUACAUUUGCAUCUUGGGCCCACUUGAACAUUCAUCAAAAAUCUAUCGGUUUGUUAAAUGUUAAUAAUUUUUAUGACGGCUUGCUAACUUUUAUUAACCAUGCAAUAAAGAAUCAUUUUGUUCCAUAUUCUGUAAAAAAACACUCUUUAUCUGUGCUUCUACUGCUAAUGAGUUACUUGAUCUUUUACAAGCUUAUACACCGGAGCCAGAUCCAAAGACUUUUGCACUGAAUUGGUCGACUGAUGAUGGUAGCGGUAAUAGUAGCCGUAAUAAGAAGUGCGAUUUAGAUUUAACUCUCCGUCUGUAAAUAUUUUUUGUUGCAGUAUUUAUGUGCUGUCUUCUAAACUCUUUCUCUUUCCUUUUAAAACAUUAAGGACAAUGUCUUUUUCAGGUUGGGGGGAGGGAAUAGUUGAUAAUUGUGGAAUGUCUUAGUCUUGGUGAUGUCUUUACAAAAAAUAAAAAACAAAAAACAAAAACAAAAAUUUUUUUUUUCUGUGAAGACUAACUUAGGACAAAUUUGAGUCAAAGAUGGCAGGAUAUAGGGAAUGUAGUUCCUCUAGAAACGCAUCUUCUUAAUCUUAAAGGUGUUGUAAAAAAUAAAAAAUUUGACUUUUUCUUCAUCUUUGUUAUUCGCUUUUAAGCUUCUGCAUCAAGUUCAGGUGAGAUCUCUUUUUCUUCUUCUUCUUUUAUUAUUCUCUUUUAUUUUUAUUUUUUUGCAUAUUUGUAAAAUUAUAAAAUGCUAAGAUAAUGUUUAGAUUAGGUUGUGGGGUGGGGAUAGUUAACAUAUGUUUUUAAACAUGUGUGGUUUUUCUCUUUUCUCUUUUCUUUUCUUUGUUUAAAAAAAAAUUUUGUUUUUGUCUAGGAUUAAUGUGUAAAGAGUCACGACUUUUGAGACGCAUCCUAAUAAUCUUAUUGUAUUAUAUUUUGAUUUUGAGAUUCAUAGUAAGUUGUUUUUGUUCCCUUUUCUUUGAAUUACUCAAAUUUGUGAACUCUCUACUUGGUUAUUAAGUUAUUUAAUUGUUUACUCAUUUAACAGGUAUUAUUGAAUCAUUCUUCACACACACAUUAUGACACAUACUAGUGGGUUGUAAGUUAAAAUUUUACAGCAUUUAGUUCUUUUGAUUUAUUAGGAAUAUUAUCUAAGGUAGUAGAAAGUGUAUAUUGAAAAAAAAAACAACAAAAAAAAGAAGAAAAAAAUGUUUUUAAUUUUGUUAUAUCUAGAAACCCGAGUAAUUAAGUCCAUAGGGGUGUUUCAACACCUAGUGCCCUAAGGUCAACUAGUCUGGGAGUCACUACCCUAAAGCUCGCUACAUGGGUAAUAGAUAUAUUGUUGUUUAUUAGAAACCUGAGUAAUUAAGUCUGAAGGGGUGCUUCAACACCUAGUGCCCUAAGGCCAACUGGUCUGGGAGUCACUGACCUAAAGCUCGCUACAGGGGUUAGAAAUGUAAUAUUUAAAAAAAAAAAUGUGUGAAUAAUCUAUUGCCUAAAGAUAUAAUUUCUAAUGAAUUUUGGAACGAAAAUGUUGUUUUUCUUUUAAUGAAGCCCCAUAAGUAUUGUGUUAAUUACUUGAGCACAAAAGAAGGUUUGAUGAUAUUCUGGAUAAUGAGUGAACAUCAAUGUGGUAAAGGAAUUUGGGAGAGUUCAUUUAUUUGGUAAUUUAGAGGAUAGAUGAACAACUAUUAACUUGCAUGUGAAUUUUAUAAAUCUUAAUUUAAUAUAACGCUUUAAUUGCUAGAGGGCUAGCAAUAAGCUGGUUGGGGUGUGUGAUUAGUAUUAAAAAUUGUUUAAUUAUCAAGCGAUAAUAUGUUAUUUUAUGCUUAUGUUAUAAUUUAUAUUUGCGUUUAUGUAAUAUAUUAUGAAUUAUUAAUUAUGUUUUAAAUAUAUUUAAUUUUGUGUAUUUUUAUGUGUUUAUUAGGAAAAAUAUUAAUUUCACGUAUUUCGAGGCUCCAAACAGAUAAACAGAGGUCAAAUUUGGAUUCCGGAGGUCCGAAAACCUUAAGAUCAGUCAAGAUCGGCUUAAAAUUGGGCUUGUGUAAAAAAAGUUGACUUUUCCUGUUGACCGAGCACUGAUUGAAUGAUUAAAUGAGCUUACAAUAGAUAUGAGUGCAUGGGAUAGCUGGCAAUCUUGACUAAAUCUCAACCGUUCAUGAUUCAAUGGCCAUGAAUGUGCCACGUGGCAAUGGUUGGUGAAGCAAGGUGGAGGAUCCGAAUCUUUGUAUUCGGGUCGACCCGAUCCACCCAUUAACACGCCAAAUCUCAACCGUUCUUUGGGCAAAUCGGACGAGUCAAAUGAUGCCAUGUGUGAUGUUGACUUUUGAAGUUUGACCAACAAUUGGAUCUUGAUCUAAGGGUUGUGAGGAGCACAUGCAUGAAGCCUAUGAUGGACCGCAAAGCACUGGAUUAUGAAUUUAUUUUUCUAUAAAUAGAGCCUCAUUUUUAUGUUUUAAUCAUCUCUCUACAACUAUCUUCUUCUCAAAUUCGCUCCAUCUCCUUGUAAUCUUGAUUUCCAAGUGUGUUUUUAAUAUUUUGUAUAAUUAUUUUCAUUAAUAAAAUUAGUUUUAUUUCCAAUUUUAGUUGUUUUUAUUUCUUUUAAUUAUAAGUAAUUCAAUUUUACUACUUCUUUUUAUUUUAAUUAUGCUUAACUAAAUAAUAUUAGUUAGGGGAAGGUGAAACUCUUAGGAAAUAAAUAUGAUUUAAUCAAAUUCUAUUUUUAAUUUUAUAAAUUAAAUUAUUUUCUAUUUAAAUUUUAUACAUGUUUUAUAUUUUGAAAUUUUGAUUUAUUGUAGACAAACAAAUGAAUUUGGCACAAUAAAUUCUUAAGAUCUUAAUAUAAGGCAUGGUGAAAUGGUAUUUUGACUUAUUGUAGACAAACUAAAUUUUGGCACAACAAAUACUUAAUCCAUCAUAAAAUUAAAGGGAAAAUAAUAAUAAUUUGUUUAAUUAAUCUUUUGGGUAAUAAAUCUAAAACAAAUUGGCAAAAAGAAUUUAUUAAGUUUUAUUUAUUUCUAAGAGUGGAUCCAUAACUCUAACUAGUUCAAUUCCAUAGUUUCAUUUAAAUUAAGUUGUUUAUAUUCAAGUUUUAAUUUCAAUUUAUAGAUAAAAUAAAAUAAACUAAUUAAAUCUUUUCUCUGUGGAUCGACCUCGGACUCGCCGAGUUAUAAUACAACAAGACACUCUUAUACUUGGGAGUUAAAAAAUUACUUUUAAGUUGUGUCAGAAAGUAACCCUUUUGCCCAUUCUUUAUACAGCUUAGCAGUUUAUUAUUUUAUACACGAUCUCUAGAUUUCUUUUGAAUUAACCCUAAAAAAAAUAAUAUUUGUAAAAUUAAAAAAAAAUGUGUGUUGCUACAUUUGGAGGCCCAUCUAACUAGUAGAUAUGGAAGAUUAUUUAGAGCCCUAAAAGACAAUGGAAAUCCCAUCUUUGAUCCGUUUGAGCCUUUCUAGCCAUCCCUUUUAUUAAAUAUCCAUAGUUAACCCUUUUGAGCCUUUAAAAAAAAUAAAAAAAUAAAAAAAAUAAAAACUUUUCUUUGUCAAACUUUUCAUCUUGACCCACUCCGAUUUGGAGUAUUACCCAAUAUCUUACAAGUUCCAUCACCUAUUUAUGUUUGAGAAAAAUGUAAAUAAAUAUUUUGUAUAGUAAAGUUACACCAAAAAAAAAGCAAAAAAAAAUAGUUUAAAAAAAAGAAAAAAAAUAAUAAUAAUAGGUGAAAUCCACCUUGCAACUUCCAAAACAAAAAAAUUUCUCUGCAUUUUUUUCAAACAUACACUUUGUUUUCCUUAUUUCCCUUCUUUGCUAGCCAUGUCCCUAACCUACGCUACGUCCUAAUAAAAGUCCUUCUUGAUUUUAGGGAACUAUAAUCUGAAGUAGAAGCUAAUUAUAUGAUCUAAAAAGAUGUAGUGAUGCAUAAUAAAAAAUAAAAAAAAGAGAAAAAAAAGAUAAAUAAAGUGGGUUGACUAGCAUUUUUGUUUGACUUAAGAUCAUAUUAUUUCUAAGCUGAGGGCAUAUUUCUUUCAUCUUGGUGAGAGCAUGUGAUAUCAUUUCUUUUUUUUUCUCUCAAUUACCAUUCAUUGCAGUGACUAUUUUUAUUGGGUUUAAUUUCUUUGUGAGAGUGUCACUACUUCCAGUGAGAUUUUGGGGUUUGACAUGUCAUUCUUGAAGGUAGCUAUAACAAAUCUACUAGGCUGAUUCAUGUGGAUGGUUGAUGUGGGUGUGAUGUUUCUUUAGACUUGAGAUAAUGCUCAUACUUUUAUUUGAUUGUUAUCAUUAGUCUGAUUGAAUAAACAAGAGUGUUAAAAAAAAAAAUCAUUUUGGAUGUGAAUUUUGUUUUCGCUUUAUUUGCUAGGGACUAUCAAUAAGCUGGUUGAGAGGUGUGUUGAGUGUUAGAAAAUGUAUAUUUAUAAAGGAGAAAAUCGUCAUUUUACAUUUCACGUCUUACUAACAACUCUUACUUUUAUGUAUUUAAGCUUCUUGUAAUUUAAUUAUGUGUGUUUUAUUUUAAUUAAGUAUUUUAUGUAUUUUAGGGGCAUCAUGGUCAUUUCACAAUAAACGAGAGAUCAGACAGCAAAACAGACAUCAUUUUUGAACUCAGGACGGUCGAAAACCUUAGGAGGAGCAUAAAAGGAAAAAUGGCACUGUUCACAUGUACGGUACUAUUCACGUGUACGGUACUGUCUACGUUACUGUUCACGACACUGUUCACAUAGACGGAUCGAUGACGUGGCAUUGACCGAUGAUGUGGCAUUGACUGAUGAGGUGUCACAAUCUUGUUGGACUAAAAUUCUUAUGUACUGUUGAUGGUGACGUGGCAGCAUAUCAGUGGACCAAAAAUCUCGCGUACGGAACAUGCAUCAUACAGAAUUAUUUUCAACCAAACCGCGUCACUGUUCACCCGGGUCAAACCGUGUUACUGUUCACCCGCGUGGUCAAACCGCAUACUGUUGACUGAUGACGUAGCACAAUCCUGACCGUUCAAACUGUUUUUAAUCUAAUGGCCACGAUUUACUCAAUGUAUCUAUAAAAAGGGGGCCUCCUCCCCCCCCCCCCUAAUUUGAUAUCUCUGAAUUCAUUUUUGGACUCCAUUUUUUGUAAUUCCUUCUCCAUCUUGUAUUUUCUACGUAUUUAAUAAAUUCUCAUUUGCCCCUAGUUCAAUUAUGAGUAGCUAAUUUUCUUUCAAGCUUGGGUUGAAGGUGAAGUCUCAACAUGUGUCAUGGGCUUUAUUUGGUAAAUUUAUUUUCUCUUCCCCUCUAGUUUUUAUGGAUGUUUUGACUUCUCGUAGACAAAUAAUAAUAAUCUUGUUUAGUACCGCCUUGGUUUCACCGGCUCCCUAAUACAAGGUUUUAUUAUUUGGCACGAUAAGCCCUUAUCACCAUAUUGAUUAUAGCGUGGUUCAUGAGGUGUGGAUUCCUCCCUCAUGAUUUAAUUGGCAUUAAUAAGGAUUAUUUAGCCUAUGAUGCAUGUUGAUACGGAUCCAGAUACCCAAGUACGUCAUCUCAAUAGAUUUCUCUUCAAUUUAUUCUCGUCAUUUCAAUUCCAAUUUUAGAAUUUAUUCUCGCCAUUUCAAUUCCAAGUUUAGGAUAAUCCAAAUCAUUUUCACCACAAAUCCAACCACCCAUUUACAAAAUUAAUUCUACACACAAUUAAAAUCCACUUACUCGUGGGAUCGACACUCGUCACCAUUAGUCUAUUCUACAAUAGAUUCGUGCGCUUGCAAGUUCAAUAAAAUUUGCACAACACAGCACUCUAUAGAAGCAUUGUUGGGGGUCUAAUAUUUGAUUCUCACUAGACCUGACAUUGCUUACUCUGCACAUAAAUUUAGUUAGUAUCUCAGUAAUCUUACACUUUAUCAUUGGUUGCAAUACAAAAAAGUUCUCAAGUAUCUUCAAGUUACAAUCACCCAUGGUCUAUAUCUUCAAAAGGAGGGAACACUUGAAUAUGUUGGUUUAACAUGCUACUUUAAUGCUGACUGGGCAUGUAAUGUUGAUGAUCGAAAAUCUAUUUGAGCUUACUGUAUUUACCUUGAUAAUAAUUUGAUUUCUUGGUCGUCUAAAAAGUAAGCUAUUGUGGCUAAGUCAAGUAGUGAGAGUGAAUAUAGGACUAUAUUUUAAGCAAUCUCAGAACUGUCCUGAUUACAAUUCUUACUGUCAGAGUUUAAUAUUGUGCAAUUACCAACUCCAAUUCUUUGAUGUGACAAUCAGAGUGCUGAAAAUUAGCUCGGAAUUAUAUUCUUCACUAUAAGUCUAAGCAUAUUGAAUUAGAUGUUCACUACAUUAGAGACAAAGUGCUUAGAAAUGAGUUGGAUGUGAGAUACAUUCCUACUGAAGAACAAGUUGCUGAUGUUCUUACAAAGCCUUUAUCAUUUCUUAACUUCAACUACUUCUGAUCCAAGCUCAAUGUCAUCAACAGGCCAUUGAGCUUGAGGAGGGAUGUUAAGGAAGCUCAUACUUGCAAUUAUUAUUUAUAAAUGGUAUAAUCAAAAGAGAGUCUUGAUGUCUCUUAUUGAAAACUUGAGGAUCUACAUAGCCAUGCAUUUCCCCAAACCUUGUAUAUGUCCUAUUCCCUUGUUUGCGCCUCAAAAAAUUGUUUGAAUAUCUAAAAAAGAAUUCGAAUAGAUUUUUGAUGUAAUAAAUGACAGAAUUCGACAGACAUUUGUACUUAGUUAUAUUCCUCUGGCUGAAAGGUUCAACAAAAUAUAUUAUAUGACCAAAUCGAUAUCAUUUGAGCUAUUUGACAGUACCAAAAAAAUCCUAUGUCAUAAUACCAAAUUACAUUACAAGGGAAAAAUCGUCUAUUUACAUAAAUUCAGUAACAAAUACAAGGGCAAGGUGUAAACAUGCUAAUUUCAUAAACUCGGGUAUAAAGAUGACCUUUGCAAUAUAAAGAUGGACGGUAAGGGUAACUAGAAAUAUAAAGAUGGAAUCUGGACCCUUCGUACAAAAAUUUUCUAUCUCUAAUAAUUAAACUAAAAUAAUUCAGAAGUUGCUAUUUUUCCUUAUGGUUUAUAUUUGGUAUGUAACGGUUAAUUAAAAAAUUAAAAUCUAACUAAAAUUGGAAGACCUCUUUCUUGUGAUGGCAAGACGACGGUCACAUAAAGGCCUUUUUUCUUGUAACUUGAGUGGAUAAGAAGUAUAUUAGAGACCCAAGUUUCAUCCCAGAAAAUAAAAAAAAAUAAAACCAUUCACAACAGAUCUUCUUUAUGAAAACUAAAUUACUUGAGAUAUGGAACUUCUAAAUAAGAAAAAAAGACAUAUAUACCCUCAAGAUUUAGGAAAAUAGUCACAAAAGACCUUCAAUUUUCAAUAAGGAACACCAUAACUCCUUUUAGACCAUAAUGUCCCUCAACUCUAUAAAUCCCAAAAAAAACUCUAAAAUUUAAUAAUAAAUGGAAAUAUGGAAUUAAAAUAAAUGUAAUAAUAUAUACAUUUCAAAAUAAUUUUAAUAUUUAAAAAUAUUUUAAUAUUUUUCAAUCUAUUAGACCUAUUUUAUUAUAUAAAAGCAAUUUUUAAUAAGAUAGAAACAUAAUAUUAAAAUAAAUAAAUUAAAACUAAAAUUAUUUUGAAUAUUAUGUAAAGUUUAAUUCUAAUAUUGCUAAUAGGGAGAUUUUUUUAAUUGUAAAAUCUAUUUAACCCAAAAAUUUAUUUAAAAUCUUUAAAACAUUACAAAUAUAUUAUUAAAAUAAAUAUAAUAAUUUAAAAUUUUAAUAUUAUUUUAAAUAUAAAAAAUAAUUUAAUAUUAUUAGUCUACUAGACAAAUUAUAUUAUUUAUAUUAAAUUUGUGUUAAUUAAAAACCUUUAAAGUCAAUUUUUUAAUUACUAUAGUUAAAGAGUUUUAUGGAUAAAAAAUAGUCUUGAUGUCCUUUUUUUUUAAAUUUACAGAUUUUUAUGACCAUUUUCUCAAACCUUGAAGAUACUGGUGUCUUUUUCCCUUUAAAUAAUCAUGCCACAAAGGAUUAGAAAUCGUUGCAUUCUAUGGUGCAUAUAGAUUUUAGAAGACCGUCAUAAUUUUCUUGUCAAAUUCAUCUGAAUUAUCCAAUUUUCUAUAAUUUCACACAUCAACUGGUUUACUUUAAUUUGCUCUUUUCUAAAUCGACUGUUUAGUCCCAAAAGCACGGAAAAUUCACGCAUGAUUUCUUGUUAUUUCUAAUGGUAAUCUACUUGGAUCAUUCAUUUGACAAUAUGACUGGUCCGUUUAUUGUGUUUUCUCCGCACAAUAGGACUGACUGAUAAAGCAUCGUCCGAUUAUGCGGUCUAGUCUUUUUUUUUCUUUUUGAUACAAUUAUUGUUGGGGAAAAAUCAGGUUUUUAAAUUUUUAUAAAACCUUUUGAAGAUCGCUCUCAUAUAAUAUAUAAGAAUUUGUAUUUUAGAAAUCGUACCUUGAAAAUCCGAUUUGGCUUUUUCCGUUGAAAUGAUUUAGGCUCCUAGAUCACGAUCCGCCACCACCACUCCUGUUAGAUCACGAUCCGUCACCACCACGCUUGCUAGAUCACGAACUGUCACCAAUGAUCUUCCAGGUUAUGACUCAGGUUCGAUCUGCACUUGACGUGUGAGCGCCUUUAUCACUACCAAAGCAACUAGCACGAGAAAAUUUUUCUCUCAACAAUAGAGAGAAAAAUCUUAUUCUCUGAUCUGUAUAAAGUGGCUUCUAUCUUUUCUUUAGGGAAAAAUAAGCCUUAUAUAUUUCCCUUUAGUGAAAACCCUAGGCUCCAAAUAAUGCCCUAAAUAAAACUCACAUUUAUUUACUUUUUCAAUAGAGGACCUACCUUGUAAAAUAACAUAAGGCCCCUUAUACAAAAGCUAAUUAAAUGGAGCCUCCCACUAAAUGAUAUAUUUAGGCUUUUGACCCAAAUCGCUAGUUAUCUUACUUAUUAGUCCAGUAGUGGUGCAGUCAAUUAAAUGAGCUAACCCGGGGAUCAUUUGGGAACAUACAAUAGUGGCUACAAUAAUUAGGCUUGUAAUUAAACUAGCCCAAUUAUUUAAUUCCAAAUCUACUCCACUAAAAGAUUGGAACUGACUUCCAUAAUUGUAUGCUCGAAUAAUAAUUCGUCCCAAGCCACAUUGAUUUCUUUACUGCACAAUCCUUUGUACCACAUCGUUAAUUAAAUUGAUAUCUCAACUGUCCAAUCAAUUUAAUAACAUCUUAUUCCUUGAUCUUUACUAGUUUUCUCUAAUGAUCAUUUUCAACAUACUAAAUAUGUUGACACACUCUGGCCAGAGAAUUCUAUGAUCAAGUGCCGAAAACCCAUCAAGAGAUGUGUUGUACAAAUUCUAUAUUGUUAAUCCAUAACUCCAAUACUCAUAAUUGCUCCCACCAAGAUACCGGGUAAUCUUGACCACAAGAAUGUGUCGUGCCCAUUGGUAACUCAAAUGGAAUAACAAUUACAAUCAUGAAAUCAUAAUUAACUCAAGAUUAAGAUUACAGUAAAAUCAACGCCUAUGAGAUUUAAUAAGUCUGACAGUUAUUACAAAGUUAAUUAAAUCUCAUAUGUGAUCCUGUUCAAUGUAGUCGUACUACAUCAAUAAAUUCAUACAUGAUUAAGACAAAUCAUUCAAUGAAUUUAUUACAGUCUAUACCUAAAUAAAGUGCCCAACUUUAUUUAUCAACUGCGAACUAAAUUUAUUUAAUCAUAAGAUAACUUGUAUUUAUGUCUUCUGUGAAUCCACAUGGUGAUCACAUAAAUACAUAUAAUAUGAUUAAAUGGACUUUAAUACAAGUAUUAAUGCAAUUAAGAUAUUUGAAUAAAAUAUCUCAUUUAUUUUAUUAAUCAGAAAAAUAGUUUAUUACAAUUAAAUAAACACAUAUGCUUUUAAAGAGCAUAUUUUCCCAACAAUUAUGCGGUCUAGACUUUAAGGGCAUUUUAUCUCGUGUCUUAUUACUAUUGUUUGCAUCUUAUGCGAAGACUGAUUUGGAUUAUGAGAACGAUUUCAGAGAAUUAUAUUUUGAAUAUGGCGGAACACCAUUUUUCUAGCUCUAAAUUUUCUGCGGACUGCAAUUCAUGUUGCAUAUUGAACCACGUUGGGCCUUGUAAAAUACUGAAAAUAAGACAAUGUGUUUAUCAUUUUCUAUGAGUUUGCCGAUACCGCUCGAAAUUAUAUUUCAUGUUGAUACAUUGAGACGCGAUGCUAAUUAUGGUUGAGAGAUGGCCGACAAUUAUUCAUUUCUUUUUUUUUUUUUUGUUUUGUUUUGUUUUAUUCACAAAACAACCGCUCAAGUCAAAUCAAAAGUGGAAAAAGAUUUUCCACGUCUAAAGCAAAAGCGAGAUAGAUAAUUACAUACGACAAUAAUCAUCUUGUAAUUUAUAUAUAUAGGUUUUGGCAAGAUGACAAUUCGUACGGUGAUAAAAAUGCUUGAUCUUAUCAGAUCGAUAAUUGUGAUUGUGUUUUCGCCGCGUAAUAUGAGUUAAUGAUAAGGCAACGUCCGAUUUGCUAGAGAUUUCACGGGCUGUGUUCAUCAUGCGCCUCUUGUCACAAUUACGAGAAUUGAUUUGGAUGAGAGCGACUUUAUAGAAUUAUUAGUUUUUGGGGGCGACUUUAUAGAAUUAUUAAACAACCAGAAUAAUACUUUGAAAAAGUAAGAUAAAAGUCAAGUAAUUAAUCGGAUCAAUCUUUUGGGGGCGGAAAAAAUAAAGUAAUGUUUGAUGUGGCUGAAAAGAAUAAUGAUAUGUGACCCCUAAAUAUAUUUCAACCACUCAAUAAUUAAUUAUCUCUAAUCAUUUCCAAAAGUACCCUUGUUCAUAUAAGUUUAAUUCUGCAGCUCCAAACUUAAUUUCAAUUCUAGUGUUGGCCAACAAUGGUCUCGGAACUGAGAAUAUGACUUUUCAUAAUAUAAUGUAGACACUAGUGCAAAUAUUAACUCACUAAAAUAAAUAAAUCAAUACAAAUUGCAAACAAAAAGCAGGGGAAAUAAAACCGCCGAAAAUAUUAGAAACCUUGGAGAAAGAUUGCUGAGUUGUUGGAUUGUUGGUGUCGGUAUUGUCUUGGCAAGCAAACGCGCCAAUUUUCAAUCUUUAAUUUAGAAAAUCAAUUGUUGUGGUGGGAGUUUGGCAGGGGAGGAAAUGAAGGAAAGUGGCGGAGAAUGAGAGAAGGCAGGGAGGAAAAAAUGGGCACUUUUUGAAAAUAAACACUAUUUUACUAAGUAUAUUUUAAUAAUUAUUUUAGAUAUUUUAAGUUAAAAUGAGAAAAAUAGGGGUUAGUGAGAUAAGUUGUGGAGGUCAAACAUCACUAUUCUCUUAAAAAGAGUGAAGCUGUUGGUAGUCCUUUAUAGUCAUUAUAAAAUCUCACCUCUAAAAAAAUAAUAGUGAAGGACAAAUAAGAAUUAAGCAUACAUAAAUUCCCCCCCCCCCCCCCUAAAAAAAAAAGAAAAAAGAAAACAUAAGCAAUCCUUUUCUUUUUUUUUUAAUUUUCUACUUGUUUCUUCCUAUUUAACUAAGAUAAAUUGUACAAAUUUAGAAUAAUUCAUUAUUCUUUUCAUAUUUCUUAUUUAUUUAAUAUAUUUUAUGCUUAAAAUUGCUUUUCAAAUUAAAAUUUAGAAUAUAUGUAAUUUAAGCCAAUGAUAAACAUUGAAAAAUUUGAUCACCCAAAAAAUUUUUAAUUUGUGUGUCCGGUAACAAUAAGACUACAAAAUAAAAGAAAAAUAGCAUAAUAAGACCUUGAGUUUUAACAAAAUAAAAAAUUAGAAGUGUAUUAAAAAAAGAAGAAAUUUUUUGAAAUAAAAUAAAUAUAACUGAAAAAAAAAAUGGGGGUUUUAUGAGGAUAUUAGGGGGUGCCAAUUGUUCAACUUUCUUUAGAAAUCAAAAUUAUGCCCAAUGCCUAGGGCCUUGUACAGCCCGAAGGUAUGUAUUUUACUCAAUGGGCAAGCUAGUAUUUGGGGGUAUUUAUCUUCUAUAUAAUAAAAGUUCAAACAAACUUUGAAAAAUAAAUGGUUUCAAUACUACAUUACAAACUGUUCAAAGUCAUAUAUAUUUAUUCCGAUUUCAAAUAAAAUAUCAAACGCCUGCUUAAUUAUAAUAUAUAUAAUUAAGUAAAAUCCUAAAUAUCUUGUAUAAUAUAAUGCUCGGUUUAUGGUGUAAGUUAAAAAGCUAAAACUAAAUGUUUCUUUAACUUUUUGGAAAUUUAAGCCAAUUACUUAGGGUGCAUUCAGGGCAGCGGCACAACACUCGACCACUUAUAUUUUCAUUUAAAUCCAAACGCACCAUUAGUUGGCCCUUGUGGUUAAAAUCAUCUUUAUUACAUAUCUAUUUCAUUUAAAAGCUACUUACUUACUCUUUACUUUACUUGCUGCUGCAUGUUGGAUUUGAUUUAAAUGUUAAGUUACAUGUCUUAGAUAAAAAUUAUUUUUUAGCCUUGAGAAGUUGGAUCCAACAAUUAUGUUUUGAGUAAUUUUUAAAUUUAGAGUUUUAUCUGAAUUAUUAACCAAUGCGCUAGUGCCUAAAUGAAAAUUUACCCGAAAGAUAAAAAUAAAUUACAAAUAUCAAUUUCUUUUUUAUAAAGUAAAAUUGAAAUAUACAACUUGCUAAAGGAAAGAAAGCUUUGUGAAUUUAGAUAGAUUUCUUUAGAUUAUCUUUUAAUUAUCUUGUACUACAUGUGUAUUUAUAUCAUUUCAUAGUUAAGAUUCUUAUUACCAAGAAAAUCACAUCAACACUUGAUCAAAAUUUUAUUUAUCAAAUACUAAGAAGAUAUUAGAUAUCUACUUUUAUAACAAGUGAAAUCUAGUUUCAAUUUAUGCUUUACAAAAGGUUAAAGGAAAAUUACCAUUUUCCCUCCUGCAGAUGGUAAAGGGAAAAAGACAUCUACACCACUAAAGUUUGUAAAAAUAGUUGUCAACGCUCCAAGUUUUCAAAAAGGGAUACCAAGACCCCAUUUUAACCAUAAUUCCCUUUAUCUCUAUUAUCUUCAAAAACUUAACUCUAAUGUUUUAUAAUAAAUGGAAUAUAACAUUAAAAUAAAUGUAAUAAUAUGUACAUUUUAAAAAAAUUAAUGUCUAAAAAUAUUUUAAUAUUUUACAAUCUACUAGAUAUAUUUUGUUAUAUUAAUGUAAAUUUUAUAAUAAAUAGAAUCAUAAUAUUAAAAUAAAUGUAUUAAAAUUUAAAUUAUCUUGAAUAUUAUGUAAAAUAAUAAUUUCAAUGUUAUUAGUAUGUGAGUUUUUUUUACUUGUAAAAUGUAUUUAAUGCGAAUUUUUAUUUAAAAUCUAUAACAAAUAAAAAUAUAUUAUUAAAAUAAAUAUAAUAAUUUACAUUUUUAAAUUUAUUAAAAUAUUCUAAUAUUGCUAGUCUUUUGCAUAGAUUACACUAUUUAUAUAAUAUUAGCAUUUAUAAAAAAAAAUUAAAGUCAUUUUUUUGGGAUAAUAGAGGUAAAGUGCAUAAUGAUCAAAAGAAGUUCUCGGUGUCCCUUUUUGGAAACUUGGGGGUGUUAAUGAAGGGUGCAUAUAUCAUUUCUGUGGUAAAAAGAAAAAAAUAUUACAAUACUUUGAAAUCUACCAUUUUUAUAAACUAAAUUUGUAAAAUACUAUUUUUACACUUUGUUGUUAACAAGGAAUCCGUUAGUGAAUUUAUUUGAAAAGAUGUUUUUAUCCUUGAAAUGUAAUUUAAUAUGUUGAAGUAGAAUAUUUUUAGGAAAUGAAGUCAAAUUCGAAUGUAUAACAAAUAUAUAUAUAAAGCUCUCAAUGAGAGGAACAAAAAUCUAAGUAAAUAUUUUACCACGUUCUAUUGUUUGUGGGGAAAAUGACACCUGUAUCUCCAAGACCCUCGAGUUUUCAAUAAAGGAUGCCAAGAUCCCUUGUUGACUCUAAUACCCUUUAGUUUUAUUUACUCAAAAAAAAUGACUCCAAUUUUUUAGAGUAAAUACAAAUAUAAUAUUAAAAUAAAUGUAACAAUUUAUACUUUUUAAAAUAAUUUCUAUAUUUAAAAAAUAUUUUAAUAUUUUACUAUCUUGUAUUACAUUAAAAAAUUAUAAUAAAUAGAAACAUAAUGUUAAAAUAAAUAUUUAAAUAUUUAAAUUGUUUUCAAGAUUAUAUAAAAUAAUUUUAAUAUUAUUAAUUUAUGAGAUUUAUUUCAUUAAUUGUAAAAUCUAUUUAACCAAAGGAUGUUUGGUUUAAAGAAAGGGGAAGAGAGGAAAAGAGUGGAAUGGAAGGGAAGGGAGAAGAAAUGAGUGAAGGAGAAUAGUAAAAUUAAAUUUCAUUGUUUGGUUUGACAUAAAAUUUGAUAGGAAAAAGAAUUACAAUUUUUUUCUUUGGACAAAUUUAUUCUUUCCCUUAAAUACUAUCUAUAUUAGCAAUGAAAUAAAAUUUAAUUUCAAUACCAAACUUUUUUAAUGUCAAAAAGUCCUAAAAUAAUUCAUGAUUUAUUAGAAUUAUAUAUAUAUAUAUAUAAAUAAAACGGAGGUCCAGCGGCAAUCGACGACGUUUCAACGGAAAUCAGUGGCGGUCGACAGCAUUCCAGUAGUGGUUCGGCAGAGUUUCGGUGAUAGUCUGGCAGAUGUUCGGCGACGGUUUGCCGGAGUUCUGGCGACGGUUAAUUUAUAUUUCUAUAUUUUCAUAUUAAAUAAAUAAAUAAGUUUAUUUAUUUUGUUAAGUUUCUUAAAUCAUUCAUUAAAUUUAAUUAAUAUAAAAUUAUUUAUAACAUUAAAUUGAUUAAAUAAAAUUAUAAAUAAUAAUUACUAAGGGCAUUAAAUAAGCUAAAAAGUUGAAGGGUAAUUUUGGAAGUUUUGGUUUCCAAUAUAAGACGAAAUUAAAUUCUUCACUCUUUAGUCUGGAAAUCAAAUUAUACAUUAAUUCUUAUAUAUUUUGUCUAACCAAACAAUGAAAAUAAAAAUAGAACUUAAAUUAUUUUCCUCUCCUCCAUUCUCUACUCCUAACCAAACAGCACCUAAAGAUUUAUUUAAAAUUUUGUAAUAAAAUAUUAUUUGUAUUCUAAAGUUAUUUUUAUAUAUUAUAAAAUAUUCUAAUAUUCUAUUAGAUAAAUUAGAUUAUUUAAAUUAUAUUUGUCUUUAUUAGAAAAAUCUAAAAACCAAUUUUUUAGUUACUAUUUACAAAGGAUGUUAUAGUCAAAAGAGGAUUUUGGUGUCCCUUAUUAAAUUCUUGAGGGUACAUAACUAUUUUCCCAAACUUUAAGUGUAAGUGUUCUUUUUCCUUGUUUGUGCGUCAAAAACUUAUUUGAAUAUUUAAAAAAGACUUCAUAUAGAUUUUCGAUGCAAUAAAUGACAAAAUUUGGCAUACAUUUCUAAUUAGUUCUAUUCCUCACGUUGAGAGGUACAAAAAGACUUGUUAUAUGAUCAAAUCUGAUAUCAUUUGCCCUAUCUAACAAUACCAAAAAAUAUCCUGCAUCAUAAUAUUAAAUUACAUUACAAGAGAAAAACUGUCUAUUUUAUAUAAAUCCAGUAACAAAUAUAACGGUAAGGUGUAAAAAUGUUAAUUUUAGAAACUUGGGUAUAAAGAUGAUAAAUUUGUUACUGUUGAAAUAUUUUUGGCCUUUGUCAUCUAUAAGGUGAAAAAAAAAAAUAGUAAUUUCGCAAGUUUAAAAAUUUGAUUGAAUAUGUAUAAAUCAUAAAAUCAAUAAUAGAAGUAGGAGCGACUCCGGACUGACCCCACUUGUCAAAUCACGAUGAUGACUUUGGAGAACAAAUCAUGCCAAAGGGACAAGAUUAAAAAGAACUACUGAAGAUAAAAAAGGACUUAAAUUAUGCACUUUUUUUUGCAUACAACAAUUCGAUCUUAUCCUCAUCUGAGCUUAGUCUCUAGAGCUCUAUAAAUUCGAACUCUUCCAUGCCAAACUGAUCAAGUAACUCACUCAAACAGCUCUCUGAAAGAUAACAAAAUGAAUACUCCUUUCGUGACUGCAGUCUCCUUUCUUCUCCUUGCCUUUGCCACAAAACCGCUUGUGGGACUCGCUGAUCCUUUGGUUGAUGUCAAUGGCAACAAGGUGGAAGCAUCCUGAGACUACUAUUUGGUCUCAGCAAUUCGAGGAGCAGGCGGCGGCGGCCUCACCCUCUUCAGGGGCAGAAACGAACUCUGCCCACUUGAUGUUGUCCAACUAAGUUCCGACUCAGAAAGAGGAACCCGUUUAAGAUUCGCAACGUAUGAUAACACUAGUAUGAUCAAUGAAGAAGUGGAUCUGAACGUGAGAUUCUCGACAGAGACUCGCUGCAACGAACCAACAGUAUGGAGAGUCGACAGCUAUGAUGCAUCGAGAGGAAAAUGGUUUAUAUCAACUGGUGGUGUUGAAGGAAACCCUGGAGCUCAAACUUUGAAAAACUGGUUUAAGUUUGAGAGAAUUGGAAGAGAUCGAGGUGAGUAAUAGGGAUAAAAAUACCUAUAUUUCUUGAUUUAAGUACCUAUUUAAUUCUUAUAUUUUAAAAAAUACCUCAAAAACUUAUAAUGAUAAUAUUACAUUACAUUCUUAUCCUAUUUUUUUCUUUUCGUUUAAUGACAUAACUUAAUUUGAUAUAUUAUAAUUUUUUUAUUAAUAUUUCAAAAAUAUUGUUGUACAAAUAUUAUUAUAAAAAGAAAAUAAGGAUGGAAUUGUGGCUUAUUUAACAAUAAAAGUGUCUUGGAAUUUUUUUUAAAUAUAGAAAUUAAAUAAAUAUUUAACUCAAAAUAUAAGUAAUAAAUAAAUAUUUACCGUAAGUAAUAAUGAUAACUGAACACAAAGUUUGAAGAGACAAAUAAUGACAAAAUACGAAAAAACCAUCUCACUUAUCUUGUAUUGAUUUUUUUUUUUAACUUACUUUACAAAAUUGUAUAUUAAUGUAUCCUUGCUCUUUCCAGCUACGUACAAGAUUGUUCACUGUCCUUCCGUUUGCGAAUCCUGUGUAUCUUUAUGCAAUGAUGUUGGGGUUUCUCACGAUCAUGCUCGACGUUUGGCUCUUACUAAUGGGCCUGUUGUUCUAGUCCCCGCUAAUGAGAGAUCAGCCUCAUGUGCAUCUUGAAUGCCCUUGUAUCCUUACUCUAAAUAAUGGAUCGGGCUAGCUCCUUGACGCUUAUAACAUAAACAAAAAUGUCAUUGCUAACUAGCCUGUGUACCUUUGAACGGAAACUUGUAGUAGCAUUAAAUAAAAGUGGCGAAUUUUGACUGUUUAAUCUCUUAAGAGCUUUGGUUAUGACUGAGGAGUUAUUACUUG